UCCUUCUCCUCACCAUAACUUCCACUACUUCCAUAGAUUUUCCCGUUAAUGUUGCUGACAUAUUAAACUACACAACAUCUAUUGUAAUUUAUGUCUUAUUAGUAUCAUCACUUUUGUUCUUUAUUUCAAUGUCUAACAUAAUGAUCUGGUUUCAAUUUGCUACAGGCAUUAUUCCCAGACAAUAGCUAUGGUUUUGAUUGUAGCGGUGACUGAAAAAUUAUUCCGAAACUAACAUUUGAGGAAUUCAAGGUUUGUUAGUUAAUUUGUACAUCAGAAUACCAUGACAAACUUUGAAGUUGUAAUUGUUGACCUUACAACGUAUCUUUUGGUUUGGAGCAUUAGACUUAUAUGUGUUGCUUUCACUUGAAGGCUAACUCUUUAUUUUAGGCCUUGGAAUAUAACUAGGAAAUUGUGCCCGCACGUUGUUGCAGGAACGAAAAUAAAACUAUAGAACAUAUCAUGAAAAUCCAAAUGUACAUAAAUGUUGAGUAACACUAUUAACAUAAACAUAAUAAAGACUGCAUAUAAAAUGUAGUCAAUAUUUUUACAGGCCACUGUUUAUAGUUGUACAAUUUAGGCAAAAAACAUUAGGAAACAUUUUGACAUGGAUGUACAAAAGUGAUGAGUCUGAUAUUUCCCCCUGGUAGCUAUGUUAGGUGUUGAUCAGCAUCAGUUGUUCAUGUGCACAAAAAAUAGGGGUAUCAAUGUUAUGGUGGCCUAUUUACACGCAAAAAAUAUGGAGAAGCACUGAUGUUGUUUUAACAAAAGAUGAUCAGUCUCUUUUCUAUAGCAGCAAAAGUUUGUUCCUUCUGGCAAUAACUGCAAAUAAACGAUGUGCAGAUGGUAAAAAAAAUAUGUAAAUGCUAACUGAGCUGUAAUCAAGUGUGUGCAAAUAUGGUUACAUCAUAUAAAAAAUAGGAAUGGAGCAAAGUUACCUAGUUUUUUUUUUUUUUGGUAGAGGGUCUUUUUUCAUGCUUGUUGGAGAAGAUGCUUUUUUUUCAACAAUUUGAUUGGAACCUGACCAAAAUCCUAGACAUCUACUUCAGAGACUUCCUCUGUCUCACCGUACCAAAUAUAUUAAAGAGAUAGGAAAAAUAGAUUUAGAUCAGAUUGAAAAUAAAUUGAGAAUGAGAAAAAAAUGCUGUGAUGCAGAAUAUAACAUGUUUUUAGCCUCUGUAAAAAGGGCUCUCCUGAUGGAAUCUCUUUUCCUCUUGUGCGUUUCUCCGGUUUUUUCAGCUGGUGUAGUGGACGAUGAAACUGUUGUCGAAGACACUGCAAUUUCUUUCAUAAAAGACUGGUGUUGUUGGUUGGAUCAUUGUGUCCUCAGAAACAUUGUAGAUAAGGAGAUCAUUUGAAUUCAACAAAUUUCGUCGGCUUCCAAACCAAAGGUGAAAAUUUUUCCUUUGGCCUAUAAGUCUGAAAAACUCACUUGGUAAUUGCUUGUGAUCUGUUGAUCUUUGAUUGUAAACCAAAUCUUUGCAUGGCAUGCCAAAGACCUUUUCUCCUAAUUUGCCGAUAAUGAGAGCAUUGAUCUCAUUUGUUUCGUCUUCAAGGACCAAGAACACUUUGUACCUUCAUUCAAAUAGAAAAGCCAUUAAUUAUAGAGGAUACACAGUGUAAUAAGUCAAGAACUACAUUCUCAUAGAUUUUUCUAUGGUAUGGUUUAAUGUUAAUACUAAUCAUAUGAAAAAUAAAAGGAUAGGUAUGCAAAGUUUGAUUUCAAAUUUAAUUAAAUUUAUGGCUUGUAAGUUUGUUACGUGAUCAAUGAACUAUUAAUUGAAAAUAUGUAAUUAAAAACAGAAUAAAUGAUAAGUUUCAGUUUAAUAAGGAUAUGAGACAACGAUCAAUUGACAAACGCAAAAUAUAGUGUUUAACUCGUUACCAAGGAGUUGGCAUUUGAUUUAUAUGUUUUUGGCACAUCAGUUGACCAGUUGUUGGGUCCUUGUACAUUUGUUUGGCACAUGUAGGGCAAGCAGCAUACCACCAUUCAUAUGAUGUGUUAAACCGCUUAAUUGAUGCCUUGCACAAAAAUGUAUCAUCCUGUUAAAUAUCCAAAAAGAUGUUUAGAUAGUUAAUAAUCAUGAAAUAGAAAGCUUAUGUAAAAGAAGUAAAAAUAGAAAGCUUAUGUUUAGAUAGUUCAUAUGAUGUGUUAACUCGUCAAGUCCAAAACGCUGGACUCCAACCACAUGACCAAUAACAUCUACAAAUUUGAAAAAAAGAAAGAAAACCAAAACAUAAUUAGGUGAGGAGAAAAUGUUUCAUAAAACAUGUAUCAAUGCAUUGUAACACACAGCUAUAUAUACAUGCGUACAUAUUUAUUACCUGUUAGGAUAUCAGUCUUGUUCAGCCUGGAUACAAUCUAUUAUAAUCUUGCAAAAAAAAAUCUGCGACACAGAAUAGGCAGAAACACACUUGUUAACUUGUUAAAAACUGUUUUGGCAGUUAACACGAGAUGGGUGUCAUGCGGGACUACUUGACACUGGCCUCUUAUUUUGUUGGUACGAAAAUUCAUAAUCUCGUAGCAAGCACCUGCUUCAAUUUUUGGGACUAUUAUAUCAUAGUUCAUUUCGUCAGAAGACGCUUCUAUCGCUUGUUCCUUGAUAACCAAACAUUGAGAAGGGAAGAAAAAGAAAUUGUCAAAGAUAUCAUGAAUAGGUAAAUAACACUAAAUUUGAAACUUAAAAUAAUAUGAAAACAUUUGCAAAUUACCAACAUUAUAGACUAAGAUGAAUACUAAAUACUGAAAGCCAAGUUAUCAUUGUAAUUAACAGUUUAAAGGCAAUGGAUACCCAUAAAAUAAUUACAUGUCACAUAGACUUAACAUGAGAGUUGAUAUAUUUAAUACUUGAAAUAAUAUGAAAAUAAAUGUAAAUCACAAAUAUUAGAGAAUAAGAUGGAUAGUUAACGUCAAGAGUGAAUUUAUUAGUGUAAUUAACAAGUUAAAGACAAUGCAUAUGCACCCAAAAACAAAUUCUUAUCACAUAGAGACAGAAUGAUAACUAACAUGUAAUUUUCCGAUACAAAAUGAAAGAAUACAGAGAUUAGAAAUGAAUUGGAGAUUGUGUUUAUCCCAGAGAGUAAAAAUGUCAUGUGAUAUGUAUUAGAACAAAUACAAAAUUCACAUGUUAAGAGCUUAUCAAACAGUAUUAUUAAAGAUUAAUUACUGACCUUUUCAUCAACUAAUACACAGUGUAGACCUGCAUAUUUAUCAGUCAUGCCUGAAAAUCUUGGUAUCUAUAUUCUGCAGAUACGAACUUUAAUUUUUCCAAUUUUUUCAUAUGGGACCAAUCGAUCAAGAGGAGUUGGACCUCGACCUUCCAUGUUUAACUGCUGAAAUGAGAUUUAAGGUUUGUGAAUUGACAAAUAAUGCAGAAAGAAAUUUCAAAGAGGCUGAACAAUGAUGUAACAACUACACUUUCAAAACUAUAGACCUACAACAGUUUGUUUAAAAGCGUAACUGAUUAAAAGAAUGAGAUUGCCAAAAGAAAACACAGCACGACCACUGCUUAACUGAACCACAUUCUCAACACACAAACAUAAACGUAGUGAUCCUAUACAUCCAUCAUAUUCUUUUUCUCUGUUUCCAUAUCCCUGAUCCCAAUUCUUUAUCCCAUCCUUUCAGUGUUGUUUUUUGCUCACUCUCAAUGUCACGCCCCUAUCUCGACAUACGUCCAGGCUCGACACAUGACGUCACCAACUACUCGUAUCUCUAACAUAUCCCGCCACCAGGAUAUGCAAAACACAACUCGAGAACCAAUUGCGUAAUAAAUUUUUGUAUACUUUAUGGUUGCAUCUAACCUCUUCGUUAGACUGUCUACGUACCCUCAAUAGAGAUCAAGCCAUUCGUAGUUCAACUUCGCUAUAACUCGACAUAUAACACAAUCUAUUCAAGCCAAAAUGCAUAACAUUCCUCAAUCAAACAUUUGGACUUGACGAGCAUGAAUUAUUCGAUUCAAACUACAUAACAACCCGCAUGACAAUCAAGGUUUCUAUUUCAUCCAUCAUAUACAUCAUUAUGUUUCAACAUAAAAUCACUAUUCAUAUCAAGUAAUAUAUCAAAGAAUCAAUAAAGCACAAUAGUAUCCUCUAGUCGCAUUGAUCACUGAUCUAAUCAUUAUAAUAACAAUCAUAUUCAACAUCCUUCCACAAUCAUCUCAAGUAACCCAUUCCAUGAUAUCAAGGAUGCACGAUAUUAACAUUUAAUUAUGUUAAUCAGUCAAUCAGAUCACAUCUCAAUGCACAAAAUUAAUAAAGGACUUCUAUAUAAUUCCCCUGGAUUUCAAGUAAUAACUUGAUAAUUCAAAUUUAUAUUCACAAAAUUUAUUGUGGGUAAUUCUCAUUCACUCGAAUCCAAGGUACAAGUCUAACUUAUAGAAAUGAGCAAGAGUAGGGAUUCCAGACCACUCAACGGAAUCCAAAUCAAGAUACGAUUCCAGACCACUCAACGGAAUCCAACCACAUCGGCUUCCGGAUCACUUAACGGAACCAAAAUUAUCCAUCGGUUUCUUGCAUGUAAAAUUAGUGACAUCGAUGACAAUCUAUAAACAUCAAGUAUAGAAUUAUGCUUUAUGAAAUCAUAAUCAAGUCACUGACAACUUCGAAGGAGUCACCCAGACAUCCAACGACUUUUUUAAUUUAAAGCACAAGAUUCUCAAAAUCCAUCGUUCAUAUGUACAUUAAAAACUAGGGCUAGAUGGACGCAGUUCGGCCGAAGCCUACAUCUUUGAAGCUAUCUCAAUCCAAACUCAAUGAAACCCGAGGUGGAUACGACCCCGGACCAUCACUCAAAAAAAUCACGGAGUAGGAGGGAUUCCGGACCAUCUCUCAACGGAAUCCAAGUGGAUACGAUUUCGGACCAUCACUCAACAGAAUCGCGGAAGGCCAACAACCAUAUAUACAAUGACUCAAAGAAAUGAGACAAGCACAAGUUACUUAAUUUACAAAAGCUUAACCAAGGGAAAUAAGGCACAAAUACUAAAUUUAGAACGAAUCAACGAAGUGGAAGAUGAAACCAUAUCGAAUCAACAAAUCCCCAUCACCACAGUUUAACGGUCUACCACUAGUCCUCACAUUUCAUCACAACAGGCCAAUCAAACCAAUCAAACCAAUCAAACCAUAUUUCAAUAUAUAUACAUGUCAAAUCUCAUUUCAUAAACCUAAAUUAAUAAAGGACUUCUAUAUAAUUCUCUGCCUGGAUUUCAAGUAAUAACUUGAUAAUUCAAAUUUAUAUUCACAAGAUUUAUUGUGGGUAAUUCUCAUUCACUUGAAUCCAAGGUACAAGUCUAACUUAUGGAAAUGAGCAAGAGUAGGGAUUCCAUACCACUCAACGGAAUCCAACCACAUCGGGUUCCGGAUCACUUAACGGAACCAAAAUAAUUUAUCGGUUUCUUGCAUGUAAAAUUAGUGACAUCGAUCACAAUCUAUAAACAUCAAGUAUAGAAUCAUGCUUUAUGAAAUCAUAAUCAAGUUACUGACAACUUGGAAGGAGUCACUCAGAUAUCCAACGACUUUUUUAAUUCAAAGCAUAAGAUUCUCAAAAUCCAUCGUUCAUAUGUACAUUAAAAACUAGGGCUAGAUGGACGCAGUUCGGCCGAAGCCUACAUCUUUGAAGCUAUCUCAAUCCAAACUCAAUGAAACCCGAGGUGGAUACGACCCCGGACCAUCACUCAAAGAAAUCACAGAGGAGGAGGGAUUCCGGAACAUCUCUCAACGGAAUCCAAGUGGAUACGAUUUCGGACCAUCACUCAACAGAAUCGCGGAAGGCCAACAACCAUAUAUACAAUGACUCAAAGAAAUGAGACAAGCACAAGUUACUUAAUUUACAAAAGCUUAACCAAGGGAAAUAAGGCACAAAUACUAAAUUUAGAACGAAUCAACAAAGCAGAAGAUGAAACCAUAUCGAAUCAACAAAUCCCUAUCACCACAGUUUAACGGUCUACCACUAGUCCUCACAUUUCAUCACAACAUGCCAAUCAAACCAUAUUUCAAUAUAUAUACAUGUCAAAUCUCAUUUCAUAAACUUAAAUCAAUGGCUAAGCAUUAAAAAAAAUUAUUCAAUAGAAAACAUAUUUAUAAACCCAAGUCAUAUCCACAUAGGAUAACAAUUACGAAAAUAAGGUAAUCACCAAUAUCACAUAUAUUAAAGUCACUCACCUGAGGUCCACACUAACGCACUCUAGCAUGGAAUUCAAGGCAUCAAGCUCUAUUACCGCCAAAAACAAAGCACAAGUCCACAUUUAGAUUUCUCUCGAUAAAUUCACAUGCCCAAAACUCUCAUAAGUCUCCCACAACGACAUUUAAUGAGAAUCAAACCGUCGAUCAAAGGUAUGGUCCAUGAUCUUACAUCAUUUGCUCCGUAAGAUCCAACCACUAGAUUUUCACUAGUAAGUUCCUAAGGCCCAACAACUGAUAAAUAUGGUGCUCACAAAAUUGUACAACGAUCCAACGAUCAGAUUGUCAUCAAUCACAUAAACAAGUGGUGGUCCAAUUUGAUCGCCAUACCAAACAAUUGAAUUUCGGGAAACCAAGCUAGACAUAGGUUCAUAGGGUCACUAGAAGGUAUUUGGUACUUGACAACACUCGUGGACAAUCUCACGCACCGCCACACGCGAUGGUAGCCAUGGUGAAGGAUUUGAAAACCCAAUUUUUCAACCUUAACCACAAAGGCUCAAAUUUACGUGGUAAUUAGAGUAAAAAUCCAAUUUCAUCAUGGAAAACCGGGUUUCUAGGGUUCUACACACCCAACUCUAAAACGAAUACGAAAGCACCAACUUGAAGAUUAUGAAGAGUAUACUUCACUCGAAGGAAAUGGUUGACGGAAUCACCGGAAAAAUGAUAAAACCGCCGGAAACCCACAGAACUUUGCUGUCUCUAACUGGAAAAAUAGAUAAGAAAAUGGGAAAUCUAACACUACAGAGAUGUAGGGCUCGUCAAGAGCUUUAAUGAACACCAAGAUCACCCAAAACGGAGAUCGGAUGAAGGAGAUAUGAGCGGAUCAAGUUUGCGGGUUAACGGGUCUAAUUCGCCCCAAAACGGGUUUUUCCUUCUUUUCUCUCGCCACCUUCCCGUGGCUUUCUUUUCCUCUCCUCUUUUUAGCCACUCCCGUGGCCUUUUCCUUCUCUUUUCAUUUUUUUUUAAUUUUUAAUUUUUAAUUUUUUUAGCAACAACUUCAAACGUCCGUAACUAUACCGUUAUAAUCUGGACUUGCAAACGGUUUUCGCCUAUGCGUUCGUAAUCUCGAUAUCUAUUCAACAAUAUAAAUUGUGACCUCGAAUGGUCUGCGGAUUUUAAAUAAUUAAUUUUCCAAAAAAUAAUAUAAAAUUUCUAUAAUACCACUAUGUAGAUUAUACUAAUGAAAUCCAGUAUCUAGAUUUCACACUCAAUCCCAUUUUCUUCCAAGUCUGAUAAAACCCACAUGCAUAAACGGGCUACAAAUCUGCCAAACCCAAAACAAAACCUAACUAAAAAUCUGAGAGAUUAAAACUUUCGCUCAAAAAAACAGUCUAUCUCUCCGAUAAAACAGAAAUAUCCCAAAAUAGGAAUGCUUGGUAAUAAAAUAAUGAAGCAACAAAUGGCAUGAAAUAAUCAAAAAACAACCCUACAAAUUCAAAUAACCGAAACAAAUAAUCAUAUGGCCAAUUCAGUUCGAAAAAAAAAAAACAUCGCACAAAAAACUAAUACCUGACAAAGAACCCAAUUGGGGAUACUGGAAAUUGCAACUACACGAUCCUCCAAUUGACGAUCAGACAGCCGUUCAACCACUGCAAAAACAACCAUAAAAAAACACAAAGUCAUAGCCUAUCAAGAGUGUAAGUAAAAAAAAUGAACAAAUCGAUAUUUCCUGUCCCGAAUUAAAAACUGGAAAGCGAAAACAAAGGCGCUGAAAAACAAAAGCUGAAAAUCAAUUGCACAACAGCAGAAACCAACAAGAAAAACGAAAGACAGAAACGAUAACAAAAAGCAUAAGCAAAACGAAAGAAACGGCAAACAAAGCUAACCAAGCAAAUUUGAAACGAAGAAAAAUGCACAACCAGCUUAAACCACGGCAAAAAUAAGAGAGAGAAGAGACAAAGCCACGGCCAAUUCGAUGAUCGACACGUGGCCAUAAGUGGAAAAGGCAAAGCCGAGCAACACGCCGGGGGGGGGGGGGGGAAGAUAACAAACGGUCGCGGUGAUAAGGCAAUCAGAAGGUAACGUAAAAAAAAUUAGGAUUUAAAUUUUUGUGGUAGAUUUCGUUAGCAAAUUUAAUCCAAAAUUAUUUUUUUUUUGUUACUUGUCUGUUAAAUACAGGGAUAAAAAUGUAUUUUAACUAGUACGCAUUCUUCUUCCUCCCUCUGCGUUUCAUCUAUUUAUAUCUUAAAACAACCCCUACCAGAAAACCACAGAAAAUAAACCAUGAUCAUUAAUCUCUCAUCUUCUCCAUCAUCCUCUUCUUUCUCUCUCAUCAAGUUAUCUAAUUCCAAAUCACUCAUCUCUGAUUUUCCAUCAAAACCUAAAACCCACCACCCAAAACCUCUAUCUUCUUCCAUUUGCUGCUCAUUUUCUUCACUAGACCUUGGUUUUCACUGCAAGGAUCGAUUUUUCAUUGAAAAUGGUAGGUGCCCACAUGGGAAAAGGUUCAAGUUUAGGACUUGUGCGAUUCCUGGCUUCGACUCUGGCAACCUCAGUUGGUUUUGGAGGCGGCUGCUGUGUUAACGGCCAUAAUUGUUGUCCAUGAGAGCGGUCACUUCGUUGCAGCUUAUCUCCAAGGCAUCCAUGUAAGCAAAUGGAAGAAGAUGGAGGUUUUGGGUGGUGGGUUUUGGGUUUUGGGUUUUGGGUUUUGAUGGAAAAUCAGAGAUGGGUGAUUUGGAAUUGGAUAACUUGAUGAGAGAGAGAGAAUAGGAGCGUGGAGAAGCUGAGAGAUUAAUGAUCAUGGUUUAUUUUCUGUGGUUUUUUUGGUAGGGGUUGUUUUAAGAUAUAAACAGAUGAAAUGCAAAGGGAGGAAGAAGAAGGAGUACACGUUAAAAUACAUUUUUAUCCUUGUAUUUAACAGACAAGUAACGGAAAAAUCAAUUUUGGAUCAAAUUUGCUAACGGACUCUAUCACAAGGGUUUAAAUCCUAAUUUUUUUUACCACAAGGGCUAUCUUCCGAUUACCUUAUCACCACGAGGACUGUUUAUCCGAUUAGGCCAAAAUAUAAAGGAAAGGGGCAAAAUGACAUUUCAUAUAGCAUCUUCAAAAUGCCAAAAAAGUGAGCGUUAGAUCAGGGGCAAAAUCGGGUGGGCACUGUUAGUGAACAAUGGUUUUCCCACAGGGUUUUAGUAUAGAUAAUAAUUUCUUGGAGAAUCAACAUUGUUGACAAUUUUUUGAGCAAUAUUAUCCCCAAAUUUUCUUUGCAUGUUACCCUCAACGUAGACAUCAUAUAACCAUCCUUGAACUUCUGAACCAAAAAUUUGAGUUUUAUGAUUAUAACUAAACGUCUAUAAACACAUGAUACAGAUUGAGACAAAUGUCAAAUUUAAAAUGGCAUUAAUCAGGACAGCUGCAAACUCUGAUUUGUAGGCUUUGAAAUGGAGAAGUUACUUCUUGCUUCACUUUAGCAUCAUAGUUCAGCUUCUAAGUUCAGUUCUCAACUAUGAGGUUUCUCAGUUACCUCUUUCUUGUAAUAAAACAUUAGGUAAAUUAUACAAAACUACCUCAACUAUUGAGUAAUUAACAGCUUCAUACCUCGUCUUUAAAAAGUUUCAAUGUCAUACCUCAUCUACGAACUUGUUACAAUUUCAUACAUUCCGUAAGUUGUCUGUUAAUUCUUCUGUUAAAAUGCUGACGUGGCAAGUGACGGGAUCCAUUUUCUAUUAAAAAAUAAUAAAUAUUAAAAAAAAAAGACCCAAACCCAGAUCCCCAUCCCCCCUUCCCAUCUGUCCCCCCUCCUCCUUCUCCUCAUCCUCCUCCGCACCCACCUCACACCCACCCUCUUCCCUUCUCUACACACUCCACUCCUUAAAUCCACACCCAUUCCCCCAUUCAAAACCCCCAGUUCGUCUUCUCCCUCACCCGAGCCCAACCUGCAACUAGACUUGGCAGUUUUUGACACGACACGAAAACGACACGAAAAUAACGGGUUUCGGGUCAACACGAUAACUUAUCGGGUCACUAUCGGGUGACCCGUUAAGAACCCGUUAACGGGUUCUUAACAGGUAUACACGCGGGUAACACGUGGGUAACCCGUUUCGACCCGUUAAGAAAAGAAUUAUUUUAAUAAUUUUAAGGUUUAAUUACUAAAAGAUUUAUUAUAAAAUACAAUAGUCAUAUUAAUAUAUACAAUAUAUUCUAUAUUAAAUAUAUAGUUUUGUAUUAUUGUUCUAUAUAAAUUAUAAAAAAAUUAAAAAAAAGUUUUAGUCAUUAUUUAUUUUUAUUAUGAGAGUUCCUUAUUAUCAUUACUAGGAUAAAUUUUACAUAACAUAUUCUUGUCCAAAAUUAAAAUAUACUGGUAUAGUAUUUGUAUAUGCAAGAACUAAGAAGACAUACAUACAAGUAUGAAAAAUGUGAAAAAAUAUAUAAACACUCGUGAUUUAUCAUUAUUCCUCCACGAAUAAAUAAUUGUUACACUUAUAUUAUCGUUUAGAUUUUUUAAAUCCUUCAAACCCUCAUGAAUAAUGUUUUUUAUUUGAGGGAAAAAUUAAUAAAAUUAAUAAUAAUUAUUGUAGAAGUGUAAAAAUGUAAAAAUAUAUAUAUAAAAUCACUCAUAUAUAAAAAAAUGUAAAUGCUUUAAAUAAAAGAUCAAAUUUAUUCAUUACAUUCUUAUAGGGUCGAGGAGUGUAUCUGUAAAAAAAUCAUCAAAAUCAGAGAUAAAAUAACCGUUAAAUUAUGAUUUUUCGUUUAUAACCGCCGAAAACUUUUAUUCCAUUACGUAAUCUCUAAAUGUUUGUUUUUUACGAUUUUUUACAUAUGCGAUCUCGGAAUGUGUACAAAUAAGUUUGACGGUUGGAUCGUUGAAAAAAGUUUCAUAUAAUGCAUAUUGCGUCAAAACGGUAGAUUAAGCAAACACUUAGAGUUAAUAUUAUACUUCUAUUAAGUAUAAAAUAAGUUUUUGUGGUAUCCACUAGUGUAAAUACUUUAAAUUAAAGAUCUAAUUUAUUCAUUACAUUCUUAUAGGGUCGAGGAGUGUAUCUGUAAAAAAUAAUCAAAAUCGGAGCUAAAAUAACCGUUAAAUUGUGAUUUUUCGUUUAUAACCGUCGAAAACUUUUGUUCCGUUACUUAAUCUCUGAAUGUUUGUUUUUUAUGAUUUUUAACGUAUGCGAUCUCGGAAUGUGUACAAAUAAGUUUGACGGUUGGAUCGUUGAAAAAAGUUUUGAAGAAUGCAUAUUGCGUCAAAACAGUACAUUAAACAAACACUUAGAGUUAAUAUUAUACUUCUAUUAAGUAUAAAAUAAGUUUUUGUGGUAUCCACUAGUGUAAAUACUUUAAAUUAAAGAUCAAAUUUAUUCAUUACAUUCUUAUAGGGUCGAGGAGUGUAUUUGUAAAAAAUCAUCAAAAUCAGAGAUAAAAUAACCGUUAAAUUGUGAUUUUUUCGUUUAUAACCGUCGAAAACUUUUGUUCCAUUACGUAAUCUCUGAAUGUUUGUUUUUUACGAUUUUUUACGUAUGCGAUCUUGGAACGUGUACAAAUAAUUUUGACGGUUGGAUCGUUGAGAAAAGCUUCGUAGAAUGCAUAUUGCAUCAAAACGGUAGAUUAAACAAACACUUAGAGUUAAUAUUAUACUUUUAUUCAGUAUAAAAUAAGUUUUUGUGGUAUCCACUAGUGUAAAUACUUUAAAUUAAAGAUCAAAUUUAUUCAUUACAUUCUUAUAGUGUCGAGGAGUGUAUCUGUAAAAAAUCAUCAAAAUCAGAGAUAAAAUAACCGUUAAAUUGUGAUUUUUCGUUUAUAACCGCCGAAAACUUUUGUUCCAUUACGUAAUCUCUGAAUGUUUGUUUUUUACGAUUUUUUACGUAUGCAAUCUCCGAAUGUGUACAAAUAAGUUUGACGGUUGGAUCGUUGAAAAAAGUUUCGUAGAAUGCAUAUUGCGUCAAAAUGGUAGAUUAAACAAACAUUUAGAGUUAAUAUUAUACUUCUAUUAAGCAUAAAAUAAGUUUUUGUGGUAUCCACUAGUGUAAAUACUUUAAAUUAAAGAUUAAAUUUAUUCAUUACAUUCUUAUAGGGUCGAGGAGUGUAUCUGUAAAAAAAUCAUCAAAAUCGGAGCUAAAAUAACCGUUAAAUUGUGAUUUUUCGUUUAUAACCGUCGAAAACUUUUGUUCCGUUACGUAAUCCCUGAAUGUUUGUUUUUUAUGAUUUUUUACGUAUGCGAUCUUGGAAUGUGUACAAAUAAGUUUGACGGUUGGAUCGUUGAAAAAAGUUUUGUAGAAUGCAUAUUGCGUCAAAACAGUACAUUAAACAAACACUCAGAGUUAAUAUUAUACUACUAUUAAGUAUAAAAUAAGUUUUUGUGGUAUCUACUAGUGUAAAUACUUUAAAUUAAAGAUCAAAUUUAUUCAUUACAUUCUUAUAGGGUUGAGGAGUGUAUCUGUAAAAAAUCAUCAAAAUCAGAGAUAAAAUAACCGUUAAAUUGUGAUUUUUCGUUUAUAACCGCCGAAAACUUUUGUUCAGUUACGUAAUCUCUGAAUGUUUGUUUUUUACGAGUUUUUACGUAUGCAAUCUCGGAAUGUGUACAAAUAAGUUUGACGGUUGGAUCGUUGAAAAAAGUUUUGUAGAAUGCAUAUUGCGUCAAAACGGUAAAUUAAACAAACAUUUAGAGUUAAUAUUAUACUUCUAUUAAGUAUAAAAUAAGUUUUUGUGUUAUCCACUAGUGUAAAUACUUUAAAUUAAAGAUCAAAUUUAUUCAUUACAUUCUUAUAGGGUCGAGGAGUGUAUCUGUAAAAAAUCAUCAAAAUCGGAGCUAAAAUAACCGUUAAAUUGUGAUUUUUCGUUUAUAACCGUCGAAAACUUUUGUUCCGUUACAUAAGCUCUGAAUGUUUUUUUUUAUGAUUUUUACGAAUGCGAUCUUGGAAUGUGUACAAAUAAGUUUGACGGUUUGAUCGUUGAAAAAAGUUUUGUAGAAUGCAUAUUGCGUCAAAACGGUAGAUUAAACAAACACUUAGAGUUAAUAUUAUACUUCUAUUAAGUAUAAAAUAAGUUUUUGUGGUAUCCACUAGUGUAAAUACUUUAAAUUAAAGAUCAAAUUUAUUCAUUACAUUCUUAUAGGGUCGAGGAGUAUAUCUGUAAAAAAUCAUCAAAAUCAGAGAUAAAAUAACCGUUAAAUUGUGAUUUUUCGUUUAUAACCACCGAAAACUUUUGUUCAGUUACGUAAUCUCUGAAUGUUUGUUUUUUACGAUUUUUAACGUAUGCAAUCUCGGAAUGUGUACAAAUAAGUUUGACGGUUGGAUCGUUGAAAAAAGUUUCGUAGAAUGCAUAUUGCGUCAAAACGGUAGAUUAAACAAACAUUUAGAGUUAAUAUUAUACUUCUAUUAAGUAUAAAAUAAGUUUUUUGUGGUAUCCACUAGUGUAAAUACUUUAAAUUAAAGAUCAAAUUUAUUCAUUACAUUCUUAUAGGGUCGAGGAGUGUAUCUGUAAAAAAUCAUCAAAAUCGGAGCUAAAAUAACCGUUAAAUUGUGAUUUUUCGUUUAUAACCGUCAAAAACUUUUGUUCCGUUACGUAAUCUCUGAAUGUUUUUUUUUAUGAUUUUUUACGUAUGCGAUCUUGGAAUGUGUACAAAUAAGUUUGACGGUUGGAUCGUUGAAAAAAGUUUUGAAGAAUGCAUAUUGUGUCAAAACAGUACAUUAAACAAACACUUAGAGUUAAUAUUAUACUUCUAUUAAGUAUAAAAUAAGUUUUUGUGGUAUCCAAUAGUGUAAAUACUUUAAAUUAAAGAUCAAAUUCAUUCAUUACAUUCUUAUAGGGUCGAGGAGUGUAUCUGUAAAAAAGCAUCAAAAUCAGAGCUAAAAUAACCGUUAAAUUGUGAUUUUUCGUUUAUAACCGUCGAAAACUUUUGUUCAGUUACGUAAUCUCUGAAUGUUUGUUUUUUAUGAUUUUUUACGUAUGCGAUCUUGGAAUGUGUACAAAUAAGUUUGACGGUUGGAUCGUUGAAAAAAGUUUUGUAGAAUGCAUAUUGCGUCAAAACAGUACAUUAAACAAACACUUAGAGUUAAUAUUAUACUUCUAUUAAGUAUAAAAUAAGUUUUUGUGGUAUCCAUUAGUGUAAAUACUUUAAAUUAAAGAUCAAAUUUAUUCAUUACAUUCUUAUAGGGUCGAGGAGUGUAUCUGUAAAAAAUCAUCAAAAUCAGAGAUAAAAUAACCGUUAAAUUGUGAUUUUUCGUUUAUAACCGUCGAAAACUUUUGUUCCAUUACGUAAUCUCUGAAUGUUUUUUUUUUACGAUUUUUUACGUAUGCGAUCUUGGAACGUGUACAAAUAAUUUUGACGGUUGGAUCGUUGAAAAAAGUUUUUGGACCGCCAGCAAUAGAUAAUUUUGUAGUAGUGAAACCUUAAAUUUAUUUAACCGUUAAUUGUUAUUUACACUUUAUUCUUCUGACUGAAUUUCAUUUUUAAAAUUUUAUUUUUUGAAAACAUGAUCAUCUGGUGGAUGUAAGAAGAUGAUAUCACGUUUCGAUAUUUACGAUUAACUGAAAUAUGAGUCAAUGUCAUAUAAUUUGUAGAAACUUUAUAAACAUCAAGCAAUAUUUUCACUAACCGUAGAACUCUAAAUAUAAUAUCAACGAUUCAACGAUCCAAACCGUUCAUCUACCGGCACCCUCUAAUAGAUCAUGUUUUCAAAAAAGAAAAUCUAAAAAAACGAAAUUUGAUGAGAACAAUGAAGCAUAAAUGUAAACAACAAUCAACGGUUAAAUUUUGAUCUAUGAUUUAUAUGAUUAUAGUGGCGAAUUUCGAAGUUAAGCUCUUCAUGAAAGUUAUAAAGCUUGUCAUUACGAGUGUUUAUAUAUUUUUUUACACUUCUACAUUAAUUAAAAAACUAUUAAAGACUUUAGGUAAGCGAAAAUAUACUUAAAACAAAAUUGCGUUUUUAUGUUUUGGAUGUGAUAAUAUGGAAUGUAUAUACUUAUUUAGUAUUAUGUUUUUCAUUUGAUUAUUUAUUGGUUUAAAAUAUAUUUUCCUUAACGGGUAACGGGUCGGGUCAUAUUACCUGUUAAUAUUAUUGGGUUGAUUUCGGGUCAGGUCAUUUUACCCGUUUAUUUUAACGGGUGUUACAUGACACGACCCGUUAAGAUAUCGGGUAUGACACGAAAACGACACGAACACGGAAAACACGACACGAAUGCCAAGUCUACCUGCAACCCAGAAGAGAAAAUAAAAAAAAAGCUCAGAUCCCUUCUUGCCCGAGUCUCGACCCCCUUCCCUGCACCCACCCUCUCGAGGAAGAUGAAGAUGAUUUUUUUUUCUUUUCUGGGUUGCAAGUUGGGCUCCGGUGAGAAGGGGGAGAGGUUAGUGAAGCAGCAGGAGGAGGAGGAGGAGAAUGAGCACCAUGGGAGGGAGGAGGAGAUGGAGGAAGAGAAGGCGCUAGGGGGGGUUUAGGUUUGGAAAAGGGGGGACGAAUGGGUUUUGCCAGGGGAGUGGGGGUGGGGGGAUGAGGAUCUGGGUUUGGGUUUCUAAUUUUUUUAAAAAUAUUUUUUAAUAGAAAAUGGGUCCCGUCACUUGCCACAUCAGCAUUUUAACGGAGUAAUUGACAAACAACUGACAAAUGGUAUGAAAUUGUAACAAAUUCGUAGAUGAGGUAUGACAUUGAAAUUUUUUAAAGAAGAAGUAUGAAACUGUUAAUGACCUAAUAGUUGAGGUAGUUCUGUGUAAUUUACCCUAAAACAUUUGACCAGUACUUGUCAGGAUAUCCAAUUAAUUAGGUCAAUUUUUGUCAGCGGUAAUAAUUUGUUUUUGCAGUUUUAUAUGUGUCUCUGUCUCCAAAUAUGAUGAUCUCUUAAUUUGCUUCUAUAGUUUUUGUAAUAUGAUGAUCUCUUAAUUUGCUUUUGCAUAUCUUCUUUGCUUCCUCUGCUAGCUCUAUAUCCAAAUAAUUAUUCCUUAUUUCCUAUUUUUACAAGAAGCAAAUCAUUGAAUACACAUGGAAAAUUAAAAGGGUUUUAGUUUUUGGAUUAGUUUAAAAUUUUUGUUGUUAUUGGUUGUAUUGCUUUAAAAUAUUUGAUGGGUAGUUUGAAAUGGAGAACUUAGUUGAUUGAGUAUUAACUUUUAUUAAAUUAAGACUCUAAGGCUCUAAUCUAAUUUUCAUGCUCAACAUCUCCUCUAUCUUUCUACAAUUGGUAAAACUUUUGUAUUAUUAUUCCAAUUUUGGUUACUGGGUUUUGGAAUUUUCCAUUUUUUUUCUGGGUAAUCAAUAUUGUAUAUAUGCAUGACAAGUAUAAACAAUAUUUUAGGGCAAAUUUAGUUGUUUAAUUUUUGAAUUAGAAGUUUUUGGUUUAUCUAUAUUACGUGAAAUAAAAAAAAAUUAUAAAGCUUUCGUUUUCAUGUCUUAAAGCUUUAAGCUUUACUUGAAAAACGAACUUAAUUUUGGGCUCAAAUUAUUGAAUUUCUUUGUUCUAUGCGUUUGAAUUUCAUUAAAUUUUUGUUAACGUUUGGUUAAAAUCUUCAUUACUGUAAUAUGAUCGAAUUUGCGAUUUAAUUUUUAAUUUUUUUUUGUGACAAUGAGAUUAUGGUAGGAUUUCGUUUAGAUUCCUCGGCCCAAGGAGAGUCUCUGCUUUUGAUAAGAUUGGGGUUGAUGCUAUCUCUGUCACAGCCCGUCCCGGAGAUAUGUAUUAUUUUAUUCUCGAUAAUGUGAAAGGACGGUUUUAUCCUUAGACAUUGAAAUUGUAGUGUAUGUGUGUGACAUAUUUUGGUUCUUGGAUGUCAUGUUCUUGGUUGGUUGGUGACCACGUGGGACACACACACACACAAACCUCAUUCUCUCUCUUCUCUCCCGUGCUUUCUCUCUCAGACUCACUAUCUCUCCUCAUUCUUCGUACGGUCGAGCACCAAACUCACCCAUUCACGCACAGAUCGAGAUCGUGCUUGGUUGUAUUGUCUUCAUCUCCUCACCAUGAGCUCAUCCAUACCAGUUUCAGGUAUGAAAACCUUCGAAAACCUCGUGAACCAAGAAUCUCCAAUUUGAACAUUGUUCAUGCUAACGUAAAAACAUGUGUUUUUGGAAAUUCUAAGCUCACAUGGAGCUUUGGAAGGCCCUCUACAGGCUCGGAGAAGUUCGUUUGGUGGUUUUGGACGUCGGAAUCGAGAAGUCGAAGCUUGGCUGGUUUUUCUCGAAUUUUCCCAGCAAGAUCCCGUGGUUUUUGAGGCUUGAAAGAGGUAUAAACUUGUUCUAUUCUCCAUGCACUUCAUUUUGGUAUAAAGAUCGUGAAAAAUGGUGCAAAAAUGGCCGAGAUAUCAUAGUUUAAAAAUUUCUCAGUUUUCCGGCGCCAACGACGGUUGCCAGAGUUCAGAGGUAGGAGACGACGGAAUAUUCCGACGUAGUCAGUUAGUUUGGACGGAUUCCGUUAGGACUUAACGGAAUAUUCCCCAGUAUAUACUUGAUGGUGUUAACUGACGCCGUCAGUAUGCUUGUCACCUGGCCACGCGUGGGGGUGCGUAGGGCCGUGCCCUUGCUUGCGCGUGGUGGCGCGUGGGUGAUCGAAAUUUUUUUCUAAAAAUAUUGGGACGUGACGUUGUUUAGAUCACGUUGGUAUAUUCAAAUACCAAAUUUGAGCAGUGUAUGAGAAGUUAUUAGCUAGUUUUGUGUAUGUGCUUUAAAUAACGUUUUUAUAGUUAAUUCGCAUAUAGAUGAGACUUGUCCCGAUGACGAGCGUGUUCAAGGGCGACUCAGGGGCUACGACCCUUCGACAUACUAGUGAGUGAGAUUUUGGUUUUCAGUAUAUAUUUAUAUACUUGAUAUUUUCCCAUAAAUAUGUGUUUAAAUGAAAGUAUGCCUUAAAUGUCAUGCAUAUGAAUUUAUAUAUCGUAUAUGAAUUGGUAUAUGAUGCACUAUAUAUAAUUGUGGUGUUGUGGACACUCAGGUAAGCUCAGGUGAAUUAUGGUUGGUUAUGUGAAUUAUCGAUGAUGUGAUAUGUGAUUGAAUAACGUUGAGCUCAUAAAACUGCACCUAGGGUGAUUGUGAUUUAGCCAGAGAUAUGGCACAUGCCUGUUUAUAAUGUCACCUCCCGCACCAUAUGCUCAUUUUGGAUCCAAUUUACGUGCACAGUCUUAUCGUACAGAUCUUAUUUAUGGUUUCGACUUGUAGGUGACUAGCGAUUUAUCACCCAACUAUUAUGUGAGAGUAGUAUUGAGCAUAAAUAUAUUACACCCAGUAUUGUCGUAUAGACCUUUUCAUUUGGUUCCAACUCUUGUGCAGUAUAGUGCCGUAUAAGUCAUUGUAGUGAUUCCGGCUAGAUUGACUUUUGAGCUAUGAAUUCAGCCGUACAGACUACCACAGGGUUCCGGCAUAUAUGUUACAUUUCUAUGAAAUUAUUCUUACAUGAAUUGCUUACUAUGUUAUAUCUUGGCAUGGCAUACAUAUGAAUAUGAUUAUGUGAAGCAUGAUUUGAAUUGAUAUAUUUACAUAUAUAUUUAUGUAUAUGCUUAUAUCUUGAUUAUGGGAAAAAUUAUACAUGUUUUACAGCGAGGGGUUAGAUAUGUUGAUAAAUAAAAUGAUUUUGUAAAACAUUUGUUUUUGCCCACUCAUGUUUUCUAUUUUGCGCCUCUCCAUGUUUUAGGUAAGUUUUCAGUUGCUGGGUGCGAGGACUUCGGCGGUUCUAACCUAUCAAAAUAAUUGUAGAACAUCUUAUGGUACUGUAUAAUUAGUACUUGUCCUACUGGACUGCACCUAGACUUUCUAUGCUUUGAUUAGGAGUAUUUACUUUUGUAUUUUACUUCUAACACUUCCUGUUUAAUAAUGCACUCCAGUAGUUUCAGUUUUAAUUAUUCGUAUAUUUCUUAUCUUAAUUGCUUUCGCAUUGUGCACAUGGCUACGUCACCCCCACGUGACGACCAAUAUGCCUUGAUCUCGAUCGGGGUGUGUCAAUAUCAUGAAACAAAACCCAGGUCUAAAUAUUUGAUAAUUUAUAAUUUCAAGAAAGCCAAUAAGCCUACUGUGGACGCCGCAGCGGCCUAGCGCCGUUUUCCAAAAUCCUCUCUUACUUGGGUAAACAAUUAAGACUUUUGGUUCAGUUUUUAUUAUGCCCAAUUUUGUAUUUAAACCUUAAAAAAAUUUAAACUAAUUUGGGGUUACUGAAAUAGGCAUGCUUGAUGAGUGUUGCAGAGCUGCCAUCCCUGAAUCAGAAGAUGUUCAGAAGGAAGAAAAAGAAGAAGAAGAAAGUCGUGGAAUAUCAAAAGCUUUUAGCUUGUGAAUGUAUGCUUUUCCCAACUCACCUUUUGCUUUUGUUGCACUGAAUUGGUAGAUUGGCUUCAAAAACAUAUAUAUGUGAUUUUUCGUGUAACUAUUUUGUUUAUACCAUAUUUAGGGCCUCGUACUUAGACCUCGUAUAAAUACUCGGGGGACUCAAAUGUAAUUAUGCAAUAAGGAAAGGGGCAAAUAUGUAAUAAGUGAGGAAUAUAAUACAAUCAGUGUGUACGUAGCCCAAACCUUGGGAAGAAAAGGUGUCGGCGACACUCUCAAGAAGCCUCGCGAACGCAAGCUUUACUACCCUGCUCUCAAGCUCUCGGAAGCUAUGGAUAGAAGAGGAAUGAACAACACAGUCGGUGAUCAGGCAAUACAUCUUGUUCUUGUUGCUAAAGUCUGGCAUAUUCCUACUGCAGAAAGUUAUUUCAUUGAUCUUCUUGAAUCAGCGAAGACCCAUCUUUGUUACGGGGCCCUGCUCAACUGUGGCCGCCAAAGCAUCAUCUUCCCCACCAUUUCCCAUCUCUAGUACUACCACCUCAUCCAGACGAUUCCCCACUCAUCCACUGCUUUUGUCGGCAAAAGCAGAAAGGGAAACAAAGAACUUGAGUGCCAUCUGCACUCUGCAAAGUAAAAGUAAAAGUUAAAAAAAAAGGGAAGUAAUGAUGGUGCCAGUCAGAUGCACCGAAAGCACUUACAGCUAUGAAUGUCAAUACCAAGAAUGACUGCUGGGUCCGGUCAAUGAUGAAAGUACAAAUACAUCCUCCUAGCGCUAGUCAGGUACUACUUCCAGAUGGGAGACGAUUGGCCUAUCAAGAACAAGGAGUCCCAUCAAAUAACACUCGAUUUUUGUGGUGAUGGCAUUAUGAGCGUGACCCAUUGAGCAGAGGGUCAGAUUUAUUUUUUGAAUGAUGUAAAUUAUUUUUCUUAUCUUUCGGAGACAUCUGUAUACACCCCGUCAGAGGGUAAUAAAAUAAAAAUAAAAAAAGGCAAGCCCAAAAUAAUAGGCUACAAGCCCAAAGUAAUGGGCUGCAAUGUCAUGUGGAGGGCAAACGCCCAUAUGCCCAAAAAUGUCAAACCCUCUAUUAUCACCAACCAGGUGAUCAAAAGUACGCCCAGUACUUCAAAAUUAUUCGGCAACCCACCGCUAUUACCACCAACCCGGUGAUGAAAUGUACAACCCGUACUCUAAUAUCCUUUGGCACCUGGCCACUCAUACUACCAACCAGGUGAAGAAGGAACUUAUCUUCAUGAGCAUGAGCACUACUCAUGUCAAUCAUACAUAAACAUUCAUGAGUAUCACUUAUAUCAAUCAUACAUAAACAUUCAUAAGCAUCACUCAUGUCAACAUUCAUGAGCAUCACUCAUGACAACAUCCAUGAGCAUCACUCAUGUCAAUCAACAUAAACAUUCAUGAGCAUCACUCAUGUCAAUCAGCUUCAAAAGCUUCAUUUACAGAACUCUAGCUUCAAAGCUUCACUUGCAAAGCUUCACCUACAAAGCUUCAGUGCGGGGUAUACAAAUACCGUCUCCGAACAACCGCCACUUCGGCCCAUACAUGGAUUCAAUUUGAAGUCUUCAGCCAACAGACUCUAUUGACCGAAGACUUGGGGGACUACACUAUACACCAUAUAUGGGGCCUCAACUGGGCCUCAUGAAAAAUAUACACCAUAUAUUGGGCCUCAACUGGGCCUCAUGAAAAAUACUCGAGGGACUUAGCCCAUUACUUAUGUAUGAAUGGGCGAGCCCUUAUUCUAUAAAAGGGACUCAUUCACCAUCAUUAGAGAGUAUUGCCGCCAGCUGAGCAACCGCCUCGCCGCGAGCAUCAACUCUAGCACAUUAUUCAUGUAUUGAGGAGCGAGCCCUUAUUCUAUAAAAAGGACUCUCUCACAUUCGUUAGAGAACAUCGCCGUCAGCUGAGCAACCACCUCGCCACGAGUAUCACUCAUAACCCAUUAUUCAUGUACUGAGGAGCGAUCCUUUAUUUUAUAAAAGGGACUCCCUCACCAUCAUUAGAGAGCAUCAACUCUAGCCCAUCAUCUAUGUAUUGAGGAGUGAGCCCUUAUUCUAUAAAAGGGACUCCAUCACCUUCAAACGCCACAAGCCGAGCCAACCAAGGCAACAUAAGCCACAAGCCGAGCAGUCUCGUAGCAUGUGCUACUUCUGGUUGAGCAUCAUUUCAGAUUGAGCACCGCCUUACAUCGAACAUCAGUUCAAGACAACAUCUAAUUACUUCGGCCCACACAUGGACUGAAUUUCAAGUCUCCAGCCAAAAGACUCUCUUGACUGAAGACUUGGGGGACUACUGUUUAUACCAUAUUUAGGGCCUCGUACUUAGACCUCGUAUAAAUACUCGGGGGACUCAAAUGUAAUUAUGCAAUAAGGGAAGGGGCAAAUAUGUAAUAAGUGAAGAGUCAUUAUUCUAUAAAAGGACUCCUCAUCCUCACAAUUAGGGGGAGGCUCAUUCUCACCCUCAGAUGCCAUUUCUGAAGCCUCUCUCACCCUCUCUUAGAGCUCUCUCUCUCUCCCUCACUUCUCAGAGAAAUAUAAUACAAUCAGUGUGGACGUAGCCCAAACCUUGGGGUGAACCACGAUAACCCUUGUGUCAUUUACAUUUUAUGCAGAUUCACGGUCGGAUUUACGUUGUUCCAAGACAUCCAGUUUUGUGCAUCAACAUAUUUCUUUACAUAAUUACCAAUUGAAGCUGAUUUGAGAUCGUGUAACAUUUCCUUGCCCAACCAAAGAUCGCUGUCGCUCAGAGCUGCAUUUCAUGAAACAAGUUUAUCUCCUGCCAAUUUUGUGUACCCACUUUUUAUUCAUGAGGGUUGGUGCUUGCUUGCAAGGCAAGUUGGUGCUAUUAAGUUUUGCGGUUUUACAAUCUGUUCAUGCUUAAACCUCUUUCAAUUUUUCAAUUCUAUGUAAACCUUGCAGGUCAGGACGGCACCCCUAUCUAGGCAAUGUCAGGAUGUCUAGGCUUGGGUGGAGACGUGGACUUAUGGAAGAGGUGAAGUAGCUUAGCUCUAUCUCAUUAGCUCUUAUCUGUUCUAUUAAUGCUAAGAUCAAUGGUAAAAAGUUAUAUUGAUUUUAUAAUCAAAGAUACAUAUAUUAUAAAAACAGAGGGUAUAUCAUUAAUUUCUUGAUGUAAACAACUUCCUAAGUUGGCUCCAUCAUCUUUCUCCUCACUUUCGAUCGGGUACCGCCUCUACUUACCGCGUUUUGUCGUGGAUCUUUGGGAGGGUGUGUAGAGCUUUAGCUCGGGUGUCUGCACCACCACCUUUGUUGGCCCUUGCUGGUCACUCCCGUUGUUGCUCGCCCUUGUUAGCGAUGUUGCCUGUGGGUUCUUUCUACUUGCAUGCUUGUUUGUUCUCUUGGGGGCUAUUCCAGUGCUGGUUUUGGGAUGAUGAUGUGACCUCUGUCCUCACCACUUCUGGGUUUCUUGAUGGUUUAAUCUUAAGUAAUCGUGGCGGGUGGCCGAUUGGGAUGUGGUUCUGUCGGCGAUGGGUUCUGUGUGGUUUGGUUGUUUGUCUUGGGCUCCAAGGUUGGUCUUGGGCCUUUGUUUUCUGUGUGUUGUGGCCCUUUUUCUUUUGUUGUGUUCAUAUGGUUUUGGGCCUUUGUUGUACUUCUCUAGUUGGUAAUGAAUUUUAUCCUUUGUCCCAAAAAAAAAAAAAACAAUGAUAAUUUGAAGAACCAUUUAAAGUAUUUUGGUAAUUAGCAUACUUAAGCUUAAAUGUGAUAUAUCUGUUUAGUAUUUUUUUGGAUAAAUUACACUUUCAUACCUCAGGUUUGGGGUCUAUUUCAAUUCAUUACAAUAUCUUUAAAACAUUUCACUUUCAUACCUUAAGUACUAUUUUAUUUCAAAAUAAUACAUCCGUUACAUUUUCCAUCCAUUAAUCUGUUAAAUGCUGACGUGGCUGCCACAUAUAUGCCACGUGGCUGCCAAAUGUCUGCCACGUGGCAAAUAAAAUAAUUUUUUAAUUUUUUUUUAAAAACCUGAAUUUUCUCAACAAAAAAAAAUUGAAACACACAUCUGCAAGAAGAAGAAGAAGAGGGAGGAAGAAAGAAAAAGAAAAAAAAAACUGUCCCUCAUCCCCCAGCGACCCAGAAGAAGAAGAAGAAAAAGAAGGAGGAAGAAAAAAAAGAAAAAGAAACCCACAUCUGCAAGAAGAAGAAGAAGAAGAAGAAGAAGAGGGAGGAAGAAAGAAAAAGAAAAAAAAUGUCCCUCCUCCCCCCAACGACCCAGAAGAGGAAGGAAAAAAAAAAAUAGAAACGCACAUCUGCAAGAAGAAGAAGAGGGAGGAAGAAAGAAAAAGAAAAAGAAAUGUCCCUCCUCCCCCUAGCGACCCAGAAAAGGAAGAAAAAAAAAUAGAAACCCACAUCUGCAAGAAGAAGAAGAAGAAGAAGAAGAAGAAGAAGAAGAGGGAGGAAGGGAGCUGGGUCGGGGUGGGGGGAGGGUCGCUGGGCUGGGGGGGACGGAGGGAGGGUCGCUGGGCAGGGGGGCCGGAAGGAGGAUCACUGGGCUGGAGGGAGGACGGGAGGAGGGUCACCGGGCGGGGGGAGGGUCGCCGGGGGGGGGUUCUUCUUUUUUCUUCUUCUGGUCACUGGGGGGAAGGACAAAUUUUUUUUUUCUUUUCCUCCUUCUGGUCGCUGGUUGCAGAUGUGGGUUUCAUUUAUUUAUUUAUUAUUUUUUUUGUUGAGAAAAUUCAGGUUUAAAAAAAAAGAAAAUUAAAUUUUUUUUGCCACGUGGCAGACAUUUGGCAGCCAUGUGGCACAAAUGUGGCAGCCACGUCAGCAUUUAACAGAUUAAUGGAUGGAAAAUCUAACAGAUGUAUUAUAUUGAAAUAAAAUAGUACUUAAGGUAUGAAAGUGAAAUGUUUUAAAGUUGUUGUAUGGGAUUGUAAUAAACCUUAAAAUCUGAGGGGCUACUGUGUAAUUUACCCUAUUUUUUUAUACAGUGAUAAUACUCAAGUAUAAUUUACAUCAUAUAUCUUUUGAAGUACAUAAAACUAUGAAGAAAAAUCCCUAAUUAAUCUGAUUAUGGGGAUUUUGUUUUAUAUCAAAAUAUUGCAGCAGAAGUCACACUUUGAAGAGUUCACGCUGCACAUAAAGAUGAUGAAAUGCUACAUGAGGUAUACUUUUGUUCUGCAAUAUGACCCUUUUUAUUUUAUUUUUAAGACAGAUAAGGUUGAAAAGAAAUUAUUUAGUAUUUUUGUAUCAGUUUUGAGUGCCUAUUUUGGCUUCCAUAUUUGGUCUGUACAUGUGAGGUAUAGAGUGUUCAAUAUGUAUUUGGUUUCUAUAUUGUUAAUGGAUCUAUAGCAAGUCCGCUUCCCUCAGUGUCCCUGGUAACAAAAUUUAUGGCGUGUCUUCGUUCUUUCAAUUAUUUGAAAGCUUCCCUGCUCUGCACUCUUGUACAAAGACUUAUGGUGUUUCAUCAGUUCCAUUUGGUGGUUGGGUGGGAAAUGAAAUUAAAACUCUGCAUUUCAAAUGGUCUAAACCAAAUUGUAUCAAAUGUGAAGCAAAGGGCAAGAGGUGUAGAUUGAAGAACAAUGGCACUAAGAGCGAAAUUGAACUUGUUGACAGGAGGAAACCAAGUAAGGAUAACGCGUCUAAAUCUUAUUUCGCAUUUAUUAUGCUCAUGAUGUUUUUAAUGAUGAUGAUCGGUAUAAUGUGCUACAUGCUGUGAUUUGUCUGCUUUCAUGUAAUUAGCGGCUUAUAUUUAUGGUAACGAUAUUGAUUAAUUUCGAGAAAUGACAUUCUAAUUUUCGCAACUGUCUUUUGCAGGCAAAACAAAGACGUUUGCAAGGGUGAGUUGUGUAUGACUGUUGUUUAGCUUUGUUUCAUCUCCAAAGGACAUUGGAGAAUAAAUGUUUACUCAUGGAUAGUAUCUAUCUAUUUGCAGGAGCAACCCUACGUUCAUUUGUUCUGUUACUGCUGGUCAUUGCAACAUAUCACGCCUAUAACGCUGAAAAAGAGAAUCGAAUGAAAAUUGAUAAGUUUUCGGCGGACUACAAAGAUCAUAAGCCAAGCAUAUAUUCCUAUGCAGAUAUUAAGAGGAUUACAAAUCAAUUCAAGUACAAUUGGGCCAAGGAGCAUACGAAGCUGUUUUUUUUUUUUUUUUUCUGAAUGCUUUGUUGCCAUGAAAGUACUUAACAUUUCCAAGGGCAACGGGGAAGAGCUUGUGAAUGAAGUGGGAACAAUGGGUCAUAUUCACAAUGUCAAUGUGGUUCGCUUGGUUGGUUUUUGUGCUGAUGGAUUUAGAUGAGCUCUGGUUUAUGAGUUCUUUCUCAAUGGUUGGCAUAAGUUGCAAGAUAUUGCUAUUAGCAUAGCCAAAGGAAUCAAGGAUGUGAUCUACAAAUCCUCCAUUUCGAUAUCAAACCACAUAAUGUUUUGCUCGACCAAAAAUUCCUGCCAAAAAUCUCUGAUUUUGUUCUGGCCAAGUUAUGUUCCAAGGAUCAAUCAAUGUCAAUGACUUAAGCGAGAGGGACCAUGAGAUACAUUGCACCUGAAGUGUUUUCCAGGAAUUUCAGAAAUUUGUCUUACAAGGCAGAUGUCUUGAAUGUUGCUGCUUGAGAUGGUAGGAGGAAAGAAGAAUGUUGGUUCAACCACAGACGACACGACAAAUGAAAUCUACUAUCCAAAAUGGAUUUAUAAUCUUCUAGAGGAAGGAAAUGAACAACGGAUCCAUAUUGAAGAAGAAUGUUAUGGUAAGAUUCCAAAGCAACUUGUAAUUUUAGGGCUCUGGUACAUCGAGUGACACUCGGUGGAUCAUCCUACCAUGAAAACGGUGGUGCGGAUGUAGGAGGAGGAGAAAACUUAAUGAUGCAAGCAACCCUAAAAGCCUCCUACAGUUAGAAGCAAUUGUUGAAUUAAAGUAACAUGUAUAUAUAUACGCACCAACACAAGUCAAUUCUGAGAUGAAUCCAAGCCAAACAAUUACAAACGGCAGUUAUUCACCAAAUCACUUUAAAGCAAAAAUUUAAUUAAUAAUACAUUACUGCACUUCCUUAACAAUUUGACUAUCACCUAGCUGACAAUGAACACGUUAGUUCCGCGUUAGAACAUAUUGGGUUCAAUUCAUUGUCUUGAAUAUCACCCGCAGUCACAGGCGCUUCUUGUGGGCAUAGAGAAGGCUUGAGAGGCAUCUGCAGACAUUCAACAUCUCCUCCAAGCAUUUCGACAACUUUGGACAUCGAAGGACGAUCACUUGGUUUCAUUUGAAUACACCAUAAGGCUGUUAUAACCAUCUUUCUUAUUACUUUCUUUUCCUCCUCAGUAAUAUUGUUCAUUUCCAAGUCAUUUCCCACAAUAUACUGAUCGUAUACCCACAACGGGAAGUAGAUUUGGCUUGAAUGCUCUACCAUUGCAUUCAAAUUCUUCCUUCUGCUUGCCAUUUCCAUCAACAACAUUCCAAAACUAUAGACAUCGGCCUUGUAUGAGACACCUCCAAUAUUUUUGUAGAACAACUCGGGAGCAAUAUAUCCCAUUGUACCCCGUGCUGCCGUCAAAGAGACAAUGCUAUUAUCUACAGGAUACAGUUUUGCAAGCCCAAAGUCAGAAAUCUUUGCUUUAAAGUUCUCAUCAAGAAGGAUGUUAUGAGGUUUGAUGUCGAAAUGUAGAAUUUGCAUUUCGCAACCUUGAUGUAGAUAUUCGAUCCCUUGAGCCACUCCAAGAGAAAUCUCGUACAUAGUCUUGAUAGUUAAAGGAAGACUUCCUUCUUUAGAAUAAAUGUAUUUAUCAAGAGAACCAUUAGGCAUGAAGUCAUAUACUAGAGCACGCUUUGAUCCCUCAACACAAUAUCCAACAAGUUGCACCACAUUGGCAUGGUGAAUCCUUCCGAUUGUAGCUAUUUCGCUAAUGAAAUCUUGGUCAUCAGCUUUGGGCUUGCCCAAAACUUUAACUGCUACAAAUCGGCCACUACGUAGCUUUCCUUUAAAUACAGAGCCAAAGCCACCUUUGCCCAACCUGUCCUUAAACUUGCGAGUCAUUUUCUUGAUGUCCGAGUAAGAGUACCUUAUAAGCAUGAAGUUGUUAUUGCAUUGCAGAAAAUCUUCUAUUGUGCCAUGCAUUGAUAAAUGUCUUCUGCGCCAUGUGUAGAUUAAAAAUGCAGUCACAACUAGAACUCCAAAAACAAAUCUGGCUAGGAAAAAUAACCCUGCAUGCAUUGACAAUAAUAUGUUAGAUCCACUGCGUAUUACUUUUUCUUCCCUUUCUUUCCAAAUUACUUUGUCCUUGAUAUAAUUAAAGAGAGAGAAUGGGAAAUCUACAUAUGCGGAUAAUACAAUCUCGUAUUAGUUCUUACCGAUGCAUAUGAGUAUAAACCAUCCACGUACUGCAACAAAAUUAAUUGACAAUGAGUUUGAAAAGUGCAUAAAGUGAAAAAUAAAAAAAUAAAAAAAAUCAAAGGGUGCCUUUAUUGACACCCAAAUUUUAGUUAGUUUCACUCAACUAAAAAAUUUUUGUCAUCAAACUUUUUAAUUUGCCGUCGAAAUUGAGUUCACCCAACCCACCAAGCAGCAAGCACCACUCACCAAAAAACACGAACAACACACACCCACAACUCACCAAUAGAAAGAGAAUGAACACACAGACCCACAAAGAGCUGGCAUCGACGCUGUUGAUGAGGGAGGGACCAGAGGAUGGUGUAGUUUCGUCGGGUGCGCGGUAGUGGUUUUGUCUGUUCAUUUUCUCUUUCUUUUGGUAUGUGGAGGCUGGUGUGGAUUUGGGCGAACUUGAAAAUGAGGGGAAACUAUGAAGUUUGACAAAAUGUUUUAGUUAGGUGAACUUAACUAAAAUUUGGGUGCUAAUGAAGGUACCCAAAAUCAAAAGACUUGAGCGUAUGGACUAAUUAAAUGAAGCUCUUACUGAUUUCUAUUUCUUCCAACUUGCCAGCUGCAAUAGAUACAUACCACGGAAAAGUGAGCAAAGACAUACAGUUACUAUGUUUAAGAAGUACAGAUAGAUCACACAAAAAUAAAAGAAUCUUUUGGAGAGAAACUUCUUACACAAUGAGAUGCGUCCAUGACCUACAGUGAAAAAUGUGACGAAGAAUACACAACAUUAGCAAUAGCUCAUCUAAUCUUCAGAAUUUAAAAAAUCAAGUUUGUCGAUCGAAAACUUGUAAAUAAAACAAAAGGAGAACCCCUUACGGAUUUGGUCCCAUUUAUAUUCGAUUAGGUCCCAAAGAUAUUCGAUUAGGUUCCAUAUAUAUUGAAAGAAACCUACAAGAACAAAGAAAGAACAAGACCACAUGCAUUAGCAUAACCAGUGUGAGGUGUAUAAGUCGUUAGAAAAUAAAUUUAAAAUUCUAGUUUUGUCAAUACAUUGAUUAAUAUAUAUAUGUAUUAUUUUUUCUAAAAAUUUAAUCGUCCCCCUCCAAACUCAUUUUUCUAGCCUCUAGCCCAUCAUAUAUAUAUUUAUCUGAAUAAAAUUCAAUGAUUAGGAUCCAACUGAGAAACUUACCAAAUUAAGUUUGUGUGUCCAUUUUUAUUUGUUUUAAUGGAUCAUGUGCAUUGAAUUUGGCAAGGUUUUGUAGCCAUGAAAUAUGGUUCUAGAUGGAGGAAUUAAUUUGGAUUUUUUUUUUAAUUUCGACAACAAAUUUCAAUUUGAAACAAUAUCUAUUGUUUAAUUUUAUGAAAAUAAUUUACCUACUAUGAAAAUUAAUUUUAUGAAAACAAUAUCUAUUGUUUAAUUUUAUACCUACAUGAUAAUUACAUGAAAAUAGUUAACCUAAUAUGAAAAUUAAUUUUUUGAAAACAAUAUAUAUUGUUUAAUUUUAUGAAGAUAAUUUACCUACUGUAUAAUUACGUGAAAAAAUUUACCUACUAAGAAAAUUAAUUUUUUGAAAACAAUAUAUAUUGUUUAAUUUUAUGAAGAUAAUUUACCUACUGUAUAAUUAUAUGAAAACUAAUGUGCCUACUUUUUUAAUUUGUAACAAAACCAAUUUACCUACUUUUUAUGGUAUUUAGUAUACAUAAAUGUAGAAUAUAUGUUCAUAUAUGGGGUUUAGGUGCCUUCCUAUAUAUGACCCUUGAUUUUACUUUAUUUACAGCACUGCAAUCAAAUGUGUGGCUGAGUUGGAGGGUAUUAUUAAAAGUUAGGAGGAUAAUUUUGUCCAAGGGCUGGGGGCGAAUUAGCAUACAGAGGGCGAUGGGAGCCAUGCCCAUUGCACAGAGAGAGAGAGGGACAGAAAAGGAGGGGAUGGGGGAUUUGAUGGAUGGUCACAGAGAGAGAUUGGGUGUGGGAUGUGAGGGGAGAUUACAGAGAGAUAAAUAAAAGGGAGGGAUCGGGGGAUUUGAGGGAUGGUCAGAGAGAAAUAGUGAGGGAGAGGAUGGGGGGCUGAUUUUCGGUUCCUCCUUCCAGAUUUGUUCCGUAAAACCUGUUGGGUACAAUUCAAUUUCCUCCCCCUUUCCCCUGAACGAAAAAUUCGAAACCUACAACUCAAAACUCACUCAUUUGACCCCCCUCCUUGGCUUUCCACCUUACUCAUCUCCUGGUGGUUCUUUCUCUCCAUACGAUUCGAUUUCGUUGAGUUCUUCGUUGCCCUCAUGAUUUCCCAAUUUGAUUUUUUGGGCGUCCUUAGUCGUCGUUUUUAUCUGGGUUUACUGCAUUGUUGCUUUUAGUUUCUGGAUUUUUAUUUUUUUUGGCGGUUUGAUGAAUCGUGGUUAAUAAUUUCACACCAUGGGAUUUUCGCACUUCUGAUGGAAUUGAGCGAGGGGAUUCGAGGUGGGGUUUUACUGAUAAUUUGUCUUCAUUCAAAUGAAUGGUUAAAAUUUAUGAGUAUUAACAAAUUUUGUAAAUUAUUCUUAUGCAUUUUAUUGAGGGAUAUGGGGAUCUAAUCGAUUUCUCUCUGUAGUGGGAUUGAAAUUGGGACUUUGUGGUACUCUCUCUCGCUCUUCCUCUCUCAUAUGUGUAUGAAGUGAGUUCUGAAUUGAGUUCUUUCAAGGGAACCCAUCAACGGUUUGCUUGCUGGGGGAAUUCGGAGACUACCAGUGUAUGAUUUAGUUAUCAUUUAUUUUUUUACUUAAAUUUAUCCAUAAAUAAUAUGUGGGUAAAUUUAUACUAAACAAUUGUGAUAAGCCAGCCAAUAUGCCAUACGACUUUGAAAGCAUUGAUUUUAUGUAUAGUUUGCAUUUUUGCAUUGUGAAUGUUGAAUUUUGUGUUUAAUUUGGAUUUUUGUGUUUGAAUUUGUAGCAUGAUCUUCCACUGCAGCAUCCAAAUUUUGCAUUUGUAAAUUGUCAAAGAAAAACGAAGUAUGAGGAAAUUAUAGGAGAUUGUGUCGGCUUUGGCCAUGAAGGGUAUCAGCAGUUUACCGCCCCCCCCCCAACACAGGUGAUUAAUCGUUUUUUAGUCUGUGUUCUAUAUGGAUGAGAAAGUGAUUGAAAAAUAUGAUUUUUUUUAUUUGUUGGUUGAUUUUGUAAGGACGAUGUAUUAAUUUUUUUUUUUGGGAGCAGCUUCUCCAUAAAUGGGGGUAAGGCUAGCCGACAUUCACCUCUCCCAGACCCUGCGUAAAGCGUGAGCCUUGUGCACUGGGUACGACCUUGUGUAUUGGGUAUUGUGUAGAACCAGCAAUGCAAGAGCAGGAUCUGAUCAGUCACGCCCGAAAAGGGGUUUGUUUCUCAAAUCACAUUCAUUAGUUAGAUUAUUAAUGUGCGUUGGAAGGCUCUUCAAUAUGAUUUUGUAAUUUCUCAUUUCCGGCAUUCUCUUUUUGGUUUUUGGAGUAUGUAUGUGAUUUGUACUUGAUUAUAGAAUAAAAAUUAAUAAAACACGAGAUGCAGCAAUUAAUUUGCAUCCUUAUGACAACACAUAUAUGAAAGUGCAUUCAAAUUCAAUAUGCGAAUGUGUGACAGGAUUUGCCUGCCUGCUGCUGCUGGUAUGCUUGCUGUUGUUUCUCGCGUUGUUAAUUUUUUGUGUGUGUUGAUUUGAUUAACAAUUCAAGCGUAUCUCUUUUCUUUUUUUUUUUUUUUUUUUUUUUGUGUUGGUUAGCAGCCAGUUUUAUUUAUUGGAUUUUUUAUUUGGAUUUAUGGCACUGAGGGUAUAGGUGAACAGUGAAGCGGUUUGUAUGGGCUCAUGUAACUUAAACAUGUAGUGAGAAGCGAGGAUUUUGUUUUAGUGUUUAUGAUAAUCUGAAGGAAUAUGUAGAUACUAUGAUUUGAGGUUGCUUUCUUAAACCAUGAUAAAGCAGUCCAAGUAAUUUUAACAACAACAACAACAACAACAACAACAACAAAGCCUUUUCCCACUAAGUGGGGUCGGCUAUAUGAAUCCUAGAACGCCAUUGCGCUCGGUUUUGUGCCAUGUCCUCCGUUAGAUCCAAGUACUCUAAGUCUUUUCUUAGAGUCUCUUCCAAAGUUUUCCUAGGUCUUCCUCUACCCCUUCGGCCCUGAACCUCUGUCCAGUAGUGACAUCUUCAAACCGGAGCGUCAGUAGGCCUUCUUUGCACAUGUCCAAAUCACCGGAACCGAUUUUCUCUCAUCUCUCCUUCAAUUUUGGCUACUCCUACUUUACCUCGGAUAUCCUCAUUCCCAAUCUUAUCCUUUCUCGUGUGCCCACACAUCCCACGAAGCAUCCUCAUCUCCGCCACACCCAUUUUUUGUACGUGUUGAUGGUUCACCGCCCAACAUUCUGUGCCAUACAACAUCGCUGGCCUUAUUGCCGUCCUAUAAAAUUUUCCCUUGAACUUCAGUGACCUAUGACGGUCACACAACACGCCGGAUGCACUCUUACACUUCAUCCAUCCAGCUUGUAUUCUAUGGUUGAGAUCUCCAUCUAAUUCUCCGUUCUCUUGCACGAUAGAUCUUAGGUAGCGAAAACGGUCGCUUUUUGUGAUCUUCGCUAGAUUGCUCUGGUCAUUAGUAUGGAUAAGUAUAUAAAUGGAUAGAGAUAGGAAAGCGAACACAAGAUGUACGUGGUUCACCCAGAUUGGCUACGUCCACGGAAUAGAGGAGUUCUCAUUAAUUGUGAAGGGUUUACACAAGUACAUAGGUUCAAGCUCUCCUUUAGUGAGUACAAGUGAAUGAUUUAGUACAAAAGACAUUAGGAAAUAUUGUGGGAGAAUGAUCUCGUAAUCACAAAACUUCUAAGUAUCGGAGUGUGGUAUCGUCUUGACGUGCCUUAUCUGUCUCAUAGGUAGAUGGGGCAUCUUCUCUAGAAGUACUCUUCCUCCAUCCAGGGGUGGUAUCUUUAACUGGUGGAGAUGCACAAGGUAAUGUAUCAAUUUCACUUGAAGCUUACUUGUAGUUUCAGGCUUGGUCAAGCGCGAUACAAACCAUGUAGUAGGAGUCCCCCAAGUCGCUGAGCUAGGGGAUCUGCUGAAAGAGGUGACAGGCAAGGUAAGCAAUCAUAGCUCCGGCUGAUUGUUCACAGUCUCCCUAUCUUGCAGGCAGCAUGAAGGAUAAAGAGAAGAAAAUGAGAAGAGAUGAUAUGGGAUACUUUUGCUUUUGAAGAAGUAACUUUCCACAGGCUUAUUCUUGAACUGAGCUGGAGGGUUUUCUGGUUUCCUCCAGAGUAUAAGGCCGACUGAAGAAUUUGAGGAUCAAAACAAGUCCAUCAAAUCUAGAGUACGUUCAACCCUGCUGAUAUGGGAUACUUUUGCUUUGACAGAGUAAUGGAUGUAUCGGCACGUGUGCUGUUACGCUUGUCUCCACAUGCUUCCUUGUAUCCUUUUCCCUUGCCCUAUCUGUUCCUCAGGUAGAUGCAGUAUCUUCCCUGGAAGCAUAAGAUGUUGAAGAUGACUACUCGAGAGCAAUAUCAGGUAAGUAAUCAGGUAAGGGGUUCCAGGCAGUCAGUUCCUGGCUGGAAGCUUGAUUCCAAGUACUGACUGAUUGCUCUCUUUCUCCUUGCCUUGCAGGUAAGAAUAAGGUCAAAGGAAAAGACAGGGAAGAAGCAUGAUAUGGGAUACUCUUGCUUUUAACCCUGAUGAUAUGAGAUAUUCUUGCUCUAGUAUAGCUUGUUUGCAGAGGGAUUAUCGGGGGGAAAGAAAGCUGAAUAUUUCGAAAGGCUUCGUUGGGAGUGCCCUCUUAGAUAUGAGGAAGGGUUGAGCAUUUUUGCAGGUCUGCCUGUCCGUUGAGGAUGGAGGUCGACAUAUAUAGGAGUCUCCUUAACAACAAGUAGUCAUGCUAUUCCUUUACCCUACUUGGUCAUAGCACGGUAGUGGGAGCUGUCAGCUUCACAUGUUUUAACGCUGUCAAAGCACUUUGAAAAAGUGGUUUGUGGUAUCUGGAAAGCUGAUGUUGCGUGUGAAGAUUACAAACAGCUUUAUCCAAGGGGAUCCGGCUCUUGUAGUUGGGAAAGUGUUGCCUCUUCGGUUUUCGAACAAGCAAUCCUAUCGGGUAUCUGGCUCUCGAGAUUCGGAGAACGAUGCCGCUUCGAUUUUUGAGAAAGCAAUCAUGCUGGGGGUCUGGCUCUUGAGAUUCGGAGAGCGAUGUCUCUUCGAUUUUUGAGAAAGUAAUCAAGUUGGGAGUCUGGCUCUCGAGAUUCGGAGGGCGGUGCCUCUUCGAUUUUGGAGCAAGCAAUUUUGUUGGGAGUGUUUUCUCGAAUGUGAGUAAAGGUUGGGCAUGUUUGCUAGUCUACCUUGCCACGAAGCACAGAGGUUGACACACAUGGACUUUCCAAUUAUCCAGCAAUGGUACUGUUCCUUUACCCUCUUCGAUUUUUGAGAAAGUAGUCAUGUUGGGAGUCUGGCUCUCGAGAUUCGGAGGACAGUGCCUCUUCGAUUUUGGAGCAAGCAAUCUUGUUGGGAGUGUUUUCUCGAAUGUGAUUAAAGGUUGGGCAUGUUUGCUAGUCUACCUUGCCACGAAGCACAGAGGUUGACACACAGGGACUUUCCAAUUAUCCAGCAGUGGUACUGUUCCUUUACCCUUGUGGGUAAUAAUAUGGUAGCUAGACCUUCAAAAUUUAUGUGUCUAAACUUUGUUAGUGUUGUUUCUUUGCUAUUCUUUUACUCUUCUUGGUCAAAGCGAUGUAGUGGGAGCUGCAAGCUUCACGUGUUCAACUUUGGCAGAGAACUUUGGCAAAGUUAUCUGUGGUACCCAUGAGCUACUGUUGCGUGUGGGAAGUGGGUGAUUGAACAGUAAGACUCAUGUGCUUUCUACUUCACCAGAAGUCUUCGACCGAAUGCCCAUAAUUUCCGCAAAGCUGAGUGUGCGUGUGACAGGUGCUGACAAGGCUGGAAAAGUAGGUGCCUCUUCGAUUUCUGAGAUCGGCCCUCGUGGUCUCUGAGCAGCCCAGUUUUUUGAGAAAGCAAGCGCCUCUUCGAUUUCUGAGAUCGGCUUUCGUGGUCUUUGCGCAGCCCAGCUUUUGAGAAAGCAAACGCCUCUUCGAUUUCUGAGAUCGACCCUCGUGGUAUCUGAGCAGCCUUGCUUUUGAGAAAGCAAACGCCUCUUCGAUUUCUGAGCAGGCGCCUCUUCGAUUUCUGAAGCUCCGUCGAGUGCAGAUUUUUAUAGGGGCUGGCAUUAAGUUCCAAAGCACACUUGAAUCUCCACCAGUAGAAGCUCCAUUCUUGAACUUCUAAGAUCUUGAUUUGUCCGACCUCUUUUCUCUUCAACACCUUUGAAAAUGUCUGGCCCCUCCGACCGUCGUUUUGACUUGAACCUUGUUGAAGAGGCAGCCCCGCCUUCUCCUGACAACAUAUGGCGUCCAUCAUUCGUCUCCCCUACUGGUCCUCUUACCGUUGGGGAUUCCGUGAUGAAGAAUGAUAUGACCGCUGCGGUGGUGGCCAGGAACCUUCUCACUCCCAAAGAUAACAGACUACUUUCCAAACGGUAUGAUGAGUUAGCUGUUAAGGAUUCUCUGGCUCUCAGUGUUCAGUGUGCAGGUUCUGUGUCUAAUAUGGCCCAACGCCUAUUUGCUCGAACCCGCCAAGUUGAAUCAUUGGCGGCUGAAGUGAUGAGUCUCAAACAGGAGAUUAGAGGGCUCAAGCAUGAGAAUAAACAGUUGCACCGGCUCGCACAUGACUAUGCUACAAACAUGAAGAGGAAACUUGACCAGAUGAAGGAAUCUGAUGGUCAGGUUUUACUUGAUCAUCAAAGAUUUGUGGGUUUAUUCCAAAGGCAUUUAUUGCCUUCGUCUUCUGGGGCUGUACCGCGUAAUGAAGCUCCAAAUGAUCAACCUCUGAUGCCUCCUCCUUCUAGGGUUCUGUCCAGUACUGAGGCUUCGAAUGAUCCCCCUCCGGUGCCUUCUCUUUCUGGGGCUCUACCGACUGCUGAGACUUCUCCUAAGCAACCUUUGUGAAGGCUCCGUCUUGUUUGUUUAUUUUGAGUUAUGUAUAUGUACAUAUAUGUAGCUUAUCGGGGAUAUCAAUAAAUAAGCUUUCCUUCAUUUCAACGUAUUGUGUUAAAUACACCAAAGCCUUCUUCGCUAAGUUCUUUGAAUUUUCUUUUGUUGAAGCUUUGUGAGUGGAGCAUGUAGGUUGAGGUAGUGUUCCCUUAAUUUCCUGAGUGAGGAAAACUUCUCGGUUGGAGACUUGGAAAAUCCAAGUCACUGAGUGGGAUCGGCUAUAUGAAUCUUAGAACGCCAUUGUGCUCGGUCCUGUGUCAUGUCCUUCGUUAGAUCCAAGUACUCUAAGUCUUUUCUUAGAGUCUCUUCCAAAGUUUUCCUAGGUCUUCCUCUACCCCUUCGGCCCUGAACCUCUGUCCCAUAGUCGCAUCUUCUAAUCGGAGCGUCAGUAGGCCUUCUUUGCACAUUCCAAACCACCGUAACCGAUUUUCUCUCAUCUUUCCUUCAAUUUCGGCUACUCCUACUUUACCCCGGAUAUCCUCAUUCCUAAUCUUAUCCUUUCUCGUGUGCCCACACAUCCAACGAAGCAUCCUCAUCUCCGCUACACCCAUUUUGUGUACGUGUUGAUGCUUCACCGCCCAACAUUAUGUGCCAUACAGCAUCGCCGACCUUAUUGCCGUCCUAUAAAAUUUUCCCUUGAGCUUCAGUGGCAUACGGCGGUCACACAACACGCCGGAUGCACUCUUCCACUUCAUCCAUCCAGCUUGUAUUCUAUGGUUGAGAUCUCCAUCUAAUUCUCCGUUCUUUUGCAAGAUAGAUCCUAGGUAACGAAAACGGUCGCUCUUUUGCAAGAUAGUCCAAGUAAUUUUAACAUAGAUAUAAUUUUUUAUGCAAUGCAUGAGUAUAUGAAAUGUUAAGACGAUAAUAUAUCAUGUGAUUUAAAAUUCAAAGAGAGACAAUGAACCAUGUUUGAUAUUUUGUUUGUCUUGUUUCGUUUAAAUUUGGGCGUUUUUCAGUUGGAUUCAUGGGUUUUGUUUAAGAUAUCAUUUUUGGUUUAGCCAACGCAAAAGUUUACAUCUUUUCUAUGUUGGAUUCAUGGGGUUUUCUUAAGCUUUCAAGUUUUCAGUUUUUGUCAAGAAAUUUAAUCUAGGUUUCAUUUAUUUUUCAAACUAGACACUUUUGUGAAGAUUUUCUUUAUAAUUCAGUAAAUGAUUGCUCCUUUACCUGUAAAUUUGACUUAUGUAAAUUUCCAGGUUGUUCAAAACCCGCAGGGAAGCGCGGGCAAUUUUUCUAGUUAAAUGUCUAAAAGAAACGUAUAAGAGAUUUGGUGGCAUGAUUUUGUAAAUGAACACAAAUUCAGGGACAUCUUUUAUCCAACAUGACAUCAUAUUUAAAAUUUGGGUUUUAUUUAGAAGUUAUAAUAUUUAUGUGGCCUUUUGUCUAGAGUUUAAGAGUUGCCAGGAUUGGAUGAAAAUUUGCUGAGUGUUGGACAAAUGAUGCAGCAUGGAUAUUUCCUUCUAUUUGGAUUGAUGAGGUUGCUCUAUUUGAAGAUAAGAUGCUGGAAAAUCAUGUGGUUACAGUACAAAUGACUGGGAAUAGAUGUUUCCCUCUCAUAAUGGAAGAUAAGAAAUUCAAUGUGUUGAAAGCUGCUUUGGAAGACGGUGCUUAAGAUUGGCACAUAAGACUUGGACAAUUGAAUUUUCAAAGCCUGUAGUUACCUGUUAGUCGGGAAAUGGUACUAUGAAUGCCAAAGUUGAAGCAAACACAAACAGUAUGUGAAGGUUGUGCGGUGGGAACGCAUCACAGAGAAGCCUGUAGCAGGGAGAUAAUGUGGAGAGCAAGUCAUCCACUAGAGUUGAUACACUCUGAUAUUUGUGCAGGUUACAACAUCGGGUGGAAACAAGUAUUGCUUGACUUUCAUAGAUGAUUGUACAAGAAGGUAUUGGUUGUAUCUUCUGAAGCACAAGUCUAAAGUGUUCACUGUGUUUAAACAUUUCAAAGCCAUGGUUAAGCUACAAUGUGGAUACCAGAUCAAAAGAUUGAGGAGUGACAACGGUGCAAUAUCUAUUUACUAGACAUCCUUUGGGAUUCUUCCAUAUUAGAACAAGGAUUCUAUUCUAAAAAGGCCCCCUCUCCCACGGUAUAAAUACACCCAUCUAGGGUUCAUCUACGGUAGCACAAUCUAAACACUUUGAAUUCUCUUGCCCACUGCUUGAGUCUAAAAUCAUUCAUUAACUUAACUAACCUCCCCCCCCCACCCCCCCCAACCAAAGGUUUGCUUACGAUUGUUUCACUAUUUUGCAGGUUGUUCCAGACUACAUGAAUUCGUGCUCGACCGCCUCUUACGGCUCCAAACUAAUUAAUAAGUUUAAGGGGGAUAUGAUGAAGAAGUAUGAGAUGACUGAUCUUGGCUUGCUUUAUCAUUUUCUUGGUAUGUGAAUAGUUCAAACAGAGCAAAAGUAUCUUUAUCAAUCAAAAGAAGUACACUCUUGCACUUUUAGACAAAUUUAGUUUUGAAGAUUGCAAGCCUCUCACUAUAACACUUGCAGUGAAUACGAAGUUGAAAGGAGAAGAUGGUGGUGCUCUUGUAGAUAAAGCUCUUUAUAGGUAGAUUGUUGGUAGUCUGUUAUAGUUGAUAGCUACAAGGCCUAACAUUGUGUUUGAUGCGAUCUUACUCUCAAAAUUCAUGCACAGUCCUUCAAAGAAACACUUUGGUAUUGCAAAAUGGGUGCUAAGAUACAUACAAGGAACCUUGGAUUAUGCCAUUGAAUAUUUGAAAUCCAAGGAAGCAAUAUUAUGCUAAUAGGCUAUUGUGGCUGUGAUUGGAGUAGGGAUGAAAAUGAUUUGAAAAGUACUCCUGGAUAUGCAUUUUCAUUUGGCAGUGGAAUCUGCUCAUGGGCUUCAUCGAAACAACACAGUGUAGUAUUGUCUACUGCAGGUGCUGAGUAUGUUAGUGCCUCUGAAGCUAUUACUCAAGAGAUUUGGCUUUGAUUUAUAAUGGAAGACUUUGCUGAAUUACAAACUUAGGCUACUUGAUUGCAUUGUGACAACACAUCUGCCAUUGUCAUGACAAAAACCAUGUGUUUCAUGAAAGAUCCAAGCACAUAAAUAGCAGGUAUCACUUCUUUAGAGAAUCACUACAAAACAAUAUCAUCAAUCUAUUGUAUUGCAGAUCAGAGGAACAAUUGGCAGACAUCUUCAUCACAGCAUUGUCAAAUAAUCUAUUCUUCUAUCUCAGAAACAUGCUAGGGAUCAAAUCAGCAACAAUCUUAGAAGUGAGUGUUAAUGAUUAAGCAUUGGUGUUGAUUCCUUAGACUGCAAGCUUAGAAGGUAUGGACUGCACAGAGAGAAGGAGGGGGAGAGAGCGCGGAGAGAGGAAGAUGACGGAAGGGUGGGUCUUUUGAACAGAGACCUUGCAGACAAAGGGUGAGGGAGGGAUGGGACUGAUCUUAACGAAAUUACAGGUUUGUUUUCAAUUUCUUAUUUACAUGUUUUCAUAUUCAAUGGCAAUUUGGUUUCUUUUAUUUCAAAUUUAACUUCGAAAAUGUCUUUUAAAUUUAGGUAUUUUGUCUUCAACUCUAUCGCUUCCAUGCUAAUUAAGGUAGAUUAAAAAGUAGGUUUUUUAUUCAAAAUGGUCCUUGAGAUUUGCAUCAUUCAUAAGUUUGGUUUUUAAGAUUUAAAAUCAAUAGAAGUAGUCCUUGAGAUUGUCCACCAUCCAUGAUUUUGGUUCUUCCGCUGAAGCUUUUGGCCGGAAGUUUGAGCAAUUUUCAAAGUUUCGUAACUCAAUCGUUUUUUAACCAAAUUCGACUCAUAAUAUAUCAAAAUAAAGAUAGGAAAGUGUAGAAUAAGAUUAUAUCUAUUUGGAAGCCCAAUUAUUGCCGAAGAUGGUCAGAAAAUAGCCUCAAAGUUGACUGGUCCGAGGGAAAACUGGAACCGGAAAUUCGCUGAAAACUGGGUAAACUUUAAACGUUCAUAACUUCUUCAAUACUCAACAAAAUCAAGUGAUUCAAAAACGAAAAUCAUACUUCUCAACGAGAAGAAGAGAAUGGUACCUUUUUCAACAGCUAACUUGCCGUGGUUUGGUCGGAAAACGGCUCGAAAGUGGCUGUUGAAAAACAAGUCAACAACUUUCAAGCCGUUUUCUGGCCAAACCACGGUGAUUUAGCUAUUGAAAAAGGGUACCAUUCUCUUCUUCUCGUCGUGAAAUAUGAUUUUUGUUUUUGAAUCGCUUAAUUUCGUUGAGUAUUGAAGAAGUUAUGAACGUUUAAAGUUUACCCAGUUUUCCCUCAGACCAGUCAAUAUUGAGGCUAUUUUCCGACCAUCUUCAGCAACCAUUGAGCUUCCAAAUAGAUAUAAUCUUAUUCUAUAUUUUCCUAUCUUCAUUUUGAUUUAUUACGGGUCGAAUUUGGUUAAGAAAUGAUUGAGUUACGAAGCUUUGAAAAUUAUCCAAACUUCCGGCCAAAAGCUUCAGCGGAAGGACCAAAAUCAUGGAUGGUGGACAAUCUCAAGGACUACUUCUAUUGAUUUUAAAUCUCAGGGACCAAACUUAUGAUGAUGCAAAUCUUAGGGAUCAUUUUAAAUAAAAAGCCUAAAAAGAAUUGCAACAGAAACAACUAAAAACCAAGUUGGCCUGCAGGGUUAUCUGUAUGUGUAUUAUAUUGAUAAUUCUAGGACUUAUCAUAUCAUGUUCCUAACUUGAUGCUGUGGGCAUCUUCUCCUAUUAAUAACAGUGGCACCUUAAUUUGAUCAACCAAAUUUGGUGAAGCACCAGACAAACAGAAACCCAUGCAUACAGAGCCAACUGCACUGAAGCAUGAAUUUAAAAAAAAUAAUGUACAUGAUUAUUAUUCCACUACUUAAUUUGUUCCAACUCACCACAAAUUUCUCUUCAUUAUGGUUGUUAGGACAAUAGAUUAGGUUGCAAGAUAAAUUUCCAAAGUUCUACUAGCUUAGGUUUUCAGAAAUCAAACAUGCAAAGUUUCUAUGCAUGUUUUGAAAUUGGUUUUAGGAAGUGGGCUUCCAAGUCUUAACAAUAAUGGACACUAUGAAAUCAGGGUAACCAAUUGGGGAUAACUAUAUACUUCAAAAACGCAUAUUUUACACACACACACACACAUUCUGUCAAGAAUCAGAUUUGAUUGGCACAGAUGAAGAUGAACAAUAAGAAUGAACAAUAAGAGGCUAGCUAGGAGCUGAGUAAAUUGAAUCGAUUACCAUGUUGUAAUUGGCCUAGCUACUCUCUAGUUAUUCUUCAAGGUUGUAUAUAAUAUAUCUACCUAUAUAAUCUCACCCUGUUUCCCCCUUUUGUCUCUCUGUGCACUCAGAAAACAAGCCACCCUAAUUCAAGUUCUCUAUCUUCAGAUCACCAGCAAUAACCUCAUCAAGGUCCUAGGAGGAAUCACGAGGAUUCACAGCCGAAUUGGUAUGUACUUAUGCUUUUGCAAAAAGCCCUUUUCUUGCCAUUUUUCUGUUUUAGAAUUGGGACCAAAAUGAUUAUGAGUGAUUUUGAAAAACACCGAGAAAAAAUGGCUAUCAAGCAAGCAGGCUGUGAGUAUUCAAAAUAUAAUUUUCAGUCAAAUAAAAUAUUGGCACCACAAGCUUUUAAGUAGGGAGGGAUGUUUGAUUAUAUAUUUAAAUUAAGCAAAGAAUCUUGCAUAAGAAAACGAUCCAAGUUGAAGUAAACCAAAUAUAUGGUGCAACAACUGUUAGUUUGGUCAGUCUUCAUCACACUAAUCAAAUGGGCCCGAGGGGUUGAUUUUCACAGUAACCACUUACUUUUUAGUAUGUUCCGGAGUAUUUUAGUGUUUAACUAUUUUUUACAUUUUUGAGGUUCGGAGUGAUUUUUAAAACGAGUCAUGAAUUUUAGUUUUCUAAUAUUACACUCUCUAUGCUUCAGAUUUUCCACAUUUUGACUUGGACUUCUUUUUUUCUUUGUUCUGUUUGAAGAACUUAGUACUUUUGAUUUCAGUAGCAAAAUAAUUUGAACAGGAUGAGAGAGAGAGAGAGAGAGAGAGAGAGAGAAAUAAAGCAUCUACUUGAUCUCUGUACUUUCUCUUAUUCUUAUGUGUGGUUAAGGUUGCAUAUCUGAAUUUUAACCUAUCAUCAUGUAAGUAUUAUAGUGUGUUUUAGAAGCGGGAGUGUGUGAAAUGUGUUGAUGCUGAUGAUGGUGUCGAAUUUGGGGACACUUCCCAGCUAGCAGAGCAAGUAACAGAGAGCUUUUUCCAACUCAAAUUUAAUGAUUCAAGCUGCUUAAGACUUGCAUAACAUUUCCAAGUUGUAGUCGAUGUGCCUGAGUUCUUGAGUACUUCAGUCUUCACUAAUGAAUGUAACACCAUUAAGACUUGGAAUGUCUUUGGGGGGUACGAAAUAACAUUGCUCAUUUCGUAUUUUAUGGGUUCGAAUUUUUUGUCGAGUACGUGAUUCUUGCAAAAGAGUUGUAAAUAUCGUUGUAAAUAUGUGUAAGUAGAGUUGUAAACCCUACCAUUGAACACUUAAUAUAGUUGUACAUAUAUAUAGAAAUUUUUACAUGCUUUGUACAGUUUUAAACACCCACAACAUCGUGCGGGCACACUUUCGCUAGUAUUUUAUUGUACUAGUGCACUCAAAUGUCUGUAGCUAAAUAUGUUAUUAUGAAUUAGUGGAACAUAAGAAAAUAUGGAAAAACAUAAGUGUACCAAAAAGUUCGUACUUAAACAUAGUAUACUAAAUUAGUGUACCGGUAUGUUCGUGCCUACCCUAAACUAGUAUACCGAAAUGUCCAUACCUAAACAUGUUAUUCUAAACUAGUGUACUAAGAUGUUUGUACCUAAAUACAUUGUAAUAAAUUAAUGGCACAUAAGAAAAUAUGCAAAAACAUAGGUGUGCCGAAAAGCCUCUACCAAAAUAUUUUCUUAUAUAAGAUAAUUACAAUAAAUUGGUGAUGCAAAAUGUCAACAAAUAAAAGCUAAUUCAUUUGAAUUCAAAUGAGUAUUAAAAUUUAAUUCAUAUCAGCAUAAAAUUAUAAAUAGAAAAAAAGAAAGACAUUGAAUGCAUAUGCUGCCAUUAAAUAGAGUUUAGGAACUAAAAUCAAUUUUUUAAUCUUGUGUGAGACAUUUUUCUAAAUUUUAUUUUAUUUAAGGAUUAAAAAUAUAGUUUUCUAUUACUUAUAUUUCUGACUACAUAUGGUUAUUACUUUAGUCGAGAGUUGACGCACCUGGAAUGGUGUCUGGAAAACAUGAUGACCCAUAAUUCCAGCCUUGGCAGCGUAUUCCAGGCCAGAAAUGAAGCUCAAAGCCAUACACGAGAGCAUUGUGUAUGUCUUUAUAAGAGACGUUGCUGUAGUCCUUAACGGAGUAGUCAAAGUGACCCAAAUUCAUCCAAGCCCUCCCCUCUGCACUGCAACCCUCAUCCAAUUCCCAUACUUCCAUGUACUCCCCGACCAUGACGUAGCUAUACGUUUUUGGUUGGCUCGAAGAAGUAGAACUUGUAUUAUUCAAGCAUGGAGCAGUGUCCACGUACAGAGAAGAAUUCAAUGGAUUCGAACAUUUCAAGUAAUAUAUAGAUGUUAAAUUCCCUCGUGAAUAAUGUUCAUAAUAAUUUAAAGUAUUGUGCGGAAAAUUUCGAGGCAUGGAAGAGCAAUUGGUGUUCACAAGGCCAGGAUCUAGAAGUCGGAUUGUUUUGUCGUUGUAGUUGAUUGCCUGGACGUAGUAUUUUCCGGACGAAGGUAGGUAUAGUACUGUAAUGUUGCUCUCACAGGACAGAGUAUACCUUACGUCGCCACAAUAUUUUGGAUCAUCGUUCAGUCGAAAAGGAUAGCUUAUGUUGUGGACAUGGCCGCAGGAUGAAGUACAGGACUUGGCACUGGUGUCGUCCUUAGCGUUACAAGUUCCACUGCAGAAGCUAAGAAGAAGAAAGGCUAAACUUAAGGUGAAGGACCUGCUUCCACUAAUUUCCAUUGGAGAGAGAGAGAGAGAGAGAGAGAGGUGUACUAGUUCACACCAAGUAGUCAUAUAAUAUAGGAGGGGUUAAGGCACCUUCCGUGAAAUUGCAGUUGAAAUAUCCUAGAGAAAAAUCGGUCGUCAAUGGUAUCCUAGAGAAAAGUCGGUCGAUGGUGUUUGAUACGGUCAGUCAACGGUGAAGACAGUUGUGAAACAAUAAUGCUCUCCCCCGCUCUCUUUAUUAUAUAUGUCUUUCAUUAAUGGAGGAUACUGCGUAAUUACUACGCAUAUAUCUCUGCUUAAUCACACAAAACAAAAAAUACCAUGCGCCUAUAGAAAAUUUGACUUUUUCCCUAAAAAUUAAUUUUCUUUCACCUCCAACCCAUCAUAUAUAUUCUAUAAGAUAAGAAUAACCCAUUGACUAGCUCCAAUUAAGCAAGUUUCUUAACUUGCUUGAUGACUCUGAUCAUGUGUAAUUUUGGGGAAUUGGAUGCUAUUUUGUCUCUACUUUAUUAGGCUUUUUCAAAUGGUUCUUUCACAUUUUUCAAAUGGUUUACAAUCUCUCUUCAUUUUUAUUUUUUGCAAGAAUGUAUUUAGUUUUGGUUUACAAUUUCACCUAGCCAACCAAAUGUCGUAAAUACACUUGUGACUCGUUCAUCACUGAUUCAUGAAAAUGUGUCCUACUAUAUAAGCAACAAAUUCAAAACCAGGUUGAAAACUUAUGUAUGUAACUAAGGACUCAUGAGAAUUGUAACCAUUGUACCUAAGUACCAUAUGUGCUCGAUAGCUUGAGGUGUUUGUCUGACUACGUAAGUACAUUGGAGGUUUGUUGGAUUGCUUGGGUUUUCACUUGAAACCAGUGGCUGGCCAAUAUGCAUCACUUUUCCACAUAACUUUUAUGCAAAAAUCUUUCCUUAAGUUUUUACAUCACAGUUCUUGACUAGCUUCAAUAGACAUAUUGUUGUCAUGCUUGCUUAGUUAUGAUCCUUCAAAGUUUCUAUGUUCUCAGUUUCCCCUUCAAAUCGAUAUGUUUUGUAACUUCUUCUUUUUUUCUUUCUUCAGUACUUUUAUAUACUGAGAGCGAUAAUUCCGCGACUUGGUGAGAUUGGAAUGAUAAAUUAUUAGUGAGCCUUCACUUUUUCUUGAACAAUAAUCACUUUAGGAUGAGUUACAUUACCAACUAGAGAGAUUGGUCUAGUCACAUCUCUUCAGAAUGUUGAAAUAAGUUUCAAGUUUAAUCCAUAGCUCAACCAAAAUAAAUAAGAUAUUGUUGAUUGCACAUUGAUUUAUAUGAGAAAAUAAAUAAACUACUAGUAAGGAAACUGUUGGCAAGUGUUGAAUUGUUCUGGUAUUUAAGGUCUUCUUUUUCAACCUGCUGUACUUCUAGUGUAAACUUUCCUUCUUUUUUAAUGUAGAUUAGCAUAGAAUAUCGCUUAUGAUUAGAAGAAGAAAAAAGAAAAAUAAAAAGGAAACUAUUGAAUUUUGUUCAAAGUCUAGGUCGUAGUUCUUCUCUAGAUUAGAAGAAGCAGUUUUUUUUUUUUUAAGCAUAGCAAUACCAAACUGGCCCCUAAACCAACAUAAGACAAGUGAAUAAAAAACUACCACAUUGAAUUCCUAAGUAGGUAGCAUUUUACACAUCGGAGAUGCUCUUAUACUAUCCUUUUUAUAAUUUUAUAUUAUUCUUGAGUGGCAUCACUCAUCUUUGGUGCAUCCAAUGGAACCCAGUGGAUCUAGAUCGUCCAUCCAUUAAAGUGGAGGUUCAGAUGUUGGAAGGAGAGAACUUAACCAUGCCUCCAAAUUCUUGUGCCUAUACAGGUCUUGCACGAACUAAUACAAGUCCGCCUGCAGUGCCGGUAUAUUAGACUUCCAUGACUAUCGUGGUCUUUGGGGUUAACUGAAGAAUUUCCGAGCGAAUGGAACCACAUGUAACACAGCUAAGCCUAAUUGAUAGCGAUUUUACCACUUUUAAAACAAAGGGUUAAACCAUAGAAAAUUCUUGCAAGAGACAAGUGUUUGUAGUAUAGAAUGGCUCAAGCAAGGUCGAUCUCCUCAGGGACUGAUAUAAACAAUUUACGAGUUUUUGUGUAUUUAACUUAUUUAACUCUAAAAAUUACACUAAUUUGACGAAACUAAAUAUUACUGGAUGUGACUUAAACAAUUAUCUAAAAUGGGAAUUGGUUUAUAGGAAUAAUGAUUCAACUAAACAAAACAAGUAAAUGAGAAAAUUCAAGAUAAAAUAAAUGAUUGAAGAAAAAUAGAUUGACAAUAUGCUAGAGUUCAACCUUUACCAACAACACUCAUACGUAGCUUUUCCAAUUGCUUAAAUAAUUGAAAACACACAUGCUUUGAAAGUUGGAUUUUCCUUGUGUAUGUUUUACUUGUGACAUUCAAGCUAAAACGCAUACCACUACAUGCAACUUAUCCAUGACAUUUGGAUUAAAUAUAAACAUGAGUGAUUCAUUAAUCUUGGUGAAAAUCCUUUUGUUAAACCAUGUAAUCCCUAAGAGCAUGAUAUUUACCUUAGGAGAGUACAAUCCUCAAUCACAAGAAGCACAACCAAUUUUAACGUGACAUUCGUUCAAAAUUGCAUCCGAUAACUUUUCUAAGCAUCCUAAUGGUGAUCAAGCAUCAAGGUACAUAGAUAGUUUAAUUCAGUGAUUGAAAAUAUCAAAGCAAGCAUGUAACAACACUUAAGCAAUUGAAAAAUAAAUCUACGUAUUCAUGUUGCCGCUCAUGGCCUCACUCUAGCAUAAUAAUUUAGUUACACAUAAUUAAUUUGAUACAUAAGAAAUUAUUCAUAAAAGAAAAUAAAUAACUAAGAAAGAAGACACCCGUUUCUUUUCUCCCGUCGCAAGUCUAUGUGAAAUUUUCCGUGUGCACUGCCUUCUCCUGCUCCUCCCUCUGUUUCCGUGCUCUGCCUGCACUCCUGCUUUGCUCCCUCUGUUUCCGCACCUCUCCUCUAUUCCCUGUGCUUCUGCUUCUGUCCUUCUGCUGCUCGCCAGUCCGAGUCAACUGCUUCUUAUUCUUUUAUUUUCUUUUCAGUCCUGCGCACUCCACUUCCUUCCCACUCUUCUCUGUUUUUUAUUUGUUUAUUUUUUUCUUUUCUUUCCACACCUCUUUGUCUGCCAGUCUGUCUUUUUUAUUUGUUUCUUUUUCUUUUCGUCACUGCCUCAAUGCUCUCUCCACUCUGUCAGAAUUCUUCCAUGCUGUUUUUCCACUUUGUUUCCUGCCAUCCUCUCUGCUCCUUUGUCCGUGUCUUCACUUUUCUUCCUUUUAAUUGAAAUUAAUCCUAAAACACAUUUAACUGCACAAUAACACAAGGUAAGGUAAAAUGUCAUAAUUAUAACACAAAAACAUCACAAAGACUUUAAAAAUAGAUGGUAUAAAUGUAUGAAAUAUAUGAAUGAUCACUAAUCGACAAUGAUUCAUACAGCGACAGAUGAGACGCGCAAAGCAGCUUCAAAGAAAGCACUAUACUGCUUUAGUUAUGUGCUAAGUUGCAUGCAUGGACGCUUCAAUACACUAGCGUGUGACGUAUCAGACACAAAAACAAACACAAAACUUCACAGACACUCUUGGACACUUGUCCAACACUCCACAUGGCAUAUCGUUGACUUUGACUGACUGACACUUUAGGGAUACACGUAGGACAUUGUUAAAAAAACACGCCAGUGGUAAUUGUAAAAUUAAAUUAAAAUUUUAGGGUAAAAUUGAAAUAUGAAAAAAUUGUCUUAGGGUAAUAUGAAAAACGGAUUUAGAGGUAAAUGUAAUGUUGUAUUUUGUUUGGAUGAAGAAAUUUAAUAAUACUAAGGAAUUUUAAAAUGAAAUUUUAUUUUCUAGAAUUUCUGAAUUUUCUUAUUUGGUUAACUUAAAAUGAACAAGAGAAUUUGAAUACGGAAUUUAUUUAUUUAUUUUUAAACUCUCACUCAUAGAAAUUUAAAAAUGACACAUAUUUACAUGAAAUUUAAAUUUGGGGAUUCGAGGUCUCAAAUUCCAAGUUUUUUUUUCUUGCAAAGAUUCUAAAUUUCUAUUUUUAUGAAUCGAAAAAAAAGAAAUUGGUUUGUGCCAAUUUAUAAAUUCUAACGUUUGUCAACUUAUAUUGUUGCCAUACUUGCUUAGUUAUGAUCUUUCAAAGUUUUGAGCUCUCAGUUUCCCAUUCAAAUCGAUAUGUUUUGUAACAUUCUUUUUUUUCUUUAGUACCUUUGCAUUUUAAGAGCUUUAAUUGCGCUACGUGAUGAGAUUGUAAUGGAAUUAUUAGUGAGAAUUUCUUGAACAAUAGUCACUUUAGGAUGACUAGUACAAAGAUGUCAAAGUGAAGUGGGCCCUUACCAUUGACCUGCUAGGGGCACAGCCAUCAUUAUUGACCCCGAAAAGUAUGCAUGCCAAUAAAAAAUAAUUUAGUCAAAUUCUUUCUUUUUUUCAAAUAAGUAACUCAAUUUCUAAUAAACUCGAAUUUGCUGACUAGUGGGUUCUUACCUAAAUUAUAUCUUGUUUUGUCUAUGACAUUUUGAACUCCAUAAGCAAAUUUAUUGUUUCAUCUAGUUAUAUAUCUUUACACAUUAGUCACUUAAAAGAGUGUUAUAACAUUAAUUACGUAAAUGAGUGUUGUACAAACAAAAACAAAAGAAUAUCUCUUAGAUUAUUGGUGCAAAUAUCAUAUAUCAUCACAUGAUUCACCCCAAAUGUUUCGUUUUCAAUGCCAAGAGUAAUGAUGAUUACAUGUGUGUCAUUGUUAGAGGCUACCAACAGAGAGCAUUUGUGUAGUGAUUUUGUAUGUUUGCACGAGAUUUGACUUCUCAACCAAACUUUGAGCACCGAAUAGGAUGCUGGUUCGAUUAUGUACUUUUUUAUGCCCUGAGAACUGAGAACUAUGAGUUUCUCUGUGUUCUGCUUGCCUAAAAGCAUACAUUAACAACCUUGGGAUCACCUAAAUUCUAUUAAUAUAGCAUGAUAUCAAUUUAUCAAUAAAAUUAUUAAUUUACAAAGAUUAUUUCUUUUCUUGUGCAUCCAAUGGAACCUAGUGAUCUAGAUCGUCCAUCCAGUAAAGUGGUGGUUCAGAUGUUGAAAGGAGAGAACUUAACCAUGCCUCCCAAUUCUUGUGCCUCCACAUGUCUUGCACGAAAGAAUAAAAGUCCUCCUGCAGUCCCGGUACAUUAGGCUUCCAUGACUUCCGUGGCCUUUGGGGUUAACUCAAGAAUUUCCAAGCGAAUGGAACCACAUAUGAGUAUGACACAGCUAAUCCUAAUCGAUAAUGAUUACUACAGCGACAGAUGAGCGCAAAACAACUUUAAAGAAAGCACUGUUACUAGUACUUUGUUAUGUGCUAAGUUGCACGUGUGAACACUUCAAUACACUAGCGUUUUACGUAUCAAACUCAAAAACAAACACAACACUUAGUCGACACUCUUGGACACGUGUCCAACACUCCACGUGCCGUGUCGUGGACUUUGACUGAAGGACACUUCUUGGGCACUUUUAAAAUUGAAUUAAAAUUUUAGGGUAAAAUUGAAAUAAGGAAAAAAUUAUUUUAGGUAUAAUAUGAAAAAUAGAUUUAGAGAUAAUGCUAGAGAUCGCAAAUUUCUCUCUUGACGUAGGAGGCAGAUUGUCUGCCCUCCUGUUUGGAUGCCCUUCCCAUCCUCUUCUAUUUGUGCAGUCACGGUUAAGCCACGUCAACAUUUUAUAUUCUUAUUGCUUUUUGUCUUAUUAUCUCUAUAAAAAAAUUAAUAUAAAAUGUUGACGUGGCUUAACCGUGACCGUACAAAAUGGGAGGGGAUGAGGAUGACACCCAAACAGAGGGCAGACAAUCUGCCUCCCUUGACGUAAUAACAUGAAAAUUAUUGAUGACUUAAGUGUACGUGAAGCAGCUCUAGUCAAUACUCAAUUGCAAUUUGGCCCAUUUUUCUAAAGCGUGUUUGAAGCCGAGUCAUUGUUGGAAAUCUGCAAGUUCAGUUUCAUAAUUUCAUGCACUUCUACAUGAUAAGUUUCAAAAUUUCUUGCACAUCUACAAGAUUAAUUUCAUAAUUUUUUGCACUUCUGCAAUAGCAGUGUCAAAAGUUUUAGAAUUCUGCAAGGUUAGUUUCAAAAUUCCUACAUUUCUACACAAAUUUCAAAAUUUAUGCAUCAAAAUAAAACUCAAAACCUCAAAUCGAGUACUUUCAAAAUACUAAAAUCAAAACCAAAGAUCAAAAGUUUCAAUCAUUGUCAAGAAAAAAUAAAAAAUAAAAGGUUAUAGAGGACGGUGUCAUUCCACACUACAAGUUUAUACAAGUAUUGUCCUUUACUAAAAGGCUAUUUGAGGACUGAGGAUUUAGGGUUUAAGGUUUCGAAUGUAGGAGGGCAGUAAUCACGGACAACUUCUUCGAAAGAAAGGAGCAAAGAUCUAACUUCAUCCAGCAAGUGCCUUUCCAUACUCAAAUCCUCCUCAUGACAGGAGUCAGUACGAAUUUCACCUAGCCAACCAAAUGUCGUAAAUAAACUUGUGACUCGUUCAUUCACUGAUUCAUGAGAAUGUUUCCUACUAUAUAAGCAGCAAAUUCAAAACCAGGUUGAAAACUAAAUUAUGAAACAAGGGGCAACUUUUAUCUUGAGAAACCAUUUGAAAACUUAUGUUCUGUCGUAUGCAAGAAGGUAUUUCCUUUUGUGUUUUAAUUCUGCACUUAUUUUUAUUUUUUCCACAUAAAUAUAAUGUGCCUACAUUAUUUUUCUAUGGAUUAAUUUACCUACUUUAAUUAUUUUAUAUACCUACGUUAUUUUUUCUUGAAUCUUUUCACACUCGACCAAACUUCUCUUGGAAUUUUAAUUAGAUGAAACAAUAUGAAUCUUGAACAAAGCAACGCAAAACGUAAUACUGAGAGAUUGAAUCAUUGAAGUGACGUGGAGCUGGGUACUCAACACUCAUAGGAAAUCAAUCCAAGAAUGAAAACUCUCUUAUCACUUUCUAUCCAAAAUUUUGGAAUUAUGUGUGUGUUCCAACGAUUAUCCGAAGGAUUAUUCUUCUUUUAUUAAAUUUAUAAGGAAAAUUAGCAUGGGGCAUAAAUGUUGAACUGUGAAAUCCCGUCUCCGGAAUUUCACCAUUCAUUAUGUAUCUCGCAAUUUAAAUUCGUAUUUCACGUUUAUGUUAUUUUUAUUACUUAAUUUUAAUUCCGCAAAUUUUGAGCUUAAAUCGAAUAGUUAUCGGGUUUGAAUUUUCGUAAUUAAUCUUUAAGACUCGUUGACCUUUCGAGGUCACAAGUAACGUUUUCGAAUAGAUCUCGAAACCACGAGCACAUAGGCGAAAGCCGUUUGGGAGUCCGGGUUUUAACGAUAUAGUUACAGACAUUUGAAGUUGUUACUAAAUUAUAGAUUUUAAAUUUAUUUUGAAACUCCCACCUUGUGGGAAAAGGACUAAUGAGAUAAGAGAGUGAGGGACCAAUUAGAAAUGGGAGAGAAAAGGAGAACGAAUCAGGAAGGAAGGGAAAAAGAAAAAAGAAAAAAAAAGGAGGGACUGGAUGCUGCCAGGUGGCAGCGGGAGAGAGAAGAAGAUGAGGUUGCGGGAGAGAAAAGGAAGGGAAGAGUGACCAAUGGAAGGAGAGAGUAAGGAGGGGAAGGAGAGACCCAAAAAUGGGUCAUUUUUCACCCGCGAACUACCAUUUUUGACCUGGCCAUAUCUUCUUCAUCCGACUUCCGUUUUGGGUAAUCUUGGUGUCCAUAGAAAGCUCUUGACGAGUCCUACAUCCCUGUAGUGUUAGAUGUCUAUUUUUCCUUUCCAUUUUUCUAGGUCGAAGCCACAAAGUGCCUAGGGUUUUCCUGCGAGUUUUCUCAUUUUACAGUGAUUCCGACAAUGAUUACCGUCGAUCAUCACUACCAAUAGACUCCUCUCAACCCCUGGACCAAGGCCCAAGCAUUGGAUGAGGCGUCGAAGUUCGUUUUGGCGAUGAAUCGAGGAACACCCAUUUCUAGGGUCUCCAACGUGUUUGGAUGAAAUUGAGACACUUCUCGGCCGAAUUGGACUUGGCCACAGGUAUGAAAAUUGAUCCCCACACUGAGAUAUACUUGCCUGUAAAUUUGGUAAUUUUUUGAAAUUGUUGAAUUUUUCGGCGAGUCGGGGCGGCCGACCGCCACCGGCAGCAGUGCGGGCGGCGGUGCUUCGGCCAGUGGGCCGACGAUGCCUUUCUAAGUUCAAUUAGAUGUGCUGGAUUUGUAUUUGAUAUUCGUAUGACGUGGUUUGAUCGUUUGAACCUAAUUUCAUUAUGAUACAUUACUUGAUCAAAAUAUGAAUUGACGAUCCGACCGUCGGAUCGUGAUGAAAUUUUAGUAUGUUGUUCUAGAGGAAUAAUGUGGAUUUUAGAAGAUUACGGAUCCAAAAUCCAUGUGUAGAUCUUCUGGAUCAAAUUACGUAGAGAUGUGGACCCCACCGUUGAUCUGAAGUUGACUUUUGGUCAAUAGGUAUUGAAUCAUUUAUUUUACUAAAAUUAGUAUUGCUAGAGACUCAAUGAGGCUUUGCGGACUUGUCUUGGUGAGUGACUUUAAUAUAUGUGAUAUGGUUUUUACCCUGUUUUCUUAUAAGUAUCCUUUGUGGAUAUGACUUGGUUUUGUAAAUGUGUUUUCUGUUAAAAUGUGAUUUUAUAAUUGGUCAUCGAUCUAUUUUUAUUAAAUGUGAUUUGAUUUAUGGAUUGGAAAUAUUUGUGAAAAGGUGAAUUGAAGUGCAUAUUGAAAUAUUUAUGAAUUGUGUUAUAAAUAUACAUUUGAAAUGUUGAGAAAUGCGAGGGCUAGUAGGGGACCGUUACCCUAGUGUCACGGGGUUAGGUGACACCGAGUCUGCACCAUGUAGCAGUGGUACAUGGAUGGUCUUACUUGGUUAAUCCGCAAUGGGGGACCAUAUUAUUUAUGGAUCGCACUUGGUUAAUCCGCGAUGGGCGAUCCUUAUGGCCAUGUAUACUUAGGAGUGAUAAUGCUUAGUUAAUUCACGAUGGGUGAUCACUGCCUAACAGUUUUAUAGGUGUGACUUUGCUUGGUUAAUCUGCGAUGGGCGAUCCUUAUGGCCAUACAUACUUAGGGGUGAUCAUGCUUGGUUAAUCCGCAAUGGGUGAUCACUACCUAGCAGAUUCAUGGGAGUGACUCUGCUUGGUUAAUCUGCGAUUGGGGGUGGGGGGGGGGGCGCGGGGAGGGUCACUACCUACAUGGUUACUCAGGGGGUGGCUCUGCUUGGUUAAUUUGCCAUGGGGGGCCACUUCUUGUUUGGUUACUUAUGUAGGCUUCGGCCGAACUGCGUCCCUCUAGCCCUAGUUUUUAAUGUACAUAUGAACAAUGGUUUUUGAGAAUCUUGGGGGUUUGAAUGGGAAAAGCCGUUGGAUGUCUGGGUGAGUCCUUCGGAGUUGUUGAGACUUAACUAUAUUUUCAUAUUUACAAACUUAUAUUUGAGGUUUAUAAACUGUGAUCGAUGGUCUUUUCUUUUAUUGAUUAUCACAUACUUGUAUUAUUGUCACUCACCUGAGCUCCGCAACUUAUCCAAGUUCCGUUUGGCCGGUGCACCAUUCUCAUGAUGGAGGCACUGAUUUUACAUAUGAUAGGUUUGGGUAGAUUAUGAGACACCACUUGAUAUUUUGGUUCCAUUGAGUGGUCUGGAAUCCUUGCUCUUGCUCAUUCCCAUAAGGUUAGUCUAGAACCCUAGAUUCGAGUGAAUGAGAAUUACCCACAAUAGAUGAUAGGAUUUUUACCACCUGCACAAAAGGGUUAAAAACACCUAAAAUACUUGCAAGAGAAACAAGGUUAUCGUAGUAUAAUUGGCUCAAGUAAGGUCGUUCUCAACAAGGACUAAUUUAAAUAGAUUGACGUGAAAUCAAUUCCCAACUAAUUAAUUAAAACAAAGUCUUUGAAAAAGGUGAUUUAACGGCCUAAAUUAAGAAAAACGAAUUUAAUUAAAAAGAUUACUUAAAAACCCCAACUGGAAGGAGGAAGAAACAAUUUUUACAAUUCAAAGUGAGAAAGUACUAGGGUUCUGCCGUCACCCUAACAAUCCUAUGUAACUCUUCUAAAUUACUUAUGAACCAUACAUGCAUAUCUUGAAGGUUAGGUUUUCCUAGAGUAUAUCCUACCUGAAACCUCCAACAUAGAACAUAUAUCUAACAUGCAACUCGUCUGUUGUGUUCAGAUCGAAUGUGAACAUGCAAGACUAAUUAAGUUUUAUGAAAACCCUUUUGAAAAAACCAUAUAACCCUUAAAACGUGUCGUCCAUCCUAAGAGGUUGCACAUAUUAACCACAAGAAGCCUUAGUCAAUUUUAGGGACAGCCCUCUACCAAAAUUGCAUCAAAUUACUUUUCUAAUUAUCCUAAUGGUCGCGAAUCACUAAGAAAAAUAGAUAGUUUAAAGCACAGUGAUUAACAAUCCAAAACUUGCAUGCAUGAAUUCAUAAGCAAAUUAAAAGAGACUACAUAUUCUUGCUAAGGAUCAUGGCCUCACCCUAGCAAAAUAAAAUUAGUUACGCAUAUUCAUAAUUAAAAUCAACAUAAUUGUAUUAAACUAGAAAAAGAAUGAAAACACCUUGUAGAAUAAAAUUUGAAAAUCUCUAAACUUUGUCCCAAAUCUUCUCUCCAAAAAAUUGCAUGCGUUCUCUCUCUAAAAAAAACCCCUAGGUCUGCCAAAAGGCUUAUUUAUACUACUCUAAAUAAAAUCCUCCUAAUAAAAGGUCUUAGAAUAAGACUAGGAAACUAAAUAAAUUGAAAUAAAUUAGGAAACCUAAUCCUAAAUUGGCUUGGUAAAUUUGCCCAAAAUUCUGCACAGCCACGUUCUGGACCCAAAUCAGCUCCAAAACUAGCCCAAAAUUUAUGAACUUAAACUUUGACUAUUCUGAACACUUCUCCAGAAGGUCACGAACCCAUCUGAAGUCAUCUUAGGCUCCAAAAACACAGUUUAAGCCUAGAAACGUCAAUUUCCAACAACGCGCACUGCUCCUUCAUUUAAUCUCCAAAAAAUAACCGCUUGGUAGAAAUUGCUGAGAUUUUGACACGAACAAGCUAAGGAACAUACGAAAUCACUCCAAAAUUCGUCUGUUUGGUCAUGUUUUGCUCCAGAGGAAGUCAAAUUUCCUAUGUUGAAAAUAUAAAGCACAAUAUCAAAAUUCUAUCAAAAUAAUUAUCAAAUUAUACUAAGAAUAGGGUGAAACAUAUAAUAUAAUUUUGACUCAUCAAUAGACCUUGUGAAUAUAAAAUAGAUUUACCAUGUUAUUUCUCAUAAUCCAAGUAGGAAAUUAUUUAGAGUUCCUUGUUUAAAUUUGUGAAAUGAUAUGUUACUACAUUCAUUGAUUAACAUAAUUAAAUGCUAAGAUCAUGUAUCUUUGAUUCAUGAAUUGAUUGAUUGAUGGGAUUGCGGAAUGACCUUGGUUAUGGUUGUUAUUAUUAUGAUUAUUUUAGUUGAUCAAUGUGGCUUGAGAAUAAUAUGUGCUUCGUUGGUUAUUAGAUAUGUUACAUGCUGUGGAUGGAACUAUCAUGCUGAAAACAUGGAAUUUAUAUGAUGGAUGGAAUGAGAAUCUUGAAUGGCAUGUUGGUUUGUUUUGUAGCCUAAACUUGGUAAUGUCAUGCAUGUCAAGUUCUAAUAAUUGAUUACAGAAUGUUAUGUAUUCCUGUUAGAACGCACUAGAAUAAAUGUCUAAAUUAGUGAACGACGAACUAUGAAUGACUUGAUCCCUAAUGAGGGUAUGUAGGCAGUCUAAUGAGGAGGUUAGAUGCAGCCAUAAAGUAUACGAAAAAUUACUAUGCGAUUCGAUUCUCGAGUUGUGAUUUGCCAUAUCCCGGAGGUGGGGUAUGUUGAGAUACGGGUAUUUGGUGAAGUCAUGUGUUGAUUCUGAAUGUAUGUCGGGAUCGAAGCAUGACAUGAACGAAUAAAUUUUCCUCGACUUGGAAAGGGAUUGUGACUUUAACACGCUAUUUUUCUUCAUCUUAUGCAUCAUGUUUAUCAAAAGACAAAUAAUAUGACUUCACAUAAGGAGAGAAUAAGAGUAUUUUCCUUUGUAAAAAUCAACUUUUGUUUAAGAAGAUGUGGAUGCUGAUUGAUGCACCAUGUGAAUACGAAGAACGACCUUGGAGGGAGAUGAGAUAUUCAUUAGAAGCUAGCGAAAAAAAAAAAGUUAAUAAUGAUUUAGUCAAAAAGCAAGAAAGCCUCAUUUUCUAAGUGGUAGUCAUUAACACGAUACUUGAUAAGGAGAAAAGUCAUAGUAUUUUAUUUUACUGGGAACGAGGGUGCAAGGUCUCAAUUGGAAUAUGAGAUGAAGUUUCUACAUAACUAUAUAUGACAAAGAAAGAAGUCUAAGUUUGUAGGUGGUAGGGCUUUUAAUUGAUGUGAGUUUGUUGAGAAAUGAAGAUGAGCAUGAAUACUGACAUCGAUGCGAGUUAGUGAACACGAUGCUUCUCCUUUGGCCUUUUAAUAUGAUAAUACCGGAAAACAAGUUGUUACUAAUAUAUGUAUAUCUGAUUGGUGGACUAAGAUGUACAGUACGAUUUUUGAUAGAGUAAUGUUAUGGAAACUAAAUUUGUAGACUAGAUUUUGAAAACUAAAUGACAUGGAAUCCUUACUUAUGUGCUCAUUUCCGAUUAGUGACACAUCAUUUAGUUUGUAAAUUUAGUCUACAAAUUUAGUCUCCUUAACAUUACUUUUUUUGAUAACUAGCGAAGAUGAACACUCUCAUGACAAAAUUUAUCUAAAUAGACCUAAAGGCAAGACUUACGAACUUCAUAUGCAGUGGGAUAAAAUCUUAAACUAAUUUCCAUUUUUAUUUUGUAGUUGAUAGGGAUUUUACCACCUCCAAAGGUAGAGAUAAAAACACUUAAAAAUACUUGCAAGAGUACAAGGUUAUCGUAGUAUAGCAGCUCAAGCAAGGUCGUUCUCCACAGAGAUUGAAUGAAUAAUUUAUGUAAAUAUCAAAUCUUAAUUAAUUAUUUGAAAACAAAGUUUGGAAAAAGGUGAUUUUAUGACCUAAAAUAGUAAAAAUGAAUUUAAUUAAAAAUAAUUAAAUAAAUUGGCAAAGUAAAGAGAAUAAAAGAAAAUAGUUUUGAAAAUAAAUUUGAGCACUAUAGGCCGUUCUGCCAUCACCUUAACAAUUUUACGUAGUUCUUCCAAUUACUUAUGAAUUACGUAGUUCUUCAAGGUUGUAUAUAAUAUAACUACCUAUAUAAUCUUAGCCCGAGACAUGUAUAUAUAUAUAUAUAUAUAUAUAUAUAUAUAUAUAUAUAUAUAUAUAUAUAUAUAUAUAUAUACAUGUCCUGAGAAAUAUGAACAAUUAAAGGGUUUUCUAUUCAAAUUUACAUGGGUUUUGUUUGCAGCCUCGGAUCAUACAUGUGCAUUUAAUUUGGUUUUGUUUUCAGUUUCAAGAGACCCUGACAUUUUUCCUUUUAUGGGCCUUUUCUUUGCAGACUCGGACGCCCUUUGUGCUCAAGGUAGGGGCGGAGCCACCAAGGGACUAGGAUAGUCCCUGGCCCAUCCUGACUUCAUCUGAGGCAUGAACCUCAUGGAAGAAGAUGAAGCAAAUGACGUCGUUAAACUGUUUUGAUUUUAAAUCUUUUCGGCUGUCUAAUGCAACGAUAAGUUUGGCAGGGGAGUUUUAAAAGAGAUGUGCAAUUUUAAAUGGAAAAAGCAACCCCACUUCUGGUUCGAUUCUCUCACCUAACAGUAAUAUACACCCUAUAAUUUUCUAAAGCAACCCACCUUCUUUAUUUGCAGACCUCUCCCCCUUUUCCUUCUUUUUCUACUUCUUUGUAUUUUCUUUAGCCUUCCACAACCUACCUCUUACUUGGUUGUUUGGGUUUUUACAUUUUUUUCUUCUUAGUAUUGAAUUUAAGAGAAUUUUUUCAAUUUUAUGAGGAUUACACAAAUUGCAUAUGUCAACAUGUUAUGAAUUCAACUUUUUACACACACUUAUAUAUAUAUAUAUAUAUAUAUAUAUAUAUAUAUAUACACACACAUAUUUGUGAAAUACCCCUCCUCAUUCAGAAUUUUGGCUCCGCCACUGGCUCAAGGAAAACAAUUUCAACUUUUUACUUCUAAAGUGUUGCUCUUAUUUAGCAGCAGGUAUUCCGUUGUAUACAAUAAUAUGUUUUGUGUUAUGCUAGGAACCCUGUUUCCUUCUUUUGUCUCUCUGUGCACUCAAAAAACAAGCCACCCUAAUUCAAGCUUUCUACCUUCAGAUUUCCACAUUUUGACUUGCUUUUUUUUUUCUUUGUUUUGUUUAAAGAACUUAGUACUUUUGAUUUCAGUAGCAAAAUAAUUUGAACAGGAUGAGACAGAGAGAAAUAAAGCAUCUAUUUGAUCUCUGUACUUUCUCUUAUUCUUAUGUGUCGUUAAGGUCGCAUAUCUGAAUUUUAACCUAUCAUCAUGUAAGUAUUAUAGUGUGUUUGGGAAGCGGGAGUGUGUGAAAUGUGUUGGUGCUGAUGAUAGUGUCGAAUUUUAUGUGUCGUUAAGGUCGCAUAUCUGAAUUUUAACCUAUCAUCAUGUAAGUAUUAUAAUGUGUUUGGGAAGCGGGAGUGUGUGAAAUGUGUUGGUACUGAUGAUAGUGUCGAAUUUGGGGACACUUCCAGCUAGCAGAGUAGGUAACAGAGAGCUUUUUCCAACUCAAAUUUAAUGAUUCAAGCUGCUUAAGACUUGCCUAACAUUUCCAAGUUGGGGGGGGGUAGGAAUUUAUGGGUUUGAAUUUUUGUCAAGUAUGUGAUUCUUGCAAAAGAGUUGUAAAUUUGUGUAAGUAGAGUUGUAAACCCUACCAUUGAACACUUAAUAUAGUUGUACACUUAUAUACAAUUUUUUACAUGCUUGGUACGGUUUUAAACACCCACAACAUCACGCAGGCACACUUUUGCUAGUAUUUUACUAAACUAGUGCACUCAAAUGUCCGUAGCUAAAUAUAUUAUAAUGAAUUAGUGGAAUAUAAGAAAAUAUGGAAAAACAUAAGUGUACCAAAAAGUCCAUACCUAAACAUGGUAUACUAAAUUAGUGUACCAUUAUAUCUGUACCUAAAUAUAUUAUACUAAACUAGUAUACCGAAAUAUUCAUACCUAAACAUAUUAUAUUAAACUAGUGUACUGAGAUGUCUGUACCUAAAUACAUUUUAAUAAAUUAAUGGCACAUAAGAAAAUAUGCAAAAACAUAGGUGUGCCGAAAAGCCUCUACCAGAAUAUUUUCUUAUAUAAGAUACUUACAAUAAAUUGGUGAUGCAAAAUGUCAACUGUUUGUACCAUACUUGACCAAUCCCGAAACUACUGAGCACCGGUCAACGUUAUACCGUCAAGGACCCAGAAGAGCUUCCCUUCAACCAGGAGGCCAAUCACAAUGCGACACGUGUCGACAUCAGAAGCCAAUCACAGCUCGACACGUGUCAACAUCAGAAGCCAAUUACAACACGACACGUGUCAAUGUUAGAACAAAACUAGAAACUCUCUUCUAUAAAUAGGGAUCAUUCUCCCACAAUAAUCUCUAAUGUCAUUUUGUACUAAACUAUUCACUAGAACUCACAAAAUGAGAGCUUGAACCUAUGUAUUUGUGUAAACCCUUCACAAUUAAUGAGAACUCCUCUACUCCGUGGACAUAGCCGAUCUGGGUGAACCACGUACAUCUUGUGUUUGCUUCCCUGUCCCUAUUCAUUUACGUACUUAUCUUCACUAGUGAUCGAAGCAACCAAGCGAAGGUCACAAACCUGACACUUUCUGUUGUACCAAAGUCCUCGCUGAUUUUGUGCAUCAACAUUUGGCGCCGUCUGUGGGAAACGACACUUAUUCCCACUCUCUUCAGCUUUGUCAAGCUGGUUUCCACUGCUCGUACACUCUCUUUUGGCCAAGCAUCUCUCUCCGACAUGGGGAGCGAAAGAAGCCAUAGCACACAGAAUGACACCCCCAUUGGACCUAGUAUGAAGCAACGAAAGCAGGAAGGAAAUAGAGUUACUCUUCAAGCUAAAGUUGAUGAGUUAGAAGCUCAGAACAACAAGAUAGUGAUGAGGAACGAGGUUCUCCAGGAGCAGUAUGAAAAACGUUUUGAGAUGCUUCACGAGGCUAGGCAUGCUCAAGCACACAAGCUUGUCGCCCCUGCUGAGGUCAACAAUCAUCUGAAUGCCCCCCAACACGAAGGGUCACCGAUAUCCAACACGGACAUCCCUGAUAAGGAUCGAGCUACACAUCAAUGUGAUAAUCAACAUGAGACUUCUCUCAACCCAGCUGCUUCAACCCGAAGCAGAAGGAGUAGAGGAAAGCACCUCCUCACAAAAGGAGUGGAAGGAUCAAAAGCCGUCUAUCGCGAUUGUCGAGACUUCCUAAAGCAACGUCGAGAGAAUCCCAUCCACAUAAGCUCGAAGAUCAAUGACCCAAGAGUUUCUGAAAGACUCGGUCCUCUCCCACGACCCAGGCCAGCAGUUAAUCUAGGGAAUGGGCAACAAGUCCCAGAAGAACAUGAAGGUACAGGGGACUCGGAAAUGUUCCGACAUACUCACUCUAGGAGUCAGUGUGAUGAGUCCAAGGAAAAAUCACGUUAUCUUGAUCAAACUUUCCUACUUACAAGAGGCGAUGGGGACUUACGGAAGAAACCUUCAGUGGUGCACGACUCCACUCAGGACCCCCUUGUCCUACAGCUCCUGGAGGAAGUAAACAAGUUGAAGGCUGAACGUCAAGCCGAGAUACCUGACUGGAACCAACCCAGGCCUGGGCCCCUCACAAGAAGGAUCCUCAACACCCCCCUCCAAGCAAAGACAAAGCAGAAGCUUGGCUUACAACUCUAUACUGGAAAGGAAGACCCGAUUGAACACCUUAACCUCUUUGAGUCCACCAUGGUAUACCGGAGACACACCGACGAAGAACGGUGCCUUCUCUUCCCCUCCACCCUCUCUGGCUGAGCUUUAAAUUGGUAUUGCCGUCUUCCGCCUGAGACAGUAGACUCAUUUGAAGAGUUGAGGAAGCUGUUUGUCUCUCAACACAUCUUCCAGACCGAUCGCUUGCAUUCCGCAGAUGACUUGUACACUAUUCGCCAGAAGCCAGAUGAGUCAUUACGAAAGUAUGCUGGCCGCUUCAGCCAUGAGUAUUCUCGUUGCGCUGAGGCAGAUGACAAGACUGCCCUCAAGGCCUUCACGACAGGCUUACGUGACUGUUUCUUCAAGUACAUGAUCAAUGCCAACACUUGGAAGACUUACUCUGAGGUGAUGACACAAGCUUACAACCAUGCCUCAGCCGAGGCAAGGACAUAUCAAGGGAAACCCCUUACAGUAACCCCUUAUCAGCAAGUAGGGAGUGGAGGCCAGAUCCAACCAAAUGAGAAGACCUCAACCUUCCAAACGGUAGCAGCACACCCCCUGCCUCAUUUAAUGCUUCGCCAAGUCAGCAGACAUAUCAAUCCCAGGGCAAAAGGAAAGAUUUCCAUCCUCACCAAUCUCAUUUUAAUAAAAAGAAUAAGGGGCACUAUCGCGAUAACUCAGGAUAUCGUCACAAUAACGCCCGUCCCCAAGCAGUCAAUGCAGUGGGCCAAUCACGUGUCAAGACAGGCCCUACCCUCGGUAUGAGACAUACACACCUUUGAACGCUACAUGCGCGGCCAUCUACCCCAGUAUAGCUCAUUUGAUACCAAAGCCAAAGCCAAGACAGCCAGAUUACAAGUCCACGAAAAACACGGGCAUGUUUUGCUGCUACCACGAGUAUAAUGGCCAUGAUGGCGAGAAGUGCGUCAUCCUCCGUGAUCAUAUUGAAGCUUUGGCACGUGAAGGAAAAAUUGAUCAGUUCCUCCUUCACCCUCCAAAGGAUAACCGUAACCAACGCCAGGUGAAUGUGAUAUAUUCUAUAAGCGGCGGCAUACCUAUGUCUGAAUCUUCCAAUAGGGCCAUGAAAAACAGUGAACAAACUUUGAGACCUGGCCAUCAAGUGUUUCACGUGGAAGACAUCAGGGGAGGCAAGUAUCAAAAGCCUAACUGGGAUCCAAUAUGUUUCUACCCUGAGGAAGAAAGAGGUAUCAUCUACCCUCACAACGACCCGCUGAUCGUGGAGGCUCACAUAGCAAAUUUUGAUGUGAAACGAAUCCUGAUAGACACAGGUGCUUCAGUCAAUAUCAUGUUUGCUGAAGCUUUCAAGGCACUUAAUGUAGCUGAACACUUGCUCGAUCGCUCGAUUUCUCCUCUGAUAAGCUUCUCUGGCGAUAUCGUGCAACCUUUAGGGAGUAUACACUUACCCUUCACCAUUGGUACAGGCCCCUACACAGCUAUUAUUACCACUAACUUCCUAGUGGUCAAUUGCCCGACGGCAUACAAUGUCAUCUUUGGGCGCACAGGCAUCAAUGAUCUCAAGGCCAUGGUAUCCAUACAUAUGUUGUUGAUGAAGUUUCCAACCCCUUUCGGCAAUGGAUACAUCAGGGGAGAUCAACUUAGUGCUCGAUCAUGUUACAACACUUCAGUUAAGCAACAACACCUGCCUGUCCCCAAGGAGACCCUCUCUAUACAUAACCAGGUAGUAAAGACCAGUCCAGAUGAAGCCAACUUGAAUCUUCAUGAUGGCAACAGUCAACCCGACGACCCUCGAGAUGACUCAUUCACCCAGCAAGCACAACCCGCUGAAGAGUUAGAGAAUGUCUCUAUCUCCAAAGACCAUCCAAAUCGCAUGGUGAAGAUUGGCACCACUUUGUCACCACCCCUUCGGUUGUCGCUGAUCUCUUUUUUGUAAGAGAACACCGAGGUCUUCGCUUGGUCAUAUAAAGAUAUGCCGGGCAUCUCUCCCGAUAUCAUCUGUCACCACUUGAGUAUUGAUCUCAAGACCAAACCAGUAAAACAGAAGCGAAGAUCUUAUGAUGUUGAACGAUACGAGGCGAUGAAAGCAGAAGUGAAAAACUCAAGGACAUAGGCUUCGUCCGUGAAGUCAAUUACCCAACAUGGGUAGCAAAUGUUGUCCUUAUUAAGAAAAAUCCGACCAAGGAAAGUCUCUUGCUUCAGAAGGUCUUGUGGAGAAUGUGUGUCGACUACACCGACCUAAACAAAGGAUGCCCGAAGGAUAGUUUCCCCCUUCCUCUCAUUGAUAGACUUAUAGACUCUACGGCAGGGUGUGAGCUCUUGAGCUUCAUGGACGCUUAUUCAGGAUACAACCAAAUCCUCAUGAACCCCUCAGACCAAGAACACACAGCCUUCACUACUGACAGGGGACUAUAUUGCUACAAAGUCAUGCCUUUCGGCCUAAAGAAUGCAGGAGCAACUUAUCAGAGACUGGUCAAUUCAAUGUUCGCCGAACAGAUUGGGAAGAGCAUGGAAGUUUACGUUGAUGAUAUGUUAGUCAAGAGCAAACAUGCUGACCAACACAUCACCAACCUAUCUGAAACUUUCACCAUUCUAAAGAGGUAUCGAAUGAGGUUGAACCCCAACAAAUGUGCCUUCGGCGUGGGCUCUGGCAAAUUCUUAAGCUUCAUGAUUAGCCAACGAGGCAUUGAAGCUAACCCCGAAAAGAUCAAAGCAAUCCUCGACAUGAAAGAGCCAGUAACUUCAAAAGACAUCCAAAGCCUUACUGGCAAGGUGGCAGCCUUAACCAGAUUCAUCUCUAAGGCCACAGACAGAUGUGCUCCUUUCUUCAAAACAUUCAAGGGAAAUAAGAAAUACAUUACAUGGACGGAGGAAUGUGCCAAGGCAUUCAGGAACCUCAAAGAGUACAUGAGUAAAGCCCAUCUGCUCUCCAAACCAGAAGUUGGUGAUACUCUCAUUAUCUAUCUAUCAGUUUCGGCUUCAGCAGUCAGUUCUGUUCUUAUUCGAAAGGACAGUGGUGUCGAACGGCCCGUCUACUAUGCUAGCAAGGCCCUACAAGAUGCGGAGACACGAUACUCCAACAUUGAGAAAUUAGCUCUAGCAUUGGUCAUGUCUGCUCGAAAACUUUGCCCUUAUUUCCAAGCACACGCCAUCAUCGUGCUUACCAAUCACCCUCUUCGACAGAUACUCCAGAGUCCUGACACGUCUGGGUGAAUGAUUAAAUGGGCGAUAGCAUUGGGUGAGUUUGACAUCUCCUACCAACCAAAACCAGCCGAAAAAGGGCAAGCAGUAGCAGAUUUCAUCGCCGACUUCACAUAUCCUGUUGACAUUGCUUCUACACCUGAAGCAGUAGCUUCAUUACCAUCGGAAACUCAGAAGAUAGAAUCAACAACCCCAUCAUGGAGUCUGUAUGUUGAUGGCUCAUCCAACCAACAGGGCUGCGGAGCAGGAUUAGUCCUCACUACCCCGGACAAAGUGGCGAUAGAAUACGCUUUUCGUUUCAAAUUCAAGGCAUCGAACAAUGAGGCCGAAUACGAAGCCCUUCUAGCAGGCUUACGUUUGGCCAAGCACCUUGGGGUUAAACAAAUUGAUAUCUUCAGUGACUCCCAAUUAGUGGUCAACCAAGUCACGAACAACUUUGAUGCUAAGGAUAGCUCCAUGGCAGCAUAUCUUGCGCAAACACGACUUUUGCUCAAGCACUUCCACUACCAGAUCACCCAAGUUCCUCGAGCGGCAAACAGUCAUGCAGACGCUUUAGCUCGCCUCGCCUCGGCAGUGGAAGACAAGAUUGGGAGAAAAAUUCAUGUCGAAUUGUUGGCAGCACCAAGCACCAUGGUCGCGGAGGUGUGCAAUUUACAACAAUGAGAUAGUUGGAUCACCCCAAUUUAUAAAUUCCUUGCCCAUGGCACCCUUCCAAAUGACAAAGUCCAAGCUAAGCAGAUUCGAUACAAGUCUGCCCGCUACCUGAUCAUUAAUGACUAACUCUACAAGCGCGGUUUUACCCUGCCAUACCUAAGAUGCCUUACACCUGCGGAGGCGGAAAUUGUCCUUCGGGAAAUACAUGAAGGAGUCUGCGGAGAUCAUGCUGGGUCUCGGUCCCUAGCACACAAGACUUUUCGCCAAGGAUACUAUUGGCCAACACUCCACCAAGAUGCCAUCAGAAUAUCUCGCUCAUGUGAUAAGUGUCAACGCUACACAACUAUCCCUCACUCCCCUCCCGAGCCGCUUACUCCUAUGAUCAACCCUUGGCCCUUCGCCCAAUGGGGACUUGAUUUGAUCGGCCCAAUGCCUGUAGGGAAGGGCAAAGUCCGCUAUGCAAUCGUUGCAGUUGACUACUUCACAAAGUGGGCUGAAGUAGAACCCUUGGCAACCAUUACUGAGGGAAAAAUAGAAGACUUCGUAUGGAAGAACAUCCUCUGCAGAUUCGGCAUUCCCAAUGCGAUAGUCACGGACAAUGGGCGGCAGUUCGACAACAAGAAGUUCAAGAUGUUUUGCUCUAAGUUCAACAUCAACUUAUGUUUUGCCUCUCCAGCCCAUCCCCAGUCUAAUGGACAAGUCGAGGCCGUUAACAAAAUAAUCAAGCGCAUUCUGAAAACUAGCUUGGACAAAGCUAAAGGUUGUUGGCCAGAAUUCGUACCCCAAGUUCUUUGGUCAUACCGCACUUCAUAUCGGACUUCCACAGGAGAAACUCCAUUCUCACUUGCUUUUGGUACAGAAGCAGUUGUCCUGGUUGAGCUUGAGCAAGCAACAUACCGAAUCCAGAAUUACAUGCAGAGUGAGAACGACAAACAACUCACCCUCAACCUGGAUCUAGUCGAGGAACACAGAAAUCAGGCUCACCUGAGGAAUGUCGCCUACAAGCAGCGCAUUUCCAACUACUACGACUCAAGGGUCAAACCUCGCUCUUUCAAAGUGGGAGACUGGGUACUGAAGAAAAGAUUACUAUGUGAUAGGGUCCCGAGUGAAGGAACACUCAGUCCUAACUGGGACGGACCGUUCGAGGUCGUCGGCAUCAGCCGCCCUGGCUCCUACAAGCUCAGAAACUCCGACUGCAAGACCCUUGGCCAUCCAUGGAAUGCUGACCACUUGAAGUAUUAUUACAAAUAGACUCACAUUGUACAAGUGUUAAGCUACAUCCGUUCGGCAUCCUAUGUAACAAAGACCAUUUGGUAUGAAUUCAAUAAAGAGGUGAUUUAGCCAACUCGGCCCUAAACUCUUUUACAUUCUGAGCAAUGAAACACUCAAGUGUUGAAGCUUCAACGCAAAUGUUUCCAAUACAAAAUCAAAUCUAAGUAUGUGUCAACAAGACUAUACAAAGGAUCUAUGCAAACAUAGUCAAACAUUCAUCAAUGAUAGGGCAAACACUUGAAGCUUGAUAAUGCAAACACUUGAAGCUUGACAAUACAAACACUUGCUUGAUAAUGCAAACACUCAUAAACAUACAAAACAAAAAAAACUCUCAGGCUUAUAACAUGGCACAUGCCAUACAAACAACAAACUAGUGUAGGUAGAGUACAUGCAGAAAGUGAAAGCACUUCUAGUCAUCCUCAUCUGAGGUUGAACCCCUGAUCAUAUCACUAUGAGUCCUACCGCCAUUUUCUGCAUUUCCAAACUCAUCAUCACCCUGAUGACUCUGCUCAUCAGCACUAGCCUCAUCACCAGACUCAUCUGCACUGCUAGAAUAAACGGCAAGGUUGAAGGUUUCACCUUUUCGAUGAUGCUCAUCUAUUUCUUCACGAUAUUUUCGAAGAACGCUUCCAUCAUCAUAACGAUCAAGGACAGCCAUCCAUUUCCUUUUUUCAAAGUGAACUUCCCGGGUACAGCGAGGUCUAAGGACAUGGAGAAAGGCCGGGGAACCCAAGAACUCCUUCACAGCAGCUUCCUUCUCAGUCGGGAUACUACUCUUCAGCUCAGAAACCUCAACCAAGGCACUAUCCAACUCCCCUUUAACCUUGGAAACCUCGAGCAAAGUUGUCUCCAACUGUUUCUUAGUCGCCUCCAACUGUACUUUGAGUCUCAAGUUCUCACCAUUCCGCCUCUUCAAACUCUCAAAAUGUUGAUCCCUGACUUCAAUGGCCUUAGCCAAAGCUUUGCUCGUCUUCCUGGCAUCAUUCACAAGCUGCUUAUUCUCUUUCAGUUUCACCUUGCACCGCUCAGCCUCUCGCAGUCUGUCGUGAUACUCAGUCAUGACCUGCAUGACAAGACGAUCAUCGCUACCAAAAUAAUGCUAAUAAAGAGGAGAAAACAAGGAAAUGACAAAGUAACACUCACAUAUGAAGACAGCUUCAACAUCCGGUCACAAUCCGAUUCAUCUUUAGCUAAAGGCUCUCCGAGCUCAUCGAAAGUGAAUCGACGCCCUGCCAGGCAAUUGUUGAUAUACCCAAAGUCCUUUGGUCGCAUGGCAACCUUCAAAUCCUUCCAAGGGACACUGCCAACCUCUUCUUUAUCUUUACCCUUGCUGCUAGAACUAGGAUCACCUUUCUGCCCAAUGUGCUCCCUAACUGGAGGAAAGAUAGGAUUGAUAGUAGGAAGAUGAGGCAACAAUCGCCUAUCUUCCCCGGCAACUAUGGCAGCAGCACAUCCAAUGGCCUCAGCUUCAGCUUUCUUCGAGGCAGCAACCUUGAGGACUUCUUCUCGAGACUUAGUUUUAAUGAUUGGUCUCACUCGGUGCUUGCGAGCUUCCUUGUGAAACAGGAUGUCUUCUGAAGGAACUAACAUGGGCAUUCUCCUUUUCUUGGUGCUAGUCUCCACUUUCUUGCCCACCUUCUCCACUGAACAAGGAAAAUCAAAGUAAGGAAUACCACAUUAUAUAUCUAUAUAAAAAAAAAAAGGGAAGAACAAGGAUCAAGUGAGGAUACAACUUACUCGCUCGUCUCUGGCACUCGGAAACUAAGGGCUGGAAACCGUACUUUCGAAACAAGGGUCGUAGCUUACCCAAGUGUCUAUCUUCUUUAGGCACCCUCAGCACUUUCUCUACAUCAGCUAGCUCCUGUCCGGAGAGUUUGAUGGUGCCUCGUGUCACUGCAUGAAGAAAAAUCUUAGAAGCAAGAGAAAAUCACAACAAUAGCAAAUAAUGAGAAAAUGGAUACAUUACAACCUACAGUCUGGAAGUGAGUAGGAACACGUCGCUCAGGCGUGACACCCUUAGCAUGCUCCCAAUCAUUAUAAAGAAAGCACCAACGUUUCUUCCAUGUGCAGUACGCCUUUCUCUUAUCAAAGACAACACGCUCUCUCUCACUCCGACAUGCACAUUCAGCAUAACCAGUACAUGCUUUCACCGGGCGCAUCUUAUAACAGUAGCGCCACUGAUGGAAGGAAGGUUCACCUAAUCCACACUCCAUCCAUAUAAUAUAAAACCCGAUCAAGGUAUCCCAGAAACCGGGGUUGAGUUGCCCCGGUGCAUAACCAAUAAAAGACAGCAUCCGUUGCAACCACGGAUGCAAAGGUAAAUUUACCCCCAAGGUCACUAAUGUCUGGGUAUAGAACAUAACAUGACCCGUGGGCGGCUCAGAAGGCAAUUCUUCACAACGCACCAAACGUAUUCCUACACUACGGGGGAUACUACAUGAUCGCCUUAGGGCCUCAAGCUGCUUUUCGAUAUCUAACAAGUUAUUUUCUAAAUGGUCCGCUGUGAACUCAGAGCGAAAUAUGGGUAUGGCGUCACAAACAACCCCCUCACCCACUAGCAUGGAGGAAGAACCAAUAUUGGCUAAGGUUUGACAAUUGUGAGGAUCAGAACGAAAUAUGGGUAUGGCGUCACAAACAAACCCCCUCACCCACUAGCAUGGAGGAAGAACCAAUAUUGGCUAAGGCUUGACAAUUAUGAGGAUCAUCCAACGUUUCUUUCAUACCAGACUCUAACAAAGGCCAUGAAGACCCUGACAUGGCAGGCUCAAACCUAGAGCUAGAGCUAGGGGAGCCCUCAUCACUAAGACUUCCAGACUCCGACAUCUACAAACAAACAGAAACAAACUCUAUCACUACAUGAAGGAUCAAAACAUAAGGAAGCUCAUAGGGCAUGCAGAAAAGCUCAACCAGUUCCUUAUGUUCUUAACAGAAUACAUGAACACUCAAACAAUNNNNNNNNNNNNNNNNNNNNNNNNNNNNNNNNNNNNNNNNNNNNNNNNNNNNNNNNNNNNNNNNNNNNNNNNNNNNNNNNNNNNNNNNNNNNNNNNNNNNNNNNNNNNNNNNNNNNNNNNNNNNNNNNNNNNNNNNNNNNNNNNNNNNNNNNNNNNNNNNNNNNNNNNNNNNNNNNNNNNNNNNNNNNNNNNNNNNNNNNNNNNNNNNNNNNNNNNNNNNNNNNNNNNNNNNNNNNNNNNNNNNNNNNNNNNNNNNNNNNNNNNNNNNNNNNNNNNNNNNNNNNNNNNNNNNNNNNNNNNNNNNNNNNNNNNNNNNNNNNNNNNNNNNNNNNNNNNNNNNNNNNNNNNNNNNNNNNNNNNNNNNNNNNNNNNNNNNNNNNNNNNNNNNNNNNNNNNNNNNNNNNNNNNNNNNNNNNNNNNNNNNNNNNNNNNNNNNNNNNNNNNNNNNNNNNNNNNNNNNNNNNNNNNNNNNNNNNNNNNNNNNNNNNNNNNNNNNNNNNNNNNNNNNNNNNNNNNNNNNNNNNNNNNNNNNNNNNNNNNNNNNNNNNNNNNNNNNNNNNNNNNNNNNNNNNNNNNNNNNNNNNNNNNNNNNNNNNNNNNNNNNNNNNNNNNNNNNNNNNNNNNNNNNNNNNNNNNNNNNNNNNNNNNNNNNNNNNNNNNNNNNNNNNNNNNNNNNNNNNNNNNNNNNNNNNNNNNNNNNNNNNNNNNNNNNNNNNNNNNNNNNNNNNNNNNNNNNNNNNNNNNNNNNNNNNNNNNNNNNNNNNNNNNNNNNNNNNNNNNNNNNNNNNNNNNNNNNNNNNNNNNNNNNNNNNNNNNNNNNNNNNNNNNNNNNNNNNNNNNNNNNNNNNNNNNNNNNNNNNNNNNNNNNNNNNNNNNNNNNNNNNNNNNNNNNNNNNNNNNNNNNNNNNNNNNNNNNNNNNNNNNNNNNNNNNNNNNNNNNNNNNNNNNNNNNNNNNNNNNNNNNNNNNNNNNNNNNNNNNNNNNNNNNNNNNNNNNNNNNNNNNNNNNNNNNNNNNNNNNNNNNNNNNNNNNNNNNNNNNNNNNNNNNNNNNNNNNNNNNNNNNNNNNNNNNNNNNNNNNNNNNNNNNNNNNNNNNNNNNNNNNNNNNNNNNNNNNNNNNNNNNNNNNNNNNNNNNNNNNNNNNNNNNNNNNNNNNNNNNNNNNNNNNNNNNNNNNNNNNNNNNNNNNNNNNNNNNNNNNNNNNNNNNNNNNNNNNNNNNNNNNNNNNNNNNNNNNNNNNNNNNNNNNNNNNNNNNNNNNNNNNNNNNNNNNNNNNNNNNNNNNNNNNNNNNNNNNNNNNNNNNNNNNNNNNNNNNNNNNNNNNNNNNNNNNNNNNNNNNNNNNNNNNNNNNNNNNNNNNNNNNNNNNNNNNNNNNNNNNNNNNNNNNNNNNNNNNNNNNNNNNNNNNNNNNNNNNNNNNNNNNNNNNNNNNNNNNNNNNNNNNNNNNNNNNNNNNNNNNNNNNNNNNNNNNNNNNNNNNNNNNNNNNNNNNNNNNNNNNNNNNNNNNNNNNNNNNNNNNNNNNNNNNNNNNNNNNNNNNNNNNNNNNNNNNNNNNNNNNNNNNNNNNNNNNNNNNNNNNNNNNNNNNNNNNNNNNNNNNNNNNNNNNNNNNNNNNNNNNNNNNNNNNNNNNNNNNNNNNNNNNNNNNNNNNNNNNNNNNNNNNNNNNNNNNNNNNNNNNNNNNNNNNNNNNNNNNNNNNNNNNNNNNNNNNNNNNNNNNNNNNNNNNNNNNNNNNNNNNNNNNNNNNNNNNNNNNNNNNNNNNNNNNNNNNNNNNNNNNNNNNNNNNNNNNNNNNNNNNNNNNNNNNNNNNNNNNNNNNNNNNNNNNNNNNNNNNNNNNNNNNNNNNNNNNNNNNNNNNNNNNNNNNNNNNNNNNNNNNNNNNNNNNNNNNNNNNNNNNNNNNNNNNNNNNNNNNNNNNNNNNNNNNNNNNNNNNNNNNNNNNNNNNNNNNNNNNNNNNNNNNNNNNNNNNNNNNNNNNNNNNNNNNNNNNNNNNNNNNNNNNNNNNNNNNNNNNNNNNNNNNNNNNNNNNNNNNNNNNNNNNNNNNNNNNNNNNNNNNNNNNNNNNNNNNNNNNNNNNNNNNNNNNNNNNNNNNNNNNNNNNNNNNNNNNNNNNNNNNNNNNNNNNNNNNNNNNNNNNNNNNNNNNNNNNNNNNNNNNNNNNNNNNNNNNNNNNNNNNNNNNNNNNNNNNNNNNNNNNNNNNNNNNNNNNNNNNNNNNNNNNNNNNNNNNNNNNNNNNNNNNNNNNNNNNNNNNNNNNNNNNNNNNNNNNNNNNNNNNNNNNNNNNNNNNNNNNNNNNNNNNNNNNNNNNNNNNNNNNNNNNNNNNNNNNNNNNNNNNNNNNNNNNNNNNNNNNNNNNNNNNNNNNNNNNNNNNNNNNNNNNNNNNNNNNNNNNNNNNNNNNNNNNNNNNNNNNNNNNNNNNNNNNNNNNNNNNNNNNNNNNNNNNNNNNNNNNNNNNNNNNNNNNNNNNNNNNNNNNNNNNNNNNNNNNNNNNNNNNNNNNNNNNNNNNNNNNNNNNNNNNNNNNNNNNNNNNNNNNNNNNNNNNNNNNNNNNNNNNNNNNNNNNNNNNNNNNNNNNNNNNNNNNNNNNNNNNNNNNNNNNNNNNNNNNNNNNNNNNNNNNNNNNNNNNNNNNNNNNNNNNNNNNNNNNNNNNNNNNNNNNNNNNNNNNNNNNNNNNNNNNNNNNNNNNNNNNNNNNNNNNNNNNNNNNNNNNNNNNNNNNNNNNNNNNNNNNNNNNNNNNNNNNNNNNNNNNNNNNNNNNNNNNNNNNNNNNNNNNNNNNNNNNNNNNNNNNNNNNNNNNNNNNNNNNNNNNNNNNNNNNNNNNNNNNNNNNNNNNNNNNNNNNNNNNNNNNNNNNNNNNNNNNNNNNNNNNNNNNNNNNNNNNNNNNNNNNNNNNNNNNNNNNNNNNNNNNNNNNNNNNNNNNNNNNNNNNNNNNNNNNNNNNNNNNNNNNNNNNNNNNNNNNNNNNNNNNNNNNNNNNNNNNNNNNNNNNNNNNNNNNNNNNNNNNNNNNNNNNNNNNNNNNNNNNNNNNNNNNNNNNNNNNNNNNNNNNNNNNNNNNNNNNNNNNNNNNNNNNNNNNNNNNNNNNNNNNNNNNNNNNNNNNNNNNNNNNNNNNNNNNNNNNNNNNNNNNNNNNNNNNNNNNNNNNNNNNNNNNNNNNNNNNNNNNNNNNNNNNNNNNNNNNNNNNNNNNNNNNNNNNNNNNNNNNNNNNNNNNNNNNNNNNNNNNNNNNNNNNNNNNNNNNNNNNNNNNNNNNNNNNNNNNNNNNNNNNNNNNNNNNNNNNNNNNNNNNNNNNNNNNNNNNNNNNNNNNNNNNNNNNNNNNNNNNNNNNNNNNNNNNNNNNNNNNNNNNNNNNNNNNNNNNNNNNNNNNNNNNNNNNNNNNNNNNNNNNNNNNNNNNNNNNNNNNNNNNNNNNNNNNNNNNNNNNNNNNNNNNNNNNNNNNNNNNNNNNNNNNNNNNNNNNNNNNNNNNNNNNNNNNNNNNNNNNNNNNNNNNNNNNNNNNNNNNNNNNNNNNNNNNNNNNNNNNNNNNNNNNNNNNNNNNNNNNNNNNNNNNNNNNNNNNNNNNNNNNNNNNNNNNNNNNNNNNNNNNNNNNNNNNNNNNNNNNNNNNNNNNNNNNNNNNNNNNNNNNNNNNNNNNNNNNNNNNNNNNNNNNNNNNNNNNNNNNNNNNNNNNNNNNNNNNNNNNNNNNNNNNNNNNNNNNNNNNNNNNNNNNNNNNNNNNNNNNNNNNNNNNNNNNNNNNNNNNNNNNNNNNNNNNNNNNNNNNNNNNNNNNNNNNNNNNNNNNNNNNNNNNNNNNNNNNNNNNNNNNNNNNNNNNNNNNNNNNNNNNNNNNNNNNNNNNNNNNNNNNNNNNNNNNNNNNNNNNNNNNNNNNNNNNNNNNNNNNNNNNNNNNNNNNNNNNNNNNNNNNNNNNNNNNNNNNNNNNNNNNNNNNNNNNNNNNNNNNNNNNNNNNNNNNNNNNNNNNNNNNNNNNNNNNNNNNNNNNNNNNNNNNNNNNNNNNNNNNNNNNNNNNNNNNNNNNNNNNNNNNNNNNNNNNNNNNNNNNNNNNNNNNNNNNNNNNNNNNNNNNNNNNNNNNNNNNNNNNNNNNNNNNNNNNNNNNNNNNNNNNNNNNNNNNNNNNNNNNNNNNNNNNNNNNNNNNNNNNNNNNNNNNNNNNNNNNNNNNNNNNNNNNNNNNNNNNNNNNNNNNNNNNNNNNNNNNNNNNNNNNNNNNNNNNNNNNNNNNNNNNNNNNNNNNNNNNNNNNNNNNNNNNNNNNNNNNNNNNNNNNNNNNNNNNNNNNNNNNNNNNNNNNNNNNNNNNNNNNNNNNNNNNNNNNNNNNNNNNNNNNNNNNNNNNNNNNNNNNNNNNNNNNNNNNNNNNNNNNNNNNNNNNNNNNNNNNNNNNNNNNNNNNNNNNNNNNNNNNNNNNNNNNNNNNNNNNNNNNNNNNNNNNNNNNNNNNNNNNNNNNNNNNNNNNNNNNNNNNNNNNNNNNNNNNNNNNNNNNNNNNNNNNNNNNNNNNNNNNNNNNNNNNNNNNNNNNNNNNNNNNNNNNNNNNNNNNNNNNNNNNNNNNNNNNNNNNNNNNNNNNNNNNNNNNNNNNNNNNNNNNNNNNNNNNNNNNNNNNNNNNNNNNNNNNNNNNNNNNNNNNNNNNNNNNNNNNNNNNNNNNNNNNNNNNNNNNNNNNNNNNNNNNNNNNNNNNNNNNNNNNNNNNNNNNNNNNNNNNNNNNNNNNNNNNNNNNNNNNNNNNNNNNNNNNNNNNNNNNNNNNNNNNNNNNNNNNNNNNNNNNNNNNNNNNNNNNNNNNNNNNNNNNNNNNNNNNNNNNNNNNNNNNNNNNNNNNNNNNNNNNNNNNNNNNNNNNNNNNNNNNNNNNNNNNNNNNNNNNNNNNNNNNNNNNNNNNNNNNNNNNNNNNNNNNNNNNNNNNNNNNNNNNNNNNNNNNNNNNNNNNNNNNNNNNNNNNNNNNNNNNNNNNNNNNNNNNNNNNNNNNNNNNNNNNNNNNNNNNNNNNNNNNNNNNNNNNNNNNNNNNNNNNNNNNNNNNNNNNNNNNNNNNNNNNNNNNNNNNNNNNNNNNNNNNNNNNNNNNNNNNNNNNNNNNNNNNNNNNNNNNNNNNNNNNNNNNNNNNNNNNNNNNNNNNNNNNNNNNNNNNNNNNNNNNNNNNNNNNNNNNNNNNNNNNNNNNNNNNNNNNNNNNNNNNNNNNNNNNNNNNNNNNNNNNNNNNNNNNNNNNNNNNNNNNNNNNNNNNNNNNNNNNNNNNNNNNNNNNNNNNNNNNNNNNNNNNNNNNNNNNNNNNNNNNNNNNNNNNNNNNNNNNNNNNNNNNNNNNNNNNNNNNNNNNNNNNNNNNNNNNNNNNNNNNNNNNNNNNNNNNNNNNNNNNNNNNNNNNNNNNNNNNNNNNNNNNNNNNNNNNNNNNNNNNNNNNNNNNNNNNNNNNNNNNNNNNNNNNNNNNNNNNNNNNNNNNNNNNNNNNNNNNNNNNNNNNNNNNNNNNNNNNNNNNNNNNNNNNNNNNNNNNNNNNNNNNNNNNNNNNNNNNNNNNNNNNNNNNNNNNNNNNNNNNNNNNNNNNNNNNNNNNNNNNNNNNNNNNNNNNNNNNNNNNNNNNNNNNNNNNNNNNNNNNNNNNNNNNNNNNNNNNNNNNNNNNNNNNNNNNNNNNNNNNNNNNNNNNNNNNNNNNNNNNNNNNNNNNNNNNNNNNNNNNNNNNNNNNNNNNNNNNNNNNNNNNNNNNNNNNNNNNNNNNNNNNNNNNNNNNNNNNNNNNNNNNNNNNNNNNNNNNNNNNNNNNNNNNNNNNNNNNNNNNNNNNNNNNNNNNNNNNNNNNNNNNNNNNNNNNNNNNNNNNNNNNNNNNNNNNNNNNNNNNNNNNNNNNNNNNNNNNNNNNNNNNNNNNNNNNNNNNNNNNNNNNNNNNNNNNNNNNNNNNNNNNNNNNNNNNNNNNNNNNNNNNNNNNNNNNNNNNNNNNNNNNNNNNNNNNNNNNNNNNNNNNNNNNNNNNNNNNNNNNNNNNNNNNNNNNNNNNNNNNNNNNNNNNNNNNNNNNNNNNNNNNNNNNNNNNNNNNNNNNNNNNNNNNNNNNNNNNNNNNNNNNNNNNNNNNNNNNNNNNNNNNNNNNNNNNNNNNNNNNNNNNNNNNNNNNNNNNNNNNNNNNNNNNNNNNNNNNNNNNNNNNNNNNNNNNNNNNNNNNNNNNNNNNNNNNNNNNNNNNNNNNNNNNNNNNNNNNNNNNNNNNNNNNNNNNNNNNNNNNNNNNNNNNNNNNNNNNNNNNNNNNNNNNNNNNNNNNNNNNNNNNNNNNNNNNNNNNNNNNNNNNNNNNNNNNNNNNNNNNNNNNNNNNNNNNNNNNNNNNNNNNNNNNNNNNNNNNNNNNNNNNNNNNNNNNNNNNNNNNNNNNNNNNNNNNNNNNNNNNNNNNNNNNNNNNNNNNNNNNNNNNNNNNNNNNNNNNNNNNNNNNNNNNNNNNNNNNNNNNNNNNNNNNNNNNNNNNNNNNNNNNNNNNNNNNNNNNNNNNNNNNNNNNNNNNNNNNNNNNNNNNNNNNNNNNNNNNNNNNNNNNNNNNNNNNNNNNNNNNNNNNNNNNNNNNNNNNNNNNNNNNNNNNNNNNNNNNNNNNNNNNNNNNNNNNNNNNNNNNNNNNNNNNNNNNNNNNNNNNNNNNNNNNNNNNNNNNNNNNNNNNNNNNNNNNNNNNNNNNNNNNNNNNNNNNNNNNNNNNNNNNNNNNNNNNNNNNNNNNNNNNNNNNNNNNNNNNNNNNNNNNNNNNNNNNNNNNNNNNNNNNNNNNNNNNNNNNNNNNNNNNNNNNNNNNNNNNNNNNNNNNNNNNNNNNNNNNNNNNNNNNNNNNNNNNNNNNNNNNNNNNNNNNNNNNNNNNNNNNNNNNNNNNNNNNNNNNNNNNNNNNNNNNNNNNNNNNNNNNNNNNNNNNNNNNNNNNNNNNNNNNNNNNNNNNNNNNNNNNNNNNNNNNNNNNNNNNNNNNNNNNNNNNNNNNNNNNNNNNNNNNNNNNNNNNNNNNNNNNNNNNNNNNNNNNNNNNNNNNNNNNNNNNNNNNNNNNNNNNNNNNNNNNNNNNNNNNNNNNNNNNNNNNNNNNNNNNNNNNNNNNNNNNNNNNNNNNNNNNNNNNNNNNNNNNNNNNNNNNNNNNNNNNNNNNNNNNNNNNNNNNNNNNNNNNNNNNNNNNNNNNNNNNNNNNNNNNNNNNNNNNNNNNNNNNNNNNNNNNNNNNNNNNNNNNNNNNNNNNNNNNNNNNNNNNNNNNNNNNNNNNNNNNNNNNNNNNNNNNNNNNNNNNNNNNNNNNNNNNNNNNNNNNNNNNNNNNNNNNNNNNNNNNNNNNNNNNNNNNNNNNNNNNNNNNNNNNNNNNNNNNNNNNNNNNNNNNNNNNNNNNNNNNNNNNNNNNNNGCUCUUCNNNNNNNNNNNNNNNNNNNNNNNNNNNNNNNNNNNNNNNNNNNNNNNNNNNNNNNNNNNNNNNNNNNNNNNNNNNNNNNNNNNNNNNNNNNNNNNNNNNNNNNNNNNNNNNNNNNNNNNNNNNNNNNNNNNNNNNNNNNNNNNNNNNNNNNNNNNNNNNNNNNNNNNNNNNNNNNNNNNNNNNNNNNNNNNNNNNNNNNNNNNNNNNNNNNNNNNNNNNNNNNNNNNNNNNNNNNNNNNNNNNNNNNNNNNNNNNNNNNNNNNNNNNNNNNNNNNNNNNNNNNNNNNNNNNNNNNNNNNNNNNNNNNNNNNNNNNNNNNNNNNNNNNNNNNNNNNNNNNNNNNNNNNNNNNNNNNNNNNNNNNNNNNNNNNNNNNNNNNNNNNNNNNNNNNNNNNNNNNNNNNNNNNNNNNNNNNNNNNNNNNNNNNNNNNNNNNNNNNNNNNNNNNNNNNNNNNNNNNNNNNNNNNNNNNNNNNNNNNNNNNNNNNNNNNNNNNNNNNNNNNNNNNNNNNNNNNNNNNNNNNNNNNNNNNNNNNNNNNNNNNNNNNNNNNNNNNNNNNNNNNNNNNNNNNNNNNNNNNNNNNNNNNNNNNNNNNNNNNNNNNNNNNNNNNNNNNNNNNNNNNNNNNNNNNNNNNNNNNNNNNNNNNNNNNNNNNNNNNNNNNNNNNNNNNNNNNNNNNNNNNNNNNNNNNNNNNNNNNNNNNNNNNNNNNNNNNNNNNNNNNNNNNNNNNNNNNNNNNNNNNNNNNNNNNNNNNNNNNNNNNNNNNNNNNNNNNNNNNNNNNNNNNNNNNNNNNNNNNNNNNNNNNNNNNNNNNNNNNNNNNNNNNNNNNNNNNNNNNNNNNNNNNNNNNNNNNNNNNNNNNNNNNNNNNNNNNNNNNNNNNNNNNNNNNNNNNNNNNNNNNNNNNNNNNNNNNNNNNNNNNNNNNNNNNNNNNNNNNNNNNNNNNNNNNNNNNNNNNNNNNNNNNNNNNNNNNNNNNNNNNNNNNNNNNNNNNNNNNNNNNNNNNNNNNNNNNNNNNNNNNNNNNNNNNNNNNNNNNNNNNNNNNNNNNNNNNNNNNNNNNNNNNNNNNNNNNNNNNNNNNNNNNNNNNNNNNNNNNNNNNNNNNNNNNNNNNNNNNNNNNNNNNNNNNNNNNNNNNNNNNNNNNNNNNNNNNNNNNNNNNNNNNNNNNNNNNNNNNNNNNNNNNNNNNNNNNNNNNNNNNNNNNNNNNNNNNNNNNNNNNNNNNNNNNNNNNNNNNNNNNNNNNNNNNNNNNNNNNNNNNNNNNNNNNNNNNNNNNNNNNNNNNNNNNNNNNNNNNNNNNNNNNNNNNNNNNNNNNNNNNNNNNNNNNNNNNNNNNNNNNNNNNNNNNNNNNNNNNNNNNNNNNNNNNNNNNNNNNNNNNNNNNNNNNNNNNNNNNNNNNNNNNNNNNNNNNNNNNNNNNNNNNNNNNNNNNNNNNNNNNNNNNNNNNNNNNNNNNNNNNNNNNNNNNNNNNNNNNNNNNNNNNNNNNNNNNNNNNNNNNNNNNNNNNNNNNNNNNNNNNNNNNNNNNNNNNNNNNNNNNNNNNNNNNNNNNNNNNNNNNNNNNNNNNNNNNNNNNNNNNNNNNNNNNNNNNNNNNNNNNNNNNNNNNNNNNNNNNNNNNNNNNNNNNNNNNNNNNNNNNNNNNNNNNNNNNNNNNNNNNNNNNNNNNNNNNNNNNNNNNNNNNNNNNNNNNNNNNNNNNNNNNNNNNNNNNNNNNNNNNNNNNNNNNNNNNNNNNNNNNNNNNNNNNNNNNNNNNNNNNNNNNNNNNNNNNNNNNNNNNNNNNNNNNNNNNNNNNNNNNNNNNNNNNNNNNNNNNNNNNNNNNNNNNNNNNNNNNNNNNNNNNNNNNNNNNNNNNNNNNNNNNNNNNNNNNNNNNNNNNNNNNNNNNNNNNNNNNNNNNNNNNNNNNNNNNNNNNNNNNNNNNNNNNNNNNNNNNNNNNNNNNNNNNNNNNNNNNNNNNNNNNNNNNNNNNNNNNNNNNNNNNNNNNNNNNNNNNNNNNNNNNNNNNNNNNNNNNNNNNNNNNNNNNNNNNNNNNNNNNNNNNNNNNNNNNNNNNNNNNNNNNNNNNNNNNNNNNNNNNNNNNNNNNNNNNNNNNNNNNNNNNNNNNNNNNNNNNNNNNNNNNNNNNNNNNNNNNNNNNNNNNNNNNNNNNNNNNNNNNNNNNNNNNNNNNNNNNNNNNNNNNNNNNNNNNNNNNNNNNNNNNNNNNNNNNNNNNNNNNNNNNNNNNNNNNNNNNNNNNNNNNNNNNNNNNNNNNNNNNNNNNNNNNNNNNNNNNNNNNNNNNNNNNNNNNNNNNNNNNNNNNNNNNNNNNNNNNNNNNNNNNNNNNNNNNNNNNNNNNNNNNNNNNNNNNNNNNNNNNNNNNNNNNNNNNNNNNNNNNNNNNNNNNNNNNNNNNNNNNNNNNNNNNNNNNNNNNNNNNNNNNNNNNNNNNNNNNNNNNNNNNNNNNNNNNNNNNNNNNNNNNNNNNNNNNNNNNNNNNNNNNNNNNNNNNNNNNNNNNNNNNNNNNNNNNNNNNNNNNNNNNNNNNNNNNNNNNNNNNNNNNNNNNNNNNNNNNNNNNNNNNNNNNNNNNNNNNNNNNNNNNNNNNNNNNNNNNNNNNNNNNNNNNNNNNNNNNNNNNNNNNNNNNNNNNNNNNNNNNNNNNNNNNNNNNNNNNNNNNNNNNNNNNNNNNNNNNNNNNNNNNNNNNNNNNNNNNNNNNNNNNNNNNNNNNNNNNNNNNNNNNNNNNNNNNNNNNNNNNNNNNNNNNNNNNNNNNNNNNNNNNNNNNNNNNNNNNNNNNNNNNNNNNNNNNNNNNNNNNNNNNNNNNNNNNNNNNNNNNNNNNNNNNNNNNNNNNNNNNNNNNNNNNNNNNNNNNNNNNNNNNNNNNNNNNNNNNNNNNNNNNNNNNNNNNNNNNNNNNNNNNNNNNNNNNNNNNNNNNNNNNNNNNNNNNNNNNNNNNNNNNNNNNNNNNNNNNNNNNNNNNNNNNNNNNNNNNNNNNNNNNNNNNNNNNNNNNNNNNNNNNNNNNNNNNNNNNNNNNNNNNNNNNNNNNNNNNNNNNNNNNNNNNNNNNNNNNNNNNNNNNNNNNNNNNNNNNNNNNNNNNNNNNNNNNNNNNNNNNNNNNNNNNNNNNNNNNNNNNNNNNNNNNNNNNNNNNNNNNNNNNNNNNNNNNNNNNNNNNNNNNNNNNNNNNNNNNNNNNNNNNNNNNNNNNNNNNNNNNNNNNNNNNNNNNNNNNNNNNNNNNNNNNNNNNNNNNNNNNNNNNNNNNNNNNNNNNNNNNNNNNNNNNNNNNNNNNNNNNNNNNNNNNNNNNNNNNNNNNNNNNNNNNNNNNNNNNNNNNNNNNNNNNNNNNNNNNNNNNNNNNNNNNNNNNNNNNNNNNNNNNNNNNNNNNNNNNNNNNNNNNNNNNNNNNNNNNNNNNNNNNNNNNNNNNNNNNNNNNNNNNNNNNNNNNNNNNNNNNNNNNNNNNNNNNNNNNNNNNNNNNNNNNNNNNNNNNNNNNNNNNNNNNNNNNNNNNNNNNNNNNNNNNNNNNNNNNNNNNNNNNNNNNNNNNNNNNNNNNNNNNNNNNNNNNNNNNNNNNNNNNNNNNNNNNNNNNNNNNNNNNNNNNNNNNNNNNNNNNNNNNNNNNNNNNNNNNNNNNNNNNNNNNNNNNNNNNNNNNNNNNNNNNNNNNNNNNNNNNNNNNNNNNNNNNNNNNNNNNNNNNNNNNNNNNNNNNNNNNNNNNNNNNNNNNNNNNNNNNNNNNNNNNNNNNNNNNNNNNNNNNNNNNNNNNNNNNNNNNNNNNNNNNNNNNNNNNNNNNNNNNNNNNNNNNNNNNNNNNNNNNNNNNNNNNNNNNNNNNNNNNNNNNNNNNNNNNNNNNNNNNNNNNNNNNNNNNNNNNNNNNNNNNNNNNNNNNNNNNNNNNNNNNNNNNNNNNNNNNNNNNNNNNNNNNNNNNNNNNNNNNNNNNNNNNNNNNNNNNNNNNNNNNNNNNNNNNNNNNNNNNNNNNNNNNNNNNNNNNNNNNNNNNNNNNNNNNNNNNNNNNNNNNNNNNNNNNNNNNNNNNNNNNNNNNNNNNNNNNNNNNNNNNNNNNNNNNNNNNNNNNNNNNNNNNNNNNNNNNNNNNNNNNNNNCAACUUGGCGGGUUCUAGCAAAUAGGCGUUGGGCCAUAUUAGACACAGAAGCUGCACACUGAACACUAAGAGCCAGAGAAUCCUUAACAGCCAACUCAUCAGACCGUUUGGAAAGUAGUCUGUUAUCUCUGGGAGUGAGAAGGUUCCUGGCCACCACCGCAGCAGUCAUAUCAUUCUUCAUCACAGAAUCCCCAACGGUAAGAGGACCAGUAGAAGAUAUGAAGGAUGGACGCCAUAUGUUGUCUGGAGAAGGCGUGGCUGCCUCUUCUCCAAGGUUCAAGUCAAAACGACGGUCGGAGGGGCCAGACAUUUUCAAAGGUGUUGAAGAGAGAAGAGGUCAGACAAAUCAAGAUCUUAGAAGUGCAAGAAGGGAGCUUCUACUGGUGGAGAUUCAGGUGUGCUGUGGAACUUAAUGCCAGCCUCUAUAAAAAUCUGCCCUCGACGGAGCUUCAGAAAUCGAAGAGGCGUUUGCUUUCUCAAAAGCUGGGCUGCUCAGAGACCACGAGGGCUGAUCUCAAAAAUCGAAGAGGCGCUUCCUUUCUCAAAAGCUGGGCUGCUCAGAGACCACGAUGGCCGAUCUCAGAAAUCGAAGAAGCACCUGCUUUUUCAGCCUCAUCAGCACCUGUCACAUGCACACUCAGCUUUGCGGAAAUUACGGGCAAUCUGUCGAAGAUUUCUGGUGAAAUAGAAAGCACGUGAAUCUUACUGUUCAAUCACCACUCUCCACACGCACCAUCACUCCUCGGGGUACCACAUAUAACUUUGCCAAAGAUCUCUGACAAAGUUUAGGCACGAGAAUUUCGAAGUUCCAGCUACCCUACUAUUACCCACAAGGGUAAAGGAACAGCACCACUGCUUGACAACUGGAAAGUCCCUAUGUGUGUCGACCUCCGUGUUCUGCGGCAAGACAGGCUGGCAAGAACGUCCAACCUUUACUCACAUUCGAGAAAAGACUCCCAACAUAAUUACUUUCUCAAAAACCGAAACAGCACCGCUUUCUGAAUCUCGAGAGCCAGAUCCUCGACGGGAUUGCUUGUUCGAAAACCGAAGAGGCACAGCUCUCAGAACUUCGAGAGCCAGAUUUCCUUAGAUAAAGCUUGUCUGUAAUCUUCACACGUAACAUCAGCUUUCCAGAUACCACAUACCACUUUUUUCAAAGUGCUCUGACAAAGUUAAAACACGUGAAGCUGGCAGCUCCCACUACAUUGUUGUGACCAAGAAAGGUAAAAGAAUAGCAUUACUACUUGUUAUUGGGAAAUCCCUAUAUACAUCGACCUCCCUCCUCAACGGACAGGCAAACCUGCAAAAAUGCUCAACCCUUUCUCGCAUUCGAGAAUGCACCCUCAACAUAACCUCUCGAAAUACUCAGCUUUAUUUCCCCCGAUAAUACCUCAAGCAAAUAAGCCACACCAAGAACAAGAGUAUCUCAUAUCAUCAGGGUCGAAAGCAAGAGUAUCCCAUAUCAUGCUUUCUCCCUGUCCUUGUCUUCGUCCUUGUCCACACCUGCAGGACAAAGAGAAAGAGAGCAGUCAGUCGGAACCUGAAAUCAAACCUCUAAUCUGGAACUGACUGCCUGAGACCUUUGCAUGGUUGCUUACUUAGCAUUGCUCUCGAGAACUCAUCCUCAACUGCUGUCAAGGUCAUGAAUUCCACCGGCACAUACCUCAUGACAGGUUGAUCAGAUAUUGGCUCUUUACACUGAAGCUGCCAAGCGUGGAUGAGUCACUAUGAAGGAAUGUUCUGAAGGACCAUUUAAAUGCAAAGGUUGCACACCACUUCUUCCAUGCAAAAGAUUGAAGCAGAAGGUUCAACGGUGAGCUGAAACAGAUCACUACAGCACGACACCUUUCCAUACCACAUUCAUUAUUCCGUCAACAGCAAAAAGUAUCCCAUAUCAUCAAGGUCGAACGUACUCUAGAUUUGAUGGACUUGUUUUGACCCUCAAAUUCUUGAGUCGGCCUUAUACUCUGAAGGGAACCAGAAAAACCCUCCAGCACAGUUCAAGAAUAAGCCUGUGGAAAGUUACUUCUUCAAAAGCAAAAGUAUCUCAUAUCAUCUCUUCUCCAUUUGCUUCUCCUUAUCCUGGCAGCUGAAUGAGAGACAGGAGGAAAGGAGAACAAUCAACCGGAAGCCAAAGUCGAACCUCCGAUCCUGGGUUGCUUGCUUGGAAGUUUGACUGCUUACCUUGUCUGUCACCUCUUUCGGCAGAUCUCCUAGCUCGGCGACUUGGGGGACUCCUACUAUAGGGUUUGUAUCGCACUUGACCAAGCCCGAAACUACAAGUAAGCUUCAAGUGAAAUUGAUACAUUACCUUGUGCAUCUUCAUCGGUUAAAGAUACCACCCAUGGAUGGAGGAAAAGUACUUCCAGAGAAGAUGCCACAUCUACAUAUGAGACAGAUAAGGCACGUGAAAAUGAUACCUCACUUCAGUACUUAGAAGUUUCGUGAUUACUCAAUGGCUUGGAUCUUGCAAGUCCCCAACCGAGGAGCUUCCCUCACUCGGGAACUUAGGGGAGCACUAUUUGUACCAUACUUAACCAAUCCCGAAACUACUGAGCACCGGUCAACGUUAUACCGUCAAGGACCCAGAAGAGCUUCCCUUCAACCAGGAGGCCAAUCACAAUGCGACACGUGUCGACAUCAGAAGCCAAUCACAGCUCGACACGUGUCAACAUCAGAAGCCAAUUACAACACGACACGUGUCAAUGUUAGAACAAAACUAGAAACUCUCUUCUAUAAAUAGGGAUCAUUCUCCCACAAUAAUCUCUAAUGUCAUUUGUACUAAACUAUUCACUAGAACUCACAAAAUGAGAGCUUGAACCUAUGUAUUUGUGUAAACCCUUCACAAUUAAUGAGAACUCCUCUACUCCGUGGACGUAGCCGAUCUGGGUGAACCACGUACAAUUAAUGAGAACUCCUCUACUUAUCUUCACUAGUGAUCGAAGCAACCAAACGAAGGUCACAAACCUGACACUUUCUGUUGUACCAAAGUCCUCACUGAUUUUGUGCAUCAACAUCAACAAAUAAAAGCUAAUUCAUUUGACAGCAGGAUUCAACGUUUAUGUGUGCAUUAUAUCUUAAAAGUAAUUCAGCAUUAUAAGGAACAACAAAACCAUUAUCAAUUUUGAUCCAUUUUUUAUGACAUAUUUUGUAUCAUCAGUGUCUAUAAAUAGGAAACCAUUGUCUUAAAAAAUUGUCUCAUUUUUAUAUGGCUUAGGAAAGUUUUUGGAACACUUAUUUUCCCACAUGCAAGGAGAAUUUUGAUUAAUAUGUCCACAUGGACCAUGAAUCAUAAAUUGGUUAACAAUUUCGUAAAGCUGAGGAUUGACAAAUUUGUUUGGCAACUCAGCAGAAAUAAUUGAAUCUAUAUCUGAUGCCAUAUAACAUUUGAAAUUUGAUUUCAAUCAUAUUAACAUAUGAGAAUGAGGCAAACAUAUUUUUUGAAAUUCAAUUGUACAAACAUCUGUUUCCAAAAAUAAUUGAAACAGACAAAAACCCAAAAAAAAAAAAAAGUUAGCAUGAUAAAGCAAAAAAAGGGAAACAAAUUUCAGAUAAGGGAAAAAAUAAGUUUUUAGAAACUUACCUGCCUCAACUUGUCCAAAGGGUUUUCUAGAUUUAAUGAAACCGAGCAUAUCAUCAAGUUUCAUUUUAAAUAUUCUAGAAAUUAUAUCAGGCCUGUCCUCAGGUUUGUAUCCCAUUUUUUUUUUUCAAUUUCUCUUAUAAUUUCUGGCCAUUUUACUUUGCAUGUAAAGGUUAUGAACAAAUCAGGAUGACCAUAUUCUCUACAAAUAGCCAUAGCAUCUUGAUAAUUAUUAAUCAUAUAUCUAGGACUUCCUGUGUAUGAAGCAGGCAACACAAUUUUUUGGCCUAACUUGUUUGCAUCAUUGUCACCUCUUGACAUUGCAUCGUAAAUUCCCUUGUAAAUUUCACUUCUUAAAUUUUUCAGAUUUUGUCUAAUAUAAUCCAACCUAUCUUCUUCAAGUGUUGCAUAGGAAUCUACCAAAUAUUGUUGAAAAAGUCUACCACAUUUUAACAGUGUAGUUAAGUAUGGAUCUCUUUCUUGAAUUUGGUAAGCUAUAUAAGUUCUCAUAGGUAUUCUUUGUCUCUUCGUUUUUGGACCGUUAUAAUUUUCAUUCCAUUGUAAAUCUGGUCUAUACUCAACUUCACCAUAUGGAAAAAGAAUAGGAUACUGAAGGGCCAUAAAUUUUGGAUUCAAUUUUGUAACACACUUUAAUCCUUUUCUUUUACAAUCUACAAUAAUAUCUCUAUUAGAGUCAGAUAAACCUAUAUCACCAAUUAUUAAACCACCUAUUUCAUCACUUGUUGGUUGAUCAUAUUGCUUGCUAUCAUUUGGUUGUCUCCCUAACAACGUAAGUUUUAAAUUGGUCAAACCAUCAGUUUCAUAUUUGUCUCUUGUUGUUUGAAAAAGUUUGACCAACUCAUUUGAUUCAUCAAACAUUUUAAUCAAGUUUUCCACAAUUUUUGAAUCAAGUUUUUUAUUUGUUCCAUCACAAUCAAAAGCUCUAAGUUGAUUCUGUAUUUCAUUAUAUAUAUCAUAAACAUAUAACUGAGCAAAUUUUGGAGACUCAUUAUCAACAGGUAAAAGAGAACCCAUCAAAUGACAAAUUUGACCACUAAUCUUAAAAAUGUAAGGACUUGAUCCGUUAUUCAUUGAGUGAUCAACUUUUGCUCCCAUUGAAGUAAAUGAAAACAUAGAAUUGUAAGCUCUAAUAUUUUCUCGAAAUGAUAAACUCUUUUACUUCCUUUUGGAUCAAGCAAGGAAUCUAAAAAAGAUGGUGUUGGCUUUGGACUUGAAAAUUUAAUUUUUCCUUGUUGACAACAAAGAGUAAAAAUGGGUUGAUUUUUUUUUUUCUAGCUUUGUUUAAGAGGCUCUUUUAACCAAAAAUAUGCACCACAAUACACGCAUUUAUAACUUUUAUCACCCAAAUCCAUAUCUUUCACAACCCCUACAAAAAAAACAUAUAUAAAAAGAAAUGUAAUCAAUACAUGGAAGUAACUUAAUCCUAAAACCAAGCCUAAAGAAAACAAUUAUUGCAAAAAAUUAAAAACAUACCGUUUCUAUUUUUUUUUUUUGGAAAAAGGCCUGACCCUUCUUCAUGAGACAACAAUUGUCAGCAUCUACGGUAUUGAACAAACUCACAACGUUUUUCCCUUUUUUAUCAAAGGUGUACAUGGUUUUUUCAAACGGGAUGAUGUCCAACAUUUCAUUAUCGUUAACAGAGUCAAUCACACAGUGGUUAGUAGAAGAUCUACCGGAGGAACAUUGAUAUUCAACUGAUGAAUAUUCGCAAAUAAAUAUGUCAAUCGCAUACAUAAUAACAUCUUCAGAAUUAUGCCUAUAACUCGCUCUACACAUUCUUUUUCGCUGGUGACCAUCGUCAACCAAUGUAUUACAUUCACUAUCAGUAACGCUUUUGUUUCGUUUUAUAGCAUCUUUUGUUUGAUCAUUUGUACAUUUUUAGACAUGAUGGAAACCAACCGUUACAACUUUUUCAUAAACAAACAACUGGACAACAGAUUAAAAAAAAUGAAAAAAAUCAAUAAAAAGAUAAGAUAUAUAUGAAAACAAUAAAGAUCACACAAAAACUAAUGACAUGUCUGAAUCAAAAGUUUCAUUUCAAUUUAACAAAAUGCAAAAGAAAACUGCAUUGUUAAAGUUUUAAUAAAUAAUUUCAGAACUUUAAAAAAGUUACCUUGAGGACAAAGCGCCUUGGAAGUUGAGGACAAAUAGCUUUAAAUCCAAAAUACUCAAGAUUUUUCAAAUUCUGUUAAAAAAAAAAAAACACAUCACCAGAAAACUCAUUACAACAAAUAAACACUUAUUUGUUCACAGGAACUAUCUAUUGUAAUAUAUGAUGAUGGUGCACGGUUGAGUGUUUAAGUUUAUUAAAUAACUGAAAGUUGGGGGUGGCUGGGUACAUGUUUUCCUUUCCUUUCGUUUUUUUUUUUUUUUUUUUUGGUGUUUAUUUAAUAUCUCCAAGUCAACGGUAGUAGUUCCUAGGAAAACAAAAGUUGAGUUAAUUAUUAAAACAAGGAAUACCAUAGUUCACCAAUGUGACAGAGAUGCACUGUGUGUGCAAGAUUAGGGAUGAGUGCGGAUGUACUUACGCUACCAAAAAAUCUAAGCAGAAUUGAUUACUGAUUUUAAUAAUUAAAAUCAGAUACAAUUUUUCAAAAAUAAAUGCAAGGUGAUGGGUAAGUUUGUCAAUGAAACGAUUUGAAGUCAUAUCUUUACAGGUAGGAGAUAGCAGAUAUUUGCAUUGCAUAUCUUAGCAGAAUGAGCAGAUAUGAAGGAAAAUUAGAUUUAUUCAAUUUCGAUAUAAAGAGAAUUAAUUAAUGCAGGAACAACGUUUGUGCACAUUGAGAAUCAAAUUAACUAAUUAACUUACUAACCCGUAUUGUAAAUUUCACACCUAUACUCAAAACAAAUUUUGUAACCAAUGUCCCAAAAAAGAGGCAAAAGGAAAGAAAAAAAGCCUUUGUAUGGUAUACUACGGCGUUAUCUGUGUAACCGAACUCAACCCAGCAACCUUCUUGUAUACUUGGAAAUUUGUUACAGAUGUUAUGGCUGCAGAAGAAAAUAUAUCUUUCAGCAUUAAUAUCAUUAAGACUUAAGUAUAAUACCAUAGUUCACCAAUGUGACAGAGACACUGUGUGUGGAAGAUUAAUGAUGAGUAUGGAAGUAAUAAUGCUAUCAAGAAAUUUAUGCAGAAUUGAUUACUAACUUUAACAAUUAAAAUCAGAUACAACUUUUCAAAAAUAAACCAAGGCCAUGGGUACACUUUGUCAAUGAAACAAUUUUAAGUCAUAUGUUUACAGCUAGGAGAUCGCGGAUAUUUGCAUUGCAUAACUUAACACAAUGAGUGAAUAUGAAGGAGAAUUAGAUUUAUUCAAUUUCGAUACAAAGAUAAUUAAUUAAUGCUCCUUAGACAUCAAUUUGAUUAAGAUGUGUGCCUGUCUUCUCAGUUUUUGGCAUUAUAGAUGUGGGUGGUAUAAAUUUUUACUUAAAAAAUUGAACUCGAAAUGAAAACCUAGGUGAGAAAGCAUGGAAACAACUCUUGUGUACAAAUGACUUGUACGAAUGAAUUUUCUUGAGAUUUGAUCCCAGCUUUUUGAUAAUUGUCAGCUUUUAUAACUCAAACCAUUUCCAAUAACUAUUUGGUUAUAGGAUGAAUAAUUAAGCAUAAAAAAGUGAGUUCAUGCUUAUGAAAUUGAGAAGGCAGGCACACAUCUUAAACAAAUUGAAAAAUGAUGUCUAAGGAUUACAUAUAGCAUAUUUCAGCUAAUGAUACAACGGCCAUUGAAUUCUGUAUUGCAAAUUUGGCUAUUCAAAAGCCUCUGAAUUUAUAGACUAAAUCAGGAUCGCAUUAUUAAAUCAUAUUAUCAAAUUGGAAUACAAACAUUGAAAAAUACAUGAACUCAUGCGCAACUUUGAUUAAUCCAACAUUAAUAUCGGAUCUAUCUUGAGAGAGUACCUUCUCACAGAUCAAAAUAGUCACAUCUUACUUUCUAACUCUUUCGUAUAGGACCUCAUCCUUCUCACAGAUCUAUAUCUACUUCUAGAUAGCCUUUAGGAUUUCCCUGGCUUAGCACAAGAAUUCUAUCCUUAAAAGAACUCUCUACUGACUGGUAUAAAUACACCAUUCUAGAGUUCGUCUCUGGUUGCGCAAUCAUCGCACUCUAACUCUUUUGCCCACUGGUUAAGUCUUAUACUUGCUUAUUAACUUGACCGUCGGAGAGUCUUUGGCUAACACACACCCCUUAGGUCUUAGGCUUGCUCACGUUGUUUGCUGUUUUACAGGUUACUCAAAUUUGUGCCUCCACCAUCUGCGAUAGUGACGAAUUUGGUUCCAACAAUUGGUUUUUUCAUUGAGAUAGAACUCAUAUUCCUCUCGACUAGAUCACUCUACCCAUUGAGGCCCCUCUUAAAUGAUUGAGAUGUGACUGUGCCAUCUUCCCACAUGAAAAAGAUAUUUCCUUCAUGGAAAAUGUAUGGGAAAACAUGUUAUAGAUACAUGCGUCUAUAAAAGGGCUUCGAAGAAGUUCACGAGCCAAGGAAUAGGCAAAACUCAUUAACCUUGAGAUGCGAGUAAAGGCUAUUGAAGUUAAGGAAUGGGUAAAUGACGGAUCAGAAGUCAACAUCCUCUUUAAGGGUGUAGCUAAGAGGAUCGGCAUUCUUGGCAACAUUAACGAGGGUAAGACCAUCUUCCAAACCCUUAACGAAGCCACUGUCCAGUCGUUGGGAACGGUAAAACUAACAGUUCAAGCAGAAUCACAGUCACCUGGUGACCUUUCAUAUUAUGGUCUGCCUAAUCUUUACAAUGCCAUUCUCAGCCGAAACUGGUUGCACGAGAUGAAAGUUGCUCCAUCAACCUACCACCAGCUGCUUCGCUACCCCAUAGUGGAUGGAGUUUAUAGAGGGCGGAAUGUUUGAGAAGGCAAGGAAGCUGACAGAUACCAAAACCUUUUAACUCUGAAAUGGGGGCAGGAAGAACAUACAAAAACAAGAUAAGAGCUGGAGCCCAUCCCAGACACAAUACGACAGUUUUCCAUCCUUUAUCCGAUCAAUACACUAAGACAAGUGGAAAGCAAAAGAUUUUCCAUGGGUUUAAUACCUAGUACCAAAAUAAGGUGGUACUUCGGCUAUUGUGAUGGGAAUCUUUAUGAACGCAAAGUUUGGAAGGUAAUGUUUGUCCGAAUCAACAUUACCAGGGGGCUUCGAGCUUUGUGUUCUGCUUUAUUACUCAUUACUUCGAAGUUAACGUACUUCGGAAAAAUUGUCGGAUUAAAUCAUAUUCUACAAUUUUAAAGCAAAGGAUGGAAAGUCUCCCAAGCACUUAGUAACUUGGGUAAGAGCUAUUUAGACACAGGCAUAAAUGUCAUCCAAAACACCAUGCAUUCACAAGUAAAUUGCAACAAAAUAAGAUAUCCCAGAGUACCAUCACUAGGGAAAGGAUGUUCAAGUUAUAGAAAGGACAUGCCCUCAUCCUAGCAAAUAACAAAUUAACGCAAAACAUUGCCAACAACCUUUUUUGGCAACAACUUCCCUUUUGGCAGUAGUUAAAGGAUAUGCAAAAGUAUUGGCUGAUGGAUCACCACUGGAAGCAUAUCCUCUUAUUCGAAUGCCUCAAAGUCAGAAAUUUCACUCAGUAAAUCUUUAAGAGCAGCAAAAUCAGCAUCCCGGAUUUCUUUCAGAAUCUGGUAGUUGUCCCAACCUCCCAAAUGAUCUUGCUACGUGUAGCCAAAGAUAUACCCAAAGUUGUACCCCUCCGCAUAUUCUUUUGCGAGCACUUUCUUGUGAGAUGCACGCAGGCCCAUUAUUUCUGACUCAUGCUCAUCCUUGAGUUGUUGAAGAUCUGCAAGGUGAAUCAUCUCACGGAAAAGUCUUUCCACCUCUGAUUGGAGACUAGUCCACUCCCCUUCUUAAGCAUUCCGUUUCGAAGACAACGUUCGCAUUGAUUAGGCUUCAAGGCGCACCAAAGUUUGCUCCGCCUCAACUUUGGCUCCAACUUUUCCUGCAGUUCAGCAAGAGUUGCCUUGUAUUCAUUCGCUUUAACAUAUUCAAGAGUGGCUUCAUUUAAGAAUUUCUCUACCUCUACCUUAUGGGCUACUCUCAUAGUUUAUUGCUCUACUUGUACCCUCCUGAGCUCCGCCAAUUGAGCUUGCAAUUGUUGCUCGAGCUGCAUUUGGCCUCUAAUUCGUGCAAGAAAGACCGCUCAAGAAGAAAAAUUCACUUCGCUUGGUCGAAAAGAGUCGCCUUUGUUCAGACAUCAGCCUGACCAACACAAGUAAGGGAAAGGAAAAACAAAAUUACUAAAGUUAUUUUGUAAGAAAAGAAUGAAUGAUUACCUCAUAUCGACUUUCGUGACAUUGCAUCAUGGCAUCUUCAAAGGACGUGCGAGCUUCCUUGUAGUUUGCAGAAAAAAACUGCAGAGCCAAGAAGAGCUCAGGUAAAGUCUGCGUUUUGAAGUCUAUUAGUGUCCAUUAAGAAGGCAACGUGAUUUAUUGAAGGCUUAAUGACAAUCGAGGGCAGCACGCCCCCUUCAAUUCUGGUUAAAGUCGCCAGCAAGGGAAUGUUAGCUUCGAAAGGCACCUUGACAGGUUCGGGUAAACUCCUUGUCGCUGGAGGUGUCAGAACUGGGAUAUAAAAAGGUUUAAGGACUCGAACAUCAUUCAAAAGUGGAGGCAAGCUUGGAUUCAGGUGGUUGUUGUUGCGUUAGUUCUUGAGAUGGAAGGAAGAAAGGUUGAGAUUCUCUUAUGAGAGGAUGCGGAGCAGAAGUAUCUGGAGUUAUAUUUAUUGAAACAGUAUGACUUCUCUUUCUCCUCACAGUGGAAUUUCUUCCUUUUCUUUGGGAUUCUCUGGUACCACCUCUAUUUUUGGUAGUUCCCCUUCUUUGGGAUUCUCGGGUACCACCUCUAUUUUUGGUAGACGUAUUUGAAAAGGUGUAGCUAAUGACAUUGAGGAAGUUUUGCUGGACCAUUUUCACUUUUUUUUUGCUGGAGUGGGAGAAAUUUUGGGUUUAGGAUGAUGGGCCCCCUUAUAAACCUGUUUCACUUCGAUCCAAUUAGGAUUCAGAAUAGGGAAAAUAGAGCAAUGAUUGAUGACUAUAUUAUUCCCCUAAUCUCAAAAUCGAACUGGGGAAGUCAUCCAAUUCCAAUUAUGGUGCUUAAUAAGGAUUUGCAUUGCCUGAUUGAUCAACUCUGGUCAACACGCGCCAAUAUUCUUUAGGUCAUUGUUCAGACAAGGGUUGCGAGAAGUGAUGUUUUUAACUCUAACCCCUAAGAUGUCACCCUCUCAAUCACCAUCGACUACCCAGACAUCCUUGAACCAAUCUUUAUCUUGCCAAGGAAAAUCUAGGAUAUAUGGCGUUCAUAAUAGGCUGGGUUUUGGCAUGAAAUAGUAAAGGUCGUCAGAGGUUCUUCGCACGUUGUACAUCAUCCUGAAUUCUUGGAGCCCGAGAUCAGACCUUUACCAAUGAUUAGACAAAGCACGUGAUAAGUUUGAAGGCAGCUAGGGCCAAGUCACAUAUAGCAACGUCAUAACUGAUCAGAAUACCUUUUACAAGAUUAGACAAAGGGAAUCUUAGGCCUAGGGAUUAGACGAAGCAGGAAGAUCGACUUGAACAUUUUGCUCAGGUUCCCACCAAACCCUACAUUGGUUUAAUAGGUCUUGAUGGCUUUGAAUGAGGGCCUUGCCUUCUUCUUGACUACAUAAACUCAUCAAUGGAAGAUUGUACGGAAAGUUCUUUGAUGAUUUUGAAGUUUUGCUCGAAGAAACAGCCAUUAGAGAAGACUGAAAGGAUUUAAAAAUUUGAAUGUGUGGGUGAAAAAGUUGAAACCUUUUUCCUUGACUGAUUUGAGGAUUUUUUGAAAGAUGAAAGGAAAGAGCUUGAGGUUAUAUAGGUGGAAUGUUGCGAAGUAGUCCAGCCGUUAAAUGAAGUCCCACCUCUCUAGGGAUUAAUAAAUUCGACAAGUAUUUUUGACAUAAAUUUCUCCUUUUUCAUGCAUAUGCAACAAAGAUAAACUUCAUCAUUGGGACCUUUGGUGCGUUUGGUACGUGGGACGGGACGGGACGGAACGGGACGAGGCGUUCCGUCCCGCGUUUGGUGCGCCAAAAAUGGGUGGAACGGGUUGUUCCACAGGACAGAUUUUGGGUGUUUUUGCGUCCCACCUCCCCCCCUGGAACGGGUUUGUUCCACGUAUGUGGAACGCAAUGUUUUACCAUUUUAAGACAAAUAUACCCCAUGUCUUUUUCAAAAAUUACACCUUCAUUCCGUCCCGUUCCGUUUCGUCCCGUCCCGUUCCGUCCCGUCCCGUCCCGUCCCGUCCCGUUCCGUUCCGUCUGCGUACCAAACGCACCCUUAUGGCACAAUACUCGAGACAACACAUCUCAAUUUGGAAUGUCUCGUCGACUCUAUAAAAAGGGAUCACCUAAUGAAGAUUGAAGGCUAAACAAUCCGUAUUCCAGCUUACUUUGAAAGGCAUGGUCUUGGUCUUUGAAUAACUAUCCAUCCUCAAGGGGAACAAGUUCCUUUUAGAUACAUAUAGUUAGGGGCAAUUGGGGGACCAUGAUUUGCCAGAGCCGAAGUCGGGCUAAUCAAAAUAAAGUUACCUCAAAAGUUCGGUUAUGGUCUUAACAUGUCAAAGCGGAGCUAGAUUAACCGAGCUGUGGUGCCACCAACAUCCUGUUCCGGAGCAGUGUCCAAAGUCCAAACGAUUUCACUGAGAAUGACCAUACUUGUUCCGCAAGACACUGGGAUAUGAUCUGGUAUGGAAUCAACCAAAUCUUCUAUAUGUCUUGGAGUUCAUACAAUCUAGGAAUUGGUAUGCACCACAAGUAAUCACACUCCUAAAGAGGAUGCAAUAUCUACUUCUAGAUAUCCUCUAGGAUUCUCCCAGCUUGACACAAGGAUUCUAUCCUAAAAAUGUCUCUCUCAUGACUGGUAUAAAUAUACCCUUCUAGAGUUCGUUUCUAGCAACACAGUCGUCGCACUCUAAUUCUCUUGGCCACUGAUUGAGUCUUAUACUUGCUUACUAACUUGAUCGCCGAAAAGCCUUUGGCCGGCACACAUUCCCCCUGGGCAGUUUUAGGCUUGCUCACGAUUGUUUGUUAUUUUACAGGUUGCUCGGAUUUGUGCUUCACCAUAUGCGAUGGUGUGCGAAUUUGGUUCAAGCAACCGUGUUGACAAAAAAAGUCAACAUAGGUUCAAGAACUGGACCGAACCAUUCAGACCGUCCUGACAUAAUCGCUCCAAACUAAACCGAACUAAACCGUGACUAUAAAAAAUUUGUAAAAAUAAAAAUAACACAAUUGGCAACCUGAUUCUGACUACAACUCUAAAAUCAUCCUCCAGUGAUCGGUGUAUGUACUUUUGGAAAUUGAAUGCAUUGUUGUUAAGGCAGAUGAGUCUACAAAAUUUGUGAAAACAUAUUUUAGAUAUAAACUACUGAAAUGUGAGAAAUAAGAACCAAAUAACAGUGAAAUGAAUGAUAUAAGACUUAUAUUUCCGAACAACAAUGCAUUCGAUUUCCAAAAGUACAUUCAACGACCACUGGAUGAUGAUUUUAGAGUUGUAGUCGGAAUCAUCCUCCAUUGAUUUGAUAUAAAAACAUAUUUGAUGGGAUUUAGUAGCAAAUGUUGGAUUGUAGAAUCUAAAAACGGAUUGAGAGGCUAAAGUGUAAUUCGGAUAUUAGUACUACAGCCUAGUAGCGUACUUGUAAGUGAGAGAUCUUAGGUUUGUAUUUCAGGAAUAAGGAGUUCAUAGCGAAUUUAUUCCAUAUAUAAUUGUGCAUAUAAAAUAAUGUAAUUCGAAAAUUAAUUUAGUGACCAUGCUACAAUUAAUUAUAUCAUCAAUUUUGGAAUCCCUUUCUUGGCUUAUGUCAAAAUUCAAACAAAUUUAAACCUGUUGUAGGCCUAUUUAACUAAACUACACUAAGGUGUAGAGAGAGAGGGGGCUGGCAGUAGCAAGAGAGAGAGGAGAGAUUUAAUUGUGAGAUGUGUAUUGUAUCACCCCAUUGUGCCUUUAUUUAUAGUAGUAGGAUAGGUAAAAACUUUACCUUACUAGGAUUACAAUUUUUAUUAAGUAAUCAACUCCUAAUAGGAAUACAAGAGAUAUUCCUAGAUUCACUAGGAUUUACAAAAUCACAUUCUUAUUCUAAAUAUGACUGCAACACUCCCCCUUGAGUGUGUAAAUACUCAACAAGCCGUCGCAUCAGAUCUUCAGCAGAUAAGGUAGAAUAGUUGAUGAAGUCAGUGGCACAAUGGGUGAACGCAACUCUCAAAUUUAAGAAAGUAUCCAUUGGUAGUAAAACUCAUAAAACCUCGCUAUAGUAAAACUCAACAUGGGAGAAAAACUCAUAGACUAAGGAGAAAAGUGAGAAGUAUGCAUAAUGUCUAAAACAAACGUCACACAAGAUGAAAUUAGUGAACUCAACGGAGUAUGAUCAUCCCAGGAUAGGUGCCUCAUCAAAAUCUUGUUAGGUAGCAAUAACCCAGUAGGAAAAUGCUCUUAAUCAUAGGAAAAAGAGUUCAUUAAGGUCAAGUGAGUAUGCUUCUGGAUACUCCCCCUGAGUUAGACAUAACUUCUAAAUAAGAAAACUACAAGUGAUUCAACUCAGAUAAUUUAAGCAUAUCGAUUCCUUGGACGAGCUUCUGAAAAGUAGACUUAGGUAAUGACUUGGUGAAGAGAUCAGCCAGGUUGUCCUGGGAACGGAUUUGCUUGACUUUAAUGUUCUGAUGUUGCUGCUGCUAAUAAGAGUAGAAGAAUUUCGACACUAUGUGCUUGGUGUUGUCUCCCUUGAUGUAUCAAUUUUUAACUGCUCGAUACAUGUUGCAUUGUCUUCAAAGAUCAUCGUAGGAAGGUCAACGACGGAAGUAAAACCUCUAGAGCUUCGAAUAUGUUGCAUGGCUGCUCUCAACCAAAAGCACUCACACGAUGCUUCAUGCAGGGCGAGGAUCUCAGCAUGGUUCGAAGAAGUCGCAACUAGCGUUUGCUUGGUAGACCUCCAAGAUAUAGCGGUGUCUCCAACGGUAAAGACAUAAUUGGGAACGUGUCCUAUAUAGGUCAGACAGAUAUCCAGCAUCUGCAUAACCAACAAAGCAAGAAUCAAUCCAAGAACUGAUAGGGGCUGCAACACUCGAAGAUUCGGGGGUAUAAAACAAGCCCAAAUCCAUCGUACCCUUGAGGUAGCAAAAAAUGUCUUUAACAAUAUUCCAGUGCUUGCAUGUGUACGCAUUACCGUAUCUUGCCAAACGAUUAACAACAAAGGAAAUGUCAGGUCUAGUGCAUUAAGCCAAGUACAAUAUAGCCCCAAUUGCACUUAGGUAUUGAACUUCGAGUUCCAAAAUCUCUUCCUCAUCCUCCUUUGUAUGGAAGGGAUCUGGUUUAACAUCUAGAGUCCGAACGACCAUAGGUGUACUCGAAGGCUUUAUCCUAACAUCGCAACACCUUCUGGGUAUAGUUUGGUUGAUGUAUUAGGAUUCCAUCUGAACAAUGCUCGAUCUCCAGGCCGAGGCGAUAUCGAGUUUUCCAAAGAUCUUUCAUCUCAAAUUCCGAUUUCAAGUGUGUAGCAAUUUCUUCAAGCUCUGUGAGAGUUCCAAUGAGGUUCAUGUCAUCGAUAUAAACUGCAACGAUUGCAAAUCUAGAAUGUGGUUUCUUUAUGAACAUGCAUGGGCAUAAUUCGUUGUUCACAUAACCCUGACUUAUCAAAUAUUCACUCAGACAGUUAUACCACAUCCGCCCGGAUUGUUUUUGAAUCCUUAGAGUGACAUCCUCAUUCUAAUAGAGAAAGUGUUCCGUGGUUUAGAACUAUUUGAACCAGUCAAUGGAAGUCCUUCUAGAACUUUCAUGUAUAUUUCUGUAUCUAAAUCCCCAUAGGAUACGCGGUUACCACGUUCAUAAGCUGCAUAUUCAGCUUUUCAGAAACUACCAAACUGAUAAGGUAGCGGAACAUUAUGACGUCUAUUACGGGGGAAUACGCCUCCUUGUAAUCAAUCCUAGGGCAUUGAGAGAAGCUUUGCUCUACGAGGCAUGCUUUGUAUCGCACUAUUUCAUUCUGCUCAUUACGCUUCCUCACGAAAACCCACUUGUAGCCAACGAGCUUCACAUGUGGAGGAGUAGGAGCUACGAGCCCAAACACCUUAUGUUUUGCAAGUGAAUCAAGUUUGACCUAGAUUGCUUGUUUCCAGUUUGACAAAUUUGUUCUACAUCGGCAUUCAUCAACAGAACGUGGUUGCAUGUCAUCACUAAGCAUGAUGUCAGUAGCUACUAAGUACGCGAAUGCAUCGUCGAUGAUCAUCUCAUUCUUAUUCCAAACCUCAUCCAAUACUGCGUGGUGGACCAAAAUCUCACGAUUCUCAAGAAACCAGUUUAUCUCAUCUAAGACAUCACCGUAAUCUAGAAUAACCUUCAUGCGUUGGAACGGAUGAGUGAGUGAUGGUCAGAUUCAAACUGGGGUCACUAGUUGGUGCUGAUUUCCUCUUUCGGGUUUGUGAAUCCUUUGAACCAAGGGGUCUACCACGCUUCAGGAUUGGAGCAUAUGAUUGGCUAGCUGCCAAUGUACUAGGCCACGUGGAAGGUACAGCCUCCCCACCAUCGGGGACGGUCCGGCCUUCCCAGGCAGGAUAGUGACGUAUAUGGGAUACGUAUAUCCUUGCAGGUGCGUUUGCAGCGGGUAUAUGUGAUAUUGUCACCUUUGCUAGAUUGGUAAAAGCAUCUAGUAUGCUCUAAGCAAUGCUCUGAAGAUCUAUAAUUUGGCGCACCUCAGUUUCAAACUGAGCAGUGCGGGGUUCUAAAUAAGACAUAGUGGGAGCAUACCAUGACAAUUCGUGGCAUUCUCCAGGAACAUUAGCAUGUUUAUCUCCUCCUAACGACAGGAAAACUGUCUCAUCAAAGUGACAAUUUGCAAAAUGUGCAGUAAAGAGUUCUUCUGUUAAGGGUUCUAAAUAGUGAACAAUUGAUGGCGAAUCAUAAUCGACAUAGAUUCUCAUUUUUCUCUGAGGACCCAUUUUGGUACGUAGUGGCGGCGUUAUUGGCACAUAAAUAGCGCACCCAAACACCCGUAAAUGAGAGACGUCAGGCUCGUAUCCAAUGACCAACUGUAAUGGUGAAUGUGGUUGGGUAGCGGUGGGCCUCAGGCGGACCAACAUAGCUGCGUGCAAUAUUGCAUAGCCCUUGGCAGAUACCGAUAGUUUGAUUCACAUAACCAAAGUCUGAACUAUUAACUGAAGGUGCUUUAUGAAAGCAUUUGCCAGGUCGUUUUGGGUGUGAACAUAGGGUACAUGAUGUUCCACAUCAAUCCCUACUAACAUGCAAUAAUCGUCAAAAGUUUGUGAUGUAAACUUUCCAGCAUUAUCCAGUCGAAUCGACUUAAUCAGAUAAUUAGGAUGGUAAGUGUGAAAUCCCGUUCCUGGAUUUCACUGUUAUCACCUACAUAUUUGUAUUAUUGAGAUUUUAUAUUAUUUCUCGAUAAUUUAUUUUAAUUUGUUGAAUUUAAAUUUUAAUUAAAUUAGUUAUUAACGUUUGAAGUUUGGGGCAUUUUAAAAAUAAAUAGAAAAAUCUAGAAUUCUCUUAUCAAAUAUGGUGUGCCACAUGGGUGGCCCAGAUUUAAUGAAAAGGAAAAUGGAUGGUGGAGAUGCAAAGGAAAGGACUUGAGAGAGGAGUGGAGAGCAUGGGCACUGCCCAAUUAGAAAUUAAGAAAAGAGGGAAAUGAGAGAAGAAAAAAAUGAGGGAAGAAAAGGAAGAAACGGGUUUGUACGACCCGUGGGUAUUGCCGGCCACCCAUCUCCAUUUUCCGACGAAUUUCUUCAAACAACCACUUGGAAACACUCUCUUGACCUUCCCUCUACAUGUUUCACCCUAAAAAUCAAAGGUUUUGGACUUGAAUUAGGGAGAAACCGCAUUAAGGGUGCGGCGGGUGUGUGUGUCAAAUCUCCCAAAUCCCAAAUGUUUACACACAAUGACCAAUCAAAAGACUUCCCUUAAGCCCCUGAACAAAGCCCAGGCAGUGGUGGAGGCGUCGGAGCAAGUUUGGAGGUCGAAUUGGAGCACACCCAAUUCUAGGGUUCUUACGGGUUUUAGAGAAAUUGGAGCACUUCUUGAUAAAAUUGGCCUUGGUCACAGGUAUAAAUUUUACUCUACUCAUUGAGAUCUUCAUUUCUGUAAUUUUUGGUAAUUUUUAAAAAUAGUUGAAUUUUCCGGCAAAUCGGGGCGGCCGACCGCCACCCGCGGCGGCGACCCGGCCAGCAGGCCGACGAUGUCCUUUUAAGUUCAAUUAGAUGCCUUGAUUUCAUAACUGACAUCCUUAUGAUAUAGUUUGAUUGUUUGAACCUAAUUUCAUUACGAUAUGUGGUUAGGUCAAAAUGUGAUUCGACGAUCCGACCGUUGGAUCGUCAGCAAACUUUAAUGCGUCAUAGAAUGUAAUAUUUGAGGAUGGUUUGAAUUGAUGGAUUGGGAAUCCGAUGUACUGAUCUUCCUAAUUUGGAUUUCUAAGUUUGUAAAAUCAAACGUUGGUCGCCACUUGAAAUUGUAAUUAGCGGGGAUCCGACCGUCGGAUCAUGAUAAAAUUUUGGUAGGUUGUUUUAGAAGUAUAAUGUGGACUUUAGAAGGUUACGGAUCUGAAAUCCAAUGUGCGGAUCUUCCAUAUUGAAUUGUGUAGAAUUGUGGAUCCUACCUUUGACCGAGAGUUGACUUUUUGUCAACAUGUCUCCAAACGUUCUUAAUGCUAAAUUUAGUACUACGAGAGACUUAAGUGAAGUCUAGUGGACCUCCAUUGGUCGGAGAGUGACUUGAAUAUUUGUGAUACGGUUAUUACUUUAAUCAUUUAUGUUAAAAUCAUUUAUGAAUAUGAAUUCGUCUUAUAAAUAUGAUUUCUAUUGAAAUGUGAUUUUCAUAUAUUUAGCCAUAGACUUAUGUUUAUUAAACAUGAUGUGGCUUGUGUACUGAUGAUAAUGGUGAAUAUGUGUGUUUAAUUAUUUCUAGUAAUGCAAAGGAUAAGUAUGAUAGAUUUUAUGGCAAUGUGAUCUUAGAAUCCUAUUAGAAGUAUUUUGUAGAACUUAUAUGCUUGUGAGACCUAUUAGGUGGUGGUCAUGAGAAGUGGAUAUGGUAGGUGACUACGUUGUAAGUAUAGAGGGGAUGAGGGUUAGAUAUACUUGGUACAUUCAGUGGGUACCAUAUCCACAUGGAUUCCGUUGAGUGAUGUUCCGGAAUCAUAUCGUUGUUUGGAUUCUGUUGAUGAUGUUCCGGAAUCGUAUCGUUGUUUGGAUUCCGUUGAGUGAUGUUUCAAAAUCGCAUCGUUGGUUGGAUUUCGUUGAGUGAUGUUCCGGAAUCGUAUAGUUGUUUGGAUUUCGUUGAGUGAUGUUCCGGAAUCUUUGGAUUCCGUUGAGUGAUGUUCCGAAAUCGCAUCGUUGGUUGGAUUCCGUUGAGUGAUGUUCCGGAAUCGUAUCGUUGGUUGGAUUCCUUUGAGUGAUGUUCCGGAAUCGUAACUUUAAUAUGUGUGAUAUUGGUGAUUACCUAUGUUUCAUAAUUAUGACCCUCUGCAGAUAUAAAUUGGUUUUAUGAAUAUGUUUUCUAUUGAAUUGUCAUUUCCAAUACUUAGACAUCGAUUCAUGUUAUGAAAUGGGGUUUGGCGUGUAUAUUUGAAUUAUGGUUUGAUUUGUAUGAUUGGCAUGUUGUGACGAAAUGUGAGGACUAGUAAUGGACUGUUAACCAUUGUGAUGGAGAUUGGUUGCUUCGAUAUUGUUUGAUUUUCCGCUUUGUUGAUCAGUUCUAAAUUUGGUACUUGUGCUUAAUUUCCCUUUGUUGAGCUUUUGUAAAUUAAGUAACUUGUGUUUGUCUCAGUUAUUUGAGACGUCGUACAUUAUGGUUGUUAGCCUUUCGUGAUUCCGUUGAGUGAUGAUCCGGGAUCGUAUUCACCUUGGGUUUUAUUGAGUUUAGAUUGUCAUAACUUCAUAGAUGUAGGCUUCAGUCGAACUGUGUCGCUCUAGCUCAGCAUUCCGAUGAAUUGUAUGUGUUAUUGAUGAUAUGGUUAUUGGCAUUAUUGAUUGAUGUGAUAAUUGGAUGGUGUUGGAAUGCAUAUGUGAGGGUGAAUGACAUUAUGACUAGAGAUUAUUAUUGUGCUUAUUUAAAUGUUCCUUGAGGUGCCACAUAAUUGAAUUGUGGUAUUAUGUUGAGACCUAGUAGUCUAUGUGAUAAAUGUUCGAGAGUAAUGAAAUGGUGAACUACGAAUGGCUUGAUCCCUAUUGAGGGUACGUAGGCAGUCUAAUGAGAAUGUUAGAUGCAGCCAUAAAGCUAGAAAAGAAAAAAAAUUAUUGUGAAAUUUGGACCUUGAGUGGCCUUCUUUCAUAUCCUGGAGGCAGGGUAUGUUAGAAGUUCGAGUUUUCAGUAACAUCACGUGUCGAUCCUGGGCGUAGGUCAGGAUCGGGGCGUGACAGUAAGCCCUUACCUUAAUAAUUUGUGCUAGGUGUUUAGCAAAUGCAGCAUUGCGUGUGGACAAUAGGCAAACAUGUGACCAUCGUGUCGAUGCAUCAACCAACACCAUAAAAUAUCGAAAUGGUCCGCAUGUUGGUUGGAUAGGUCCACAAAUAUCCCCUUGAAUCAUCUGAAGAAACUUAGGAGGGGGUCAUGAAGAAACAUAAGGAGGUAACUGAUGCCCAUGUGAUGAUUUGAGGAUACAACGCAUCAUGUCAUGUCCAGGAUGUACUAAACUAUCAUGCCAAAGUAGCAAAAUGUUCUGGAACUCAGGCAUAGGGUCGGCCAUAUGAUGAGCUUCUAUGCCACGAAUGGUUGUGAUGUACAACCCAUUCGGGAGACGUUCCAACUUCUCAUGAAUACGUUUUUGGGCCAUAUUCGUAAGAAGUGAUACAAAGAAAUUCAGAAUCAUUAUCUUCAGUGGUUUCAAUAUGAUAUUGAUUAUCUCAAAUAUCUCUAAAGCUUAGCAACGUUCUUCCGAAACAUGGAGAAUAAAGUGCCUCCUUAAUGGUUAAGAUUGUACCAUUGGACAACAUGAUACAGGCUUUUCUGUAUCCUUCAAUCAGGUUGGAUGGGCCUGAUAGAGUUGUCAUCAGAGCAUUCUUGGGUAUUAAGUUAGUAAAUAAUGUCACUCACGCAAGAUGGUGUGCAUGUUAGCAUUAUCAGCCAGACAAUUAACUUCCCCACUAGACAUACCUAGAAAGAAUUUAAUUGAAUUGGUCACAUGUAUAAAUGUAAGUCCAUUCAUUAAAAUAAGCAAUUCGAGAAAAUAAUAUCCAUCAAAUAACAAUCCAUAAUUCAAAACAAACCAAAACCAAACAAAUUAUUCCAAAUACUUAGAAAAAUUGUUCAAAAUUAAACCAUGAACCUAGAAAAAUAGGGGGGAGGGUUCGGCCACUCCUAGUGAGUUUGGCCACUAGGGGUAAAACACCCUAAAACAUGUCUAAAAUUCAUUCUUCCAUCGGAGCUGAUGCCUCCUGAAAAUCCAAUAUCUCCAUUGAUGUAAUAGUAUCUUCCGAAUGUUCCACAUAUGCAAAGUUAGACUCACGACGGGAAUGAUACUUGGCAAUAGCCUUGGGGGUAGCUCGGCAUACGCAUGACCAAUGAUCCUUUGGUCCACAGCGGUAGCACAUGUCCAUUUCAGUGGAAGCAGACUGAACGGGAGCUUUGCCCUUGUUCUUGAAGUUUGGGGCCUUAGGGGCAACAGGUGGAUGCUGCUAGGUCGGAUUUCCUCCCUUAGGGCCGACACUCUAUUGACUUUAGGCCCGUUGUUGGGCUUACCGCCUAUUAUCAUAGCCACGACAAUUCUUUCGUCGUUUGUGGCUGCUAGAAUUUCUCGUAUGUACUUCAAGCGAGGUGUUUAAGCUAGUCGGUCAGGCUUGAUGAUUCUUCAUCAAAAGUUGGUUCUACUUUCAACAAGAAGUAGUACAGAGAUCAAAUCCAAAAAUUUGGUGAAUUUAUGUGCCCUAUAUUGUUACUGCAGGACAAUAUUGGUUGCAUGGAAGGUCGAAUAGGUCUUCUCUAUAAGAGAUCUGAUUCGAUUAGUUCCACUUUACAGAACUUUAGAAGUGAUCGGAUUCUACAAACUUCAUAGUUGUUUCAUUCAUGGACUUAAAGUCUUGGAAGCAAAGAUGUCGCCAAACGUGUCUUGCUUCAGGCAAGUAGAGGUCUUUCUAGUGAUCAAAACGGUUGGCCAGAACAAGCUAGAAGGUGUGUGGGUCCUCCUUAAUGAGGUACUCGGUCUACAGUGCAUCAUGGAUGUGUCUUCGAAUGAAGAUCAUUGCAGUAGCUUUUUCAUCUUUGUCGAUGGGUUCAUCAUCAAUUGGUUCCUCGAUAGCGGCUCGAAAACUCUUUGCAGUUAGAUGGAGCUUCACAUCUUGAACCCACCUCAGGUAGUUUCUUCCAGAUACUUCCAGAGCGGUGAAAUCAAGCUUUUUUAAGUUCGACAUGUCCCUAAAACAAAGGGUACAGAAAAAACGUGAUUAGUCAUAUGGUGAUCCAUAGACAUAUAUCGUAGAACAUUCAGGUUCUAUAGACAUGUAUUGGUUUAAUUUAUGCAUGAAAGUUAUAGGUUUCAUGUGGUAAGUUUUGAAUGAAAACUUCAGGUUUCAAAGGCACUAAAUAUGAAACUACAGGUUCAAUUUAGUUUUAUGAACGAUUAGUUCAUGAGUGAAAGGUUUCUGCAAGAAACACAGAAUGCAAUAUGUUGAUUUAAGUAUAGUGGAUUUGAGUUUCUUCGGGAACUCAAGUGUGAGAGCUUCGUUACUACGAAAGUAUGCCAACGGUUCAAAGUAUAAAAAUAAAUUAUUAAAUUGUUAAUGUCCAAAAGUGAUCUUUAGGUCAAUAAUUUUGGAUUCAUUAUCAUAUUAAUGGACUGCAUGUCACUUUUAAUUAAUGCAAUAGAUCGGGACUAAACGGGGUCGAUCGUGGACGCAAAAUUAUUUGGGAAAAUGCCUUGCAGGUUCGGCUGCAAGCAUGUUGGGCCUCGAUGAGGCCAACAAGCCUCAGGCUGAAAGGCUUUGGGGAGCCCAAUAGCCAAGGCUGUUGGCUUUAGGUCGAAAAACAUAGCCCAAAAAUUUGGGCUUGGGUUGGCUGCAGAAGGGCAACCCACUGGUGGCUGUAGGCCACGAGCCGAGAGGGGACACAGGUGCAGGCCUAGCGGAUUGCUGGCCUUGGGUUCAAGUAGGGAACCCAGUCGAGGCUGGGUCCGGGUAGGGGCAAGCUUCAACCCAGUGCACAAGGCUGCGGGAAGCGGGGCAGGGCUCAGGACAAAGCCUAGCAGCCUUUUGCUGCUUGCAGUUUUGGGCUGAGAAUAGAGGGAAAAAUCCAGGGAAGGCUACAAGCUUCCGUUUGGAGGUAGGUUAGGCAUAAGGCCCGAGUUAAGCUAGCCAGGCUGAGGCCUGGUGUGUCCAUGUGCUCGCAACAAAGCCUAGAGGGCUGCUGCCAAGGUCCAAACGUCAAAACGACGUCAUCCUGGUGGCGUGCUCCACACGGCUGAGCUUCAGGUCAAUGGUGGUAGUGUGGCGGAGCCACGGUGGUAGUGUGGCGGCUGUGCCGCAUGUUCCCAAUAUAUAUUUUUUUACAUCCAUAAGGUUUGAAAAACCCUAUAUUGCUUCUAAUUUAUUUAUAUAUUUUGACUCACAAUUCCACAUUGCAAUUUAAUUGGUUAAUGCAUGAAACAUAUAUAUAUGUAUAUUGAAAAAAAUAUGAAACAUAUACAAUAUAUAUAUAUAUAUAUAUAUAUAUAUCGGAAGGAAAAUAUAACCAUAGAGGGGUUCAUACAUCAUGGGGAGUGUUUUCAUGCAUCGUGGACGUUUCAAAUAUCUUCCUUUAUUUUAAGCAUACCUGAUUUGCAGAAAACUAAUAAGAGCCUUUGAAUUUUGUGGAAGAUAGCCUUCUCCUACAAUCCGUCAGUUCCUCAGCUUCUGGCAAGAGCUUGUUGAUAACGUGUUGUAGGUCUAUUUAACUGAACUAUACUAAGGGGUAGAGAGAGAGGGGCUGGCGGUAGCGAGAGAAAGAUGAGAGAUUUAAUUGUGAGGUGUGUGUUGUAUCACCUCAUUGUGGCUUUAUUUAUAGUAGUAGGAUAGGUAAAAACCUUACCCUAUUAAGAUUACAACUCUUAAUAAGUAAUCAACUCCUAAUAAGAAUACAAGAAAUAUUCCUAGAUUCACUAGGAUUUACACAAUCACAUUCCUAGCUAUUCUAAAUAUGACUAUAAACACGGAAAUUCCUGAGAUGAAUGAGACAAGAACACGUGUAUAAAAUAAUAUUUUUGUAUUAAUGAUUUUGGGGUUACAAUCUCUCAGAUUUAAUCCUCUGAUUCGAUCUCUAUAAGGUGUUGAUUUGUGGAUGGGCUGCUGAUCCAAAGGGUCAUCGGGGCUUGAUCUUUAGGAUGAGCAGUGGUGUAUGGAUCUUCAAGGGCUUUUGUGCUUGAUCUUGAAGAACAGUGGUUGAAUUUAUUAAUGUUGUUGAUCCAAAGGGCCGUCAAGGGCUUGAUCUUAGGAUGAACGGUGAUGAACGAUGAACACUUUCUUCAAGGGCAGUCGGGGUUGGAUCUUAAAUUGGUGGAAGUUCUUCAAGGGUCAUUGGGGCUUGAUCUUGAAGGAGGAUUUGACGAAGAAUGGAGAGAGCUUUCUUGAUCCUUCGGGAUUUGCUUGGAAGAUUUGGAGUUUCAAAGCUUCAAGGUUUUGGUGUGAUGUGAAUUGGUUAUGAAUUGGUCUCUAAAAUGAAUGCCUUGGCUUCCUAUUUAUAGAAUUCCAAAACUUUAAUUUUUGGAUUUAAAUGAUCAUUUGAAAUAAAUCAUUUCUGCCAAAUGUUGACACAUGUCAUGUUUGAUGACUUUUCUGAUGAUUCUUGAUUUUUCGUUAAGUCACAUGCUAUGUGUAAAAUUUAUGUGACACGUGAACGUUGAAAUUUUAAUUAUUGAUCAACAUUUAUUUCACCGAAAUUUCGAUGUUUACGAUGACUACAGCAAAACCCUCAUUUUUUCAGAUUUUGGAAAGAAUGGCGUCAUUGAAUUCAAUAUCGUGAUAUGGGAGAUUGAGUAAGCUAAAUUUGGAGUAUUUUAAUGUCACACUAAAUAUGGCACCGACAAUAGACGUAAGCCAAAGUCAUAGGUUUAAUGCAGACAAAAGUGAAUACUAAAUACUAUAUACUGGAUACUGAAUGGAGGGUGGCUUUAAAGCUUUCGGCGUACCAAAUUAUGAUACUAAUUGACUUGAUUCCUUCACAUGGUAUAUAGGCAAUCUAGCUCGAAUGUUGGAUGUAACCAUAAGAUUGAAUAAAUUAAUAUUUUAUCAUGUUCCGAAGUUCAGCACAUGACAUUAUUGUGAGGUCUAGGUAUAGUCCUUAGAGUGAUAAAAACAAGGCUCCUCCAAGGAGGGCUAGUUGGAGGUGUGAAUUGACAUUUACUUCACACUCAUAGGAAAUCAGUCCAAGAACGAAAGCUUUCUUUCCAGUUGCUAUCCAAAAUUUUGGAAUUAUAUGUGUUGUCCAAAGGAUUAUUCUUCUUUUAUUAAAUUUCUAAGGAAAAUGAGCAAGAGGCGUAAAAGUUGAACGAAUGAAAUUUCAACAAUCUGGAAAGGGAUUGUGAGUUUGCCACACCAUUUUUCUUUCUUUUAUGCCUUCAUGUUUAUUAGAAGACAAAAAUAAAUGACUUUACAUUGGAGAAAAAAAAAAGUAUUUUCCUUUGAAAAAAAAAUCAACUAUUUAUUUAAGAGGAUGUGAAUGAUUGAUGCAUAAUGUGAAUACAAAGAACGACCUUAGAGGGAGACGAGACAUUUAUUAGAAGCCAAAAAAAAAAAAGUUACAAUGAUAUAGUAAAAAGGCAAGAAAACCUCGUUUUCUAAGUGGCAGUCAUUGACACACUACUUGAUUAGAAGAAAAGUCAUAGUAUUUUAUUUACUUUUGUUGGAAUGUAUAUUAAUAAUUAUAAUAUUUAAUUCAAAAUAUUGAAUGAAAAACACAUAACCGUUUGAAAGGGAUCAAGGCAUUCCUUGGUAAAACGGUAUCAUCUAAUAGAUGAAUGUUUGUAUCUCUUAAUCAACCAAUAUCUUAGGUUUUAUAUAAACUCAUGUUAGUAUAGCCGUGAAAGAUAUAGAAAAUUAGAGUUAAUUUUUAUUCUUGAGAAAUAGGGUUUCCCCGCUUUGUUUCUCUCAUGCUUCGUAUGUCAAAUUCCAAGUCGUGUCUUGAGAGUACGGAAUAUAUAAAGUUCGCCAGAGUCCGAAGAUUGAAGUGUUUUGACUUCGAAUUAUAAAUUGUUGAAUCCUGGGAGAUGGACGCCUACCAAACUACAAGCACAAGAGUAAGGGCGAAAUUCUAUCUUUAGGACAUUGCAUUUAUGCAAGCCUCAAUCUCCAAAUUUAUCAGUUUUUCUAACUUUAUCUUUAGUUGUUUAUAUUAAUCUUGUAAACUAUUGAUGUUGUUAUUUACUUUAUGAUUAUUAUCAUUGGAAUUCUUGUGUUGUUAUCAUAUUUUCUAAUAUUGCCUCAACAAUCUAAAGAUAGAAGUUUUAUCCCUAUGGAACAAUCAGAAAAAUAUGAAUGUUCGCAGUUCUCAUAUUGAGAGUUUAAAGCUGUGGCUUUAAAAGUGUUGGACAACAUAAGGUGUCGUAUUUGAUGUGAAGCCAAGAAUUGAAUGUUUCUUGACAUUAUACUGUGAGUUUACUCUCGUUAGUUUCUGAUUUAGGUGAGAAAUAAAUAUAUGUUUAUGUGGACUGUAUGCAAUAGGGUAAAUCUAGGUUUGUAUCUCAUAAUUGAAAAGGAUUCGAUACAGAUAUGUCUCAGAAAAUGCAUUCAAUUUGUAUGGGCAUUGCCACAUUCAAUAAAAAGUCAUAUUGGUUGACUGCAAGGGUCAGAUGGUUUGUGGUCAGACCAAUGGAUAUUUGGGCAUCCCCGAUGACUUUUCUCAACAGAUGCCUUGCUUGAUCAGUUUGGUUGGCGAUUGCCGAGCAAAAUGUCUGCAUCAUAAACUUUCAAUUCAUUCCCACAAGGACUAGAUAUGCAUGAUACAAAUGAUCGAAGAUUUUGAUUUUCGCAUGGGUUUCAUUAAUGUCAGAUUUGAAGAUAAUUUGAUGAAACCAAAAUUUUCCUUCAAGACUGAUCAAAAGGAUUUGGAAUGUUUCGAAUGCAUAUACACAUGGCUAUUAGAAGAUAUGUAUAUAAUGAAUGAUAUGAUGCCAAUCCAAUUCUAGGUUGGAACUUGAGCAUGAUGGGAAUAUUUAGAAGAUUAUACUUCUAAAAUCUUUUUAAAGGGAAAAAUUAUGACGGAUCUUGGGUGAAUGACCAAACUGCCUAUUUCAGAUAGGUGCAUACCAAAUGUUUAUUGGUUAAUAAAGAAAUACAAUAGUAAUAUGCAUAUAUUUAUCAGAUUUAUGUGUGUAUUCAUAAAAUCCAUGCCUGCAUUACCAGGUAUAUAGAAAUGCAUUUAUUAUCGUUUGUCAUAUCAUUAUUGCAGAUUUGUAUUUCUCCAUUGUAUAUCAAGUGUUGUACUAUGGAGAAUUAUGAGUACUUUCUCGAAAGAGGAGUAAUGUAAUGGGAACCAUGUUCUUCAUGGUAAGACGAUGAAAUUUGACUUUGAGUAGUGACAAUCAGUCGUGAUGUUGAGACGAUCAGUCGUGAUGUUGUCCUUAGUUAAAUUGUAAAGCAUGAAGUCAUUUUGUUUGAGUUAUUCGUCUUGAAGAUGACGCUUCAGUUGUGGGGGCCAAAGUCUGCUUUGAAAGGUUUAAGCACUCUAAGGUGAGGCUUACUGUGGAAACUGUGUACAUGCUACAGACAAACCCCUAACAAUUGAAGAUAGACUUAAAAAUGACUUGUGUGUUCUUCAUGCCACAAUGCGAUUGUUCUUUCUUCGGGAUAGAGAAGAUAGCCCUCCUUAUGUCCGUAUGUGGCUAUGAACUUUGGUUUGUGACAAAGAGAACCAUUGAUUUCAAGGUCAUUGAAAUGAAAUGGGCAUGACAAUAUCCAUAGGUGAGAUCAAAGGCCAAAGAUAUAAUUGGAAAGCCUAACCAUAUUGUCUAUAAAGCAGAUUUAUGCCGUGUUUACAAACCACAUGUACAUGGUUUUUGUUUGCUCCCUAAGUCCGCCAUGGUGCCUUGCGGGCAAGCCAGGGAUUUACUUCACAUACGAGAUUGGUGGGUGCGGGCGUGCCACUACUAGAUGCCGCUAGUAGACGGGAUUUGAAUGAUUGAGGUUGCGCCUUUGGACUUCAAAUCAAGAGAUUGUGCCAUUUGAGUGGGAAUUGCUCAAAUUAAGGUUCUUUGUUUGCCUUGAAAAUAAGGACUUUACUUAUAUGGAGAGAUAGAACAAUAUGUAAAUGAUAAGGUUGCUUGGAAAUAUAAAUGACAGAGGAAAAUGACUAAUAUUGCAGAUUGCUUGUGACUGGAAAUGAGUACAUAAAAGCUACAAAUGAGAUCGAUACCGCAAAUGAGCAGCAGAGCUAAUAAACUUAAAUAAAAGAAGGCUUUUGGCAAAUCUGGUUUGAGCAGAGUUUGUGCUUUUGUUUGUUUGUUUGAGUGUCCAUAAUCCUUCUCCAUCUACUUCUUUAUAUAAGGAUCUGGAAGAGCCCCCUUAUUGAGAUCUUUGUACUUGCCCGAAAGAAGCUUGGGCAGCUUGCAUUUCCUUACUUGGGUAGCUUGCAUUGCUUUUGCCAACUUGCAUGUAGAAACAAUAUUAAAAGGGGAACUUGCAUCUCCACCAUAUGUUUUAGCACAUGUUUUCCUACUUGUAAUAAACUAACAUUUAAAAGAAGCAAGUUGGCUUCUUUCACAUAUUUUUUGCAUCCACAUCCGUAAGUUGCCUUCCAACCCUUUUGCAAGGAUGCAUGCAUCUUGAUUAAACAAAGCUUGACAAAUCUCCACCACCAAAACAAAUUGGAAGAACAAUAUUAUAGUGUCAAACCCCUCCACUUGCCUCUAAAUAUCUUUCCAAAUUAGCUUUCUUGCAUAUUAAUCCUCUAAAUGCCAUAUUUUACCCAAAUUACCCAAAUAAGUAAAAAUGGGUAUAUUUUGAGUGCAAACAGUUUUAUUACAUUCGGGCAAAAGAUUUGGUGAAAGAAAAUAACCAACCAAGUCAUUUGGGAUAAUGGGAUUUCACGAGGAUGAUGGAGGAAGAUUUAGUCUUCUUUAUAUCUUGUUCAACUAUUAAUAAUUAAAUGUGACAAAAAAAAAAGAGUUUUGCUCAUAAGCCAAGUUAGUCAUGGAUAAAACCAAAGGACAUUCCUUUGAGAGAAAUUAUACACUGAAAAUGUGGGGGUCUUUUGGAAAGAAAAGAUGAUACAUUGAAAAUGUGUGGAGCAUCUUGCAAAAUUAAAUUAGACAUGAUGAUGCUUAUUAAGUAAGCAUAUGAAUAGUCAUGCAUGGUAGUCAUAAUAUGGAAAGGAUGAAAGUCAAGAAGUGCUUUUCCCAUAAUAGCUAGUGAGGCAUGAAGGCCUAGGAAGAUAAAUACAUAAGGUCUUAUCUUUAGUUGUUUCCUACUUUUUAAAGAACAAAACAUGAUCGAUUUAACAAUAACGUUAGAAAUUAACCACAAUUAUCGAAGAAUUGUGGGGGUAGCUUAACUAUUUUUGAGAUAUGAGAUUUACUUACAAAGAAUGGAAACAUAAUUUGCUAAUCAAAUGAGACAAUCAAGAUGUCAUCUCUUGUAAUGAGUAAUUGUUUAAGGUAUGGCAAGGUUAUAGACCUUCUAUAGAUACCUUAAAUGUGGGGGAAGUCUACUUCGGUAUGGCAAGGUUAUAGACCUUCUAUAGACACCUUAAAUGUGGGGGAAGUCUACUUCCUAGUGUUAGCAAAUUAUUACAUAAGUCCUAACAUAUGUUUCGAGGACUUAACAUUGGAAAACAACUAUUCUCGUAUGAAAAAUAAUUUCAUAAUAUGGAAGUGCACACCAUAAGAGUAGUCAACCUUAGUGGUACCAAUUAGUAAAUGUUUGACUAGGGAGUAAGUUAAUCAUCGAGGGGAAUGAGGCUGAAGCCAACAUAACUAAUGAAUCAGUCGGGCGAAAACCUAACUUAGUUGAUUGGGGAUCCCAUGGUCUAAGUUCAAUAGGCAAACUAGUUGGGCAUGAUUCAAAGAAGUUAACAUACUAUAUACCUCAUUCCUAUGAUGGAAGAAGUGUGUUGUCUGCAGAAGUUUUAGGGUGUAUAUUUAUACUUAAUGACAGUGAUAUCUUAUAAAUAAGAGGAAUAGAGCAGACUAUUUUUUAUCAGUGGUUACCUAUGUGAGAAUAGAAGUGGGUCGCUUCUGUGAGAAUGAGAUGGCUAAAUUCUCUAAAGCUCUCAUGAAUCCGAGAUUUGUUCAUGACCAAAAUAAACACAACCGUAUGAACCAGAAUAUAUUAGGAUUAGGGAUGUAUGUUGCUUAUUGUCUCGGUUUACUGCUGCGGUGAACAGUUCAAGAUUCCAUAUCCACUGCGUCACCAAGUAAAUCCGAUAAGUAUUCACUAGGGUAGGUUCAAGUCCAAAAGACACCUCUCCUGAUGCAUAUCUUGUCCGCCUGUACUCUCAAAUUCUUCCUAAUUUUUCAUUCAUGUAGGGGAUUGUUGGAAUUUAUAUAUUAUAAUAUUAAUAAUUAUAAUAUUUAAUUCAAAAUAUUGAAUGAAAACCCCAUAACCGUUUAAAAGGGAUCAAGGCAUUCCUUGGUAAAACGGUAUCAUCUAAUAGAUGAAUGUUUGUAUCUCUUAAUCAACCAGUAUCUUAGGUUUUAUAUAAACUCACGUUAGUAUAGCCGUGAAAGAUAGAAAAUUAGAGUUAAUUUUUACUCUUGAGAAAUAGUGUUUCCCCACUUUGUUUAUCUCAUGCUUCGUGUGUCAAAUUCCGAGUCGUGUUUUGAGAGUACGGAAAAGACAAUUUCUAUGGGGAAAAAGUUGAAAUAGGGGAUGAAGAUUCCCGAUUUUAAUUUCGUUAAAUAGGUGUAAUUUCACAAUUCCAACUACAACAAGAAUCACAAAUUCAUAUGCGGAAAAAUCUUGCGAGCACCAAACUUUACUAUUAGGGCGCCAAAUUUCAUGAUAAAACCUGAUAAGGGGUUUAGGGCUGCAUCUUUCACUCUAUUAACUCUCCAAUCUUCGAAGGGAUUUUCGGCUCUUGCAUCAUCUCUUGCUUUUGUUCUAGGUCAGCGUCUCUACUCUCUUCUUUCUUGAAUUAUUUUAGCUUUUCGGGUAUACUCUUUAUGCCAAUUGUGAAUUUUGCUAGUUAUUUUUAUUUUAUGAUAGUCAUAUGUUUGCUGUGCUUUUUUUCUUCCGAUUGAAUUGUGUAUUGGUUGGAUCUGUAACACAAUUUUUCAGUUUUUUUUAUGGACUUUGGUGUUAGUUCCUUGUUAUAGAUAUUGUGCUUUUGAAGGUUUAACAAUAGGCAAGGCUGAAUAUGAUGAUUUCGGUGUUAAUUACUUUCUCAUGGUACUAUACCAGAUUGUUCUCUCUUUGCAUUUACAUGUAACUAACUGUUCAUUGUAGAAAUGUAGUAUUUGGAAGACCUUUUUUUUCUGAUUUAGUGUAUGUUUGUUGGACAAAAGAAACAUGUAGAAGAGAAAACAUGAUUAAUAACAUUGUGCGUCUAUUUUUUUUUUUUUUUGACAGAAGCGAUAGAGUAUUCUAUUACUAAAAACAACCAAAUACAAGAGGUGUCAUGGCUACAAUUUCUCCAUGGCAAAUUUUUUGCAAACAUUUUGUAAACGCUCUACGGCUACCACAAUAGACCAUUAUAAACAGAGAUUCCGGAUAAAACUGUCACAAGGACGGCAGACACGACAAUCCUCACACCCGUACCCUAACAUAAGAGCAACUCCAUCCAUGGAGCCCUACCCCCUGGCAAUCCACUAUUCAAUCCACCAUAUUGAACAGUAACUGCCUUAAAUGAAUAGUAAUUACCAUUAAUGAACAGUAAUUGCCAUUUACAUCUUCAUCCUUGGAACCCUCCCCCUAGCAAUAAGCAAUUAAAAUAAUAGUUUUUUUUGUUUGUUUAAAUAAUAAAAAAUUGCAAAAGCUCUGGUCCCUCUCUCUCUCUCUGACACAAAAAAAAUAAAAAAUUGCAAAGCCCUCGGGCCACAUGCCCAUCGACUCCCCACCCCCCCCCCUUCGCUCGGGCUCUCACUGUCGCUCAACCUCCACACGGCUGGACCUCUCUCCACCGGCCCUCGGGCCCUUUGUCCUCGCCUGUCGCCCGAGCAACCAGCCUCCGCUGGAGUUGCUCUAAAGCCAUCGACAAUGAGGCUAAAUAAAUCGCUUAAGAGAUACAAACAAAUCACCGCAAUAACACAAUCUACUUAACCCGCCCAAGGCGCUACAAACAAAAUCUUAAACCUAAAGUCGAUGACAUGUCCACAUGCAUGUCCAAGGGGAAGAGACGUUGCAGGAGGCAUGGGUUGCCCGACCAUGUGGGUCUGUCGGUGGCAAGGACAACAAAGCAAUACCAAACUACUUCUAUCAUUCUCCUUAGCGCUAUAUUUUUCCUUAGCGCCAUAAAUUUCGCUUAAAAAGCAUAGGAAGGAAGGCUAAAAUUAAGGCGAAGAACCUGCCUCCACUAAUUUCCAUAGGGGAGAGAGAGAGAGAGAGAACACCAAGCAGUAUUAUAAUAUAGGUGGUCUUAAAUAACCUUCCGUGGAGUCGCAGUAAGGACUUCAAAUAUCCCAGAGAAAAGUCAGUCAAUAGUUUUUGACAGAGUCAGUCAACGGCGAAGACAGAAUUGUGUAUCAUAAUGCUCUCUCCCUCUCUCUCUCUCUCUCUCUCUCUGUCGUCAAUGGAUAACACCAUAUAAUUACUACGUGUAUAUCACUGCUCAAUUACACAAUAGAAAAAUCCUUGCGCAUUAUUUUUGUUCUUAUUAGCUCAGAAAUGCAGAAAUUGAUCAUCUCUUACUUUUGCAUAUUGUUACUGGUUUUCUUCAAACUAGUUGGAGCAAGCCAUGCGUGCCUGGAAUCCAAGUGUAGCGAUGAUCAAGGCGCAGCUAUCCAUUUCCCAUUGCGCAUCAGCCGCAAACAUCAUUGUGGAAAUCCUGGGCUUGAAUGCAAUGUAAGAUAUGAGCAGCAAAUACUAGUAAAAUUAUUUGUCAAACACAUAGAUUACAAGCGUCAGGAAAUCCAAGUGUAUCCCCCAAGUGAUUGCCUGCUGCUGAAGCCUGUCGAAGUCACAAACAUAGAUUACAAGCGUCAGGAAAUCCUAGUGUCUCCCCCAAGUAACAACUUGUCAUAUUCUUUCAUCAGAAACUUAACCUUAUUCAGUUGUCCUACUUCUGUUGCAAGAGAUACAUAUGCGUAUCAAGUCCACUGCCUCGGUGACCCUGGCAGCAGAAUUUAUGCCCUUGAUUCUACAUAUCAAUUAGAAAAUCUCUUCGAGAAUCUACAAUCUUGUUCAAAGAUGUAUGAUGUUUUAUCUGGCAAUUGGGAGGGUAAUGGUUCUGUUCUUCAAUUCAAAUGGUCAAAACCAAAUUGUACAGAAUGUGAAGCGGAGGGAAAGAUGUGUAGAUGGAAGAACAAUGGCACCAACAGUGAAAUUGAAUGUCAACGCGUGAGGAAACCAAGUAAGGAGAACAUUAUAUUCAUUGCUAGUUUUAAACAUCGUUACAUUUAUGUCUGAGUAAUUAUUAUUUGAAGGAUGUUGUCCGAUCCAUUUUUCUGAGGAUAUUAAUUGUCAGUCUCGAUUUAAUUUGCAAUUCUUUUACAGGCAACACAUGGAAAUUAGUGGUUACAGGUGGAAUUCUGGGUGCUUUGCUUCUUGUUCUACUGAUGAUUGCAGCAUAUCGGGUAUAUAGCACUGAUAGGAAGGAAAAAGAGAGUCGAUUAAGAAUUGAAAGAUUCUUGGAGGAUUAUAAAGCACUCAAACCAAGCAGGUAUUCGUACGCAGAUAUUAAGAGGAUUACAAAUCAAUUCAAGGACAAGUUGGGCGAAGGAGCCUAUGGAACUGUCUUUAAAGGAAUGCUCUCUUCUGAAUUCUUUAUUGCUGUCAAAGUCCUCAACAGUUCAAAGGGAGAUGGGGAAGAGUUCGUAAAUGAAGUGCGAACGAUGGGUCAUAUCCACCAUGUCAACGUGGCUCGCUUGGUUGGAUUUUGUGCUGAUGGAUUUGUACGAGCUCUUGUUUCCCUGCAGGAUUUUAUUUCAUCUGCAGAUAGUAAGAAUUCACUUCUUGGUUGGGAUAAGCUGCAAGAUAUUGCCCUAGGCAUAGCCAAAGGAAUUGAAUAUCUUCACCAAGGAUGCGAUCUACGAAUCCUGCAUUUCGAUAUCAAGCCCCAUAAUGUGUUGCUAGACCAAAACUUCACUCCAAAAAUUUCUGAUUUUGGUUUGGCCAAGUUAUGUUCCAAGGAUCAAAGCUUGGUGUCCAUAACUACAGCUAGGGGGACCAUGGGCUAUAUUGCACCUGAAGUGUUCUCCAGGAAUUUCGGAAAUGUGUCUUACAAGGCAGAUGUCUACAGCUUUGGAAUGCUGCUGCUUGAGAUGGUAGGAGGAAGGAAGAAUAUUGGUUCAACCACGGAGAACACUACAAAUGAAAUCUACUAUCCACAGUGGAUUUACAAUCUUCUAGAGGAAGGGGAUGACCUACGAAUCCGUAUUGGGCAAGAAGAAGAUGGUAAAAUUCCAAAGAAACUUGCUAUUAUAGGGUUAUGGUGUAUCCAAUGGCACCCGUCGGAUCGUCUUUCCAUGAAAACAGCCGUUCAGAUGUUAGAAGGAGGAGGAGGAGAAAGCUUGACCAUGCCGCCUAAUCCCUUCAUGCCUACAGGUCCUACAACUAGAAAUGCAAGACGCCUAGAGCGAGAAGCAAUUGCUGAAUUAGAGUAAAACGUAUAUGACAGAUAUGUAGAUUCGUAUUGAAUGUGUAAUGAUUCAAACCUAAAGGGAUAUUUUGAUAACCAUUUCAUUUUGGCACCAAACAAAAGAAAUUUGUUUCCACUCCAUGUUUAAGCAAUAGAUGCCGAUUAUUGUUUAUCAUUUAUUAAAUUUUAUUUUUGGUUACGGUAGAAGCCUAGAAGGCAAUCGAGCACCGGACUUACCAAAUUCUAACUCAUUUCUACACACCAAGAGCUUGAUUUCGGUUCUUAUUUUUACUAUUUAAGCUAUAAGCCGUGAUAAUAAUUAGAGCACUAUCAUUUGUUGUGAGCUUCAACUGGUUAUUUUGUAUGUUUUAAACUUUUAAUUAGAAUUUAUUUUUCACUUAGACUUAUCUUUCCGUAUGGCAUGCCAUCCCAACCCUAGUUUUUCUCCUCGCUUGGAGUUUGGGAUACGAAAACUUGCCAAACAAAGUAGAUUGAUUAGUAACCGAAGCUAAUUAUUCGACUGAAUAUUGUUUAGAAUUUUAAUUAACAGAAACAAUAUGAAUCUUUUUUGUUUGUUUUGAAAACUAGAGAUUAAAUUGUUACUUGUUAGAAGUAGAGUGAUUGGUAGACAUCGAAUCCUUACAUAAGUGCAUAGGCAUUAUUGCGUGAGGAUGACGUGAGGGCAAGGGAAGUAGCAGCAGACCGUGUGGGCUGCUGUGGUUCAUCUGCUCGGGUGACAGGAUAGCCUUUUUGACGAAAUUAUAAAGCGCAUAAACUUUUUGACCAAGAGAGUGGUCAACUAGGGGUGGGCACUUGAAAUCGAAAACCGAAACCGAAACAUGAACCAAAUCGGACCGCACCGAACGAUUUGGUUUUGCGGUUUUGAAACCGAACCGCAUUGUAGGAAACGGUUUGGUUUUGGUUUUGGCUUUUGAAAACCGCACCGAAACCGAAACCGUAUCUCAAAUUAUAUGCCAUGUUUUAAUUAGUUGUUUGUUAGAGUCCAUACAUUUAGUAUGUACAUGUCAUAAUAAUGAUUAUUUUUUCCAAGUUAUAUCCCUCAUCAAGCUUGGCAUCUCAAUGUUUCUUUACAGGAAAAGAAGAAAACUUUGUCACAGUUAUAUCCUUAGAACCCUAAUUUUCAAGUUUAGAAUGAUAGCCUAUAUAAUAUAUUAAUCAGAAAUGCAAAUGAAAACUCAAAAGGAACAAUGAGCAUCAAAUAAGAGUAGUCACAGAAGGAGAGAUACAAGACCGAAUCUCUAAUCAAGUAAUAAGUUGCAGCACUUCAUUUGGGUACUUUUUCCUGCUCACAGAGUUUAUCACUUGUGCAAGAGUUUAUCAUCUGUGCAAUUAGCUAGCUAGAGUAAAGAAAAGAAUUCUCAUGUGGGUGGUUAAUUAAUGUAUGUGUGGAAAAUGAGACUGUGGUAUGUGUAAAUAAGUAUAAAUUUUAAAUUGUAGAUUUUUUUUUCUAAAAAGCCAAACUUAAACCGUUUGAAACCGCACCGAACCGAUCGGUUUUGACUUUAAAACCGCACCGAACCGCACCACAAAAAGUUGUGAUUUCGGUUUUGGUUUCACUCAAAACCACACCGAACCAAACCGUGCCCACCCCUAUGGUCAACAAAUGGGACAUGGAUUCGUCGAAUCCAAAUCCUAAGAAUUCAUUAAUCUAUAUUAUUGAAAUUUGAUCAAAAGAUUAAAAUUAUUAUAAUUUUAAAAUAAGCUCGUAUUUGUAACUGUUGAAUCAACCUUUAAUGAUCCAGAUUGAUAAAUCCUUAAGAUUAGGAUGUAUGAAUCCGAAAAGGAUCAAUGUCCCAAAAAAUAUGCAACGUUUUGCAAGGGUAUUAAAUUUAUGAGUGGGAUAGACACAAAUAGCAGACCGUGUGGGGUGCUGUGGUUGAUCCACUAGGGUGGCAGGAUAGCCUUUUUGACCAAAUUAUAAAGCAGACUUUUUGACCAAGAGGGUGGCCAACAAAUAUGCAACGUUUUACACGGUAUUAAAUUUAUGACUGAGGAUUUGGAUCCUCUCCUGAGCUAAUGGAGAUGAUCUUCCUGACCAACCAUUAUGGGUUGUUGGAUUUUUAUCCAACGGUUAUAAUUAUUAUAACUUUAAAGGAACUCCCUUUUUAUAACCGUUGGAUAAAAAUCUAACAGUCCAUAAUGGUUGGUCAGGAUGAUCCUCUCCAUUGGCUCAGGAGAGGAUCCAAAUCAGAUGGACACAAGUAGCAGACCGUGUGGGGUGCUGUGGUUCCUCCACUAGGGUGGCAGGGUAACCUUUUUGACCAAAUUAUAAAGCAGACCUUUUUGACCAAGAGCGUGGCCAAUAAAUAUGCAACGUCUUGCACGGGUAUUAAAUUUAUGACUGGGAUGCACACUCAUCUUCUUCCUCAUUCGUUGUUUAUGUAAAAAAAUGUAAUAAAUUGUAAUAAUGAUCUUUCAACUUUAAUUAAAUUGAAACAAUAGUUUUUUAAUUAAAAUUCAUUAUUAUUAGUCUAUUAACUCAUUAAAACGUGUAGCUAUAGUCAUUUUCGUCAACUCCUUCAGAAUUCUGUCAAAAUAAGUUAUGUUGAAAGGACCAUUGCUAUAAUUGGGUUAAAGUUAGGGACCAUUGCUAUAAUUGGGUUAAAGUUAGGGACCAUUGCUCUAAUUGAGUUAAAUUUGAGGAAUCAUUUCUCUAGUUGGAUUACAGUUGAUGGAUCAUUGAUACAAUUUUUCUUAUUUGAUUUUUCAUUGUGCCCCUUGAUUUAGCCUCAAGUGCAUGACAUGUGACUAUUUUGACGGAAGUUCUAAUGGAGUUGACGAAAAUAAUCAUAGUUGCACGUUUUGAUGAGUUAAGAGACCAAUGAUAAUGAAUUUUUAGUUGAGGGAUCAUUGCUCCACUUAGAUUAAAAUUAAGAGAUCAUUACUAUAAUUUACUCUGAAAACUAAAGGCCUCCUAUUUUAGUUAUGUUUGUACCAUACUUGACCAAUCCCAAAACUACUGAGCACCGGUCAACGUUAUACCAUCAAGGAUCCAGAAGAGUUUCUCUCAAACCAGGAGGCCAAUCACAACACGACACAUGUCGAUAUCAAAAGCCAAUCAUAGCGCGACACGUGUCAACAUCAGAAGCCAAUCACAACACGACACGUGUCAAUGUCAGAACAAAACUAAAAACUCUCUUCUAUAAAAGGAGAUCAUUCUCCCUCAAUAUUUCCUAAUGUUCUUUGUACUAAAUCAUUCACUAGUACUGACUAAAUGAGAGUUUGAACCUAUGUACUUGUGUAAACCCUUCACAAUUAAUGAGAACUCCUCUACUCCGUGGACGUAGCCAAUCUAGGUAAACCACGUAUAUCUUGUGUUUGCUUCCCUGUCUCUAUCCAUUUACAUACUUAUCCACACUAGUGACCGAAGCAAUCUAACGAAGGUCACAAACUUAACACUUUCUGUUAUACCAAAGUCCUCACUGAUUUUGUGCAUCAACAAGUUGCAUUGGAGAAUCCUUUCAACCAUCCAAAUCCAAAACAUGGAUCUAAGGAGCCAAGAAACAAAGAGGAGUUCGUCCAUAUUCAUGGAUACAAGAAGCUAUGAGCAAGGGAAUGAGGACCUCACUUUGGGUGACUAUCAUUUACUUCUGCAAAGAGGACCUACAAAAAUAUAAAGUCAACUCACUUUGCUUUGAAUUUGAGUUGAGUCUUUGACUAACUACUAGACUCUGAAUUUCAUGAGUUAAGUUUUGUUUUUGAAUGCAUAUAAGCAUGCUAGAGCCUUUAAUUGUUAAUUACAUGUAUAUGUGUUGCUCAAAUGAACUUAGUUUAUCAAAUUUUUCUCUCAAGACCAAGGUAUUAAAUAUCGAUGAUAUCGGAAAUAUCGGUAGUCCAAAAACACGGAAAUAUCGAUGGAAAUAUCGAUGGAAAUAUCGGGAUAUUAUCGAUAUCGAUAAAAAUAAUAUGGAAACCACGGAAAUUGUAAGAAAAACUUGGAAAUUUUUAUUGAAACUUUGCAGAAUGUUUAUUUAGUCAAUUAUCUAUUAGUUUAUCACAAAAAUUUGGAAGGAAAUGCAUUGCAUGAUGGAUUUAACUGAUUUAAGUUGAUUAUAUAGCGAGCUGGCAAACAUUGUGAGUGUAGAAAAUAUGUAGUAAUUAAUGAAAGAAGUUUAAACACACCAUAAUCAUUUAUAUAUAAUGAAUUAGUACAAUAUUUUACACUUUAUACAUUGCAUGGUAAGAUACAUGAGUGACUAAGUACCACAUAGAGUUCCUAUGAGGUUCAAAAUUUUCACUAUCUUCAUCAUCUCUAUGUGUAGAGUAAGUGUAUUGUGAAGAGUAGUCAGCAACCAUGGCAAUGGCUUUCAAGAACCGAAAUCCAAAAGUCAAUAGGAAACCGAAUACUUCGGUAUUUUUCGGGAUUUCGGGAUUACCAAACAAAUGGGAUUUGGAAACCAAUCCCAUAUCGAAAAUUUCGGUAUUUUUCGGGAUGGGAUUCCCGAACUUCGGGAUGGUUUUGGUUUGGGAUUUUUCGGUUUGGGUUUGGGACUUUUUCGGUUUGGUUUGGGAUUUUCGGGAAUUUUUUCCAACCCUACAUGUAAGUGACCAAAUAAAAAAUAGAAAAAUUAAAAACCACAUGCCAUUGACUAAGUAAUUAAUUGACACAAUUUAAAAUAUAAUACCACAAAAAAUUUGGAAUAUGUGCAAAUUUGUUUCUUGCAAAAAGAAUUCAAAACAAAACCAUAUAUAUAAAUAUUUUAGCAUGUUUUCACAAAAACAUAAGUGGUAUAGUGGUCAAGGCGCUGAAGGAGUUAGAUGGGAGGGGUUUGAAUCCCUCUAUGUGCAUGUUUGAGACUUUUCAGAAAUUUUCAAAUAUUUUUAGGUUCAUCUCGCGAUAAUAUCGAUAUUAUCGCGAUAUAUUAGCGAUAAUUAAAGGAAUACUCGUGAAAUAUCGUUAUAUGAAAAAAACGAUAAUAUCGGCGAUGUUUCGCUGAUAUUAUCGAUAUUUUCUUCUAUGUUCAAGACCAACUUCUAUGGCAUGCGUGGUGUGUUUGAGACUUUUCAGAAAUUUUCAAAUAUUUUUAGGUUCAUCUCGCGAUAAUAUCGAUAUUAUCGCGAUAUAUUAGCGAUGAUUAAAGGAAUACUCGUGAAAUAUCGUUAUAUGAAAAAAAACGAUAAUAUCGGCGAUAUUUCGCUGAUAUUAUCGAUAUUUUCUUCUAUGUUCAAGACCAACUUCUAUGGCAUGCGUGGUGUCUCAUGCCAAUCACACAAAUGUUAUGUAAAAAGAAUUUACACGUUGUGUUGCAUGAUUGACAAUUAACGACACAAUAGUGUUAUAACCGUGUCAAUGUUAUGAAAGUUUUUAUGCAAAGUCACUUGAUAUGCCGCAACAAUUAGUAAACAAUAUUAGAAAGACCUAGAGGAACCCACAAUUAAUUCCAAUUCAUUAAGUAGCUCAUGUGCAAGCAAAGUAUGGGCUUCCCAUGGGCAGGAGCUGGAAUUUACCCAUAUUUGGUAGUUAUGUAGCAUUAUACGAGGAGCCUGCUCAGCAUUCAAUAUGUUCACCCACAUGAUGUUGAGUGUAAUCCUUCUUAAGGUUCAACGAUAUUGUUUCUAUUAACAAAUAUAAAUAAAAAAAUAAGCGAAAUACUAGAGAGAUUACACGUUUAUAUUACAUUGUUGUACCAUAUUGUGAUAUGGCUGUGUACAUACCACGUCUUGUAAUGAGUUUAUCUCAUUAGAUGUUAGACUGUUGGUUAUUUGUAUUACUUAUUACAUCAUAUGGUACAUCAAUGUGGUAUAAAUAUGCAAUCUCUCCAACAUUACCCUUAGGAAAAUUUUAUUUGAACCCAUCUAACCUCUUUCUACACCCAACUUAAAUUCUAAAUGUGAAUUGUCUAUUUUAUCCUAAUGCAUAAUUACCAUCAAGUACAAGAUGAAAUUAAGAAUAAAACUAAAAUUUAUCAAUAAACCCAUACUCAAUAAUUAAGUUCUACCAUCACACAAUUUUUAUCCUACAUUCAUUUUGAAUAAAUUCCUAAGGGCUGCAAUAAAACCCUACGAUCACCUAAUAAUCAAAUCCGGUUGCUUUUUGUUUCCUCUCUAGCUUCAUGUUAACUCGAUCAGUAAAAACAAAGUAUUCAAAGUAUUCAUGUAUAAAAUAAGCCAACUUGGACUGGACUUGCUAUAAACCUAAAAACAUAAGCAGAAUCCCAGUUGCUAAUUCCACAAGAACUCGACUUGCGACCAUUCAAAACCCAAUAAAAAUUCAAGAAAACCAGAACUUACCAAGUGAACGUUGACGGCUGAGCCAGAGCAGCAACGACGAAAGGAAGCAUUGCAGAUAAGACCUGAGACGACGAGCCGUCGGAAGCCCCUUUGGAUAUUUCAGCUGAUGGGUUUAUCCCAAACGACAGCAUCAACGCGUUGCCUUCCUUCCUCUGCGACCCGACUCUGCUGAUGUGCAAUGUGCUUACUCUUGUAAUCACUCCAUGUGCCAUGUGCAAACAAUCGAAGCACAUCGAGGUAGACAUAAUUUUCAGUUCCUUCAAGCUGCACAUAUUCCACAGUAAAAAAACAAAUGCAUAUGAAACAAGACCCUAUAACAAUCAACAAUUUUAUUUUGACUUUGGCUGCAACAAAAUUCUGAUUAUACAUCCUUUGCUCAAAUCCAGAAACUACACCACCAAAAUAUACACAGAAAAAUGAAACUUCCACAAUAAAUAAAUAGAAACAUGGGAACCUGAAGAACAUUAGGGACAUCGAUAAUUUCCGAAAAGGCAAAAAGGGCAGGGUGGGAGGUGACUUCUGCGACGAGGGGGCCGAGGGCGGAGCCAUCGAGUGAUGAGGCUUGCUUCACGAAGUGAUCAAAGGCCUCCUCUUGCUUUUGCUUUCUAAAAGGGUGUAAAGAUGAAUUUUUAUAUAUUGAAUUGAGUUUGUGAGGGUAGUUUAGAUAGUAAUUUGGGUUUAGAGAGAAAUUGAUUCUUUAAUUAAAAAUAAUAUGGGUGUAAAGAAUAAGUUAGGUGUAGCAAGAAGUUGUAUGGGUUCAAAUAAAAUUUCCCUUACCCUUAUCAGAAACCCUAAAAGACAAGAAAUGCUCUAUACUAAGACGUGUUUAUCAAACCGGAAUGAAAGUGUAGGAAAUGGAAUUGCACGAACUCCAAGUCAUUUUAGUGUUUACUAAACCAGAGGGAAUCAACAUUCAGGUGGGACCCACCCAAAAUCCGGAAUACAAUUCCUUAAAUACCCGGAAAUGGAUUCUUGACUUGGGAGGUGGGAAUUGAGUUCCUGAAAAUAGAUUCAUCAGGGAUCCAAGUUUUCUACCCAUACUAUCCUCAUGCUUUUUUGGUAAACCCAAAUAUCCCUCACAAUUUCACCUCCCCAGUUCCAUGACCAGUGUAUAGACCCAUCUCUCUUCUCCCCAAUCCCACCAUUUCCUAACAGAGGAGCUUCGACUCCAGUGAAAUCCCGACCCCUUUCUCCUUGCCCCGUCGCCGCAGACUAUCCAAAAUACAUGCAUGAACGCACAAAGAGAGGGGAAAAUGUAUGGCGUGGCCGCAUGGUCAUCUAAAAACAGGGGGUGGGGACGGUUGUGAUAGGUGGUGAGGAGCUGGGUUUGGGGAUGUAGGGGGGAGAAGAUGGCAUCGCAGCUUUUUGUGUUUUGGGUUUUUUUAUGUUAUUUUAUAUUUUUAAUAAAUUUGUUAAUUAUUUAUUUUGCUGAAUAGUUAUGUUUUCAUGUAGCUAAUUGGAUUUUAUGAGCAUAUGUGGUUAUCAAAAUUAACCAUUAACUAGCAUAUAAAAAUAUAAUUUAUAACAAGGGCAAUUUAGUAAUCAAAUAGGUUUCAAUUCCGAUUCAUGUGAGUGAGUAAAUAAUUUUUAUGUAAUCAAUAUCAUUUUUAUUCCGAUUCCAGAUAGUUUAGUAAACAGAUUCAACAUGAAUCCAAUUCUAAUUCCACUUCAUUCCAUCUUCUUCUCAAUUCAAUUCAAUUCCUCAUACUCUGAUUACGGAUUAGUAAACGGGUCAUAAAACGGAAAGAGAAAAACAUUGUUCAUAACCAACAGUGUUUUUACUUUUUUGCCCUCAUUUUUAAUGUUUCUGUGUUCCCACUUUUAUGCCUCUAUACAGUGAAAUCCCCAAUUGCCCUAUGGGCAUAGGUGUGUAAAAAAAUUGUUUUGCACACGUGGCAUGCUAGGGAGAUUUCUCUGCUGCACCGUUUCCUUCCAGCUCCACUCCGAAUCGAUACUGAAUACUGCUCAACCAAAUUUUUUCAUCAUUUCAUUCCGUCCUUGUCAACCUCUUCAUUCUUGCUCCACCAUGAAUCGAAACAAAAAAUUGCUCAUCCAAAUCAAUUUCAGUUAACUCAAAUCCCUAAAACCCAAAUUUCUCCAGAUCUUUGGAUUUAGUUUACUUUUUGUUGUUGCGUAAAGCUUAAAUUUACGUACAAUUUUUUUAUUUUCUUGAUUGGAAUUUGGAAAGAAUCAAUUGUUCUUUGAAGGAAUUACAGAAAAUUGGAAAGGGGAAAUGGGAAAUGGGAAAGCGAGGAAAUGCGGGCAAAUGGGUUUUGGGAAAAUGACUUUUUUUUUUGGCAUUCGCUUUUGGCUUUCAUCCUUUCUGCGUUUGCUUUUCCUCAUUUUUUUUCUCAAGAACCAAACAUAAAAUAAAAAGAACCUAGAAAAAAGAAAAGGAAAAUCACAAGAUUAAGAAUCUGGGAUUGCAACAAUGGAGCUUCUGUGCCGAAAUAUCAAUUGGGUUCCGUUUGAUCUUCGGUGCUUCUUCUGCAUUCAAAAAGUUGGGGUUUUUUUGCGUGAUGGGAACACAUUUCCAAAUUCGACCUCAAUCCCAAAGGAACCAUCCACCAAAUAACCCUUCCUCCCUUUCUAUUUCUCUCUCUGUAAUUUCCCCUGACCGAAUCACACAAUCCAACCAACUCUCUGUGUAAGGCUGCCUCACAAAUUCCAUGGAUUUCAUGGACUUACCCUCUCUAUGAGCCUCCCUCGCCGAAUCCAACUAAUUUCCUUAGGCCCGUUUGGGAUUGAGGUGAUUUUAAAAAAAGCAAUUGUGAAAAAAAGCUGAGGGUCAUUUUUGUGUUUGGUAAACUGAAAAAAAAUGGCUUAUUUUGAAAGCUGCUGUGAGAAUAAGCUGAAAAUCAAAGGAAAAGCUGAAGCUGCUAUUUGCUGCUUUGAAAAAAAGCCAGUUUUUUCAAAGCACACGGAGCUACAAUGCUCCUUUAAUGAAAAGACACACUAUCAUCCUGCUUUUUUUUCCAAAAGCACUUUCACAAAAAAGUUUACCAAACACUCUACUGGCUUUAUUUCACAGCCGCUUAUUCUCACAGCAGCUUUUUUUCAAAGCACAGCAAUACCAAACCAGCCCUAAUUCCAUCGAUAGCCACACCCACCCCUCCCAACUGAAAAUGACAAUAAUGCCCACCCAACUUUUAUUCUCUGCCUUUAGAUCUCAAAUUAAAAUGGGUAAUAAAGUCCUUUUCACACCAAUACCCGCUAUUUAACAGCUCAAAUGUACACAACCCAAACAAACACAUGGCCUAAAGGGCCUACCCCAGACCCCCGGCCCAAAAAUAUAAAGGAAAACUAAUGAAAAUUGCUUGAAAACUUUGAGUUUUAAUGAUAAGGACAAAAUAAAGGGUAAAGUGAAUAGUACCAGGAUUGACUUUUUAGUGUAAAAAUGUGGUUUUUCGUUAAAGUGAACAGUACCGGGUGCUUUUCGUUAAAGUUCCCAAAAAAUAAUUGGAAAAAGAAGUGGCAAUUUGGUAAAUAAAAUGUUACCUUUUCCAUUGCCCAUUCCUUUUGGAAAAAGAAAUGAAAUUAAAACUCUUCAUUUAAAAUGGUCUUAAGCCAAAUUGUAUUGAAUGUGAAGCAGAGGGUAAGAGGUGUAGAUUGUAGAACAAUUACACCUAGAGCGAAAUUGAAUUUGUUGACAGGAGGAAACCAAGUAAGGAUAACGCGUCUAAAUCUUAUUUCGCAUCUAUUCUGCUCAUGAUUUUUCUGCUUUCAUGUAAUUAGCGGCUUAUAUUUGUGGUAACGAUAUUGAUUAAUUUCGAGAAAUGACAGUCUAAUUUUCGCAACUGUCUUUUGCAGGUAAAACAAAGACGGUCUAAUUUUCGCAACUGUCUUUUGCAGGCAAAACAAUGACAGUCUAAUAUUCGCAACUGCCUCCUACAGUUAGAAGCAAUUGUUGAAUUAGAGUAACACUAGAAAAUGCACCCGCGCUUUGCUGCAAGCAUUGAAUAAUUAGUCACAACAUUCAUGAAUAGCAUUCCAAUAAAGCAACUAAAAAGACGUCGUAAUACGUAAGAACCAUCGAAGUCAAAUUUUGCUUGCUAUAUAUGGAUAUGCAUGCUAUAAGAAACAUCUAUUUAUAGAUUGUAUUGUGUCAUCAAUAUCAUAGUUGCAAGUAAUCAGCCUACUACAUGGAAGAAAAACACAGAAAAGGGAAAGUAGAAAAGUAGAAACAUAAUACUUGAGUACCUGGCAAGAAUAGUAAGUUCUUGAAAAAAUUGCUAAACCGUCUAACAAAUUCAAUCGUUAAACGUUAUACUGUAACCCAAGACAAAAAUAAAGUAUAUUGUUUGUUUACAAAUCAAAACGAAGUGCUGCUACAAUCCUCAACAGCUAUGAAUCAUUUUCAAAUAAAGAUACUCAGAUUUGACGGCACAUCAAAUAACCACCAAGCGAAGCAAAUUACGCCAUGUGCUAAUAAGAAACUAAAACAAAAGCAAGAUUAAAUAUCGAAAUUUUUUUAUAAGGCAUCAAUUGACAAAAUGCUUCUUAAUGUGGUCUUCCAAGAAAUGAAUGCAGCUCACAAACAACUUAGAAAUCAUUGUCACCUCAAUCUUACUAAAUAGAAGCAUAAAUGGACAUGAUAGCUCCCUAAUUUUGUAAUAGAAACUCUAACAAAGAAUAUCAGGCUCCAAAGGCCCUAACUUUUCCUAGGCAUAAAUCUAUACAUUGCAAGUUUAAUUCCAACGAAGCAAAUAUGCGUGCAAAGUAAAAGGCAUCAACACUACAUGUACUGCUUACAAUCGUCUCAAGUUGCUGACAACAACAACAACAACAACAACAACAAAGCUUUUUCCCACUAAGUGGGGUCAGCUAUAUGAAUCCUAGAACGCCAUUGCGCUCGGUUUUGUGUCAUGUCCUCCGUUAGAACGCCAUUGCGCUCGUCUCAAGUUGCUGACACAAUGUUUAAAAUAUUCCAAGACUCAAAGAUUUUCACACAAAUAGAGCACCUUACCAAAACAAUAACCGAGGUUGUCGUAUUUGAAUCAAGCAGAUGCUUUGCAAGGCCUUCUUCAAUAUCGUCUCAUAUUCCCUUUUCAUUUUUCGUAUAUGAUACAAUAAACUAUUCAAAUCUAGACAUAAAUAAGAGAAUCUGCUACACCCUACUAUCACAAUUGUCAGUCCUGAACAAUAAUGCAAGUCUAGUGGCAAAAACCACCUCAAUGAACAACUCACACACACUGAUCAUACAUCUCUAACUCUCUUUUUCAAAUAACACACACUCUGAUCCAAAACAGGGUAAAUAAAAUGCACAUCCUUAUACAUUUCUAACUUUCUUUUUCGAAAUCCAAAAUAGGGUAUUCUAACUCUCUUUUUCAUUCAUUUCUUACAAACCAAUCAUACAUUUAAAAUAGGCUUUGAAUAAAAAUAGGGUAUAUAAUUAUAUACCUCAAAAUGCCUAGGAACCAACUUCCCCCUCCAACGAUUCAAAUUCUUGAAAUUGCCAACACAGUAAAUCCAUUAGUACUAUAUAAAUGAAAACACAAUUGAAACCCAUCAAACAAAACAAUCCCACAAUUUAAAUGAUUCAAUCCUACUACAAUUGAAAUUCACAGAAAGAAUGAAAAACCAGAACAAAACUGCAGCACCUAAAAAGUUGUCAUACAAAAAAACAUGGAAUGUAAAAAUAUGUUAAGAAAUCUAGUUCGUUAAUUUCCAGCUGCUAAGUGGCAUUAUGUAACUUUAGUAGUAUAACUAAUUAACUACUUAUCUGGUGGGUUGCACUUCUAUCCAAUUGGUAAGGAAAGGAAAAUAAAAAUCAACCCCUUGGUCUUAGUUGUGGCUGCAAAGUGCAGGCCACCACCAAGUCUCAGUGUUUGUGUUUUAGCAAAACACUUAAAUAAAUUAAAUUCUGAAAUGUAAAUUAUAUUCCUAUAACUUUAAGAUGCACAUAUAGUAUUGUUGAAGUCGAACUGAAAGCACUGACAAUUCCAAGCAACAGAGCAGCAAUUAUUAAGAGCCAAAACUCAUUCCUAGUCUCCUCAUCCUGGUACUCAACUCUAAUCUUCGGUCAGCAUCAUUGACUGAAAUUAGGAGAGAAAAAGAAAAGGAAUUUCAGAAAUUGUCUAUGAAGCAAAGGAUACUGCAGUUACUUCAAGACAUGUAAAUUGCAUAUGUAUAAAGUAAUUUUCUACAUAAAGGAAUGAGGCAUAACUUUCUCUCUCCUCUUCAAACCCUAAACAGUGCAAAGCCACAAACUUUACAGAGAUUAGAAUGAGAACUGGAAUUAAUAGAACAAUGACUGAAAAGUAACAUACUUGAGGAGUGAAUGAUUUAGUGUUUCCAUCAUCGGAACGCCGGAGUAAGUCGCUAAGAGAGGUCGCAAACAGCCCAAAGGGACAAACCCAGACCCCCGGCCCCGAUCCAUACCCUUCCCCCUCAAAUCCCGACGGCCCCCAUACUUUUCUCUGACUGUACACCCUCUCCCACUCAUGAAAUCGAGGAUCUGCAGCAAUGGUACUGAGAUCCCCACUCCUCCCUCUCCCUUUCUCUCUGUCGCUCUGUCUCCCUCUCCCACUGUCUGUCUAUCUUUAUCCCAGAGCGGCAUGGUCUCCCAUCCCUGAAACCCUCACCGAAAGGUGGCAAUUUUGUAAAUAACUUGAAAUCCACCAACAGCAGGAGCAGAGAAUUGAAACAAACAUUUAGGCUCGUUCGAUAACCAUUUAGGCCAAAACUGAGCACACCUAAACCAUUCCUACUCGUGCCAAAUGUUAGUGGGGAAGCAAGAUGAUGACUUUAUUGUUCAAAACCAAAAGAAAAAAAGAGAGAAAACAAAAUAACAAAUCUAAUGGUUGUAGUGUAAAAGCUGAGAACGUAAAUAAACAUGCAGAGAAAAAAAUUGAAGAUACAAAGUAGCUGCAUCAUGAAACACUUACUCCAAUUAGACGCAAAAAGUGAUGGUGAUGAGAAGAGAGAGAAAAUGCAAUCGUUUUGAUUUUUCUGGCUUUUAAAGGGAGCAGCUUUCUUCGACCACCCAAAAAAGGAAGCUGCUUCGUAUGGUUGUGAUUUCCUGAGUGUAUGUGAGCGGGUCUAUGGCACUUGCACUUUUUGUGUCGGUUACGGUAACCGGGCGAGCUGAACACGGCGGCAUGGGACUGAAUUCGGAGAGGUGAGAAAAAUUAAAAACACAAAAAGAAGGUGUUCAUUUUGUCACAUUUUUAUUACUAAAAAUUCAAUAAAGUACAUUCAUUAGUAUGGUAACUUAACUAUUUAAUUCCAUCUCAUUAAACUAAAAAAAACAAUUACAAAAAAAUAAGGGAAACCUUGUCCAAAGAGACCUGAGAGAAAGUGACGACUUCUCCUCUCAUUCCACUCCAUACUUGAUCUCUAAAGUCCAUUUGGCAUGUAAUUGAUGUUCAAUUUCAAAUUUAGUGGUAGCAAUUAGCAAAGCUAAUGAAAGAAUCAAAUAAAAUGAAAGAAAAAGCAUCAUGAAAUAAAUCAAGAUGAAGAAUGAAAUUUUGGCAACUCCCCAUUCUCUUCUUUUAUAUAAAAGAUACAUCCUAUUUGUAGUGAAAACAGGUCCCGACAAGCCCAUUUAUCCUCAAGAAGUAUUUUCUAUGACUUUAAAAACAUAAUCUGUGAAAUUAUCUCUUGGCAGAGAACAACAACAAAUCUUCAUGCAUAGCUUGUAGAGAAAGACAUCAGGCAUACAAAAGAACACGCAAGCAUAAAAUAAACGACGCAGGGAAAACAAAAAAUACAAUUAAAUACGCUGUCAAAAGAACAUGAAUAAAUGAAAAUUACAAAACAAAGAAGUGAUGAGAAACCAAAGUACCCAUUUCAUAAUCUAAUUGUUUUUUAGUUUGCUGCCAGCCAUCCCUGAGUAAUGCAUUCACUUCUGAACCCCAAACACACUGAAACAAAAAUUCACACACAUGAACUACAACUCCGCUAUGUAACAAGAAUUAAAAGCAUCUCAAAACAAAAUGGCAAACUAUAAGAGCACUGUAAAAGUAAAAUUGCAAGAAAUCUAAUACUUGGAGGGCAAGUACUAAUCAGACGAAAAUGAAAGAUUGAACUACUUCGCGUGGAACUGUGCCUUGGUUUUUUCCCAUGCUUACAGGAAGCUUUGCACUGAGCCCUUAUAGCCCAAAUUUUCUCUGAAGGAAAAAAAAACACAAUUUUGAAAUAAGAUUUUCAUAUUAUACCUUAAAGAGAAGAAUUAGACAACAAAAAAGAGAAGAAUUAGACAACAAAAAAGAGAAGAAUGAGUACUAUUCAUCAUAUAUUGUUAGAGUAUGUGGUCCUCUGGUCCAAUGGUCCUGCAGCCAUAUUUACUUUAUAACUCUUUCUUUUAGUCUUAAAAACAUCUUGGAUCUCAAAUUAACAUGUUAGCUAUGCGUUAGAACAUAUUGGGUUCAAUCCAUUGUCUUGAAUAUCACCCCCAGUCACAGCUGUCUCUUCGGGGCAUACAGAAGGCCUGAGAGGCAUUUGCAGACAUUCAAUAUCUGCUCCAAGCAUUUCGACAACUUUGGACAACGAAGGGCAAUCACUUGGUUUCAUUUGAAUACACACAAGGCGGUUAUAACCAUCUUUCUUAUCACUUUCUUUUCAUCCUCUGUAACAUUGUCUAUUUCCAAGUCAUUUCCCACAAUAUAUUGAUCAUAUACCCAUAACGGGAAAUAGAUUUGGCUUGGAUGCUCUACCGUUGCAUUCAAAUUCUUCCUUCUGCUUGCCAUUUCCAUCAACAACAUUCCAAAACUAUAGACAUCGGCCUUGUAUGAGACACCUCUAAUAUUUUUGUAGAACAACUCAGGAGCAAUAUAUCUCAUUGUACCCCGUGCUGCCGUCAAAGAGACAAUGCUAUUAUCUACUGGAUACAAUUUUGCAAGCCCAAAGUCAGAAACCUUUGUGUUUGCACUCAAAAUAUACCCAUUUUUACUUAUUUGGGCAAUUUGGGUAAAAUAUGGUAUUUGAAGGAUUAAUAUGCAAGAAAACUAACUUGGAAAGAUAUUUGGCUGCAAGUGGGGGGGGUUUGGCACUAUAAUAUUGUUUUUCCCAUUUGUUUAGGUGGUGGAGGUUUGUCAAGCCUUUGUUUAAUCAAGAUACAUGCAUGUAUUGCAAGUGGAUGGGAGAGCUUUCGGGCAAGAACGUGUAGUGAAAGAAGCUAGUUUGCUUCUUUUAAUUAUUUUAUUGCAAGUGGGAAAAUACAUGUGGUGGAGAUGCAACUUGCUUCUUUUUUAAUUGUUAGUUUAUUACAAGUGGGGAAACAUGUGCUAAAAACAUGUGGUGGAGAUGCAAGUUUCCCUUUUAAUAUUGUUUCUACAUGCAAGUUGGCAAAUGCAAAUGCAAGCUGCCCAAGCUUCUUUCGGGCAGGUACAAAGAUCUUAGCAAGGGGGCUCUUCCAGACCUCUAUAUAAAGAAGCAGAUGGAGAAGGAUUAUGGACACUCAAAACAACCAAUCAAAACUCUACUCAAAUUAGCUCAUCAGCUUCCUUGUAGACAUUUAUUUUUAGCCAAGCAUCCUUUGCUUUUCUUGUUUAUUAGCUCUGCUACUCACUUGUAGUAUCGAUCUUAUUUGUAGCUUUUAUGUACAACCCUCUUUCAGUCAUUUAAUCUACAAGCAAUCUGCAAUAUUAGUCACUUUCCUCUGUCAUUUAUAUUUCCAAGCAACCUUGUCAUUUACAUAUUGUUCUAUCUCUCCAUAUAAGUAAAGUCCUUAUUUUUAAGGCAAACAAAGAACCUUAAUUUGAGUAACUCUCACUCAAUGGCACAAUCUCUUGGUUCGAAGUCAAUCUCAGGCGCAACCUCAAUCAUUCAGAAUCUGUCUACUAACGGUAUCUAGUAGUGGCAUGCCCGCACCCCACCAAUCUCGUAUGUGAAGUAAAUCCCCGGCUUGCCCGCAAGGCGCCAUGGCGAAUUUAGGGAGCAAACAUAUUUUGGCACACCCGGUGGGAUACCUUAAAUAGAGUUAUAUUAUGAGCAAUCCUUAUGUUCAUGAUUUUUCUCAAUAUGCUUUUUCGGAGUAUGAGGAGGAUGACGGUGUUGAAGAGCGCCCAAGCUAUGGCUAUCACAUAGAGCCAACCUAUGAGUUGUCAACUUAUGGGUACAUGGCUGAAAAGUACUCAAGUCCCAUGGAACAUGAUUGUCGGCCAACUAAUGGCCAUCAAAUAAAUAAUAAUCUUGAAGAUUGGCCAACUUAUGGCUAUGAUGAAGGUUAUUAUUCUUUUGAAGACAAUCAUAUUCAUGAAUACUAUGAUAGGCCAACAAAUGGCUUUGAGUAUCAAAAUGCUUCCAAUGAGUACAUAGAGCCAAUAUAUGAGAUACCAACUCAUGAUCAUCCAGAUGAAAAGCUCUACAAAGAGGAUGUGGGCAAAUUAGAGAAGGUGUCCAAACUCCAUGUGGCAAGCAUCGAUAUGGUGAAGAGGUGACCAAGUGUUUUAGAAAGGUGGAGGAAAGCUAUACCACUUUUGGAGAAACUUUGAGAAAGUUGAUAGAUCAAAUGUGUCAAAUCCCCUCUACAAAGCACACUCACCCUACUACAACCAAGGAAGAACAAAUCAUACACGUUGAUGAAGGCCAAACAAUGGCCCCACCCAAUGAAAAAUCCAUGAAAAUGGAUAUGGUUGUAGAAGGCCAAGCCGACAUAUUGAAACCGAUAACGGCUAAGAUGGAGCUUAUGGCUAUUGUAGGCCAAACACCAACGCUCGGGGGGCUCGAACUCACACCUCAUGUGGAGCCCGAAGAAGAAGAAAAUAUUUCCCACUCUCUUCUCCGCCAACACAAGCAUGUCAUCCAUACCAAGAUCUCAAGAAGGGCAAAGCUUGGGAUCAAACAUAAAUGGCCACCUCCUAUUGUUUCCAAGCUAUAUGGUAUGGCUAAUUUAAAUGGUGGAUCUAAUCUCUCUACACUCAAUUUUAAAAAGAGAAAAAGAUUUGAGUGUUAAGAGAUAUCUGGGCAAUCAAGGGGCUUAACCAAUAUGCCCAAGUGGGGCUUAUUUUGUUGUUUCCUCUUUUGCCUGAAGUUGAACUCCCAGUCUUCCUUUUCUUCUUUCCUUCUCUCUUUCCUUUUCUUUCUCUCCUGUUUCCUUUUGCCCGAAAGUAGGUGCCAAAUCCCUCCUCUAUUCCUUUUUCUUUAUUUCUUUCUCUUUGUCUUAUCUUGUCUUUCACUUUUCCCAAAAGGGCUAUAUAUAUACAGAGAGCUUAAGGGGAGGGAUCCCCAUUUUUUGAAAAAAAUGGGGAUUAGGUGUGGGGCCCACUUCACAUUGAACUUCAACAAUCCGAACCGUCUAUUUUGUUAGUCUCGAUUCAUAGAUCAUCCUUGCAAAAAUUCAAUUCAAUCCGAAACCAUUUGCCUAUUUAAUUAUCAAGAUCAAAUUUCAUUUUUUCUUAUAUAACAAAGUAUUCGUUUAUUUCAUUGAACCCAAUUAGAUGUCUUAAACAUUUCCAAUUUAGCUAAUAUUUUGCAAGGAUGAUCUAUGAAUCGAGACUAACAAAAUAGAUAGUUCGGAUCGUUGAAAUUCGAUGUGAAGUGGGCCCCACACCUAAUCCCUAUUUUUUUCAAAAAAUGGGGAUCCCUCCCCUUAAGCUCUAUAUAUAUAUAUAUAUAUAUAUAUAUAUAUAUUAUAUGUGAAAAGAGGGGAAUGGAAGUACUUUGCCCGAGUGGGCUUGUUAUAUAUAUUAUUUUAUAUAUUAUAUUAUAUUAUAGUUUUGAAAGUCAUUCAAAAAAAAAAAAAAAAAAAAAUCUGAGCAGUUUGCCCGAUUCCCUUUUCUUCAAAAUUUGCCCAAAUUGGUUCUUUCUUUUACUUUGGUCUGUGUUACCCGAGAGGGCUUUGUCCCUUUUUGUUUCUCUUGCUUUGGUUGCCUGACAGUCUUCCCUUUUAUUUGUUCUUUCACUUUUUCCAGCCAACCCAACAGGGCCUUUAAUUUCCUUUUUCUGUUUGCCCGAAAGGGCUCUGUUUUUUUGUGUGUUUCUUGUGCUGUUACAAAGAAAAAGAUAUAAAAAUUAAAAAUUCCAAAAAUCACAAAAACAUUUUGCUUUCUUGCUUUUGUUUUUUCUUGCUUUCUUUCCUUUUUUGUUUUCUUGCUGGGGAACUUUACAGAAAAUAUCAAAAAGUUGGGCAGCUUGUGAGUAGCCAUUUUUACCUUUCUUUCCACUUUUCUCUUAUCCAAUGAGUGUAUUUAGCCCGAACCCAAAAGUUGAAAUUAGAAAACCAUCUAGUGGCUGUACCCAAAUUCAUGGAAUGAGGAGUUUCAUAAAAAGCCGAAUCUAUGGCUUUCUUGCUGAAAAGCAUGUCAUCUGUGUCUCAAUGGCUAUUGCAAGAAAGCAUGGGGCUAUCUUGCCCAACUGGUGGUGCCCGAUGGAACCAUAACCAUGCCUGACGGUAAUGACGUCUUCCCUACUCACCACCAACAGACUCUGCAUGUCUCCCUAACGCUCACCAGUUCCUACAACCAAGGGUCGGGCUACUUUGACGACUACCAUUAGAGGCUACAGUAAGAGCUUUUGAUGUGGCUACUAUUAAUCACUGGAGACUAGUUUUCAUGGGUAAGAAAAUAGAAAAAUGGAGCUGCAUCUAAAUGUGAAAUCCGAAAGCUGGAGGAAGAUGACAGAAAAUUAUGUUGCUGUUGCCCGAGGAUGCUACAAUCUUGCCCGAUGAGCAUGACAUCUUCUCUGUUGCAAUUUGUUUAGAUGUUGUCAAUCAUAUAUGGGGCCCCAUGCUUGAUCUGGCAAACGUAUUUGAAGUGUUCAUGCCACUACAACCAGCAAUAAAUCAAGACCAGAUCUCUGAAGGAUUCUGCAGAUCGGUCGGUUCACUCAGACAUAACCACCUCCCUCCGAGCGGAACAAAAGCAACAGUGCAAAGUAGACAGCAUUACCUUGAUUUGGGAAGCAGAAUUCUGAACCUCAAGCAGGAUCUCUUGAUACGCAGGAGUUGGAGUAAGGAAACAAUGGCAGCCAACAUAAUAGCCGCAGCUUCGAAGCCAGACCUACCCGGCCUUCGGUCGUCAUCUUUAACCCCUUGGAGCUUCACCACUGGUUGAAGGAAGUAUGCAGAAAUUUACCUUUGCAGACGGAGCUUGGUUUACAUUUGCCCAGUUAAAAAGGAGGAGGAAGGGAUUGGAUCUCCAACAAACACUAAUAGCUUUCCGUUCUUUCUGCAACAAUCAAUUUUCAUGAUCCGUGGACUUGGGUUAUUUUCUUCACGCACGCACAAGGCAUACCCUUUCAUAGCUCCAGGAAAAAUCACCACUCUCUUCUCAUUUGACCAGCAGCUCUCUCUCUCUCUCUCAGACUUGGAUUAUGGUUGCCGCACCUUGAUCUUUAAGUGAUACCUCGAACAGAGAAACAACUUCUCUUUUGGAGAAGAGGAAAGGCUAGAGAACGACCCACGUUCAUCUUUUUCUCUCUAUCUCUCUCUCUCUCUAUCUAUCUCUUUCUUUUUCCUUUUCUUUUUCUUUUCUCUUGCUUUCUGUUCCUUUUCUUUUUCUUUUCUCUUGCUUUCUGUUCCUUGUCCCUUUCUCAAGGUAUGUCCUUCACUUGGCCCGAAAGGGCAGCAUACUAUAUAUAUUAUAGUAUGUGGCCUAAGAAAGAAAGUCUAGUCCUUUUUAUUAUUUCUUUUCCUCUUAUCUUUUUGUCUCUCUCUCUUUCUUUUCCUUCCUUUCUCUUUCUUCCUGUCUAUUUUUUCUUUUUGUUUUGAGUUGCCCGAAAGGGCUUUAUAUAUAUAUAUAUAUAUAUAUUAUAUUUGAAAAAGGCAAAAAGAAAAAGAUAAAAAAUAAUAGUUGCCAAAGUUUAUUUAUGUUUUAUCCUUCUUUUCCAGUUGUCCGACUUCGGGCAUUUUCAGUUUAUUAUCUAUGUAACCAGUGAAGAUGCUCUUAUGUUUUUUGGUAUCAACAAGAAGGAUGCACAAGUCAGACAACAUUUUUUUCCAAUGCUAGUUGCACUACCAAUUGCCUUGCUCCUCUUGCCAAAGUUUAUCAACGACGGCAGGACCGAAGAGGUAGACGUGCCUCUUCCUUCGACAUCAUUCUUGGCAGCAUUAGAGUUGUAAGUUUCACAAACUUUGCUCAAAUUUGUAAAACUUGGGGGGCACUGUUUGCACUCAAAAUAUGCCAAUUUUUACUUAUUUGGGCAAUUUGGGUAAAAUAUGGUAUUUGAAGGAUUAAUAUGCAAGAAAACUAACUUGGAAAAAUAUUUGGCUGCAAGUGGGGGGGGGGUUGGCACUAUAAUAUUGUUUUUCCCAUUUGUUUGGGUGGUGGAGGUUUGUCAAGCUUUUGUUUAAUCAAGAUACAUGCAUGUAUUGCAAGUGGAUGGAAGAGCUUUCGGGCAAGAAUGUGUAGUGAAAGAAGCUAGUUUGCUUCUUUUAAUUAUUUUAUUGCAAGUGGGAAAAUACAUGUGGUGGAGAUGCAACUUGCUUCUUUUUUAAUUGUUAGUUUAUUACAAGUGGGGAAACAUGUGCUAAAAACAUGUGGUGGAGAUGCAAAUUUCCCUUUUAAUAUUGUUUCUACAUGCAAGUUGGCAAAUGCAAAUGCAAGCUGCCCAAGCUUCUUUCGGGCAGGUACAAAGAUCUUAGCAAGGGGGCUCUUCCAGACCUCUAUAUAAAGAAGCAGAUGGAGAAGGAUUAUGGACACUCAAAACAACCAAUCAAAACUCUACUCAAAUUAGCUCAUCAGCUUCCUUGUAGACAUUUAUUUUUAGCCAAGCAUCCUUUGCUUUUCUUGUUUAUUAGCUCUGCUACUCACUUGUAGCAUCGAUCUUAUUUGUAGCUUUUAUGUACAACCCUCUUUCAGUCAUUUAAUCUACAAGCAAUCUGCAAUAUUAGUCACUUUCCUCUGUCAUUUAUAUUUCCAAGCAACCUUGUCAUUUACAUAUUGUUCUAUCUCUCCAUAUAAGUAAAGUCCUUAUUUUUAAGGCAAACAAAGAACCUUAAUUUGAGUAACUCCCACUCAAUGACACAAUCUCUUGGUUCGAAGUCAAUCUCAGGCGCAACCUCAAUCAUUUAGAAUCCGUUUACUUGCGGCAUCUAGUAGUGGCACGCCCGCACCCCACCAAUCUCGUAUGUGAAGUAAAUCCCCGGCUUGCCCACAAGGCGCCAUGGCGGAUUUAGGGAGCAAACACUUUGCUUUAAAGUUCUCAUCAAGAAGGAUGUUAUGAGGCUUGAUGUCGAAAUGUAGAAUUUGCAUUUUGCAACCUUGAUGUAGAUAUUGUUGACUUUUGUAUUUUAGGUAGGAUCCCUAAUUGAUAUGUAAUCCCAUGUAAUCACUUGUAAUUAGUUUUUCUUUCCUUUUAUGUUAGGGUUGUACACCUAUAAGUUCCUCUUAUUGAGAAGAAUAUAUCAUCAUUCAAAGCAUUCUCUUCUUGGCACCAGAGCCUAGGUUUUGAAAAGAAAAAAAAAAGAAAAGAAAGAGGAGACGAGAUCGUGCUCUGUACGGAAAACCAUAACUACCAGCCGCACAGCCAGUUGUGCAGCGCCGUCCGACCAGCAAGCGACGCCGUCGUUUCUGACCCGAGAACCCGAACUACCCGCCAUGCACCCAGGUGUGCAGUGUGCCGAUCAACCAGCGAGCGACGCCGUCGUUGCUGAUCCGAGUUCACCGAGCCACUCCCUGCAUCUACCACCACGAACCGAGAUUCAACCCACUGCCUGAAAUUUGUCCCAGAUUUCGGCCUGUGUAUCUGUUUUGCGUGCCCAGAUUCGAUUGAACCGAGUGCACCCACUUCACAAUGGCUCCCUGUGCUUGUCCUUUUUCAAAUGGAUUUGACCGAACCGGACAUGAGAGUAGGACCGAUCGAGACCAGUUCAAGACUUGUGAUCCCCACUGUAACAAGUCGUGUACCUCGAUUGUCGAAUCGAAAAUAGAUUCUAAUAUAGGUAACAAAGGUAAGGCUUUAAAAGUUUCUGCAUCUGUUACGAAUAAUACAUGGAUAAUUGAUUCCGGUGCUACUGAACAUAUGACUUGUGAAUCUAGGCAGGUACAAAUCCUAAAACCACCCACCAAAACUGUUGUGAGUGUUGCCAACGGUAAUGUUGUUCUCAUUAUUGGAGAAGGCACUGUCUCCCUGUCAAAUACCCUUAGUCUUGAUACCGUGCUUGUUGUUCCUUCUCUUGACCAUAAUUUAUUAUCUGUUGCUCAAAUAACUGUCGCCCUGCAUUGUCUUGUGAUUUUUUGGCCUUCCUUUUGUGUUUUUAAGGACAUUCGGACUCACAAGACGAUUGGUUAUGGUAUUAGGAAGGGGAAGCUCUAUUACUUGGAGCUGACAUCAAACAGUUUUCGAAUGUUGACUCACGCUCUUGCAGUGGACGGAAAUUCGGGGGAUAGGAAUAAAGCUUCGGAGGUUUGGUUGUGGCAUCGUCGACUUGGACAUGCUUCUUUCGGCUAUCUACGGAGGUUGUUUCCUAGCCUAUUUGUUAAGCAUGAUGUUUCUAGCUUUAAAUGUGGUGUUUGUGAACUAGCUAAAAGUCAUCGUGCUUCGUUUCCAUCCAGUUUGAAUAAAAGUUCUGUUCCAUUUAUGAUAAUUCAUUCUGAUGUUUGGGGUCCAUCUAAAACUGCUACAUUUGGUGGUGCUCAUUGGUUCGUUACUUUUAUUGAUGAUUGCACACGUAUGACUUGGGUUUGUUUGAUGAAAUCCAAAGGUGAAGUUACUUCUUUGUUUCAACAGUUUUACAAAAUGGUACAAGUACAAUAUAAGUCACAAAUACAGGUUCUCAGGAGUGAUAAUGGUGGCGAAUAUGUUAACUCUGAACUUCGUGCCUUUCUUGAUCAUCAUGGGAUUGUUCAUCAAACUACAUGUCCAUAUACUCCACAACAAAAUGGGGCUGCCGAAUGCAAGAACCGUCAGCUUCUGGAGGUUGUUCGUGCUUCUUUACUCGAGGCUCGUCUCCCGUUAUCCUAUUGGGGAGAAGCUCUCACCUCAGCUGCGUAUCUCAUUAAUCGUGUUCCAUCCCGAUCGGUUGAUUUUCAGACACCCCUUCAGGCAUUUUCUUUACAUGUUGAUGCUCCUGCAUUCCCUAAUCUUCCACCUCAUGUGUUUGGAUGUGUGGCCUUCGUUCAUCUUCAUAAACAACAGCGAAGUAAGCUUGAACCUCGAGCCUUACGAUGUGUGUUUGUGGGGUAUGCAUCAAGGCAGAAAGGAUACCGUUGUUAUCACCCACCGACGAAUAAGUUGUUUGUCACUAUGGAUGUUGCGUUUCAUGAGAAUGAUAUGUACUUUGCCAAUCUCGAGUCUUCACUUCAGGGGGAGAAUCAGAAAGAAGUUCAAACUCUUGAUUAUACUAUUCCAGAUAUAGAUAGAGUGAAUGAUUUGGAUUUAAGUGGUGAUGUCUUGGAAAUAAGUGGUGAUCAUUCACACGAAAAUAAUGAUGUGAAUGAAUUGGAAUUAAGUGGUAAUGUCUUGGAGACAAGUGGUGAUCAUUCACAUGGAAACAAUGUUGAAAACCUUGAAAGGGAUGAGUCGACAUCGCCAGAUAACUCACUGCCUGAUAGCUCACUGCCAGUUUCCUCACCACCGGACAACCCUGUGUCGCCAGCUACCUCACAGUCGAUCUUGAGUCCCAAUAACCAUAAUCAAUCGUCUUCGAUCCCGGAUGCACCACCACCACGUCGUCUCCCUGAUCGCAUCAACCGAGGUAUUCUUAAACUUACUUAUGAAGCCGACCCUAAAUGCAAAACUAGGUAUCCGGUGAGUAAGCCCAACCCUGAGUCUAAUGUGUUAUACCCGUUAAGUAAUUAUGUGUCUACCAGUCACCUGUCAGAAUCAAAUAAGUCAUUUGUGCAUCAAUUAUCUACUGUAUCUAUUCCUAACAGUGUGUAAGAGGCUUUAACUGAUCCACGUUGGCAAGUAGCAAUGAAUGAAGAGUUGAAGUCUUUGAAGAAGAAUGCUACCUGGGAGAUCACAGAUUUGCCAGCUGGCAAGAAACCUGUGGGAUGCAAAUAGGUCUAUACUGUGAAAUACAAAGCAGAUGGGACGGUGGAUCGUUUCAAGGCAAGACUGGUAGCAAAAGGAUAUACUCAAAAAUAUGGAAUCGACUACACAGAUACAUUUGCAGGAGUAGCCAAGAUCAACACAGUUCGUGUUUUGUUGUCCUUGGCUGCAAAUCUUAAUUGGCCUUUACAACAGUUCGAUGUGAAGAACGCCUUCUUGCAUGGAGACUUGACAGAAUAAAUUUAUAUGGAUCUUCCACCGGGAUGUAAUGCUCCAGAUAAAUACAAAAGAAAAGUGUGCAGAUUGAAGAAAUCUUUGUAUGUCUUGAAGCAGUCCCCUCGAGCAUGGUUUGGAAGAUUCACAAAAUCUAUGAAAGCAUUUGGUUACAGACAAAGUAACUCUGAUCAUACUUUGUUCCUGAAAAGACAGAAUGGGAAGCUUACUGCACUUAUUGUGUAUGUAGACGAUAUGGUGGUAACAGGUAAUGAUCCGGAAGAACGUGCGGCCUUGCAAAGAUACCUGUCUACAGAAUUUGAAAUGAAUGACCUUGGAUCCCUGAAAUAUUUUUUAGGGAUUGAGGUGUCGAGAAGCAGUUCUGGAAUUUUCUUGUCUCAGAGGAAGUAUAUUAUUGAUUUGUUGCACGAAACUGACAUGUCAGCUUGUCAGCCAGUAGCUACACCAUUAGAAGAAGGAUUGAAGCUUAGUGUUGAUCCUAAUCAAGUACCAAUUGACAAAGGAAGAUACCAAAGGUUAGUAGGCCGUUUGAUGUAUUUGGCACACACAAGACUGGACCUUGCUUAUGCCUUGAGUGUAGUGAGUAAAUACAUGCAUGAUCCUGGAGAACAACAUAUGAAUGCCGUGACGAGAAUAUUGCGAUAUUUGAAGGGAAGUCCGGGCAAAGGAAUUUUGUUUAAGAGGAAUAAUCACUUUAGUGUUGAAGGUUAUACUGAUGCAGACUGGGCAGGUUCCAUUGAUGAUAGACGCUCAACAUCAGGUUACUUUACGUUUGUUGGGGGUAACUUGGUUACAUGGAGAAGUAAGAAACAGAAUGUGGUUGCCCGUUCCAGUGCAGAAGCAGAAUACAGAGGUAUGGCUUUGGGGAUUUGUGAAAUUUUGUGGCUUAAGCUUCUGUUAAGCGAUUUGGGUAUACAACAUGAUCAGCCCAUGAAAUUAUUUUGUGAUAAUAAAGAUGCUCGUGACAUUGCACAUAAUCCGGUACAACAUGAUAGAACAAAGCAUGUUGAAGUUGAUUGGUUCUUCAUCAAAGAAAAAUUGGAAGGGAAAAUAAUUGAAGUACCAGCGAUAAGAACAGAAGAUCAGUUGGCAGAUAUCCUCACAAAAGCUGUUUCGAGUCACAAGUUUUCAAGUUUCUUACACAAGUUAGGCAUGAUCGACAUAUAUUCACCAACUUGAGGGAGAGUGUUGACUUUUGUAUUUUAGGUAGGAUCCCUAAUUGAUAUGUAAUCCCAUGUAAUCACUUGUAAUUAGUUUUUCUUUCCUUUUAUGUUAGGGUUGUACACCUAUAAGUUCCUCUUAUUGAGAAGAAUAUAUCAUCAUUCAAAGCAUUCUCUUCUUAUAUUCGAUCCCUUGACUCCAAGAGAAAUCUUGUACAUAGUCUUGAUAGUUAAGGGAGACUUCCUUAUUUGGAAUAAAUGUAUUUAUCAAGAGAGUCAUUAGGUAUGAAGUCAUAUAUUAGAGCGCUCUUUGAUCCCUCGACACAAUAUCCAAAAAGUUGCACCACAUUGGCACGGUGAAUCCUUCCGAUUGUAGCUAUUUCGCUAAUGAAAUCUUGGCCAUCAGCUUUGGGCUUGCCCAAAACUUUAACUGCUACAAAUCGGCCACUGCGUAGCUUUCCUUUAAAUACAAAGCCAAAGGCACCUUCGCUCAACUUGUCCUUAAACCUGCAAGUCAUUUUCUUGAUGUUCGAGUAAGAGUACCUUAUAGGCAUGAAGUUAUUGCAUUGCAAAAAAUCUUCUAUUGUGCUAUACAUUGAUAAAUGUCUUUUGCGCCAUGUAGAUUAAAAAUGCAGUCACAACUACAACUCCAAAAACAAAUCUGGCUAGGAAAAAUAACCCUGCAUGCAUUGACAUUAGUAUGUUAGAUCCACUGUACUACUUUUUCUUCCCUUUCUUUCCAAAUUACUUUGUCUUUGAUGUAAUUAAAGAGAGAAUGGGAAAUCUACAUAUGCUGAUAAUACAAUCUCGUAUUAGUUCUUACCGAUGCAUAUGAGUAUAAACCAUCCACGUACUGCAACAUAAUUAAUCGACAAUGAGUUUCAAAAGUGCAUAAAGUGAAGAAAAAAAAAUUUGAAAAAAAUCAAAGGGUGCCUCUAUUGACACCCAAAUUUUAGUUAGUUUCACUCAACUAAAAAAAAAAUUCAUCGAACUUUUUAAUUUGCCUUCGAAAUUGAGUUCACCCAACCCACCAACCAGCAAGCACCACUCAACCAAAAAAUGAACAACACAAAGAGCUGGCAUCGACGCUGUCGAUGAAGGAGGGACAUGAGGAUGGUGUAGUUUCGUCUGGCGCGCGGUAGUGGUUUUGUCUGUUCAUUUUCUCUUUCUUUUGGUAGGUGGAGGCUGGUGUGGAUUUGGGCGAACUUAAAAAUGAGGGGAAACUAUGAAGUUUGACAAAAUGUUUUAGUUAGGUGAACUUAACUAAAAUUUGGGUGCUAAAAAAGGUACCCAAAAUCAAAAGGCUUUUGUUUACCCAAUGCUAUGUACAGGUUUGACUUUUGUUUAUAUUCUUGGAUCUGUUGCUUGGUUGUAUAAUUUGGAUGUGGUUUUGUUUCAAGAUAAUUUGUUCUUCGUUUCUUGAGGCUUUUGUGUGUAGAUUUGAAACCGUUUAGCUUUCAAGCCGUUUAUACUCAAGGUAAAUAAUUUCGUUUUUUUCUUUUUAACCUUUUUUGUAAGAAUUUUUUAUUUAAUUUUGUGAGAGUUGUGUUUUCUAUAGUAUGAAAAUUGAAUCUUUGUGAUCUUAUAUCCUUAGAUAUGUUGCUUGGUUAUAUGAUUUGGCUGUGUGCAUUGUUUCAGGACAAUUUGUUCUUCGUUUUUGGGGCUUCUGUGCGUAGUUUUGAAGCCUUUUGUAGUCAACAUAAAUAAUUUUAUUUUUCUUUGUUUCUAGUCUUCUUUGUAAGAAUUUCUUAGUUAAUAUUUUGAGAAUUAUGUUUACUAUAGUAUGAAAACUGAAUCUUUGUGAUCUUCUAAGUGAUGUAACGUCAUUGCACCAUGUAUGACUGCCAUUAUCGAACAUGAAAAGCUUUUUUAUUUCUGUACUCCGUCCUUUCAUACGAUCUGCCUCAAAAAUGGUUUCAUUACAAGUUCUAACAUGAUUUUUGCGAUGUCUUAUGAAAAAACAAUGUCCACCAAAACAAUAGGAAAACGUCGCCGUCUGCUCUUCUUGGCUGAGCUUCAUGACUGGCCGAAUUCCCCUAUUCCCUUCCUCUUAUACUUUUUUGUAUUCGUUCACCAAAACAAUAGGAAAACGUCGCCGUCCGUUUGAUUGACGGCGAAAGAAAAAGACAGAGAAUAAAAGCCUGACGGAAUAUUGCGAUUUGAGAAAAAAAAGAAAGAACCACGUUGACAUAAUAUACUCACAAUAGGUGUACAAGGUUAAUAAAGCUUUACUGUGGUUCCAUUUUUUUGCAUACUUCAAAGGCUCUGAAUUGCUAAUGGAAUUAGCCUUUAGUUUUAGGAAGAAACUUGGAACCCCCUCCGUCCGUUCUAUCCCCAAUGGAAUUAACACUUGGAUAGUACUAUGACAAUGUGUCAUUAUUUGAUGCAUACCUGUAUAAAUUUAGGCUAAGUGUUUUAUACACAAAUUGGUACAGAUUAAGCUUCUGGGAGCAAAAUCAUAUACGGGAGAGCUAACUAUACAAUGAUACAUUCUUAUCUGUUAAUUAUCUUUGGUUACCAGCUAUCCAUGUUGCUGACAUAUUAAAUUACACAACAUCUAUUGUAAUUUAUGUCUUAUUAGUAACAUAAUGAUCUGGUUUCAAUUUGCUACAGGCAUUAUUUCCUGACAAUAGCUAUGGUUUUGAUUAUAGCUGUGACUGAAAAAUUAUUCCGAAACUAACAUUUGAGGAAUUCAAGGUUUGUUAGUUAAUUUGUACAUCAGAAUACCAUGACAAACUGUGAAGUUGUAAUUGUUGACCUUACAAUGUAUCUUUUUUGGUUUGGAGCAUUAGACUUAUAUGUGCUACUUUCACUUCAUGAAGGCUAACUCUUUAUUUUAGGCCUUAGAAUAUAAUUUCUUGGAGAAUCUACAUUGUUGUUGAUAAUUUUUUGAACAAUAUUAUCCCCAAAAUUUCUCCGCAUGUUACCCUCAACGUAGACAUCAUAUAACCAUCAUUGAACUUCUGAACCAAAAAUUUGAGUUUUGUGAUUAUAACUAAACAUCUAUAAACACAUGAUACAGAUUGAGACGAACGUCAAAUUUAAAAUGGCAUUAAUCAGGACAGCUGCAAACUCUGAUUUGCGGCCUUUGAAAUGGAGAAGUUACUUCUUGCUUCACUUCAGCAGCAUAGUCCAGCUUCUAAAUUCAGUUCUCAGGUAUGAGGUUUCUCAGUUACCUCUUUUUUGUAAUAAAACAUUUGACCAGUACUUGCCAGGAUAUCCAAUUAAUUAGGUCAGUUUUUGUCAGCCGUAAUAAUUUGUUUUUGCAACUUUAUAUGUGUCUCUGUCUCCAAAUGAUGAUCUCUUAAUUUGCUUCUAUAGCUUUUGUAAUAUGAUGAUCUCUUAAUUUGCUUUUGCAUAUCUUCUUUGCUUCCUCUGCUAGCUCUAUAUGAGAUUCCAUCUCCAAAUAAUUAUUAUUAUUUCCUAUUUUUACAGGAAGCAAAUCAUUGAAUACACAUGGAAAAUUAAAAGGGUUUUAGUUUUUGGAUUAGUUUAAAUUUUUUGUUUGUUAUUGCUUGUAUUGCUGUUAAAUAUUUGAUGGGUAGUUUGAAAUGGGGAACUUGGUUGAUCGAGUAUUAACUUUUAUUAAAUUAAUAUUCUUAUUCAAUAUUGAAUUAAGACUCCUCUUAUUAAAUUAAGACUCUUAAGGCUCUAAUCUAAUUUUCAUGCUCAACAUCUCCUCUAUCUUUCUACAAUUGGUAAAACUUUUGUAUUAUUAUUCCAAUUUUGGUUACUGGGUUGUGGAAUUUUCCAUUUUUUUCUGGGUAAUCAAUACUAUAUAUAUGCAUGAAAAGUAUAAACAAUAUUUUGGGUCAAAUUUAGUUGUUUAAUUUUUUAUUUUUUUUGUGACAGUGAGAUUAUGGUAGGAUUUCGUUUAGAUUCCGUGGCCCAAUGGGAGUCUCUGCUUUGAUAAGAUUGGGGUUGAUGCCAAGAAAGCCUUUCUACUGUGGACGCCGCAGCCGCCUAGCGCUGUUUUCCAAAAUCCUCUCUCACUUGGGUAAGCAAUUACGACUUUUUGGUUCAGUUUUUAUUAUGCCCAAUUUUGUAUUUAAACUGAUUUGGGGUUACUGAAAUAGGCAUGCUUGAUGAGUGCUGCAGAGCUGCCAUCCCUGAAUCAGAAGAUGUUCAGAAGGAAGAAGGAAGAACAAGAAGAAAAAGAAGAAGAAAGUCGUGGAAUAUCAAAAGCUUUUAGCUUUGUGAAGGUAUGCUUUUUCCCAACUCAUCUCUUGCUUUUGUUGCACUGAAUUGGUAGAUUGGGUUCAAAAUAUAUAUAUAUGUGAUUUUUUGUGUAACUAUUCUUUACAUAAUUACCAAUUGGAGGUGAUUUGAGAUCAUGUAACAUUUCCUCGCCAGAACCGAAGAUUGCCGUCGCUCAAAGCUGCGUUUCAUGAAACAAGUUCAUCUCCUGCCAAUUUUGUGUACCCACUUUUUAUUCAUGAGGGUUGGUGCUUGCUUGCAACAUAAUUUGGUGCUAUUAAGUUUUGCGGUUUUACAAUCUGUUCAUGCUUAAACCUCUUUCAAAUUUUCAUUUCUGUGUAAAUCUAGCAGGUAGGUCGACACACCUAUCUGGGCAAUGUCGGGAUGUCUAGGCUUGGGUGGAGACAUGGACUUAUGAAAGAGGUGAAGUAGCUUAGUUCGAUCUCAUUAGCUCUUAUCUAAAAAGUUCUAUUGAUUUUAUAAUCAAAGAUACAUAUAUUAUAGAAACAUAGGGUAUAUCAUUAAUUUCUUGAUGUAAACAAUUAUAACUUGAGCAACCAUUUAAAGUAUUUUGGUAAUCAGCAUACUUAAACUUAAAUGUGAUAUAUCCGUUUAGUUUUUUUUUUUAUACAGUGAUAAUACUCAAGUAUAAUUUACAUCAUAUAUCUUUUGAAGUACAUGAAACUAUGAAGAAAAUGAUAAACCAAAUCCCAUUCCAUCUCCGUUUGCUACUGCACAAUCACAAUCCAAUUCCAACAUGGAAUCCUCAGACGACAUGCCUACUGCAGAACAAGUUUCAUCUUGACUUAACUUCUAUUUAGUCCACUUCUUGUUUAGAUUGUAAUCCUAGUUCUACGUGUGUUUGUAUAGUACUCCUAUAAAUAUCAAUGAACAUCGCUCACUCUAAUUAAGAGUUGAGAUUCUGCAAAUCAUAUUUACUAUCUUUCAUGGUAUCACGAGCCAGGGUCUAACGACAACAGUUCAUGUUAUAAUUUUUUUCUCUUCUGCAGAUCCUAAACUAUGGCAUCUUCUUCCUCCUCCGCUGCUCCCUCCGUCUCAAAUUUUCUUACGAUUAAGCUCGACCGCAACAACUACCCUCUUUGGCGUGCUCAAUUUCUUCCCUUGCUGCGCAGCCGCAACUUACUCUCUUAUGUUACUGGCGAAACUCAAUGCCCCUCUGCCUUUCUUCUUGAUGACAAUGGUAAAUUCACAGACAAAGUCAAUCCAUUAUAUAAUGAAUGGAUCCAGACUGACGAGAUGAUCCUAUCUUGGAUUACGAGUUCUCUUACUCCCAAGGUUCUUGCUACGAUCGUCAACAAAAUUGAUAAAGCCUCUGCUUGGUCGUCAAACCCGAAUUAAUCUGAUUAUGGGGGUUUUGUUUUAUAUCAAUAUAUUGCAGCAGAAGUCGCACUUUGAAGAGUUCGUGCUGCACAGAAAGAUGAUGAAAUGCUACCUGUUGAGUCUAUCAUUGCUCCAUUGGAGACAGAGCUGAAGCUUGCUGCAGGAGUUAUACAUUUGUUAUGCAAUAUGACCCCUUUAAUUUUAUUUUAAAACUGAUACAAAAAUACUACAAAAAUUUAUGUAGUAUUUUUGUAUCAGUUUUGAGUGUCUAUUUUGGCUUCCAUAUUUCGUCUGUACAUGUGAGAGGUAUAGUGUUCAAUAUGUAUUUGGUUUCUAUAUUGUUAAUGGAUCUUCUUUUUUUUCUUUUUUUUUCUUUUUUUUUAAAGAUAACCAAGUUGCAGGAUGACAGCAGAACACUUGAUCUGCAGGUAAACCUUCAAUUUCCAUAUGAAGUUUGCAUGUUCGUUGUUUCUGGAAUUUGAGUUUUUAUUAUUUAUCAAUUCUAUCACAUAGAUUACGAUUUCACAUAUGGGAUUAUUAAUGGCAAUUAGAUGAUAGAAGAAUUGGGAUUGGAAGAAGAUAUUGAGUUGUUUAUUUAUGGGGAUUAGAAAAUGAUUAUCAUACGAGUGAUAUUUAUUUUUGUGUGGAUUGUUAAUAUAUAAAACUAUAAGCUUUUGAGAUUGGGAGACAAAACCCACACAUUCAAAUCAGACAAAAUAAAUAAAAAAUUUAACUGACUUAAAGAUCAAACUCCAAAAGGGUAUUAAAAACAAGGCUUAUUUGAUCCAUUGAGUGUGAAAGUUUUGAGCUUUGAAGAAGCAGAGGAGGAGAGUUGUUAACCAAGCUGCAUUAUCCAUGUAUUAGGAUGUUGAAGGUAGGCAGGAAAAUUACUUUUUGACGCCAUAUCCAGAGGAGCAUAACGACAGGCCUGCAUUUUUGCAGCAAUGACCAAAACAAGUAGAAGUGAAGGCUUGACUGUUUGGGUAUUCAUCCUAAACCUAAUUAUUCUUAUUUAGGUUUAGGAUAAAUGAUUGAGUGUGUCUCGAUGAUUGUAUUACUAUGUUUGAUGAAUGAUUUGAGGAGUUGGAAAUGGUUUAUUGCUUAUCUUUUUUUUAGGUGUGUACUUUGGUUAUUUCCGAGCUUUUCAUGACUUUUGAUACCUAAUAGAGAAUAUGGAAACCCCAACUUUAAUUUUAUGAAUUGGUUUUGGUGCCUAAAAUGAAAUCUAGCAUAGUGAAAUCUUGCAUAAUGAAAUUAUGACAAAUUUCCCUUCAUCUUUAGAUUUUCAUUUAAUUCAAUUCGUAUGCAAUUUAGGGUUAUUCAAUUCAUGAGUGAUCAAAUUAUGUUUUUAAUUCCUUCUUUUGAUUUACAGUUCAACAUUGUCGUACAAAAUGAAAAAGGCGCCAGUAACAGAGUUAUGGAUUUGGAUGCCUUUAGUGGAAUAAAACUGAAUUUUUUAACUUUGUAUAGUUGUAAACAUAAAAUACUCCAUGAGAUAGACUCAUAGCUUUUGAAAACAAUCCUUGAGGAUGGCAUAACAACAUCUCCAACUUUUGUCAUGUAAUGUAUGAAUGUCAAUAGCACUUCGUAAACAUAUGGAUGUAAUAUAUGUAUAUAAACACUCUUUAGCAUGUAUAUUUUUCAAAACUUUCUACAUCUUCAACAAUGUUUCAAUGAUUUCUUGAUGUAAACAAUGAUAAUUUGAAGAACCAUUUAAAGUAUUUUGGUAAUCAGCAUACUUAAGCUUAAAUGUGAUAUAUCCGUUUAUUAUUUUUUAUACAGUAAUAAUACUCAAGUAUAAUUUACAUCAUAUAUCUUUUGAAGUACAUGAAACUAUGAAGAAAAAACCCUAAUUAAUCUAAUUAUGGGGGUUUUGUUUUAUAUCAAAAUAUUGCAGCAAAAGUCACACUUUGAAGAGUUCACGCUGCAUAGAAAGACGAUGAAAUGCUAUCUGUUGAGUCCAUCAUUGCUCCAUUGGAGACAGAGCUGAAGCUUGAUGCAGGUGGUAUACUUUUGUUCUGCAAUAUGAUCCCUUUAAUUUUAUUUUAAGAUAGAUAGGGUUGAAAAAAAUUUAUGUAGUAUUUUUUUUUUUCAGUUUUGAGUGUCUAUUUUGGCUUCCAUAUUUGGUCUGUACAUGUGAGGUAUAGAAUGUUCAAUAUGUAUUUGGUUUCUAUAUUGUUAAUGGAUCUAUUUUUUUUUUUAGGUAACCAAGUUGCAGGAUGAAAACAGAACACUUGAUCUGCAGGUAAACCUCCAAUUUCCAUAUGAAGUUUGCAUUUUCGUUAUUUCUGAAAUUUGAGUUUUUACAGGAUGAAAACAGAACACUUGAUUUGCAGGUAAACACUUGAUUGGUUAUUUCCGAGCUUUUCACGACUUUUGAUACCCAAUAGAGAAUAUGGAAACCCCAACUUUAAUUUUAUGAAUUGGUUUUGGUGCCUAAAAUGAAAUCUAGCAUAGUGAAAUCUUGCAUAAUGAAAUUAUGACAAAUUUCCCUUCAUCUUUAGAUUUUCAUUUAAUUCAAUUCGUAUGCAAUUUAGGGUUAUUCAAUUCAUGAGUGAUCAAAUUAUGUUUUUAAUUCCUUCUUCUUUUGAUUUACAGUUCAACAUUGUUGUACAAAAUGAAAAAGGCGCUAGUAACAGAGUUAUGGAUUUGUAUGCCUUUAGUGGAAUAAAACUGAAUUUUUUAACUUUGUAUAGUUGUAAACAUAAAAUACUCCAUGAGAUAGACUCAUAGCUUUUGAAAACAAUCCUUGAGGAUGGCAUAACAACAUCUCCAACUUUUGUCAUGUAAUGUAUGAAUGUAAAUAGCACUUCGUAAACAUAUGGAUGUAAUACAUGUAUAUAAACACUCUUUAGCAUGUAUAUUUUUCAAAACUUUCUACAUCUUCAACAAUGUUUCAAUGAUUUCUUGAUGUAAACAAUGAUAAUUUGAAGAACCAUUUAAAGUAUUUUGGUAAUCAGCAUACUUAAGCUUAAAUGUGAUAUAUCCGUUUAUUAUUUUUUAUACAGUGAUAAUACUCAAGUAUAAUUUACAUCAUAUAUCUUUUGAAGUACAUGAAACUAUGAAGAAAAAACCCUAAUUAAUCUGAUUAUGGGGGUUUUGUUUUAUAUCAAAAUAUUGCAGCAAAAGUCACACUUUGAAGAGUUCACGCUGCAUAGAAAGACGAUGAAAUGCUAUCUGUUGAGUCCAUCAUUGCUCAAUUGGAGACAGAGCUGAAGCUUGAUGCAGGUGGUAUACUUUUGUUCUGCAAUAUGAUCCCUUUAAUUUUAUUUUAAGAUAGAUAGGGUCGAAAAAACUUUAUGUAGUAUUUUUUUUUUUCAGUUUUGAGUGUCUAUUUUGGCUUCCAUAUUUGGUCUGUACAUGUGAGGUAUAGAAUGUUCAAUAUGUAUUUGGUUUCUAUAUUGUUAAUGGAUCUAUUUUUUUUUUUAGGUAACCAAGUUGCAAGAUGAAAACAGAACACUUGAUCUGCAGGUAAACCUCCAAUUUCCAUAUGAAGUUUGCAUUUUCGUUAUUUCUGGAAUUUGAGUUUUUGCAGGAUGAAAACAGAACACUUGAUUUGCAGGUAAACACUUGAUUGGUUAUUUCCGAGCUUUUCACGACUUUUGAUACCCAAUAGAGAAUAUGGAAACCCCAACUUUAAUUUUAUGAAUUGGUUUUGGUGCCUAAAAUGAAAUCUAGCAUAGUGAAAUCUUGCAUAAUGAAAUUAUGACAAAUUUCCCUUCAUCUUUAGAUUUUCAUUUAAUUCAAUUCGUAUGCAAUUUAGGGUUAUUCAAUUCAUGAGUGAUCAAAUUAUGUUUUUAAUUCCUUCUUCUUUUGAUUUACAGUUCAACAUUGUUGUACAAAAUGAAAAAGGCGCUAGUAAUAGAGUUAUGGAUUUGGAUGCCUUUAGUGGAAUAAAACUGAAUUUUUUAACUUUGUAUAGUUGUAAACAUAAAAUACUCCAUGAGAUAGACUCAUAGCUUUUGAAAACAAUCCUUGAGGAUGGCAUAACAACAUCUCCAACUUUUGUCAUGUAAUGUAUGUAAAUAGCACUUCGUAAACAUAUGGAUGUAAUAUAUGUAUAUAAACACUCUUUAGCAUGUAUAAUUUUCAAAACUUUCUACAUCUUCAACAAUGUUUCAAUGAUUUCUUGAUGUAAACAAUGAUAAUUUGAAGAACCAUUUAAAUUAUUUUGGUAAUCAACAUACUUAAGCUUAAAUGUGAUAUAUCCGUUUAGUAUUUUUUAUACAGUGAUAAUACUCGAGUAUAAUUUACACCAUAUAUCUUUUGAAGUACAUGAAACUAUGAAGAAAAAACCCUAAUUAAUCUGGUUAUGGGGGUUUUGUUUUAUAUCAAAAUAUUGUAGUAGAAGUCACACUUUGAAGAGUUCACGUUGCAUAGAAAGACGAUGAAAUGCUAUAUGUUGAGUCCAUCAUUGCUCCAUUGGAGACAGAGCUGAAGCUUGCUGCAGGUGGUAUACUUUUGUUCUGCAAUAUGACCCCUUUAAUUUUAUUUUAAGACAGAUAGGGUUGAAAAAAAUUUAUGUAGUAUUUUUGUAUCAGUUUUGAGUGUCUAUUUUGGCUUCCAUAUUUGGUCUGUACAUGUGAGGUAUAGAGUGUUCAAUAUGUAUUUGGUUUCUAUAUUGUUAAUGGAUCUAUUUUUUUUUUAGGUAACCAAGUUGCAGGAUGAAAACAGAACACUUGAUCUACAUGUAAACCUUCAAUUUCCAUAUGAAGUUUGCAUUUUCGUUGUUUCUGGAAUUUGAGUUUUUGCAGGAUGAAAACAGAACACUUGAUCUGCAGGUAAACACUUGAUUGAUUAUUUCCGAGCUUUUCACGACUUUCGAUACCCAAUAGAGAAUAUGGAAACCCCAACCUUAAUUUUAUGAAUUGGUUUUGGUGCCUAAAAUGAAAUCUAGCAUAGUAAAAUCUUGCAUAAUGAAAUUAUGACAAAUUUCCCUUCAUCUUUACAUUUUCAUUUAGUUCAAUUUGUACGCAGUUUAGGGUUAUUCAAUUCAUGAGUGAUCAAAUUAUGUUUUUAAUUCCUUCUUUUGAUUUUCAGUUCAGCAUUAUCGUAUUUUGGAUGCCUUUAGUGGAAUAAAACUUAAUUUUUUUAACUAUGUAUAGUUGUAAACAUAAAAUACUCCAUGAGAUAGACUCAUAGCUUUUAAAAACAAUCUUUGAGGAUGGCAUAACAACAUCUCCAACUUUUGUCAUGUAAUGUAUGAAUGUAAAUAGCACUUUGCAAACAUAUGGAUGUAAUAUAUGUAUUUAAACACCACUCUUUAGCAUAUAUAUUUUUCAAAACUUUCUACAUCUUCAACAAUGUUUGAAGCCCCGCAACAAUGGGCGGGUACACUUGCUAGUAUACAUCUAAAAUUAUAAGACUAAAUCCUUUAGUUCUUGGAUUCAUCUAAGAACUACUUAUUCCAGCAGAUGUUAUGCUUGCACUACUAGAAUUUAUGGCUUGCCCUGUCAACUAUUGCGCGACAGAAGACUUCGUCGGUUUCACCUUUUUUAACCGACAUAAUAUAAGUUUAGUAGGGCAAAAUCAGUCAACAAACUGGGUUGACUGAAUAGAUUUACAGGAUGUCUAGAGUUCGUAGGUUAAGACAUCAGUCGUUGGGCAAACAUUUGGAGCGAAGAUGUGAGUGUUUUAACUGACGAAUAAGCUGGUCGUCAUGUAGAUCUUCUUUCCCGACUGAUGGUUCAACGAGUAGCUCUUUGGAUAACAAUUCAUCUUCAAGGGGAACAGGUUGCCCCUCAAAUGAAUGGUUAGAGGCAAUUGUGAGACUAUAAUUUUCUAGGGCCGGAAUAUCUAUAACCAUCCACCAAAUACCCCUUCUUCCCUUUCUAUUUCUCUCUCAGUAAUUUCCCCUGACCGAAUCACACAAUCCAACCAACUCUCUUUAAGCCUCACUCAUCGAUUCCAUGGAUUUCAUGGACUUAUCCCACCCUCUCUCCUUCCCCCUAUAUAUAGCAAGUCCCCUUGCCUCAGUGUCCCUGGCAACAAAAUUUAUGGCGUGUAUUCGGUCUUUCAAUUAUUUGAAAGCUUCCCUGCCUUGCAGUCUUGUACAAAGGCGUAUGGUGUUUCAUUAGUUCCAUUUGGUGGUUGGGUGGGAAAUGAAAUUAAAACACUGCAUUUCCAAUGGUCUAAACCAAAUUGAAUCAAAUGUGAAGCAAAGGGCAAGAAGUGUAGAUUGAAGAACAAUGGCACCAAGAGCGAAAUUGAACUUGUUGACAGGAGGAAACCAAGUAAGGAUAACGCGUCUAAAUCUUAUUUCGAAUCCAUUCAGCUCAUGAUGUUUUUAAUGAUGAUGAUCGGUAUACUUUGCUACAUGCUGUGAUUUUUCCGCUUUCAUGUAAUUAACGGCUUAUAUUUGUGGUAACGAUAUUGAUUAAUUUUGAGAAAUGACAGUCUAAUUUUUGCAACUGUCUUUUGCAGGCAAAACAAAGACGUUUGCAAGGGUGAGUUAUGUAGGACCAAUGUUUAGCUUUGUUUCAUGUCCAAAUGACACUUGAGAAUAAAUGUUUACUCAUGGAUAAUAUCUAUCUAUUUGCAGGAGCAACCCUGGGUUUAUUUGUUCUUUUACUACUGGUCAUUGCCGCAUAUCACGCCUAUAGCACUGACAAAAGUAAAAAGAAAAUCGAAUGAAAUUUGGUAAGUUUUCAGCGGACUACAAAGAUCUUAAGCCAAGCAUAUAUUCCCAUUCAGAUAUUAAGAGGUUUACAAAUCAAUUCAAGUACAAGUUGGGCCAAGGAGCAUACAUAAUUGUUUUUAAAGGAUAGUUUUUUUCUGAAUGCUUUGUUGCCAUGAAAGUACUUAACAUUUCCAAGGGUGACGGGGAAGAGCUUGUAAAUGAAGUGGGGAACAAUGGGCCAUAUUCACCAUGUCAAUGUGGUUCACUUGGUUGGUUUUUGUGCUGAUGGAUUUAGAUGAGCUCUGGUUUAUGAGUUCUUUUCCUUUGGUUCACUCCAGGAUUAUAUUUCAUCAGUAGAUAGAUUUCUUUCCUUGGUUGGCAUAAGUUGCAAGAUAUUGCUAUCAGCAUAGCCAAAGGAACCAGGGAUGUGAUCUACAAAUCCUCCAUUUCGAUAUCAAACCCCAUAAUGUUUUGCUCGACCAAAAAAUCACGCCAAAAAUCUCUGAUUUUGGUCUGGCCAAGUUAUGUUCCAAGGAUCAAUCAAUGUGACUAAAGCAAGGGGGACCAUGUGACUAAAGUACCCGAAGUGUUUUCCAGGAAUUUCGGAAAUGUGUCUUACAAGGCAGAUGUCUUGAAUGCUGCUGCUUGAGAUGGUAGGAGAAAAGAAGAAUAUUGGUUCAACUAGAGGACACAACAAAUGAAAUCUACUAUCCAAAAUGGAUUUAUAAUCUUCUAGAGGAAGGAAAUGACCAACAGAUCCCUAUUGAGGAAGAAUGUUAUGGUAAGAUUCCAAAGCAACUUGCAAGUUUAGGGCUCUGGUGCAGCCAGUGACACUCGGUGGAUCGGCAGUCCAUGAAAACGGUGGUUCGGAUGUUAGGAGGAGGAGAAAACUUGAUGAUGCAAGCAAUCCUAAAAGCCUCAUACAGUUAGAAGUAAUUGCUGAAUUAGAGUAACAUAUGUAUAUGUAUACGCACCAACACUAGUCGUUCUUAGAUGAAUCCAAGCCAAACAAUUACAGACAACAGUUAUUCACUAAAUCACUUUAAGGCAAGAAUUUAAUUAAUAAUACAUUACUGCACUUUCUUAACCAUUUGACCAUCACCUAGCAGACAAUGAACACGUUAGCUCCGCGUUAGAACAUCUUGGGUUCAAUUCAUUGUCUUGAAUAUCACCCUCUGUCACAGGCGUCUCUAGGGGGCAUAGAGAAGGCCUGAGAGGCAUUUGCAGACAUUCAACAUCACCUCCAAGCAUUUUGACAACUUUGGACAUCGAAGGGCGAUCACUUGGUUUCAUUUGAAUACACCAUAAGGCGGUUAUAACCAUCCUUCUUAUUACUUUCUUUUCCUCCUCUGUAACAUUGUCCGUUUCCAAGUUAUUUCCCACAAUAUACUGAUCGUAUACCCACAUUGGGAAGUAGAUUUGGCUUGAAUGCUCUACCGUUGGAUUCAAAUUCUUCCUUCUGCUUGCCAUCUCCAUCAACAACAUUCCAAAACUAUAGACAUCUGACUUGUAUGAGACACCUCCAAUAUUUUUGUAGAACAACUCAGGAGCAAUAUAUCCCAGUGUACCUCGUGCUGCCGUCAAAGAGACAAUGCUAUUAUCUACAGGAUACAAUUUUGCAAGCCCAAAGUCAGAAACCUUUGCUUUAAAGUUCUCAUCAAGAAGGAUGUUAUGAGGCUUGAUGUCGAAAUGUAGAAUUUGCAUUUCGCAACCUUGGUGUAGAUAUUCGAUCCCUUGAGCCACUCCAAGAGAAAUCUUGUACAUGUUCUUGAUAGUUAAGGGGACACUUCCUUCUUUGGAAUAAAUGUAUUUAUCAAGAGAACCAUUAGGCAUGAAGUCAUAUACUAGAGCGCGUUUUGAUCCCUCAACACAGUAUCCAACAAGUUGCACCACAUUGGCAUGGUGAAUCCUUCCGAUUGUAGCUAUUUCGCUAAUGAAAUCUUGGCCAUCAGCUUUGGGCUUGCCCAAAACUUUGAUUGCUACAAAUCGACCACUGCGUAGCUUUCCCUUAAAUACAGAGCCAAAGCCACCUUCGCCCAACUUGUCCUUAAAUCUGCGAGUCAUUUUCUUGACGUCCGAGUAGGAGUACCUUAUAGGCAUGAAGUUGUUAUUGCAUUGCAGAAAAUCUUCUAUUGUGCUAUACAUUGAUAAAUGUCUUCUGCGCCAUGUGUAGAUUAGAAAUGCAGUCACAACUGGAACUCCAAAAACAAAUCUGGCUGGGAAAAAUAACCCUGCAUGCAUUGACAUUAAUACGUUAGAUCCACUGUGUACUACUUUUUCUUCCCUUUCUUUCCAAAUUACUUUGUCUUUGAUGUAAUUAAAGAGAAAGAAUGGGAAAUCUACAUAUGUUGAUAAUACAAUCUCGUCUUAGUCCUUACCGAUGCAUAUGAGUAUAAACCAUCUACGUGCUGUAACAAAAUCAAUCGACUAUGAGUUUGAAAAGUGCAUAAAGUGAAAAAUAAAUAAAUAAAUAAAAUCAAAGGGUGCCUUUAUUGACACCCAAAUUUUAGUUAGCUUUACUCAACUAAAAAAAUUUUGUCAAACUUUUUAAUUUGCCGUCGAAAUUGAGUUCACCCAACCCACAAAGCAACAACUACCACUCACCAAAAAAACCAACAACACACAUCCACCAGUACCACUCACCAAUAGAAAGAGAAGGAACACACAGACCCACCAAGGAGCCGGCAUCGACGCAUCUACGAGGGAGGGACCGGAGGGUGGUGUAGUUUUGUUGGGCGCGCGGUAGUUGUUUUGUCUGUUCAUUUUCUCUUUCUUUUGGUAGGUGGAGGCUGCUGUGGAUUUGGGCGAACUUAAAAAUGAGGGGAAACUAUGAAGUUUGACAAAAUGUUUUAGUUAGGGGAACUUAACUAAAAUUUGGGUGCCGAUAAAGAUACCCAAUAUAAAAAAUACUUGAGCGUAUAGACUAAUUAAAUGAAGUUGAUCUUACCGAUCGGGUGGCUGUAUGAUGAAUACAACUUGCCAGCUGCAAUAGAUACCACAGAAAAGUGAGCAAAGACAUACAGUUACUAGGUUUAAGAAGUACAGAUAGAGCACACAAAAAUAAAAGAAGCUUUUGGAGAGAAACUUCUUACGCAAAUAUAUGUAUUCAUGACCUACAGUGAAAAUUGUGAAGAAGAAUACACAACAUUAGCAAUAGCUCACCCAGUCUUCAGAAUUUAAAAAAAUCAAGUUUGUCGAUCGAAAACUUGUAAAUAAAACAAAAAGAGGACCCCUUACUGAUUUGUUGCCAUAGAUAUUGAAAGAAACCUACAAGAACAAAGAAAGAACAAGACCACAUGCAUUAGCAUAACAAGUGUGAGGUGUAUAAGUCGUUAGAAAAUAAAUUUAGAAUUCUAGUGCUGUCAAUACAUUGAUAAUAUAAUAUAUAUGUGUUAUUUUUUCUGAAAAUUUAACUUUCCCCCUCCAAACUCAUUUUUCUAGCCUCUAGCCCAUCAUAUAAUAUUUAUCCGAAUAAAACCCAAUGAUUAGGAUCCAACUAAGAAACUUACCAAAUUAAGUUUGUGUGUCCAUUUUUAUAUUUUUUGGAUCGCUAAUAUACCCCAUCUAAGCCAGUAUGGAAAGUUCUUGUAAUUUUGUUUUAAUUGAUCACGUGCAUUGAAUUUGGCAAGGUCUUGUAGCCAUGAAAAAUGGUUCUAGAUGGAGGAAUUAAUUGGGAUUUUUUUUUUAAUUUUGACAACAAAUUUCAAUUUGAAUAUACCUAAUUUAGUGUUUAUUUUCAACAAUAUCUAUUGUUUAAUUUUAUGAAAAUAAUUUACCUACUAUGAAAAUUAAUUUUAUGAAAACAAUAUCUAUUGUUUAAUUUUAUACCUAUAGGAUAAUUACAUGAAAAUAGUUUACCUACUAUGAAAAUUAAUUUUUUCAAAACAAUAUCUAUUGUUUAAUUUUAUGAAAAUAAUUUACCUACUGUAUAAUUACAUGAAAACUAAUGUGCCUAUUUUUUAAAUUUGUUACAAAAUUAAUUUACCUACUCUUUAUGGUAUUAGUAAUAUAUGUCCGUACGUAUUUGAUCUAAUUAGGUUUUGGAUUGGAGGAGUUGACACAAAAUUAUAAAUAUAUUAAACAAAUUUAUCUAUCCUUAAGUUGGAGGGGAAUUGGCCUGCACAUUGCUACGGUAAACAAAUGCCACUCGAUUUCACGUUAUUUACAACAAAGCUAUCAGAUUUGGGUUGGGUUGGAGGGUAAUUUUGUGCAUAGGGUUUAGGUGCCCUCCUAUAUAUGACCCUUGAUUUUACUUUAUUUACACCACUGCCAUCAAAUAUGUGGCUGAAUUGGAGGGUAUUAUUAAAAGUUAGGAGGAUAGUUUUGUCCAAGGGGUGGGGGCGACAUUCGCAGACAGGGGGCGAUGGGAGCCAUGCCCAUUGCACAGAAACAAAGGGAGUGAUGGGGGAAAUUACAGACAGAAAAGGAAGGGAUGGGGGGAUUUGAUGGGUGGUCACAGAGAGAUUGGGUGAGGGAUGUGAGGGGACAUUACAGAGAGAUAAAUAAAAGGGAGGGAUCGGGUGAUUUGAGGGAUGGUCAGAGAGAGAAAUAGUGAGGGGGAUGUGGGGCUGAUUUUCGGUUCCUCCUUCCAGAUUUGUUCCGUAAAACCUGUUGGGUACAAUUCAAUCCCUCCCCCUUUCCCCUGAACGAAAAAUUCGAAACCUACAACUCAAAACUCACUCAUUUGUCGCCCCUCCUUGGCUUUCCGCUUUAUUCAUCUCCCGGUGUUUCUUUCUCUCCAUACGAUUCGAUUUCGGUGAGUUCUUCGUUGCCCUCAUGAUUUCCCAGUUUGAUUUUUUGAGCGUCCUUAGUCGUUGUUUUUAUCUGGGUUUACUGCGUUGUUGCUUUUAGUUUCUGGAUUUUUAUUUUUUCCGCGGUUGGAUGAAUCGUGGUUAAUAAUUUCACACCAUGGGAUUUUCGCACUUCUGAUGGAAUUGAGCGCGGGGAUUCGGGGUGGGGUUUUACUGAUAAUUUGUCUUCAUUCAAAUGAAUGGUUAAAAUUUCUGAAGUGAGUGUGCAGGUGGGCCCGUUCACUAACUAAGCUUUCAAGGGAACCCAUCAACGGUUUGUUUGCUGGGGGAAUUCGGAGACUACCAGUGUAUGAUUUAGUUAUCAUUUAUUUUUUUACUUAAUUUUAUCCAUAUAUAAUAUGUGGGUAAAUUUAUACUAAACAAUUGUGAUAAGCCAAUAUGCCAUACGACUUUGAAAGCAUUGAUUUUGUGUUUAGUUUGCAUUUUUGCAUUGUGAAUGUUGAAUUUUGUAUUUAAUUUGGAUUUUGUGUUUGAAUUUGUAGCAUGAUCUUCCGCUGCAGCAUCCAAAUUUUGCAUUUGUAAAUUGUCAAAGAAAAACGAAGUAUGAGGAAAUUAUAGGAGAUUGUGUCGGCUUUGGCCAUGAAGGGUAUCAGCAGCUUGUUCCCCCAUACAGGUGAUUAAUCGUUUUUCAGUCUCUGUUCUAUUUGGAUGAGAAAGUGAUUGAAAAAUAUGAUUUUUUAUUUGUUGGUUGAUUUUGUAUGGACGAUGUAUUAAUUUUAUUUUUUUUGGGAUUUUGUGUAUUGGGUAUUGUGUAGAACCAGCAAUGCAAGAGCAGGAUCUGAUCAGUCACGCCCGAAAAGGGGUUUGUUUCUCAAAUCACAUUAAUUAAUUAGAUUAUUAACGUGCGUUGGAAGGCUCUUCAAUAUGAUUUCUAAUUUCUCCUUUCCAGCAUUCUCUUUUUGGUUUUUGGAGUAUGUAUGUGAUUUGUAUUUUUUUAUAGAAUAAAAAUUAAUAAAACACGAGAUGCAGCAAUUAAUUUGCAUCCUUAUGACAACACAUAUGAAAGUGCAUUCAAUUUCAAUGUGCGAAUGUGUGACAGGAUGUGCCUGCCUCCUUGAAAACACUUUAUGUGAACAAGUGUGAGGUUCUACAUAAAAACAGGGCCAGUAAUACCCUGAACGUGGAAUCCUUACGAGGAUCUCUUGAAAAACUGACAAUAAAUGGAUGCCCGGGUCUCUCAUUGUUACUAGAGUCGACGGAGACGCUGCCGUCGCUUCAGAAGCUUGAUAUUGAUAGUGUUGGUGGGAAAGAGUUGUUGGCGCAAAUGGUGCACAACAGCAAUCGUCUUCAAAGUUUGACUUUAUAUAAAUGUUACUCACCCUUGUCGUUCCCUACAAAUGGUCUGCCCACCACGCUGACGUCACUGAGCAUAACAGAUUGCAAGAAAUUAGAAUUCCUAUCACGUGAGAUGAUGGCCAAAUUGACUUCCCUUCGGUCUUUGCGUCUAUCCAACAGCUGUGAACGCAAAGGCUUGAGUAUUUGCAGUUUAGUUUUUUUUUUCUUCAUUUUAGAGAUUUUUCUACUGUUUGGUUUUUGGGUUUUGUCUAAUUUUUGUGGUCUGCUUUAUAGAUUGUUCUCUUUGGAAGCUUCUUUCCAGCCUUGACCUUCUUCUUGCCUGGUGCCUUCUCAUUGAGUAUUGGAGGAGCAUUAAAACACAGGUGUGUGUGUGUUUUGUCGACGUAAGAGAUGAACGACAUAAAAACAUCCAUCUCUGUAUUUUUUUGUGCUUUUUCUAACCCAUCAAUUUCUUUUGAGUCAACCAAAUAGUCCCAAAUUGCAACUUAUGUUGUGAGGUAUUAUUGUCUAAAAUUAAGUAUGCAUGUAUAUUUUAUGUUUAUGCCCGCGCACACCUCCGCAUGGUGUUAAUCUCUGUGGGUCAUCUAUGUAUAUGUAGAUAUAUCUAUAUGUGUAUGUGUGGAAUGCAACAUAUCGGAUUUAGGUUAUACUGUGCAUAGUUUUAUUGCCUGUUAUUAUCUACGAUAUCACUAUGCCAUUUCUAUACUGGCUCUGAAAGUUAUUCAUGAGCUUAUAAGCACUUACCAUAAUUUAAGCAGUCUGUUUUGGGUUCUUUUUCAUUAGGUCAUUAGCUACAGAUUAAUGGAGAAACGAGGACCAUGCCACUGAUUUGGGUUCUUUUUCUAAUUUUCUGAUUUUGGGGUUUUGCAGGGAGUACUGAUGUACUGAUUUUCUGGGAUUUUUUUUUGUCCUUGCAGGAUUUUUGGUCUUUGAAAUGGGUAUGUGUUGUUUUUAAUGUUUCAGUUCUAGCGUGUUCCGUUCUUCGUUGCUUCGUGAUUCUCAUUUUUCAGUGUUGGGUGAUGGAAAUUUGUUAAAGUAGUUGGUAGUUUUUUGAGAAAGUUGGCAUUUUUAGUUAUAUUUUCUGUUUAAUCCUAAAUGUAAGACUGGAAAAUCAUUGAAAUGAUGGUUUUUUAAAAACUCAUAAUUUUUUUGUUCUGGGAUUUAAAAGCAUCUUUUCCAGAUUGGUUACAAGGGUUAUGUUCUCUUCAAUUGGUUCACCUAAUUUUGAUUAGUUUUAAGUUUUGUCCUUUUAAGUUUGUCUUUUAAGUUUUGUUCUUUAAGUUUUGUCUUUUAAGUUUUGUUCUCUAAGUUUUGUCUUUUAAGUUUUGUCUUCUGUGCUGUAAUGAGAGAUUUCUGUUGGCUUUUCGGAUUUUGGCAUGGGAAAGUUCACUUAUUUGUCUAAUUAGAUUGUGUAUGCCUUCGAUUCUUUAUUUAAUUGUUCUGUUUGCGUUCGGGUGUGAUGAUCUAAAUUUCAUAUGUUUGGAAUUAUUUACUUAACACCAAUUUGUUACAUUCAGAUCUCCACCCCACAUUUCACUAGUUGAAAUUCCAUAGAAGUCGGUUACUGCAGAUUGCGUCUACAAUUAGAUCAGAGAUCAACUGCUCUUUUGUUAUCCUGCAGAAGAUUGCUUUUGGGAAGGAUCUGAAGUAGUUUCUCUCUGUAUGUUUAUUCCCAUGUAGCUCUGUCUUUUCUAAUUGUGUUGAUAUUACACUGUAAUUCAUGAUGAUGAUUUAAUUGUUUAUUGAUUUGUAAUUGAUUGUGAAUAAUGUGGCAUAUAUGAAUUGCAAUCUGUGUUUGUAUGAAAGGGAUGGCAUAUUAUGUUGCUGACUUAAUUGUUUAUGUUUUUCAUAUUUGCAAAUGGUGUUAUGAUCAAUUAGGUGAUUGCUGACCUGUGACUUUGUUUGGAGCUCAAAUUUUGUGAGCAUUACAUUGGAUUGUUUUGAUGUUGUUUUGGUUAACAAUGCAGCGAUAGGAGAAACAAAGAGGAUGACACUUAUAACUGCCCUUCCCCAUCGGCCGUCUUCAAAUUUGGAUCACAAGAAGGGAGCAACAUAGGUGUUUUCCUUCUUCAUUUAGAUAUGGUUAGUGUAAAUAAUUGGACAAAAGAGCCAAACAAACCCUGUUCUCUCAAAUGGAGUCGAUGAUGUGGUCGACGGCCACCAGCCCCAACUCAAGAGUUUGGCCUUCAUAUAAUUGGAUUGUAGUAUAAUUUUAUUUUGGUUCAUUUCUUUUUUCCUUUAUAUAAGUGCAGGUGUUGUGAUGUUUUGAAUAAAGGGUGAUGAAAGGUGGUUCACACACUUCCUCCUUACUUAAAGCAAGUGGAGAUGACGGUUUGUAUAAAAAGAAAAACUUGCCACGUACUUCAAUUUUCUAUUUUAUUAAUUAUUGUUUGGUUUUCCAAAUGUUGUAUUCACUAAGAGACCAAUUAUGUCUUUGAGAAACAAGUUUCUUUGUCUACAUUGCGAGAAUUUGCAGUUUGCAACUUUCAUUGGUUAUUAUAUUUGAUUGAGUUAAACUUGGAUUUCUGGAUUUUGACUUUUUCGUUUGUUUCUUUGUUGCAGAGUUGGCUUCAUUUCAUUCCAGGAACUGUCUAAAUAGGGCCAAGAACUCACUAAUAGGUAGUCAAGAAGAAUUCAGUGUUGCCUUCAAUUUUUGCCUUCUGUUUACAUUCUUCCUGGAUGCACUCUCACCGCUUCUCUCGCUUACCACUUUUGUCUCACUCACCGCUUCAUCUCUUCUGUUGCUUACAAGGUCGUGUCAUAUAUUUUUUUAAUUUUGUGUGGUUUAAUUUAUUGAAUAUUUGAAAAAAGAGAUAAAAUUUUCAAUUUACAAUUACUGAUAUGAUGUUUGUUUUGAAAAUCAUUAAGGUGAAUGGAGAGAUUUACAACCAUGAAGAGCUGAGGAGCCGUUUGCCAAAUCAGAUUUAUAGGGCUUCAUCAAUUAUAAAUAAACGACUUUUCAUUCCCAAUGACCUUUAUCGUUUUUCUUAAUGGGUUAGCUGAACAUGAGGUAGAUGCUGACUUUAUCAAAUAUGAGAAUGUUUUAGGAUUUCAUUCUAAUUUUUUGGCUGUUUGAUUACUUUGCUUUUCGUAAUUUGAUUUGCUUAUCGUCAAUUGGAUGGGAUAAAACAUAUUUUUGUAACCAGUUUGUACUUUUUUUUUCUUUUUUUUGUGGAAACUAACCAGUUUGUACUUUUACCAAUUACCAUAUCGGUUUUGAUGGAAUUGGAGCUUUCAGUAAUGGGUUCUGAGGGAAUUGGAGUUCUGAGUAAUGGGUUUUUUUUAACAACUAUAGUAUCAUUUGUGAUUCAUUUAUUUAUAAGAUAUUAUAUAGGAAACUGUUUUUAGCACUCUAAAAAUCUUAUUCUACACUCUCGACAAAUGUAUUUUUCUUUCUAAUUAUGAAAAGUUUGGAGGGCAAAAUGAGAAUUGUGGAGUGCCAAUAACAAUUCCCUAUUAUAUAUAGCUCUACUAGGAAGGCGACUGUAUGUCUUCAUCCUGUUAAAUUGUAUAUGGCUCUUGAUGUCGGCUGAAUUAAAUCAAAAUGAAAACCAAGCUGCUGAUCUUACCAGCCCAUAUCACUUAUCACUUGCUUAUUUAAAUUAUUUGAAGAUGCGUAUGUGGAUUGGUGAUUUUGUUGGAUUCACUUGGCUCAAAUAUAUGUUAUCUGAGUCGCUACAUUUGAGAAUGUGAUUUUGUUCCUACCACCAUUUUGCCCACUUUUUGUGGAAAUUAUUUCUGCUUGUUGUGAAUGAUACAUUCAUCCCCGGCAGCAAAGUGCGAAGUGCGGGCGCAUUUUCUAGUUUAAGUAAAUCACACAAUGGGUCAUCAAUAAUAACAAACUUGUCAUUUAUGAGAGUCAAACAUGAGGCCACCUACCUACUAGUUUAGUGGAAUACCACAAGUGACAUGUUGAUACCUUUAAAUCUCAUAUAAUGGAUUGCAGAAUUAGGAUAUUCCUAGACUAAUUUAGUUAGUGCGUGAACCCGAACAAUUAACAAGGGUUUUAUUCUUGCUUGAAUGUUUGUUAUAUGUUCCUAGUUUGACAAGGCAAUUAUAUUUCCGACUACAAGUUAUUAAUUUAGUCGAGAAUUGACGCACCUGAAAUGGUGUGAGGAAAACAUGUAUCCACAUGAGCCGCAGUCCACUGUCCUUGGCAUCUAUCUUUAAAAGGCUCGAAAUGAAGCUCAAAGCCAUACAUGAGGGCAUUGUGUAUGUCUUUAUAAGAGAAGUUGCGGUAGUCCUCAACGUAGCCGGCAGCCAAACUCAUCCACUCUACACUGCAACCAUCAUCCAAUUCCCAUACCUCCCUGAACCUGUCCCCAACAUAUUCCCCGACCAUGACAUAGCUAUUCGUUUUUGGUUGACUCGAAGAAGAAGAAGAAGAAGAAGUAUUAUUCAAGCAUGGAGCAGUGUCCACGUACAGAGAAGAAUUCGAUGGAUUCGAACACUUCAAGUAAUAUAUAGAUAGAGAAUUAAUGUCAUAGGCGGGCCAAUAUAGAGAAUUGAUGUCCUCGGUGGUGGGCGGAAUAUUUUGAGACAUGGAAGAGCAAUUGUUGUUGUCAAGCCCAGGAUCUCGAAGUCGGAUUGUUUUGUUAUUAUAGUUGAUUGCCUGGACAUGGUACUUUCCGAAAGAAGGUAGGUCUAGUACUGUAAUGUUGCUCUCACAGGACAGAGUAUACGAUAUGUUGCCACAGUACUUUGGAUCAUCGUUAAGUCGAAAAGGAUGGCUUAUGUUGUGGAUAUGGCCGCAGGAUGAAGUGCAGGACUUGGCACUACUGUUGUCAGCGUUACAAGUUUCACUGCAAAAGCAAAGAAGAAGAAAGGCUAAACUUAAGGUGAAGGACCUGGUUCCACUAAUUUCCAUUGCUCUGAGAGAGAGAGAGAGAGAGAGAGAGAGAGAGAGGGUACCAUAGCUUAAACACCAAGGAGUUAUAUAAUAUGGGAGGGGUUAAAGCACCUCGCUUACAGUUGCAGUAAGCCCGUCAAAUAUCCUAGGGAAAAGUCGGUCAAUGGUGUCCUAUAGAGAAAAGUCGGCCUUGGUGUUUGACACGGUCACUCAACUCUCUCUCUCUCUCACAUUGACGAGGGACACUGUAAUUGAAAAAAAAAAAUGUUCUUCAGAGAUAGAUCUUGAAAUUCUUAUUUUAUAUAAAAAAAACACCUAAUAUUAAAUUAUUAAUCAUUCAAAUGAAAUUCUUAAAAUUAAGUAUAAAUAAUACAUAACGAAAACUGAGCACAUACAAUCAACGGUCACGAUCGUGAAAUCCUCCGGAUCCUCAGAAAAAAAUCCGACGAUGAUCUUUUUCUGUGUAAAAUAAUUUGAGGGUAUAAUACUGGAUGUGGAGCCAAAAAUAUUCGCUAGGCGACACGUGGACUUUUGGACAAAAGAGGACAAAAAUACCCUCGAAGCAUACAAGGAUUCCUACGCGCGAGCAGUGGGCAAUCAUCUUUCAAUCAAGUCAAAAGUGCCCAAAAAAGGUAACAAUUAAAAACCUCUCUCAUCAAAUCCUUUCUAUAAGGUAUUUCCCAAAACCUAGUAUUUUCUAUUUCAUUAUUUAGCUAAUCAAUUAGCUAAAUAAUAUAAACCUACCAUAUCUCCUAAAAUCACCCAAUUAAUAGCCCAAAACCGGCCCCCACUAUUCACAUCCUCAUCUUUCCCAUUUUCCUUAUUAAAAUAAUCAUUCAUUUUUAUAAACCACCCAUUUUAUUAUUUUCAUAUUUAAUUAGCCAAUAAAUUGGCAAAUUAAACAUGAAAUUAACCCCCACAAAAACCCUAUGGCUGGCUACUAUUAUUCAAAAUAGGGCAAACCCUAACUCUAUAAAUAAACACAUAUUCUCACCAAAAAUUCAUUCCAACUCUCUCACAAAAAAUCACAAAUACUCUAAACACUAUUUCUCUCUAAAAUUCUAACUUUGGCAUCAGAGGUUCUUCGGCCAAAGCCCCCCCCAUUCAUCGUGGGCGCGUGAGGCUCUUGGCCUUAACCUAAGGUGCUAGUUGUUUUGUAGGUGCAAAAUCGUCCAAGAUCGAAGAGGAGAAAAUUUGCAUCCACAAAUUGGUGCUUUCAUUGAGAGUUGAAAUCCAUACUCGUAGAAGACUCUCGCACAAAAAGGUUUUUUCUUUUAUUUUCUAGUCCAUUUGAAUAUUUUUCAUACGUUCUUAUUAUUAGAAUUUUUUUACUUGCAAAGGUUCUUUGAUAAAACGUAUAAGCAAAAUAUAAUGGCUAGAAAUUUAGAAAAUUCCACAAGUGAAAAUUCUAAUGUUCAAGAAAUGGGAUUGCGGAGAUCCGUGAGGCUAAAUGCGACAAUAAGGGGAGCGGCAUCAUCAUCACGAGCUUCCACCAUGGGAACCACCAUGGUGGCUACCUCGGUAGCCACCCGCGGCGAGGUCCAUGGUGCCUUCACCACGGCCACCAUGGGAACCACCGCGGUGGCUACUUUGGUAGCCACUCGUGGCGAGGUCCAUGGAGCCUUCACCACGGCCCGGAGAUCCGUGAGGCAAAAUGCGACAAUAAGGGGAGCGGCAUCAUCACCACAAGCUUCUACCAUGGGAACCACCGUGGUGGCUACCUCGGUAGCCACCCGCGGCGAGGUCCAUGGUGCUUUCACCACGGACACCAUGGGAACCACCGCGGUGGCUACUUCGGUAGCCACUCGUGGCGAGGUCCAUGGAGCCUUCACCACGGCCCGAGCCGUGCCAUCCAAGGCUCACGGUACCAAGACCACGAUCCAAGCCGUGCCAUCCAAGUUUACGUGGACCCAAGCCCAAGCCUCGCAUUCACAUGCACCGCGCAUUGAGCAGCCUGUUCCCGUGAUCCAGCCUGUUCCCGUCAAGCAACCCACUCUCACGGCCCAACCUGCUCAUGCCGAGCAGCCUGCUCUCGUGACACAGCCUGCUCCCGACGAGCAGCCCACUCCCGUGGCCCAGCCUACUUUCGUCGAGCAGCCCACUCCGGUGGCCCAGCCUGCUCCUGCUAAACAGCCCACUCCUGUGGCCCAGCCUCCUCUUGCUAAGCAGCCUGCUUUCGUCGAGCAGCCCACUCCGGUGGCCCAGCCUGCUCCUGCCAAGCAGCCCACUCCGGUGGCCCAGCCUGCUCCUGCCAAGCAGCCUACUCUCGUGACCCAGCCUGCUUCCGACGAGCAACCCACUCCCGUGGUCCAGCCUGCUUCUUUCGAGCAGCCCACUCUCACGGCCCAGCCUACUCCUGUGGCUUUCCAAGCAGCCCAAGUCGGCCCAAGACUAUCUCCCGGACCUACCAUCGAGCCGAGGGCAUUCUCACCACAUUUUUUCACGGAUUUGACAUUUCCCAACUCAAAUCUCGCGCCCGGAGUCUACCACAUUUCCACUGCCCAAGGAGGCGCAUUCCUUCCAAGCUCUUCCAAUCCAAAUGGCGAACAACACUUGUCUCGACAAGUCAUAGAGUUGACGAGCGCCCUUGCACAACAGAAAACCUUGGUGAAUCAACUUUUGCAACGUAUCGGGAUCCAACGUGCCCCGGACGAGGUAUCCCGAAGUAGGACAAGGGCAAACGAACAUUUCCAGCAGCCACUCGACCAGCCACGAGCCGAACGUUUGGGCAGUGUACAUUCCCGUCUUAGAGCGCGAGGGAGCAUGCACUCUCGACUAGGCCCACGGAUGAGCAUACAUUCACGGUUGGGGUCAUACUCCGAUAGUCAACAUGAGCAACCUUCCGGGCAAAGUGUCUAUUCGCAGCUAAGCCCACAAGGAGCGUCAUCCACCUCACAUCAGAGUAGGCAGCACGACGGACGGAGAGAAGCAGUCACUCAAUCCAGCUCAAGUUCAACCAGCAGCCUGCGAAGAACUCGCUCGCCUACUAGGAACGCACCACAUGCACUGCAUUCGCGGCAUAGACGAGCCAAACACAUGGAAGAGCAGCUUAGACCAGCAAGUCAUGACUGGAGGCAGCCAAGAGCUCCGCUACCCCAACAAAGGCAAAUUCAGGAAGAAGUAGAGAGACUCUUGACCAAGCGAUUGCAUGAUUUCCAACGCAACGAGGUCACCGACGAGGCACUACGACGGAACAUGACCAACAUAAGCAAGCAGGUCACCCUUCACGGACGAGAUCGAGCAGGCAGAGCCUCCACGAGAGUUCAGCAUGCCACAUUUCACAUCUUUCAAAGGGGAUGAAGACCCGGAGAGACACUUAAAGCGCUACCGAAGCGCAAUGAUCCUUUAUCGAAACAACGAUGAGCUUAUGUGCAAGAUAUUCGCCACCACUCUACAAGGCGAGGCGCAAGAUUGGUUCUACACCCUGCCGUCACAAUCCAUCCGGAAUUUCUACGAACUUUCUUUGGUUUUCACCAAAGAAUAUUCAUCCUAUCGCUCGAUCAAAAAGAAAUCUGAUCAUUUGUUCAACGUCAAGAAGAACCCAAAGGAGUCAAUUCGCGACUAUGUGAGGAGGUUCAAAGUAGAGAAGGCAAAAAAUAGUCGGAUGCAACGACUCGAUAGCUAGAGCAGCCUUCCAAAAAGGACUUCCAGCAGACCACCCGCUAUUUGGAAAAUUGAUCAUGAAAGAAGAUCUAACUCUGGCAGACUCUUUUGCUUUGGCAGAGAAGUAUGCACUUUGGGAUGAGGCUCGCCAAUGCACAUUCAAGGACUUGAAGAAGUACCCGACAUCACCUCCCUAGAAGCAGCGGAGGACUUAUUCACAUGUUUGACGAUAUCUAAAGUAGCAAUAAGCUCUACCAUCAUGCGAGAAGAGAUGGGGGCCCGACUACCUGUAUUCCACAGUUACCUGUAUUCUACAGUUCAAAAGCUCUCCUCGAUGUUAUUAAAAAUUCAAAAGCUAACUUUGGUGAUAGUUGUUGCAACCCAGAAGCACAAGUUUUACUUUCAAACGCAUGCAAUCAUCCUAAUGACGUACUAUUCUGCCCAAUCCAGACGCGCGACGAUAAAGGUGUAGACCAUGGCGGAUGUAAAGUUUUCUGACGAACGCAACACUAGAAGGACACACUCGAAAGCAAGUUUUGUCCUCGUCACCCUAAAAGAUUCUACAUAGGAGCAACAUGUACCGGCAGUUGAGUACCAUUUCUUGCUGCGCAUCACACGGCCCUAGCCGACCCUUGCUCAAUGAUUCAACUCUAGAGUGGCCCAAUACCGGCAGUUGAGCAUCUCCUGUUGCGUAUGACAUGGCCCCAUCUCCACAGCUCCCUACUGCGUCUUCACGCCGAGCCUAAGUGACGUAACAGAGCAGCCCAACGAUGCCUCAGAAGUAGCCGAGCACACUCUAGCUGCGCCUACUCCACCCGAUGGAGACUUUUGGCAUUUGCAUGUCGACGACGCAGAAAAGCCUUCAUCACUGCCGGCAGAGAAGGCUCCAAAAAGAUGGAUCCCAUCUGGGAAGGUCCGUACAAGAUCAGCAGAGUAGGGGGCAAGAGUAAUUACACCCUCACCACCAUGAAGCAGCAAAAAUAUUGAAAAGAAAUGGAUGGCCUACAAUCUGAAGAAGUACCAUGUGUGACCUCCCGCUACAUCAAAACCCGAAGACUCAAUAAGCUCGACGGGCACCACCUCACAAGCUGGGGACUAUCCAGUUGUUAUGCAGUUCCUACCUUACAGCUAAAGUUCUCGUUCGUUUCACUCGUUUUUCAAUGAGGAAUUUAGAAGUAAUCACAACUUGGCUUGGUUGCAUGCUUACAACAACUAAUCACUCCUGCACUUCAAAAGAAGAUUGCGCCCUUCUUAGGGACUCAUCGCAGGAAUUGCGCCCCCCGAGGGACCAACCAUGCUCUCCAGUGCGAGAGGGUAAACCAAUUCUCCGACACCCAUAUGGGUCAGCUCUCCAAGACGGGAGGAUAAACUUUACACUCCGAAUAUCCAGACGUGGAUGAGCCUGGCUGCCCUAGUAUAACUAGAUGCACGAUGGCUUGCGCCGGGAUUCCUAGAAGUAGCCGCAAUGGUCUUUUUCAAGGCUUAGCUAACUGAAGGAUUUUGGGUCUCUUGGCCUAAUCCGUGGGGAACCGGGCCCUAGAGACGGAGAGGGCACAUUACGCAGUACAUCCGAUGGACGGCUGCCCUGGAAUCCUAAAGCUGCUACCGAGUGCACUAAGGUAGCCUACGGAUUCCGGAAGACUGCCUACGGCUUGCCCUUCGAGCAGUGAAGCCGCACUAGACUUAUACAACCGCACAUUCUUGUGAAAGGUUAAACAAGCUAGCGCGCAUAUACGAAGUUUUAUCCACUGCCGACAUGCUAUGUAGUUGAUAAGCUUCACCUCUGCCAAGCGCGGAACAACCUACACCAAGUCCUAAAGUGUUGUGAUACUUGCUACGCAACCUACGGAAUUGAAAAAAGUCAAGGUUAACAGCCGAGUGGUUACGCGGACUUGUCUACUUCUGUAAGUAAGGCAUCCGGCUGCCAACCCUAUGGCUAACAACUUUGCAAAGUUCUACACCAACACCUACGGCUGCAUAGGCUACGCGAGUUUGUCUGCUUAUAAAAAAGUAGCAUGCCUGCCACUGGUCUAUCAAGUCUAAAGGUUAGGGCAUGAACAAAAGAAGUGAAGAUGAAGAAAAACGAAGGAAAACAUGUUUAUAAACAACUAGCAAAGGCCGAAUGAGUUCAAGCAAAACAAGAGCUACAAGGAAAAACAAAGAAAAUCCUAAAGGCUACCUAAAAUACUACACUACAGCAGCUUGGACAUCCCACGACUACUCGAUCGCCACACCUUCAACAGCCGUAACGCUCUUAGCAGCGGCAUCAUCCGGCGCUUCACCCCCCGGCUGCCCUAGUCUGGGCACUAACUUCUCCAACUACUUCACCAAUGGAAGCCUUAAAAGUAAAAGCAAACAAGUCUUCCGGAGAAAUAGAGAAGGUCUUAAAACCUCAAGCCCAUCCUUCUCACCCUUCAGCUGCUCAUUCUUCUUAAGCAGACUAACACGGACGCGCUACAGCUCAUCCACUCUCUUCUUAGCAUAAGUAGCGAAACGAAGCUCAGAAAUUGCAAGCUUAAGAUCUUGAAUCUGAGGCGAAUCAAUCUCAGCAGCAAAGGGAGCAGGCUUUGGCGCCACUUUAGCAGCAGAGUCCACCUUACCACUCUUCAUAAUAGCAAGUCUCUAAAAAGGUGAACCGGACUUGGCUCCCAAAGAACGUCCUGGUACAAACUUCGGCACUGGGGGCAUGAUAAAACCUUUACGCUGAGUAAUCUUAUCCACAAUUGUACUAGCCAUUCUCAACAUGGAAGACGCCACAUGCUCAGAUCUAGCAGCCUUACAUUUCUUCCCAUUGGAAGAAGUCAUGUCAAUCACAUACCUCUCGGUAGCAAGUGGACCAUCAUGAGCAGCAGAAGAAGUCUUCAAUUUUUUCUUAACUGGCAUCUCAUGAGCAGGUGGGGAAGAUCUCUUCUUUCCAUCUUCAUUCAUAGUAAGCUCCACGAUAGCGAUCAGAUGAGCCAAUGCAUCCGCCUUGAUCCUCUUUACCUCCUCUUUCCGGAGCAGCCCACAUUUCUUUCAGCAAAUAGGACUAAGCAGCCAACGACAUUCAUGGUACUCAGCAGGGGAGCUCAACCCAGUAUUCCAGCAGGCAGGAGGCCUGCAUGCCCAACAUUCCAGCAGCCCGUGAGACCCGCAAUCUCCUUAUUUCUCUCAAUCGCAAGCCUGGCCUGAGUCAAGUCCAAUAGCCCAAAGGACAUGAGUCAUGCGAUUCGCCUAACACUGCGCCUCAGCGCCACAAUCCUCGACCCCAGCUGCACAAGCUGCCCUUGGUUCUAGCCAAGUCAAGCAGCUUAAAACAGUGGUCCCUACCACAAUACCUCAUCGGCCCAUGUCGAGCCGACUCCUGGCCUAUGCCAGCCGACGUGCCGCACCACCCCGAUGGCUGCCCUGCAAUAGCACUAUCCAAGAAGAAGGCAAGAAAAAUUAAAUUUUUCUUACAUCGGUGCGGCACGAAAAAGACGAAGAAAUCAACGAAAGACGGUCUUUUGCACAGGCAAGACGUAGAAGAUUGCUAGAGGAGAGGGAACAAAUAUCCUCUAACUUUCUCUCUCUUGUUGGGUAGAAUAAAUCGCUCUCCAAAGUUGAUUUAAUAACCCACUUAAGGUGGACUUAAAUAGGCUUUGAGAGAAAUUUAUUUCCCUUUCCUAGAAGGAUCUAAUUUCCAUUUAAAGAGAGAAUCAACAACAAAAUAGGAAUCAAUUUAGAGUUGCCUAAAGCGAGAAAAUCUCUACACCUGUUGCCCUUUUCUGCAAGCAGCCCAACAGGUGUGGGGGCAUUUGUGGAGCCAAAAAUAUUCGCUAGGCGACACGUGGACUUUUGGACAAAAGAGGACAAAAAUACCCUCGAAGCAUACAAGGAUUCCUACGCGCGAGCAGUGGGCAAUCAUCUUUCAAUCAAGUCAAAAGUGCCCAAAAAAGGUAACAAUUAAAAACCUCUCUCAUCAAAUCCUUUCUAUAAGGUAUUUCCCAAAACCUAGUAUUUUCUAUUUCAUUAUUUAGCUAAUCAAUUAGCUAAAUAAUAUAAACCUACCAUAUCUCCUAAAAUCACCCAAUUAAUAGCCCAAAACCGGCCCCCACUAUUCACAUCCUCAUCUUUCCCAUUUUCCUUAUUAAAAUAAUCAUUCAUUUUUAUAACCACCCAUUUAUUAUUUUCAUAUUUAAUUAGCCAAUAAAUUGGCAAAUUAAACAUGAAAUUAACCCCCACAAAAACCCUAUGGCUGGCUACUAUUAUUCAAAAUAGGGCAAACCCUAACUCUAUAACUAAACACAUAUUCUCACCAAAAAUUCAUUCCAACUCUCUCACAAAAAAUCACAAAUACUCUAAACACUAUUUCUCUCUAAAAUUCUAACUUUGGCAUCGGAGGUUCUUCAGCCAAAGCCCCCCAUUCAUCGUGGACGCGUGAGGCUCUUGGCCUUAACCUAGGUGCUAGUUGUUUUGUAGGUGCAAAAUCGUCCAAGAUCGAAGAGGAGAAAAUUUGCAUCCACAAUGGAUGUGCGAUUAAACCGAAGAACCCACCACCUCCAUCUUCUCCGACCAACUUGAACCCAGCCACUACUACAUGUCAUCCCGACAACCCACUCUCAGCUUCCCAAACCGCCAUUUUUCACCCACUCACUUACCUCUCUCUCUCUCUCUCUCUCUCUCUCUCUCUCUCUCUCUCUCUCUUACCCAAGCCACUGCCAUUAUUCAUUCAAUCAACCCAAAACACGAGAGCCACCCCAUCUCACCACUCGAACAGAUGCAGCCACCCACCCAUUUAAUCCCAGUCCAAAAUCAAACCCUCUCCUAAACCCACCCCAGAAUCCAAUAAUUUCAAAAAAUGGCUGAUUAUAUCAUUUCAAGAACCUCACAAUUCCAAAAACUAAAAACCCACUUCAAAGAUGUAAUAUUUUUCUCUCUUCCUCUUUUUGGGUUUUUUUUUUUUAUCAAUUCUCUUCUGGGUUUUUGUUUACAGUGUAAAAUCAACACUAAUUUACUAAUUUUGCUUUGAUUUUUCAAACACUAUUGAGGCGUGAUAACCUGUUGCAAGCUCAGCCAUGGCGGCUACUGCAAAAUCUAACGGAAAAACCAUCACAGACUCUGCCAUUUCAUCCAAGGUUCCGACAAUAGCAAACCCUUUAACGAAUAGCUGUCGCAGAUUUCUUCCAACAUCAAUCACCACGCGAAAUUAAUUGUCAAUGAAGACGAUCCCAUUCCCCUUCGAAAUCUGCUGGGGGAAAGAGGCCUUCUUUCAUAUCUGCUCUGAGACCUGUUUAUGCGAGAGAGUGGUGAGCCUGACGACAGAGAGAAAGAAGGGCAGGAUUGGAAAAUUGGAAAGUUCAUUUAUUGGUUACUGUUUAUCCGUGUUUCUUCGAAAUAAGCUGCUUUUUCCAGCUUUGGGUUUUCAGUAUUUUUUUAACCCAUAAUUUUGAAAGAAAAAAAACUGAUUUGAAAUGUUAUCAAACACUUAAAAUGUUCCAAUCUUUUUUCAUACCUAUUUUUUUUAUUAAAAGUUAAGCUAAACAAAAACCAGGAUUAAGUUUACUACUUUGAAGUUUCUUGCUUUUCAACAUUUCAUACAUUGAAUUUUUCUCAUCCAGUGUCAUACCUAAGGUGAGAAUUGUGGGACACUUUUAUACAUCCGUUAGAUUUUCUGUGAAUUAUGGGACACUUUUAUACAUCCGUUAGAUUUUUUGUGAUAACCUUCGCUGACCCACGAUGCGGCAUGCAUGUGGACAUUAAAAAAAAUUCAAAAAUUCAAAAAUUCAAAAAUUUUAAAAUUUAAAAUUCAAAAAUACUAAAAACCUAAACUUUUCAUAAUAUUGAGUUGAGAGACUGAAUCUUUUCACACUCGGCCAAAUUUUCUUUGAAUUUUAAUUAAAUGAAACAAUGAAUCUUGAACAAAGCAAAACAAAACGUAAUAUUGAGAGAUUCAGUCAUUGAAGUGGACGUGGAUGUUGGGUACUCAAUAGUCCAAGAAUGAAAAUUCUCAUAUCAGUUUCUAUCCAAAAUUUUGGAAUUAUGUGUGUUGCAACGAUUGUCCAAAGGAUUAUUCUUCUUUUAUUAAAUUUCCAUGAAAAAUGAGCAUGGGGGCAUAAAAAUUGAACGAAUGAAAUUUCAACGAUUUGAAAAGGGUUGUGAGUUUGACACGUCAUUUUUCUUCCUUUAAUGCAAUCAUGUUUAUUAAAAGACAAAAAUAAAUAUGACUUUACAUAAGGAGAGAGAAAGAAUAGUUUUCUUUGAAAAAAUCAACCAUUUAUUGAAGAGGGAUGUUGAUAAGGAGAUGAGACAUUCAUUAGAAGCUAGAAAAAAGAAGUUAAAAGUGAUUUAGAAAAAAGCAAGAAAGCCACAUUUUCAAAGUGGUGGUCAUUGCACAAUACUUAAUUAGAAGAAAACUCAUAGUAUUGUAUUUACAAUUUCAAGUCUUUAUGGGGAACGAGAGUGCAAAUUUUCCAAUUGGAAUAUGAUAUGAAAUUUCUAGAUAACUAUAUAUGACAAAGAAAGAAGUCUAAGUUUCUAAGUGGUAGGGCUUCCAAUUGAUGUGAGUUUGUUGAGAAAUGUAGAUGAAGAUGAAUAUUGUUGUUGAUGUUAGUGAACAACAGAACAAGUUGCUUCUCCUUUGGCCUUCUAACAUGAUAUCACGGAAAACAAGUUGUUGCUAAUAAAUGUAUCUGAUUGGUGGACUUAGACGUGCGCGGUACGAUUUUUGAUAACGAGAAAAGAUGGACAGUGUCAUGACAAAAUUUAUCCAAGUAGACCCAAAGGAAAGACUUAGGAACUUCAUAUGCAGUGGGAUAAAAUCUUAAGCUAAUUUCCUUACCUAUUUUAUAGUCAUUAAGUAAAAUGUAUAUGUAUAUUUCUAGAUGCUGACACACCAAUGUACUUACUAUUAACUCCUUUCAAAUACCCAUUCGCAGAAACGCAAAUCUCUCUUGCAUGCUUGUUGUAAUGCUCAUGUAGUGCGUAUCUAAUAUCUUAUGUGUAUAAUUUUUUGUGAUCCAUUUUUUCAUCACUAUGCCAAAAUCCCUUUAGAAUUUGCAAUUUAUCCAUUUGGUUAUGGUAAAAAAAAAAACUCGGAAUUUCAUUUAAACUCAAAAAUCUAGAAUUGGGAAAGCAAUUUUCCCUUGUUCGGCAACUUGUAGCGAUAGCAAAGGCAAAUUGUACAGGAAAAAAGUGGAAAUUGGGGAUGAAGAUCCAAUUUUAAUUUCGUCAAAAUAAGUGUAAUUUCACAAUUCCAACAACGUUGAGAACAAAUGCAUUGCGGGGAAAUCUUGCGACCACCAAACUUUACGAUUAGAGGGCCAAAUUUCAUGAUAAAACGUAAUAAGGGUUUAGGACUGCAUCGUUCACUUUGUUAACUCUCCAAUCUUCGACGGGAUUUUCAACUCGUGCAUCAUCUUUUGCUUUGUUCUAGGUCAAAGCCUACUCUUUUCUUUCUUGAAUUAUUUUAGCUUUGAGGGUAUACUCUUUAGGCCAAUUGUGAAUUUUGCUAGUUAUUUUUAUUUUCUGAUGGUCAUAUGUUUGUUUUGUUUUUUUUUUCUUCCAAUUGAGAUGUGUAUUGGUUGGAUCAGUAACUUUUUUUUUGGAUUUUUAUUUUUAUUUUUAUGGAUUUUGGUGUUAGUUCCUUGUUAUAGAUGUUGUGGAGCAAAAAAUAAUCUCAAAAAUCGUGGAGGUGACACACGGAUUUUUGGACAAGAAUGACAAAAUUAUCCUCGAAGCACAUCAGGAUUCCCACGUGCAUGCAACGGACAAUAACGGCUCAAUCAUGGAAGAGUCAAAGGUGAUCAAUAUGGUAUUUAUUCAAAUCCCUCUCAUCACUCCUCAUCAAUCCCUUUUUUAUUUUAUUCAAAAGGUAACUCCCAAAACUUCCUAUUUAAUUUAGGGAUCAUUGUCAUGUUAAUUGCAAGAUAUUAUUUCACAAAAUAUCUUGUAAUUAUUCUUCAAUUACCACCAUGUAUGGCCGGCCACUCCUCACAUUAUGGGCCGGUCACUCCUCACCCUAUGGGUCGGCCACUCCCUAUAAAUAGCCCUAUUAUUCCACUAAUAAGGAAGCCAUUUGCUACCCACAAACUCCUAAACACAUUCUUUCAGAAUUCUAACUUUGGCAUUGGAGAUUCUUAGGCCAAAUCCCCCCUCCCAUUCAUCAUGGGCGCAUAAGGCUUUUGGCCUUAGUCUUAGGUAUUAUUAUUUUGCAGGUGCAUUUUUGUCAAAGACGAAGAUGGUGAAAAUUUGCAUCCACAAAUUGGUGUUUUCAUUGAGAGUUUGAUUCAUAAGCUCGAAGAAGACUCACAUUCAAAGUUUCACAUUUCUCAUUCAUAAGUAAAUUUUUCAUACGUUCUUAUUCCUAAAAUUUUUUAAAUCUUUGAAUAGACGUAUGAGAGAAAUACAAUGGCUAGAAAUUUAGAAACCACGACGAACGAAACUUCCUACGUUCAAAGAUCCAGAUAAAAUGAUGGAAAUUGCGAUGUAGCCCCACCACGACGAUCCACGAAGCUCAACGUGGUGGCAAAAUGAGUAACUUGGCCACCACGGAGUACCACCACCACCAUAGCCAAGGCAACCCAUGUUGCAGUGGGGAGUGGGACAGCUUCAUGGCAGCAAAGCCACGAAGCAACAAUAAAUGCCAUCUUGCAGUAAUGAGCCCAGGCCCGUGUCACAAGGCAGUCAACCCAGCGCUAGGUAACCUAGAUCUAGUAGGCCCACGACGUUGCCAUAGCAGCUGAGGCCUAAAGCAAGGCCCAAACAGUUGCGGUUGCGGCAAAUGGAGCAGCACAACACUGGCGGGGCCAAUGCACCCUUGGCCUAAUGCUAAGCAGGCUAAAUCGCACCACACCCACUAUUCAAACUAACCCUAAGUUGAGUAAGUAGCAUUGAAGGUUGUCAACCGCAAGGCGUUGAAGUACGAAUAAAGUUACACACCCCGCACAUGACUUGGCCCACUUCCGCGGCCCAACUUGCUCGCAAGGUCCACCUAGUGAUCCCGACUAGUCGAAGGCCAGUUUAAUCAUCCCAUCUUCAGAUUUCUGGACUGACGAUUGAAUCGGGGGUAUUUUCACCCCGAUUUUCUACAGAUUUGACAUAUCUCAACUCAAAUCUCGCACUUGGAGUCCAUUGCACUUCCAUUACUCAAGGAGACGCAUACCAUUUAAGAUCUUCCAUCCCAAAUGGCGAACAACACUUGUCUCGACAAGUCAUAGAGUUGACAUGCGCUUUUGCGCAGUAGACGACCUUAGUGAAUCAGCUCUUGCAACGCACAUAGAUGCAGUGUGCCCCAGACGAUGUGUCCCGAAGUAAGACAAGUACAGAUGACGAUUCUCUCCAGCAGCGUCCCAACAAGCAGCCGCUCGACUAGCCACGAACCGAGCGUUCUGGCAGUGUACACUCCCGUCUAGGUCCUCAAGAAAGCGUAUACUCUCGUCUUAGCGCGCGAAUGAGCGUGCACUCAUGGUUAGGCCUAUGGACGAGCAUACAUUCACGGUUGGGACCAUACUCUUAUAAUUAACAUGGACAACCUGCUAGACGAAGUGUUCAUUCGCGGCUAGGCCCGCAAAAAGCAUUUUCCACCUCAUAUUGGAGUAAGCAGCACAGAAGACGAAGAUAAGCAGUCAAUUAAUCUGGCUCAAAUUCAAUCGGCCACCUGUAAGUAACCAGUUCGCCUGCCAAGAACGUAUCAUAUGCAAUGUAGCCACGACAUAGACUAGAUGAGCACAACGAUAAGCAACCUAGACUAACAGGUUACGACUGGGGGCAGCCAGAAGCUCUGCUGCCCCAAUAGAGGUAAAUUUAGAAAGAAGUUGAGAGGCUCAUGACCGAACAAUUGUGCGAUUUCCAACGCAACGAAGCUACUGACAAGGCGCUUAAACGAUACACGACCAACAUAAAUGGGUCACCUUUUAUUGACAAGAUUGAGCAGACAGAACCAUCCUACAUACACUGGCGGAUACAAAGAUUACAUCUAUUUUAACAUAUGCAUCAACUCAGCCUAAUGGCGUGUCGAGGGCAAAUGGGUACCAGAAUGGCACACCAGCCCAACCACCAAGAACCAGGGCCAAAUCUUAUUUUCAUCACUCCACACGAUUCAAUACUUGAGCAGCACAUCACCAGUAAUCGAGCACCGCAGACCUAAUGGUCCAAUUCCUCCUGAUGCACACAAGCUCACCCCAGCUCCACGCUCAAAGCCUUGCCUACCUGCUCCACAACACUCAGCCACCCUUGAUUUGUCACCAUGGCUCACAAUUAUGCCAAUUUUGCACCACAGCUCAUAGCCGUGCUAAUCUUGCCAUGCGGCUCUUAACUACGUUAACCAAGCCCACGAUACUUUAUACUUCAAAGCAUCCAACGACGGAGUAGAACACGAGGCUCUACUAGCAGCCCCUGCUAGUGAAAGACUUUGCGGUGAAGAGGCUUCCAAUCCAUUCAAAUUCUCAGUUGACCACCUGUUGGGUUUUACGACUCAAAAUUAGGAUGAUGCAAAAAAAAUUGUGUUACCUAUUUGGUUUUGGUGUCGUAUUUGGGUUUGGAUUUUGACCUCUUAGUUGGUUUCCGUGGUGGAGAGAUUUUGUUAAUUACCUAUUUGAUUAGGAUUUGGAUUUACUUCCUAUUAAGAUUCUUAUUGUAACCUAAGUCUUAUGCACUAUAAAUAGGACCUCAGGGUUAGUGUAUUUUGUGUGGCUCAUUCGUGUGGCAAUUUGGUGAGAGUCAAUUUGUGAGUUUGUGAGUUAGAGAGCAAUUUGGGAGAAUCUUCUCCGUUAGUUUUGGGUUCUCUACUCGUUUGGUUUAGGGUUUGUAAUUUGUGGGAUUUGGAUUGUGAGAGUCUGAACACUAUUUUGUAAUCUCCGUUUGUUUAGUGAAAUUUCUUGUCAUGCUUCGCUCGUGGACUUAGAUUUUACACCGAACCACAUAAAUCUCUUGUGUUAGUUUGAGAUUGUUUGUUUUAGUUUUCACCUACGACGUUGAUAUCGGUACUUUGUUAGAAUUCGCUUUCCUUUGCUCAUAAAAGUACAACAAGUGGUAUCAGAGCCCGGCUUUCGGCUUGGGCUUUGCUUGGCAAUCACUAUGAAGCCUUCUGUGUCGUCGGUGAAAGUUGAUAUUGAAAAGUUCGAUGGCAAUGACUUUGGUAUUUGGCAAUUGAAGAUGCGUACUUUGUUAAUUCAACAAGAGCUUUUAAAAACGCUAAAGGGUGUGAAGGCUUUCCUGAAUUCGUGGACUGAUGAAGAAAAAAAAAGAUGUUAUGGAGCGGGCACUUGGAACAAUCCUGCUAACUUUAUCGAAUGAAGUCUUGCGUCAAGUUGGUAGCAUCAAAUCUGCACCGAAGUUGUGGCUAAAAUUGGAGAGUUUGUAUAUGACCAAAUCCCUUGCUAAAUGGUUGUAUUUGAAGAAAAGUUUGCGUACUCUUCGUAUGGAUGAAGGUACGUCAAUUCAUAAGACCAAAUCCUUAUUGCUGCCAAAAGUCCUCAACAGUUCCAAGGGAGAUGGGUAAGAGUUCGUAAUAGUGAGAGAUUGAAUCUUUUCACACUCGGCCAAAUUUUAAUUUUAAUUAGAUGAAACAAUGAAUCUUGAACAAAGCAAAACAAAAUUUAAUACUGAGAGAUUGAAUCAUUGAAGUGGACGUGGAUGUUGGGUACUCAACAGUCCAAGAAUGAAAACUCUCAUAUAAGUUUUUAUCCAAAAUUUUGGAAUUAUGUGAGUAUUGCAACGAUUGUCCGAAUGAUUAUUCUUCUUUUAUUAAAUUUCCAUGGAAAAUGAGCAUGGGGCACAAAAGUUGAACGAAUGAAAUUUCAAUGAUCUGCAAAGGGAUUGUGAGUUUGACAUGCCAUUUUUCUUCCUUUUAUGCAGUCAUGUUUAUUAAAAGACAAAAAUAAAUAUGACUUUACAUAAGGAGAGAGAAAGAGUAUUUUUCCUUGAAAAAAUCAACUAUUUAUUGAAGAGGAUGUGGAUGUUGAUUGAUGCGCAUUGUGAAUAGGAAAAAAAUAACCUUGAAGGGAGACGAGACAUUCAUUAGAAGCUAAAAAAAAGUUAUAGUGAUUUAGAAAAAAAAAGUUUUAACGAAACAUUUCCGGUACUGUUUACUCUUUACGAAAAACCACAUUUUUACCUUUCCUAACUACUAUUCACUACAUCUUUAUUUAUCAUUUUUCAUUAAAACUAAAGUUUUUGUUUUAACUUUUCGUUAGUUUCCUUUAGAAAAAAGCAAGAAAGCCUCAUUUUCAAAGUGGUAGUCCUUGAAACAAUACUUGAUUAGAAGAAAAGUCAUAGUAUUGUAUUUACAAUCUCAAGUCUUGAGGGGUAACGAGAAUGCAAGUUUCUAAUUGGAAUAUGAUAUGAAAUUUCUACAUAACUAUAUAUGACAAAGAAAGAAGUCUAAGUUUCUAAGUGGAAGGGCUUCCAAUUGAUGUGAGUUUGUUGAGAAAUGAAGAUGAAGAUGAAUAUUGUUGUUGAUGUGAGUUAGUGAACAACAGAACAAGUUGCUUCUCCUUUGGCCUUCUAACAUGAUAUUACCGGAAAACAAGUUGUUACUAGUAAAUGUAACUGACUGGUGAACUAAGACAUGCGGUACGAUUUUUGAUAACUAGAGAAGAUGAACAGUGUCGUGACAAAAUUUAUCCAAGUAGACCCAAGGGAAAGACUUAGGAACUUCAUAUGCAGUGGGAUAAAAUCUUAAGCUAAUUUCCUUUUUAAUCUUAUAGUCAUUAUGUAAAAUGUAUAUGCAUAUUUCUAGAUACAUACACACCAAUGUACAUAAUAUUAACUCCUUUUAAGUAGUCAUUUGCAAAUCCCUCUCGAGUGCUCUUUGGAAUGCUCAUGUGGUGCCGUUCUAAUCUCUUAUAUAUAACUUUUUGUGAUCCAUUUUUUCAUCAAUAUGCCAAAAUCCCUUUAGAAUUUGCAACUUAUCUUUUUGGUUACGGUAAAAAAAAAACUCGGAAUUUCAUUUAAACUCGAAAAUCUAGGGAUGUGAAAGCAAUUUUCUCUUGUUCGGCAACAUGUAGCGAGAGCAAAGGCAAAUUGUACAGGAAAAAGUUAGAAAUUUGGGAUGAAGAUUCCCAAUUUUAAUUUCGUCUAAAUAAGUGUAAUUUCACAAUUCUAACUACGAUGAGAAUCACAAAUAUAUUGCAGGGAAAUCUUGCGACAACCAAACUUUACGAUUAGGGUGCCAAAUUUCGUGAUAAAACCUAAUAAGGGUUUAGGGCUACAUUGUUCACUCUGUUAACUCUCCAAAUCUUCGACGGGAUUUUCGGCUCGUGCAUCAUCUUCUUGCUUUGUUCUAGGUCAACGCCUCUACUCUCUUCUUUCUUGUAUUAUUUUAGCUUUUCAGGUAGACUCUUUAUGGCUGUUGUGAAUUUUGCUAGUUAUUUUUAUUUUCUGAUAGUCAUUUGUUUGUUGUGCGUUUUUCCUUCCAAUUGAAUUGUGUAUUGGUUGGAUUUGUAACAUUUAUUUUUUUUAUUUUAUUUUAUGGAUUUUGGUGUUAGUUCUUUGUCAUGGAUGUUGUCCUUUUGAAGGUUAACAAUAGCCAAGACUAAACAUGAUGAUUUUGGUGUUAAUUACUUUCUCAUGAUACUAAUGCCAUAUUGUUCUCUAUUUUGCACUCACAAGUAAAGAGAAAUAUCCUAGACCCUAACUGGAUAUGUUAUUGUCAUGGUCAUGCAUUGGUAUGGUAACAAUAUGUUUGGAUAAGGAAAAUAAACUUAGAAUUUGACAAAAGAUAAAAUUUAUAAAUUGAUACAAUCAAUUCCUUUGUUUAGAUUCAUAAACAUAGAAAUUUAAACUUUCCGCGUGAGAAAAAACUUGGAAUUUGGGACCUUCAAUUCUCAUGUUUAAAUUUUAUGUAAAUAGGUGUCAUUUCUAAAUUUCAGUAAGUGAGAAUUUAAAAAUAACAAACAUGUAUUCAAAUUUCAUUCAUCUUUUAGGUUAACCAAACAAGAAAUUUUAUAAAUUCUAGAAAAUAAAAUUUCGUUAUUUCAAUUUCUGUUAUUUUAAAAUUAGUAAUCUUAAAUUUUCUCAUCCAAACAAAAAGUUUCCUUGUCAUAGAACUUUCAAUUGGGAUCAAGGAAGACAAUCUUUUCACAACUGAUUAUUCUCACCAAAUUUUAUUAUUAUUUUAAAGCAGAUCAAUACCAAACUUCAAAAGCAAAGUAGGAAGGCUAAAAUUAAGGUGAAGAACCUACUUCCACUAAUUACCAUGGGAGGGAGAGAGAGAGAACCAAGCGAGAGAGAAGAGAGAGAAAACACCAAGUAGUAUUAUAAUAUAGGUGGGGUUAAAUCACCUUUCGUGAAGUUGUAGUAAGAGCAGCUCCAGCGGGAGCUCCAACUUGAUGUACCGGUGAGAUUUCCUACCCAAUAGCCCCAGCUCCUUGCUCCAGUCCAUGCGGGUGAUUGGGCUGAGGGGGGCCGAGUGAGAGGCCUGACUCGAAUCGGUGGCCUGAGAGCCUGAGACCAAAAAUUAUCUUUUUGGAUAAUGACACGUGGUGCAACGAGAACGAUUAAAAAUCUUAUCCGAAAUUACAAAUAGAAUUAUUUUGUAUUAUUUUAUAAAAUAAAAAAUACUAAUAUUUUAUUGCUUAUUGACAUGACUAUUCAAUUACGGGUGGAGAUGCAGAAGACAAUUAUUAUUCAUUAAAGGUAAUUAUUGUUCAUUGGAGGGGAUUGAAUAUGAAGUUGCACUAGAAGGCCUUUGUCACGGCAAUAGGCAAUUACUGUUCUAAGGACUUCUAUCCUAGAAGAGAGACAAAAACACCAAGUAGUAUUAUAAUAUAGGUGGGGUUAAAUCACCUUCCGUGAAGUUGCAGAUAGAGUAAGGACUUCUAUCCUAGAAGAGAGACAAAAACACCAAGUAGUAUUAUAAUAUAGGUGGGGUUAAAUCACCUUCCGUGAAGUUGCAGAUAGAGUAAGGACUUCUAUCCUAGAAGAGAGACAAAAACACCAAGUAGUAUUAUAAUAUAGGUGGGGUUAAAUCACCUUCCGCGAAGCUGCAUUAAGGACUUCUAUCCUAGAAGAGAGACAAGAACACCAAGUAGUAUUAUAAUAUAGGUGGGGUUAAAUCACCUUACGUGAAGUUGCAGUAAGGACUUCUAUCCUAGAAGAGAGACAAAAACACCAAGUAGGAUUAUAAUAUAGGUGGGGUUAAAUCACCUUACGUGAAGUUGCAGAUAGAGUAAGGACUUCUAUCCUAGAAGAGAGACAAAAACACCAAGUAGUAUUAUAAUAUAGGUGGGGUUAAAUCACCUUCCGUGAAGUUGCAGUAAGGACUUCUAUCCUAGAGAAAAGUCGGUCAAUGGUGUUUGACACAGUCAGUCAACGAUAAAGACAGAAUUGUGUAACCAUAAUUCUCUCUCUAUCUCUUUUUCAUUAACGGAGGACAGUGUAUAAUUACUACGUAUACAUCUCUGCUCAAUUAUUGAAAAGAAAAAUCCAUGUGCAUUAUUUUUAUUAUUAUUAUCUCAGAAAUGCAGAAAUUGAUCAUCUCUUCCUUCUGCAUAUUGAUACUGGUUUUCUUCAAACUAGUUGAAGCAAGCCAAUAUGUGUGCGCGAAAUCCAACUGUAGCAAUGAUCAACGCCCGGCUAUCCAUUUCCCAUUGAACAUCAGGCGCACACAUCAUUGUGGAAAUUCUGGGCUUGAAUGCAAUGGGAGAUAUGGGCAGCAAAUACUAAUAAAAUUAUUUGUCAAACACAUUGAUUACAAGCGUCAGGAAAUCCAAGUCUAUUCCCCAAGUAACUGCCUGCUGCUAAAGCAUGUUGAAAUCCCAAACAUGCCACCCUCUCCCUUCAACGUGUCAGUCGAUGACUACAUGAGUACCCUUACCUUAUUCAGUUGUCCUACUUCUGUUGCAAGACGAGAUACGUAUCAAGUCCCCUGCCUCGGCGACCCUGGCAAGAAAACUUAUGCCAUUCGUUCUUACUAUGAUUUUGGAACUCUCUUCCAGAAUCUACAAUCCUGUACAAAAAUGUAUGAUGUUUUAUCAGUUCCAAUAGCCUAUGAAUAUUAUGUUUUUCGUUUCAAAUGGUCUAUACCAAAUUGCAGAAAAUGUGGAGAGGGAAAGAAGUGUGGAUGGCAGAACAAUGAAAUUAAAUGUCUUCCCUGGAGGAAACCAAGUAAGGAUAACAUAUGUAUUCAUUGCUAGUUUUAAACAUCUUUACAUUUAUGUCUUAGUAAUUAUUAUUUGAAGGAUGUUGUCCAAUCCAUUUUUACUAGGAAUAUUACCUGACAGUCUCGUUUAAAUUCGCAAUGAUCUUCUACAGGCAACACAUGGAAAAAAGUGGUUACAGGUGGAAUCCUGUGUGCUUUGCUUCUUGUUCUACUGACGAUUGCAGCAUAUCGGGUAUAUAGCGCUGAUAGAAAGGAGAAAGAGAGUCGAUUAAGAAUUGAAAGAUUCUUGGAGGACUACAAAGCACUCAAACCAAGCAGGUAUUCGUACGCAGAUAUUAAGAGGAUUACAAAUCAAUUCAAGGACAAGUUGGGCCAAGGAGCCUAUGGAACUGUCUUCAAAGGAAUGCUCUCUUCUGAAUUUUUUAUUGCUGUCAAAGUCCUCAACAGUUCCAAGGGAGAUGGGGAAGAGUUCGUAAAUGAAGUGCGAACGAUGGGUCAUAUCCACCAUUUAAACGUGGCUCGCUUGGUUGGAUUUUGUGCUGAUGGAUUUGUACGAGCUCUUGUUUACGAGUUCUUCCCCAAUGGUUCCCUGCAGGAUUUCAUUUCAUCUGCAGAUAGUAAGAAUUCAUUUCUUGGUUGGGAUAAACUGCAAGAUAUUGCCCUAGGCAUAGCCAAAGGAAUUGAAUAUCUUCACCAGGGAUGCGAUCUACGAAUCCUGCAUUUCGACAUCAAACCCCAUAAUGUUUUGCUAGACCAAAACUUCACUCCAAAAAUUUCUGAUUUUGGUAUGGCCAAGUUAUGUUCCAAGGAUCAAAGCUUGGUGUCCAUGACUACAGCUAGGGGGACCAUGGGCUACAUUGCACCUGAAGUGUUCUCCAGGAAUUUCGGAAAUGUGUCUUACAAGGCAGAUGUCUAUAGCUUUGGAAUGCUGCUGCUUGAGAUGGUAGGAGGAAGGAAGAAUAUUGGUUCAAUCACGGAUAACACUACAAAUGAAAUUUACUAUCCACAGUGGAUUUAUAAUCUUCUAGAGGAAGGGGAUGACCUACGAAUCCACAUUGGGGAAGAAGGAGAUGGUAAAAUUCCAAAGAAACUUGCAAUUAUAGGGCUAUGGUGUAUCCAAUGGCACCCGUCGGAUCGUCCUUCCAUGAAAAUAGCGGUUCAGAUGUUAGAAGGAGGAGGAGAAAGCUUGAGUAUGCCGCCUAAUCCCUUUGUGCCUACUGGUUCUACAACUAGGAAUGCAAGACGCCUAGAGCUAGAAGCUAUUGCUGAAUUAGAGUAAAAUGUAUAUGCAGAUAUGUAGACGUAUAGAUAUAGUAAUAUUUAUAUUGAAUAAGAGGCCGUUUGAUAACCAUUUCGUUUUCAGCUUUUAAUUUUUAUUUUUCACUUUUUUGAAAACUAAAAACUAAAAUCUUGUUUGGUAAAUACUUUUAGUUUAAAAAAAUUAUGAAGACUGAGAACUAAAAUGUGAAAGCUCAAAGGAAGUAGAUUAAAAGUAGUUACCAAACAAACUGGAAUCUCAAUAAUAAAAAAAGAUUGAAUUGCACAAUGCAAUCCAAACCAAUCAAAACAUUAAAAUAGCAAAAAAAAAUUAAAAUUCUAGUUGAUUAGAUUCUAAACGUAGUAAAAAUGAACAGAUCCAAUGAAAAAACAAAAAAUUCUCAAAUAAAAAUAGGGAUAAAGUAAAAUAUUUAUAAAUAGCUCUUUGUCUCUUAUGUCAUCAAUUAUUUCUAUAGUAUAUACAGGUUUUUGGAAAAAUUAGGUUCUCAUCCCUUAUUUUCAUAUUACAUUGAUUGAAAUCUUAUUAUUUUUCUAUUUUAGAUCAAGGUCCCUUGACUUAUUCCAUGUCAUCAUUUUAGUAUUUAAAAUAUUACACGUCAUCAUAAACGAAAUCUCAUCCCUUUCUGCAUUUAAGGCAAAAUAAACUAUAUGAGUAAGUUUAAAACAAGGAAAAUCCAUUUGAACUCCUCCAUUCUUCUUCUUCCCUUAUGCACAUCUGGAAUCUACAACACCCCAAACCCAAUUUUCUCCAUUUUUUCUCCAUUCCUGAAUUGAUCCAAUGCAUAUAUGUUGAAUAAACCUAUUGUGAUUAAAAUACAAAUUAGCAUCAAUGGUUUUAUCGGCUUGUGAGAUUUGUGUGGCAUAGGCAAGGCAAUGCAGGCAUUGCUUUCUCAAGGAAUCUGGUUGAUUCAAACAUGCAGAGACUGUAGAGUGAGCGGGCUAUGUGAAAAUUGUACCAUUCUGAAGUCAUUUUCUUUUGUUCUUUAUAUUUUUUUUCUUUUUCUUUUAUUAUUAUAUAUUAGUCUUGGUUAUUCAAUGUCUGGUUGGCUACACUUAUAUCCAUGGGUACAUUUUUAAUCUACAUGUUUCGUUCUAAUAUAUCUAUUGCUAUAAUAUGUUUUGGUUGGUUCAAAUUUGUUUUACAUAAAUAUAUGGGUACAAAGUUUUUGGAGAAUAUUAUGUAAAAUGGUUUUUAAGGUUGCUGCAUUUUACGUUCCCACAUAUGCAUGUCUAUAAAACAAUGUGGUAUGAUGUACAUUCUUUUCUUUGAGUUUUUAAAUGUACCCAUGAGUUUUCUUGUAAAUUCGUAUGUACCCAUAUGCUAUUUAUGUUAUGGGUACAUACAUUAUUUUUGGUCUAAGUUCAGGAUACAUUGCUUUUGUAUGUAUGAAUUCAUGGGGUACAUUAUUUCCCUUAAUACUACUCAAUAAAAUUCACAAAAAUAUGUGUAGUGUGCAUGAUUUUUUAUUGUAGAAAUUGUUUGUUUUUUUUAAGUCUCAUAAUUCAUGAAAUUUGUACAUAUAUGAUCCCAUAAAUUUUUUAAUUUUAUUAAAUUUCUGUUAGACUUGAUCGAUUGAUUGAAUCUCAUAAUACUAGGAUUUUGAAUUACAUAAAUUCUUGGAUUUGAAUCCCUUAAAUGUUGGACUGCAAUCAAUAUUUUAAAUUACAGUUUUUUGUUUAAGAUAUCAAAAAGAUGACAUGGGAAUAUAGUAAUACUAAAAUGCUGAGGUGUACAAAGUCAAGGGACUUUGAUCAAAACAUAAAAAACAAUAAGAUUUCAAUCUAACAAUUGAAUUGACUAGGGACCGGAACCAAAAUGACCCUAGAUUUUUAUUGAGUUUAAUCUUAAUCAAAAAAAGACUUCUUGUAUCACAGAAAAUACAAGAACCAUUAUUUGAAUGAAAUAAAAGCUAUGGGAUGGAGAUAUAAAUGGAUCCUUUUAUUCACAAUCGGAUUAUAUUUAUUUGAUACACUGUUGUCAAUAUGAAUGUUGAGAAAAGACUACAAAAGAAAAAACAAUUUAUAAAUAUAACUAAAAAUUCCAAUUUCAAUCAAUUAGAUAAUUAGAAUUAUAAGAAGAAAAAAAACAGAAAUCUCAGUUUUCAGUUUAAAAAAAAAUGAAAACAAAAACUGAAAACUGAAAACAAAAUGGUUAUCAAAGCCGUCCAAAUAAUAGAAGUUUGUUUCCACUCUUUGUUUAAGCAUAGAUGCCAAUUUUUGUUUAUCAUUUUUUUAACCUCUAUUUUUUGUUACAGUAGAAGCCCUAGAAGGAAAUCGAGCACUGGACUUACCAAACUCUUAACUUAUUUCUACACACCAAGAGCUUGAUUUCGGUUCUUAUUUAUACUAUUUAAGCUAUAAGCCGUGAUAAGAAUUAGAGAACUAUCAUUUGUUGUGAGCUUCAAUUGGUUAGCACUUUGUAUGUUUUCAUUAGAAUUUAUAUUUCACUUAGACUUUCUUAUUAAAAAAGGGAUCAUUUGGUGACUUCACCAUGACAGUCCAAUUUUAUGGGGGCCAUGAGUACUCACAAAGGUAUUUCAGCCUCCCCCUAUAUCUACCGUCGCGUGAUUCACCAUUGCCGGGAAUCGAACUCAAGACGUGUUGUAUAGAAUACAAGCCUAAAAUUCGUUUCUAACCACUGAGUCACCCCGCGUUUGAUUAUAUUUCACUUAGACUUAUCUUGCGGUAUAGCAUGUCAUCCCCGCCCAAGUUUUUCUGUUCGCAUUGAGUUUGGGAUACCAAAACUUGCCAAACAAAGUAGAUUGAUUAGUAAGCGAAGCUAAUUAUUCGACUAAACAUUGUUUAGAAUUUUAAUUAAAAGAAACAAUAUGAAUCUGUUUUUUUUUUUUUUUUUUGACAAACUAUAACGUUAAGGAGUUAAAUUGUUAGUUGUUAAGAGUACAGGGAUAGGUGAGGAUCGAACCUCCACCAGAGUGCAUAGACAUUAUUGGUUCUACAACUGCGGUAAAUCACAUAAAACAAAACGUAAUACUUUGAGGAUGGAAGACACUUCGUGGAUAGCGGGCAAUCAACACUAUCAGUCGCUAUCCAAAACUUGGAAUUAUGUUUAUUGUCCGAAGGAUUUUUCUUCCAUUAAAUUGCUAAGGAAGAUGAGGAUGGGUGGAGUGUCUAAAUGUCAAGGUUGAUAAGAAAGUGUAUGGUGUUCAGCAUGCGAUUGAGAUUUGUUGAGUGGCACAACAAACCACAUAAAAUUUUCUAAAUGAUAAGCAAUGAUAAGCUUGAGUAUAAUUUUUUACCACGUAUUUAUCUUUAAAAUCAUUAUAAUUAGAUUUUCUCUUAAUUAAUAUAGACCGUUAGAUUGACCCAAGUUUUUUUCCUCUUUUCUUUCCCCUCGUUUUUUUCUUCUCUGAUUUUCCAUUCACCGUGUAGCAGUCGUUCUUCCCCAACUAAGUUUCUUAUUUUUCUUCACAAAAAAAUUGUAGAAAAUAUUAAGAAAAGAAAAGUCAUCAAUAUCAGACUCGAUCAGGUAAUCGUUCCAACCUUCCCAGCAACUCUCAGUCUUAACAAGGCACCAAAUUUUCUCCGCCACCUAACUCGUCAUUCAUUCAUGGGUGUUUCAAGCUUGGUGAAAAUUGAUAGAGUUCCAUGUGUGUACAGGGAUGUGAACAUAUUGGCCACUCUCUAAGAAUGAGUCAUUGGAAAAGUUGAAGGAAAGAUGUAACCGAUGAAAUUAAUGGAUUGGAAUUACAAUGAAGUCUGUGUUGGUUUAUCACAAAGAACCCAGAAACAAAAUUUUAAAAGCAAACAAUUACAACUUCUCAAAUAUUAUGUAACAAACUUUCAAUGAAAUGUUGCUCAUAAUUGAAAAAAGGUUGACGAAGGACGGAGUUGGGAUUAUUUUAGAUGGGGAAGAGUUAAAAGAAGGAAGCACCAUUUAAUUACUAAAAGUAAUUGGAGAAAUGGUAAUUCAAUGGUGGGCGUUUUUAAGGUGUGGACCUUGUGUCACACCCCGAUCCCAACAUACAUUGAGGAUCGACACCUGACAUGGGGACCUAGGGGACAUAAAUCUUACGUAAGAUACAGAAUGAAAUACUAUAAAUAAUAUCCCAAAAUGAAUAUGAUAGUGGGUUCACCCCCUAUAAAAUAUAUACAAGUUUGUACAUUCACAAAAAAAAAAAAAAAAAAAACACACACACACACACACAAAACUCUUGCUAGGCCAAGACUUGCCCAUGGUUCUCAAAGGAAAGUCCUAAAAGAAAUAGUACAAUGAAGGAUAAAGGGGUAACCUAAACACUCCAAGUCUCUGAUCUCUGCACUGCUACCCCCACCGGCUCCUCGUAAUCUACCUCAGACCUGUCACUUGUACAAACAGUGCCUACAUUGUGGGAAUGGUGCACCGGGCAAACAAAAACCCAGAUAAGCUGCAAAACUCGUGUGGUAGCCGGCCUGGGACAUGGGAGGGGGCCGAGUCUUUCAGAAACCCUUGGGUCAUUGAUCUUCAAGCUUACAUGGAUGGGAUUGUCUCGACGUUGCUUUAGGAAGUCUCGACAGUCGUGAAAGACGGCUUUCGAUCCUUCCACUCCUUCUGUAAGAAGGUGUCUUCCUCCACUCCUUCUGCUUCGGGUUGAAGCAGCUGGGUUGAGAGAAGUCUCAUGUUGGUCGCGAUUUCGAUGAGUAGCUCGCUCCUCAACAGGAAUACCCAUGUCGAGGGAAAAUGAGCCUCUGUGUUGGAGGCACCCAGUUGAUGGUUGACUUCCACAGGGGUGAUGAGCUCGUGUGUUUUAGUAUAUCUAGCCUCGUGGAGCAUCUCGAAGACCUUUUCAUACUGCUCUUGGAGGAUCUCAUUCUUCAUCGCUAUCUUGUUGUUCUGAGCCUCCAGCUCAUCGACUUUAGCCUGAAGAGCAAACUUCUUUUGUUCCUUCUUUCGUUGUUUCGCACCAGGUGUAAGAGGGGUGUCAUUCUGUGUGCCGUGGCUUCCUUCGCUCCCCAUGUUAGAGAGGGAUGCCUGGUCAAAAGAGAGAGUACGAAUGGUGGAAACCAGCUUGGCAAAGCUAAAGAGAGUGGGAAUAAGUGUCGUUCCCACAGACGGCGCCAAAUGUUGAUGCACAAAAUCAGUGAGGACUUUGGUACAACAGAAAGUGUUAAGUUUGUGUCCUUCGCUAGAUUGGUCCGGUCAUUAGUGUGGAUAAGUAUGUAAAUGGAUAGGGACAGGGAAGCAAACACAAGAUGUAUGUGGUUCACCCAGAUUGGCUAUGUCCAUGGAGUGGAAGAGUUCUCAUUAAUUGUGAAGGGUUUACACAAGUACAUAGGUUCAAGCUCUCCUUUAGUGAGUACAAGUGAAUGAUUUAGUACAAAUGACAUUAGGAAAUAUUGUGGGAGAAUGAUCUCCUUUUAUAGAAUAGUUUCUAGCUUUGUUCUGACAUUGACACGUGUCAUGCUGUGAUUGGCUUUUGAUGUUGACAUGUGUCGCAUUGUGAUUGGCCUCCUGGUUUGAGGGAAACUCUUCUGGGUCCUUGACAGUAUAACGUUGACAGGUGCUCAGUAGUUUCGGGAUUGGUCAAGUAUGGUACAAACAAAGUCACUGAAAACUUCGAAGGAGUCACCCAGACAUCCAACGACUUUUCUAAAUCAAAUCUCAGAGAUUCCCAAAACUAUCGUUCACAAAUACACUAAAAACUAAGGCUAGAGUGACACAGUUUGGCCAAAGCCUACAUAAGUAACCAAAUAAGAAGUGGCCCCCCCAUAGCGGAUUAAUCAAGUAGAGCCACUCCUGAGAAAGUAACCAAGUAGGUAGUGACCCCAUCACGAAUUAACCAAGCAGAGUCACUCCUACGAAACUGUUAGGUAGUGAUCACCCAUCGCGGAUUAACUAAGCAUGAUCACCCCUAAGUACGUAUGGCCAUACCUAAGAAAUAAGGAUCGCCCAUCGCGGAUUAACUAAGCAUGAUCACCCCUAAGUACGUAUGGCCAUACCUAAGAAAUAAGGAUCGCCCAUCGCGGAUUAACCAAGCACAAUCCAAAAAUAUUAUGGGUCCCCUAUCGCGGAUUAACCAAGCAGGACCAUCCAUGUACCACUGCUACAUGGUGCAGAUUCGGUGUCACCUAACCCCGUGACACUAGGGUAACGGUCCUCUACUAGCCCUCACGUUUUUCAAACAUUUCAAAUAUAUAAUUUAAAACACAAUUCAUAAACAUUUCGAAUAGGGAAGUCACAUAGUGUUUAAUAAUGUAGGUCAAUGGAAAACUUUAAAAACAAUUAUUUAGCAUAAAACAUAUUUUAGAAAUCCAUGCUGUAUCCACAAAGUAUACUAGCACGGGAGAUUUUCAGGGUAAUAACUCUAUCACAUAUAUUAAAGUCACUCACCUGGAGUCCGCACUAACGCACCCUAGCACGAAUAUCAAGAUGUCACGUACUAUCAUUUGUAACAUCCCACAUCAACCAACAGAGAGGGGGUGAUGUGUCUUAUAUGUACAUGCCCACCUCUAUAGCACGAGGCUUUUUGGGAGCUCAUUGGCUUCAUAUUCCAUCGGAACUCCAAAGUUAAGCGAGUUUGGGCGAUAGUAGUCCAAGGAUGGGUGACCCACUGGAAAGUUCUCGUGUGAGUUCCUAGAAACAAAACCGUGAAGGCGUGGCCAGGGGGGCCAAAGUGGACAAUAUUGUGUUACGACGGAAUUAAGACUGAGAUGUGACAGAAUGGUAUCAGAGCCGCUCUGCCGCGUGGUGCAAGUGUGCCGAAGAGGACAUCGAGCCCCUAAGGGGGGUGGAUUGUAACAUCCCACAUCGACCAACGAAGAGGGGGUGAUGUGCCUUAUAUGUACAUGCCCACCUUCAUUUAGCACGAGGUCUUUUGGGAGCUCACUGGUUCCGGGUUCCAUCGGAACUCCGAAGUUAAGCGAGUUCGAGCGAGAGCAUUCCCAUGAUGGGUGACCCACUGGGAAGUUCUUGUGUGAGUUCCCAGAAACAAAACUGUGAGAGCAUGGCCGGGGCCCAAAGCGGACAAUAUCGUGUUAUGGCGGAGCCGAGAUUGGGAUGUGACAUCGUCACCUAAGACAAAGUACAAGUCCACAUUUAGAGUUCUUCGAGUAUUCACAUAAUCAAAAAUUUACAUACGCACCCUACAACUAAUGAAGAGAAAUCGAGACACGUUGACAAAAAGUCAACCGUCGAUCAACGGUAGGGUCCACAACCCUACGUAACUUAAUCCGUAAGAUCCAGCCACUGUAUUUGUGAUUCAUAAGUUCCUAAGGUCCUCAAAUCUUACGUACAAUAACAUACUAAACUUUAGUGACGAUCUAAUGGUCGAAUCAUCAUUUACUAUAAUGUUCAAAUGACGCAAAUUCGUCAAUCGGAUGUCAAAUAUGGAAUCGGUCAUCGAAUUUAGCCUAGGAAGAUCAAGUGGUGUCUCAAGCCACGCACCACCAUGCGCAGCAGUUGGCAACCCAGAUUCGUCGAAAAAAUCACCUGAUUCCAAAAUGAAUGUCGUGAGACGUGGAGUAAAUUGUAUACCUGUGAGAAGCCCAAUUUGGCCAGGAAGUGGCCUGAAAUCACUUUAGACCGUCGGAAACCCUAAAAUAGGUGAAUCUCGAUUAGUCAUCUCUGGUAUUCCACCGUCCUCAAACUUGUUUAGGGUUCUCAAAAAAAUGCUAAUGAUGAUGGUGAUUGAAGGAGAACGUUUCAGAAAUAGUGAAUCGCCGGCGAGGGUUUCACGGAAUCGACAUGGGUGUUCCUCGUGGAACCAAGACCAAAUCUCAACGGUUUUGGCUAGAAAUGGAUGCUGGGAUGUCGUGGUGAGGUUUGGUAUUGAUGGGAGGUCGAAGAAAGUCAAAAAAAUCGACGAAAAAACUGUCGUCGGAGUCACAGGAAACGUGUUAGAAAAAUGAGUCGCCGAGUUUGAAACGGGUCGAAGGCUUUUGGGACAGCUACUUAAUCUCUCUUCUCUGAUUAGUCACUCCACUCACUCUCUCAUUUGAUUGGUCCAGCCUUCCCACAUGGUGGGAGUUCCCUCAUAUAGUAACCCAAAAUUUACUAUUUAAAUUUGGUAUCAAACGUCCGUAACUUUUUUGUUAUAGUUCCGAUUCACAAACGGCUUUCGCCUACGCGCUCGUAUGAUCGAAUUAUACUUGAAAACAUUAAUUGUGACCUUAAAAAGGUCUACAAGUUUUAAAAGAUUAAUUACAAAAAUUCACACCUUGUAACUAUACGAUUCAAAUUCUAAAAUUAACGGAAUUAAAAUAAACUAAAAAUAAUGUAAACACGAAAUACAGACUUUAAUAAUGAAAUACGUAAUUAAUAGUGGAAUUCUGGGGAUGGGAUUUCACACCUUGCGUCCGGACCUUGAGUGCGGAUCAGAAUCCAAAGGUCGUGAUCUGACGAGCUCAUGUAUAGAACAGAGUUGUUGUGACCCAAUGCAAUUCAAAACUUUUAUGUUUUUUUAUUUACUGGGUACGUUUUUGUAGGAGGAAAAGGGGAAGUCGAGGGAUUCUUUGCGCAAUAAAGAGGGAAAGAGAGAAAAGGGGAGCUAAGAGGUUCUUCGCGCGUUAAAUUUUUGCUUCUGAUUUUGCAACCUAGAAAUAAAGUAUUUUCUUUAUGGUUUAUGGUUCAAGAAUAUAAUGGAUGCAACCUAAAAAUGUUUAUUUUUUUAUUUUUUACUUUUUUUCUUCUUAUGUUGGCUUUUGGUUUAUUCUUAUAAUGCACUAUAUAUUAACUAAAUUUAUAAACAUUUUGUAUCUUUGUUGCAGUCAAAUUAAUCAUAUGGGUUGGCAUGACGAAGUUCGACUGAGACAUACAGAUGUUUUGCAAUCUUAAGUCUAACCUGACACACCCCGACCUCAAUAUCCAGUGGACACCAAAAUUGAGGUGUGAUGGCCAUCAUCCGGAUGGGUGACGAAACCAUUAUAUGCAUGAAAACAUAAUUACCCAAACACGUCUUAUUAAAAUAUUGAGUAAAUACCAUACAAGAUAGAAUACGUCAGAGCUGUUGCAAAAUACCUCAACGUCCGAUGUAAUCACUGAUAGAAUUACUGAAUCAUGUAUAAAUGGAAAGCUGAUAAAUACAUGUAAUUUGAGUGGAUACUUACCAGCAGCAUGGAUACAAUAUCAUCCACCAGUCGUAACUAGUGAAAGUUGGAUAAUAUAAUCAUGUCAUUGCCGAGUAAUCUCAAGGCAAUGACAAGAUGAGAAUGUAACUGAGUAAUCAUAUCAUUACUAAAUAAUCUCAAAGUAAUGACAAGCUAAGAGUAUAACCGUAUAAUCAUGUCAUUACCUCGUAAUCUCAAAAUAAUGAUAAGCUGAGAGUAUAACUGUAGUACCUCUUAUUAGUGCAAUGCAUGAUAUGAAUUCCAUCUCACAUAUAUAUGCAAGCCAUAAUCAAACCAAUAAACAUCCAACAAAAGCCACAAUCCUUUUAACAUUCGACCACAAGAUCAAUUUUCAUAUUUCCCAAACCUAGGUUCCAAAGCAUUGUUUCGAAUUAUUAAUACAAGAAACCACCACCACCUCAAUCAACUCCUAUUCACAAGUGUAAGCAAUUACUAAAUGCAUCACUUUCGACUCUAGUCUUAAUUAGAUUACUUGGGAUACUCACACCAUCAGAUCCAAGUACUAUUUUGAUAAACUUUAAAUAGCAUGGUUAAAAUAAAUGAAACACUUUUAGAAAAUAAGUGAAGAUGUUGUUUACAAAUAUAGAUGCAUCUGUAUAUAAAAGCUUUGGCGGUUGAUCCGUAUACACACUUCCAGAGAUAUAAGCAAGUUCAUUGGAAUAUACAUACAUAGUUAAUGUAUUACAAUAUAAUUAAUAAGAAAACAAUUGCAUCCCUUUCAGAUUAUAUAUAUAUAUAUAUAUAUAUAUAUAUAUAUAGACACACACAUACAUACACACAGGCCCUUUAUGCAAAGGAAUUUCCAUUUUUUUUCAAAAAUGGGGAUUAGUUGUGGGGCCCACGCUGCAUUGAACUUUAACGAUCCGAACAGUCUAUUUUGUAAGUCUCGAUUCAUAGAUCAUCCUUGUAAAAAUUCAAUUCAAUCCGAACCCAUUUGCCUAUUUAAUUAUCAAGAUAAAAUUUUAUUGUUUCUUAUAUAACAAAGUAUUCGUUAAUUUCUUUGAACUCAAUUAGAUAUCUUAAACAUUUCCGAUUUGGUUAAUAUUGUGUAAGGAUGAUCUAUGUGGUGCAACUUGAAAAAUAGACGAUUACGAUCGUUAAAGUUCGAUGUGGUGAGAACCCUACAAUUAAUCUUCAUUUUUAUAAAAGAAUGGGAACCCCUUCCCUUAAAGGUUUCCUAUGUAUAUAUUUGUUCUCCAGACAUAUGCAAAAGGUAAUGUAAAACCAAUGAGAACUUAAAUAGAUAUUCCAUACAUAGGACAAUUCCAUAUAUGCUUUUUCAACAUUUAUAUCGAAAAGCCAAAUUGUUUUGAGGAAAUUAAUUGUAGCAAUGAUCCCUUAACUUUUAUCUUAUUGGAGCAAUGGUCUCUCAACUAAAAAUUCAUAACCAUUGGUUCCUUAACUCCACACAACGUGUAGUUAUGGUCAUUUUCAUUAACUCCGUCAGAACUUUUGUUAAAACAAGUAAUGUUAGAAGAAUCAUUGCUACAAUUAAGUUAAAGUUGGGGACCAUUGCUCUAAUUAAAUUAAAAUUGAGGGAUCAUUUCUCCAAAUUGCUUAAAGUUCAAGGACCAUUUCUACAAUUUUCUCAUCUAGUUUCCCAUAUUUACCCCAUGAUUCAGCUUCACAUGCAUUGCACAUGACUCAUUUUGAAAUUUUUUUUAACGAAAUUGAUGAAAAUGACCAUAAAUGCACGUUUUGAAGAGUUAAGAGACCAAUGGUCGUGGAUUUUAGUUGAGGGAUCAUUGCUCCAAUUUAGUUAAAGUUAAGGGACCCUUGCUACAAUUUUCUCAAAUGUUUUGUAUGCGAAAAUAGGCAUUUGUAAAGUUUGGCUUGUUCAUGGCAUUAUUACUUUAGUCUAAAGUAAGGCUGGAAAUGGCACUGUAGAAAUGAAUAGUGUUCCAAUCCGAAUUUCAGUUUAAUUACAACAAUGCCAUUGCUCUUUGUGUUGCCUUUAGGUGAGCAGCCCGGCUUGCAGCCAGGCCCAAAUGUAUUGGUUUUAGCUGAGAAGCCCGGCCCUUAGUCAAGCCCAAAAUUUUAAAUUACAGUUUUGCCCAUACAAAAUAACAAUCCGAUUGUAUCGAGAAGGACAAUUUUGUCCUUUCAGUUUUGGGUGAGAUAGGGGGUAACAGGGUAAGUUUCAUUUGCUGUCGUUGAAUGAGGGUUUCGAGGAUGAGGGCUCUGUGUGUGUGGGUGUGUGAGAGAGAGAGAGAGAUAGAGAGAGAUAGAGAGGGAUAUGGCGAUGGAAGGAGAGCGAGGGGGAAGGGAAGGGUUCUCGGCACUGUUGCUGCAUGUGAAUUUCACAAGUGGGAGAGUGGGUAUGGUCAGAGAAGACCAUAUAGGUCGUUGGGAUUUCAGGGAAACGGGGUAGGGGUCAUGAAUGAACCCUGCUGAGAGUGGGUACUGGAUCUUGCGCUGCAUGCCUCAAAUCAAAGAUAAGUUCGUUUUUUUUAUUGUAUUUUUUAUGGUAGCUUAGCUUUUGGAAUUGUUUAGUAUGUUAGGUCCGAUUUUGGGGGAUUUAUCUUUUUAGAGAGAGAGAUGGACAGGGAGAUAGAGAUAGAGAGAGAGAGAGAGAGAGAGAGAGAGAGAGAGAUGAGGAAGCAUGACUGUGUGCAAUUUUUUAUGUUAAUUAAUGGGUUGGUGCGCAGGGUGAGUGACAGAGUGACAGAGUGAAGGAGGGACGUGUGGGAGGGUAUGAGUUUUCAGUUCUUUCUUUUGAUUCAACAGGUUAUACACUGUUUGAAAAACCUUUUUUUUAUUAUUUUGUUCUCGUUUGCUUUGUUAAAACCAUCAUUUGAAUUUUUGGGUUUCAUUGUGCUUAUUUCUCUGCUUCUUCAUAAUUUGCUGGUGUUUGCUUCUCAUCCCUCUGUUGGUAGAUCUUUUUCUCAUUUCUUGGUUCCUUAUGUAUUCUUUGGUACAAAUCUGUUUACUUUUUGGCUGUGUGAUAAUCUUAGCAGGUGAACUAUAUGAACGUUUUUUUGAAACGAGUUAAGAAGAUCCAGCUGAAAAGAGCAUACAAGAUAGAGAACUGGUAUGCUGCUCGCCAGGGAAAGGCUGCUGGAAAGGUUGAGACGGAUGCCUCUUUCAGAAACCAGGUCAGUUUCCUGCUGCUCGGCGUCUUAAUGUAUCCAAAUUGUUUAUCUUUUGAUGAAAUUAGCUGGCUAUAUUUUCUAUUUUAUUUAUCUGCAUAUUAUUUUGGUUUGUUGAAAUUUUGACUAUAGUCAUUGUCACAUGGGCGCCUAGCCCAACCCAAAUUAGUUGAGGAUAUUUAAAUCUUCACCAUGGUAUUAUAGUACUCACUCACAGUUGUGAAUACUAAGGUGCAUGCAUGGCAUGAAGAAGUGGACCGUGCACGCCAAGGUCAGAGGGAUGCAGAAGGCAAGCUUUUUUCUUUGGAGGUAAGUAUCCUUUGUUUAUUGCCCAACAGUGUUGUUAUUAUCAAUUUGUAGCUUUGCGUUCUGAAUUUUUUGCUUUGUCAAACAACCUUCUUGAAAUGCUCGAUUUCAAGCCGAAGUCCAAAAAAUGAAAGUUGAGAUGGCUUCCAUGAAGAGGGAUGUAGAGCAUUACUCGCGCUAGGUGAAAUCUGCUUCCUCUCUUUUCGUAUAUCUUCAUAUGAAGAGUUUUACUAAGUUAUAUUGAGAACUAUGUUAUUUAUAGGUUAUAUUUUCCAUUUUGCAGGAACACAUGGAGCUAAGGAAGAGCUAUCGUGAACUCACUGAUCUACUGGUAAUGUCACUCAAACUGCUUUAUUUGUGCAUGCUGCUACUAUGCGCUUGAAUGCAUUUUAUUACUGGCGGGAUGCGAAGAAAGCUAGAUAUAUGUGCUGGAUCGCUUGAUUAAUGUUAGGGUUUUAACAACUAAUUGUUAGCAGCUAGAAGCCCUGGUUAGAUUAAUGCUAAUUUGAUUUUCCUUACAGUACUUGAGUGCCAGUUUCAUAUUGUUUGUUCCCUGUUGGAUACCUGCUGUACAGUUUCAUUUCUGUUUCUUCAUAACUUUCUUGGCCCUGGGAUAUAUGCAUAUUGAGUACAAUGAAUAUCCAUUGUUCUCUAACUGUUGGGCUUUACUAUCUUUGUAGCAGCCUGCCUAACAUUUUUUAGGCUCUACACUCUACCAUCCAAUUUAUGAAAAAUUCAAAGAUUGGACGAUAUUGAUUGCAGAAAUGAAAAAAAUACUAUGAUAUUAGAAAGGUGAAUGUAAUUGUGUUAGAAUAAGCGUCUAGCAUGAUGGGUAAUAUUUUAAGUUUGUAUUUCUAAAAUUUUUUCGUUCUGGAGUAUGAUUUACCUCAAUUGUUUUGUACUUUAAUCUUUACUAAUUUUCAUUGUGGAGUAUGAUUUGCCUCAACUAACAACUUUUCAUUGUUUAACUUUUUCCUCCCUUAGAUAGUUGCAUAUGUUUGAUUUGUUAAUCUGCUUCUUACACAUGUUGUUUCCUAAUGGUGUAGGUGGGUUGUCGGAUGCAUGUGCAGAUUACUUGAAUAGACGAAGCUAAGAAUGACUUAGUAUUAAGUGAGACAGAAGCUUGGGUCAGUUGGAUUUUGACAUUUGAUUUAUUCAUGUUUUUUGUUGCUUGCAAUGUUCUCGCAUUGUUUGUUCUGAGAUUCUGUGAUCUUAUUUUUCAUAGGAACUGACAUUGGUUUGCCAUAUAAUGUUUCAGGAACUAAUACAACAACUAAUCACCUUGCUUAGCUCUCAAGACACAUACUUAACAGGUUAACAAACACUAACCUAUAAACUGAUCUGCUAAGCUGGACCAUUAACCUCUGUUUAUAUCCCUGCCACUCAUCUUUUGGCACUUAUCAAUAGCAAAAUCUAGAGUUGUUGAAACCCCAAUUUUAAUGAAUAUUAUUUUUAGUUGAUAAUUAAAAUUAAUUGAUGAUUAAUCUAUUCCAUUGUGCAUUAUUUUAUCGCCAAAUACUUUGAAUAUUCAUUAGCAAAAGAUAUAGGGUUCACUAUUUAAUGAAUAGAAUUUUGAUGGUGGAUUGCAUUUCCUGAGUUAUAAAUGUGGUGAAUCCAUUAUUUACUAGCUGAAUAAUCAUAAUGUUUUGGCCACUUACCUUGAAUUUUGUUCAAAUUGAAGAAGUCACAUGUUUCUUUCUGUUGUUGAGGUAAUCUCUCUGUUGAAAGCUUCUAUUUCUUUUUUUUUUUUCUUUUUUUCAUUUGGGUAGAUUUUUUUUUUUAUGGAUUUAUGUAUUUUUUUUCCAGAGAAUUCGAAAUGAAAUAAGAAUAGCGGAUUGAGCAUAAACAAAUUGAUGAAAUUUUUAUUUGAGUGUUUGUGUUAGUCCUUUUUUGAUUUGUUGAGGUUUGGAAUUAUUUGAGUUUUUUUGCUGUUAGUACUAUGAAGGAUGCUUGGCAAUCGCGAAAUGGGGGCUACCUCUUUGGAAAGAGAAGUCUCGCUAUCCAACCUCUCAUGAAUUACAAACAGGGUGAUUUCUUGCUGAAAAACCACUGAACCAGUAGAACUUUCCUCGGUUCUUCAAUUCGAUUCGAAUAAUUUUUUUACCCAGAAAAGCCAGCGUUUCCUGGUGGGUUUUACAGCUUUCUCAAUGUUUUUGUGAUUUUGGAUUUGCAAAUUUGUUUUCUGUUCAAAUUUCCUUUUGUGAUUUUGGAGGUUUUGUUUAUCGAUUCUCUCACUCAUCUCUCAGCUCUCUCUCACUUUUGAGGUACAUGCCGUUGGAUUCCGUUUGCUGCUGCUGAUCUGUAGGUAAAGCUUCAAUUACCAUAUAAAGUUUACAUUUUUCAUGAUUUCUUGAAUUUGGGUUUUAAACAAAGGAAAUAUUGCUAGAUUCUUAUCUUAUGUGCAAAUUACUGGCUAUUUGGAUUGGUGCCUGAGAUUUAGAGAAUGCCUCGCAGCUUUAAUUUCUUUUUCCUUCAUUAUUACUGUUUUCAAAAUUUUUAUUGCUGGGUAUUGAUAAUUUGUAGUAUGUGAGGGCUUCAAUAUGUUGGAAUUUUGAAUGGUUAUUGCUUCAUCGGAAUUUGGGUGGUCCAAAUUUUGAAUUAGAAGAAACCCAUUUGAUUAAUAUUUUUGGUGGAUUGGUUCUCUGUGUUUUCCUUGCUAUUUCUCCCCCAGUUGGAAAUUGGAAGCCCCAACUUUGAGCUCAGAGCUUGAAUUUCUCAAUCGUUCGUUUCUCUGCACUCUCAUCAAUCACUCUUGAUCCUCUAUCUAAAGAACUGGGUAAUUUUCCAGCUCUAUCAAGUAAUACUCCAUUUAAUUGCUUAAUUGAGGUUUUUUGUUUCUCUUUUUCGCUCUUUCAUCAGUUCAUUGACUUUGAUGUUGAGCUUAAGUAAAUGGGAGAUCAUUAAUUGGCAUUGUUCAAGAUAUAAUUCUGUGUUUUUGGAUUUGUGAAACGAUUUGCCUAAUGAUGAUAGUGGUUAAAAUAAAUUUUUCGUUAUGAAGAGAACAUUGUUCUUCAUUUGCCUACGGUUUUAACUACAAAGUUAAACUACUAUGCUUUUGUUCAAUUGACUGCAACUCAUGCCGCAGUUUGCUUCACAAACCUCUACGGUUAGCUUCCAUACAGUAUGUUGCAAGUUUGAGGAUAUCUUUACAUCUUAAUUUUUGCUCUCUCUGGUUGCUUCAAGUUUGUAAUUUUACGUGUUACAUUGCUACUUGAUUUGAUUAUAAAAAUGCAAAACAAAAUCCGUUUUGCUUUUAUUCAACUUAAAUGUAUCCUUUUGUUUGUUCAUAAUUGUGUUGAAUUUAUUCAACUUAAAUGUGUUUUAUUCAUCUAUUUACGCUUAAAACAACUGGUUCCCCUAGCAAUGCGCGGGCCUAAUUUCUAGUACAUAUACUAAAAGCCAGCAGAAAAUUACUGUUCAUCAUGGGAGAUAGAGCACUGUUCAUUAACAGUGAAAGGGCGAAAAUGCCCUCGGUUUCUUCUUUACUUCACGUACUGUUUACGAAUUGCUACAGUAUAAAGUCCGUUUUGUCCUUCCUGUCCACACAUCUUUCAUCGUCCGUUUCUCUUGCUUCGACCGUAUCUUUUUUGCUUUACCUUUCCUCUUCAUUUUUCGCAUUCGUUAGGCUGCGAUUUUCGGAGGUGGAUUGUUUGCCCUCCCAUUUCCAUGCUCUCCCCAUGCCUAUGUGGUCACAGUUAAACCACGUCAAUAUUUUAUAUUAAUUUUUUAUAAAAAUAAUAAAACAAAAAGUAAUAAGAAUAUAAAAUAUUGACGUGGCUUAACGUGGUCCGUGAUCACAGUAGGCAUGGAAAUGGUCCGCGACUUUCUCCCUUUUCGCCAGCCCCUCUUUUGCUCUCAAAUCCUUGCUCUUUCUUUUGCAAAAUAGUCUCAGAAGAGAUCCUGGGUUUAUCGAAUCCUUUGUUGUUCGGCGUUUUGUUCUCAUCUUGUGAUCGUCGGGUCAGCAGCUUUAAGGUAAGUUUGUUUUUAAUGAUUUAUCCUCAUUUUACGAUGUCUGGGCUAACAAAUUUAAGAUCUUUAUUUUUCUUUUUGCUGCGGAUCUGCAGGUUUUGACAAGUUUUUUGUGAAAUUGGUGCUGUCAGUGGGUGUUAACAUCAGGUACCCAUGUUCAGUUUUUCGUUUUGAUUUGAAGGAAUUUCUUGCGCAGAAGUGCUAGGGUUUCUUGGUGAGUUCUUCGGGUUGUGCAUAUGGGUAAUUUUCUUUUCGGUUUAACCCGCUGCUUCUGCUGCUCUCUCUCUUUCUCUCAUCCCUGCCUGCUCCUCUCCAAUUGUUUGCUGUUCUUAAAUAUUGUGUUCAUUGCCUGAUACAAGGAGCUGCAGCAAUCUGUUUUAUCCUACACGGGACAACGAGGCAAUGGCGUGACAACAGGUGAGCUUGGAUAUCCAAAGAAAGAGAACAGUUGGUUCAUCUGCUGGAGUCUGAAGCUCAGAGAAGUGGAGGAAAAUUGCAGGUGUGCGAGAAAUUUUAUUUUGCUGAUAGGACUCCUUAUUUACGGAUGCAUUUUGAAAUAAUUGAAAAGUUGGAUUUGAGUUAACAGCUAUAAAAAUGUAGACAUGAUUGCUGAGAUUAUGCUAUGAAAGUGGAAUAAAAAAAUGGUAGUUUAUAAUAUUGCGUACCAAUUUUUUUCUCUCUUUUUUACCAAAUGAUAAGGGUGGUGGCUCAGGCCGCCCCCCCUACGCGUCCCCACUCUUCGACAAGUUGAAAUCAUGGUGAUAGUUUAUGGGCUGUGGUCUUGGGAUUCUGCAAAUAGAUUAAAAAACAGACACUUAACUAUCUUGUUAUUAAACAUUUCUGCAUCAUUCAGUUGCUCUUGAUUUUCGUCUUUUAAGCGAUCUUAUUUCUGCGAUCUGACUUGAGGAGGGUUUUUAGACCUAUGGUUGUGGGUGUUUUGUCUGACCCCAUUAAAUUGGUUUCCGAGAUUUGUAGACUUGCGAUCGGCAGUCAAACAUUUUGUGAUUCUUGCUUUUUUUCCGACUGGGAUUGACGAAUUUUGGCCGAAUCUGUUUCCUGUUUUCUUCUCUGUUUGAGCGGCCGCUGCCUUUCGGUCGUUGAGCGCCGGCAGUCUUUAGAUCUUUGGCAAAUCAAUUUAAUACAACCGAGGUAUGUUUUAUAACUGCUGUCUUUCAAUUUUUGUUCUGUAUUUUUGUUAAUUUGGAUGAAGCUCUAAUAAUUUUGUUUUGGAUCAGUUGUGGUCCUCUGUUAGGAUUUUCCUGGCUAAGAGGGUAUUUGCGUUUUUGUUGCUUGGUUGGUCGAUCACAGAUUUACGAACAGCUGUGGUGGUCCUGUUAUUUUUUUGGUAUGUUUUUUCUCCUUUUUGGUUUUUUCCCGGUUUGAGCACCCAUUCAUGAAGAAUUAAAAUGUGUUUAUAGUUUUUCAGGAGAGAUUAGAAAAGUGAUUUCAAUUUGGGAAAAUUUAAUGUUGGUUAAAAUUUGUCUAUAAUUUUUGGGAAGGAAUGAGAGGACCCAUUGAAGUAUGUGUUGUGAUUAUUUUUUAUUCAUAUUUUUAACAAAUUGGGCAUGAAUUGGUAGGUUAACUGUGUGUGUUUAUUAUUUGAAUCGGCCAUGUUUGUCUUUCUAUGGUUCUAAAAAAUUUGUAAAGGCUGUUAACUUGGAAGAAAAUGGGAUCGAGGGUGAGGGGAAAACGGCAGAGAAAGCAUGGAAGAGAGAUUUGGGAUUAGGGGUAGGAAAACAGAUGAAAAGAAUAUGAUAGAGGAAUGAGUUCAGUUCAUUUUCACUAUUUUUUUUAACUGAUUUGGAUUUUGUUUGGGUUUGAGGCCAUCAUUGGCGUUAAGACGUUUAUUAUCAGAUCGUGUGUGUUUUUUGCUAACUUUUAUUGGUCAUUUUUAUGUUGUUCUUAUGAUUUUGUGUGGUAGGGUUUCUGAAUUUUAUCGUUAUUCAUUUGGUUUUUUGUGUGUGUUGGUUUGUUUAUUUUGCAGGUUGUGUUUGUGCUGGGACAACAUUUUCCACCUUCUGUUUGCACUGGGAUGAUUGCGUUUUAAAACUGUUGGGGUGAGAUUUACAUAUGGAAUCAUUCCAUUUUUUUUCUUCCAAAUAUGUGCAUUUAGUUCUUUUUAUUUUAAAUUUUAAAAAUUAAAUCGUUAUUUGAGUAAAAUGUUUUAUUAAUUUAUGUUAUGUGUUGUGAUCAGGAAUUCUGUUGGAUUUGCAAAUUUUGGUUUGAUGAGAGAGAUGAGGAGUUUUUUUUGUUUGAAUUUUUUAUUGGACCGAUUUUCAAUUGGAUUGCAUUCUGCCUUUUUGCACCAUUCUUAUGCAAGCAAUUCAUUGUUUUAAAUACAAUUUGAAGAGAGCUGGGUUGCGGGUUGGAUAUAAAAUGUUAAGGUGAGAUAAAAUCGAGAUACCAAGGGUGGAAGAAUGAUUCAGAAUUGGGGGAGGAAAACAGAGGGAAGAUGGAAGAGUAUAAGAGAAGGAUAGGGUUGACCUCAUUUAGAGUUUUUAUUUACUUUUUUUUUUAUUAUUUAUAAAUUGAUUCAGGACUAGCAUAUCAUUUCUAAAUUUCUAACAUUUUUGUUUAAUUUGACUCCAGUUGAUGGAAAACAGAGCUCUUACUCCUAUCAAUCAGUUGGUCCCGUACAUAAAUGCAGAAAAAUCAAGGUUCGAGUUUGCAGAGUAUGCAGACCAAGGUUUCCUGAAACUACUGGUGCUGUCACGCCCCAAUCCCGACCUAUGUCCAGGAUCGACACGUGACGUUAACAAAUACCCAUAUCUCUAACAUACCCCGCCUCCGGAAUAUGGGCAAAGCACAACUGCGUAAUAAUUUUUCGUAUACUUUAUGGCUGCAUCUAACAUCCUCGUUAGAUUAUCAUACCUUAUGGCUACAUCUAACAUCCUUGUUAGACUGCCUACGUACUCUCAAAAGGGAUCAAACCAUUCGUAGUUCACCACACUCCAAUCCACAAAAAUUUGCACAUGCACUGAUUAUAAAAUGGAACUGCACCUAUAGAAACCUAAUCAUAACCCGUGGGCGAUUUGCUCCCACAUAAGAAAGACGUCCACAGUACCAUGAAAUACUUCCACAUCUUUCCUUCCCAUUUACACAAUAUUUUAUUUCACCUCCCUGAUAAAUAUAGCAUUUACAUUACAUGUGGCAGACAAAUUUGCAUAUUCAACUAUAAUAAAAUACAAUCUUAGUAGGAAAAACCUACAAGACCACCACUCGUUUGAGCCAAACUUUAGCUUAGCACUCAACUGGUGCUCACACCAUGUGAGUGCACGAUCCUUUAAGAUGGAUGCGAUGGUUCUCUUUUGAGAUUAAUUUUGUUACAGGUAUAACAUAGUUGGCAACCGUUUAGAAAUAGAUGCCUCAUGUUCAAAACUCUCAUUACCAAAUGUUCUAACAAGUUAGUAGAGAAGGUAAAAGAACCCAAAUGGCGAGAAAUAGUGUCCUGAUGAAACAAAAGAUGUAACCCUCAUUCAAGCACGAACAUCAUUUCCUUGAGAAUCUGCGAUUUCUUCCCUCAUUUGGUCAAUAUAGCUUGUAUUCCAACUGCAACUUACUAAUAGCAUUUGUUCUCUCCUCGAAUGAAACCAUAACCAGCCAUUUUAAAUAAAGCUGAACAGUUUCACGUUGGGAAAAUAAAGAUUAUAACAUACAGGUUUUGGAUUAGAUUCCCAAACCAACAGAAAAUUAAGAUAGGAAUCUAUUUUGGGUUAACUGAGGUAUGAGUGGUAUACAAAUGAGAAAUUCCCUACAAAAGUCAAUAAAACCAGUUACAUAACAUGUUGAAUAUAAUACAACAUGAAAUAAGAAGCACCACUUGUUUAUCUGACUUUUUAUACAUGUAUUUUCCUAAGGGAUAAAAACGUGCGGGUUUUGGGAUCAAUCUGAAGAGGGCUUCACCACGAAUACAUAGCCUUUGACCGUGCAUGAUUUCGUUGCCGUAUGAGAAAGUUAUCAUUUUUUUUUUUUGUGAAGAAGAAUUAAGGGGGAGAAGAACAGCUGCCCCCUCUGUUUCUGCAUCUGCCCAGCGGGGAAAGAAAAAGAAGAGAAGCCCUUGGCUUCUAGAAUACUCCCUCCCCAAAAUUACAAUUUUGCUCUCUAACUUUGAUUGUUUAUAUCUUAUUCGUUAUAACUCUGUUUCACGAACAGCUUUUGCUUACAUGCUCACAUAGUCGUCAUCUAUUUAAAUAUAUCAAGAAAUACAAUAAAAUACAUCCUCGUAUAAGUAUGUUAACCAAUUAGGGCACUUUCGUCAUUUCCACUUAUCGAUAGAUUUUAACACGUUAAUUAUAAUAAUGUCCGGAAACAGCUUUAAAAUUUCCAAAUUCUAUUUCCAUAACCAUAAAUCGAUUUAUUAAUUUUUCAGGGUAUCACAGGUGCAUAUUCAGGCUUGCAUUGUAUAUUACUUUCCUAUUAAAAAUUUGUUUGGAAUUUGCUUUUCCCACAAAGGAGAAGAGCUGACAGUUACGCUGUGGGCAGAUGUUGCUCGAAGUAUUGCUUCUUUAUCCAUUGAAUCAUUGUCUCUGCCGAUCUUUGCGGUUUUCACAAGUUUAAAGGUCAAGCUGUACCUAGGUGUUUGACUUAAUUAAAAACUAAUCUAUUUAUUUCGGAGGCGGAGCAAAAUGCUAUCUGUCUUACCCCUCUUGGUGAUCUUAGUCGGAAAGAUCGGCUAGUUUGGGAUGUGAGUAAGAAUGGGCAGUACUCGGUUCGAUCGGGCUAUCAUUGGCUGCAAUCUAGGUCUGUUGGGUUCAGGGAUCAACGCCAGCUUGGUGCUUGCUUAGUUCCGAGGCAUUUGUGGCGCAUGGUUUGGUAGUUGAGUGGGCCUCAUAAGCUCCGUCAUUUCUUUUGGUUAUCUUUGCAUAAUGCAUUACCGUCAUUUCUUUUGGUCCGUGACCAGGCAUGAGGAGAGCAUGGAAAUGAGAGGGCAGACAAUCCACCUCCGCGACUUUCUCCCUUUUCGCCAGCCCCUCUUUUGCUCUCAAAUCCUUGCUCUUUCUUUUGCAAAAUAGUCUCAGAAGAGAUCCUGGGUUUAUCGAAUCCUUUGUUGUUCGGCGUUUUGUUCUCAUCUUGCGAUCGUCGGGGUAGCAGCUUUAAGGUAAGUUUGUUUUUAAUGAUUUAUCCUCAUUUUACUAAACUAUUUAUGGUAACUUAGUAUGGUAACUUAACUAAGUAAGUUUGCUUUUAGCCCAAGGGUUGGAGAUGGUCUUAGUAUGGUAACUUAACUAUUUAAUUCCAUCUCAUUAAACUAAAAAAAACAAUUACAUAAAAAUAAGGGAAACCUUGUCCAGAGAGACCUGAGAAAGUCCACCCCUAAGGACUUUGCGCCAGCACCCAGCGUAUUUAUCUACUCAAGUGAACAGUAAUAGACUGGAGUGAACAGUAAUAGGCCAAGGCAUCUCCACCCCUAAAAAAAUGCGCUGGCACCCAGUGCAUUUAUUUGGUGUGUUUUUUUUUUAAAGUUUAUUUCAGAUAAGAUUUUUAACCAAUUUCGGAUAAAAUUUCAAAUAAACUUAAAAAAAAACACUCUAAAAUAAAAUUACAUACUCAUCAAAUAAACUUAAAAAAACACACUAAAAUAAAAUUACAUAAACUCAUCAAAUAAAUUAAGGAUGAGCUUUUUGGUAUUUUUUUUUCACACAAAAAGUAUAUGAAAGCUUUGGUAGAAGGUCUAGAAAAUAUUGAAAUGUGGUGUAAGGUGGAAGAUGAGGGUUAGGUAUUUAUAGAAAAAAAAUAAUAACUUUUUUAAAAUUUUACUGUAUUUUAAAAAAAAAUCUGUAUUUUUUUAUAUUUUUAAUUAAUUUUAAUGUAGUUAAUUAAUUUGGACCGUUGGAUUUGAAAAAUAUUCAAAUCCAAUAGCCCAGGAUCGGCCACGUGGCCAACGCCAGCAAAUGGCCCAGCUUCUUGGUCAGCCUGUUUUGUGCUGGCCCAGAGACCAGUUUGGGCUGGGUGCCAGUCUGUUUUGUGGGCUGGAGUGAAUGGACAGGGUCCCAGCCUGUUUUUUGUGCUGAGUGCUGGCCUAAUCCACCACCGGUGGACUUGCUCUGAGAGAAAGUGACGACUUCUCCUCUCAUUCCACUCCAUACUUGAUCUCUAAAGUCCAUUUGGCAUGUAAUUGAUGUUCAAUUUCAAAUUUAGUGGUAGCAAUUAGCAAAGCUAAUGAAAGAAUCAAAUAAAAUGAAAGAAAAAGCAUCAUGAAAUAAAUCAAGAUGAAGAAUGAAAUUUUGGCAACUCGCCAUUCUCUUCUUUUAUAUAAAAGAUACAUCCUAUUUGUAGUGAAAACAGGUCCCGACAAACCCAGUUAUCCUCAAGAAGUAUUUUGUAUGACUUUAAAAACAUAAUCCGUGAAAUUAUCUCUUGGCUGAGAACAACAACAAAUCUUCAUGCAUAGCUUGUACAGAAAGACAUCAGGCAUACAAAAGAACACGCAAGCAUAAAAUAAACGACGCAGGGAAAACCAAAAAUACUAUAGAACACGUCGCUGUCAAAAGAACAUGAAUAAAUGAAAAUUACAAAACAAAGAAGUGAUGAGAAACCAAAGUACCCAUUUCAUAAUCUAGUUGCUUUUUAGUUUGCUUGCCAUUUUUAGUUCUUCAAUUUAGAGAGAAACGAUAAUUCAGCACAUGAAUAAAGUGAAAACGUAAAAGAUAUGUGGGAUAAGCUGACAGCCAUCCCUGAGUAAUGCAUUCACUUAUGAACCCCAAACACAACGAAACAAAAAUUCACACAUGAACUACAGCUCCGCUAUGUAACAAGAAUUAAAAGCAUCUCAAGACAAAAUGGCAAACUAUAAGAGCACUGUAAAAGUAAAAUUGCAAGAAAUCUAAUACUUGGAGGGCAAGUACUACUCAGACGAAAAUGAAAGAUUGAACUACCUCGCGUGGAACUGUGCCUUGGUUUUUUCCCAUGCUUACAGGAAGCUUUGCACUGAGCUCUUAUAGCCCAAAUUUUCUCUGAAAGAAAAAAACACAAUUUUGAAAUAAGAUUUUCAUAUUAUACCUUAAAGAGAAGAAUUAGAAAACAAAAAAGAGAACAAUGAGUACUAUUCAUCAUAUAUUGUUAGAGUGUGUGGUCCUUUGGUCCAAUGGUCCUGCAGCCAUAUUUACUUUAUAACUCUUUCUUUUAGUCUAAAAAACAUCUUGGAUCUCAAAUUAAUAUGAAUACGGAUUCAUACGCAUGCAUUGCAUUACAACCACAAUGCAAUAUCUCAUUAGAAAUCCCCACACAAAAUUUUUUUAUUUCUACUUUGAUUUUAGUUUAUAUUUUUUCUAAAGCACGAGGGAGCUAAUUUUUUUUUAAAUUUUUUUUAUUCCAAUAAUGUUAUAGGGUUGAAAGGAUAUUAUCAAUUUAAUUGAUUGUAUUUGAUUGGUGGAACUUCUAUAUCUAUAUUUCAGUUUUUCAAAUUCAGCACUGGGAGAGUCAUUCAUAAAAUGUUUGACAGUGAGAUUACCUCCAUGGAUUAUGCUCACAAUGGACAGCUCAUUUUCCGCAGUGAUGGGACAAUAUAUUUCAGUCAUUCGCCAUUCAAUCAAUUCAAACCGAGGAACAAGCAACAUCAAGAAGAGGAUCUGCCAUGUCAGGAUCACUGUCGUCCAAUUAAUACAAAAAAUCUAGAUAAAAACGAUCAAUUUACAUAAAAGCCUUUCAUUUUCUCAGCAACCAAGCAAAAGAAAAUACCUAUCCGUUAACACUCGAUUUGGGAGUAAAUGUUGCUGAAACUGGACUUCAAUCCCCUCAACCGCAACAACCGAAUCGAGGUGUGCAAGUCAUUGAAAAACUCACCCAAGAUUUCAAAAUCUGCAUAAAUAAAUAAAUAAGCACAUAAAUUAGCCAACCCUGUUAUGAUCCCACAUCGGGUACACAAGAAAUUGUGUAGUGGUACUUAAGUGCAAGGGGUCCUCCCACCUAUUGGACUAGUUUUUUGGAUUGGGCUCUUCCCUUGGGCUUGAGUACCUAACAUUGGUAUCAGAGCCUAGGUUCCCGACGCUGCGGGACUUGGCGAGUGGUGCAGCCUCGUGGUGCCGCCUUGAGAGUAUGGGCUCCUAAGGGUCUUGGCGACGGGCAAGGUAUGAAAUGCCGAUAUUAUCGCGAUAUUUCGCCGAUAAUAUCGGUUUUUUGAGUUACCGAUAUUUUAAUACUUAUCCACUGAGUUUUCGUCAAAAUAUCGCGAUAAUAUCAACAAUAUCGCGAUAUUACCGAUAAUAUCGCGAUAUUUUGGAGAUGUGCGAAUCGGAGAAGAACGCCGGAGCUUUUACAGCUCCGGCCGACUGUAAAAGAGCACCCUAGACUCCGAUCUAGGUAUCAAAAUGAAAUACAAGAUGAGAGGAAUGUUUUUAUAACUUCCGUUUGCCGUGAAACGGUCGAAGGUGUUCGGAAAGUUCGUCGACACCCACGGCCUCGCCAGAGAUGGGUGUGCCUAUUCCCGAGCCGAUUUCGUCCCAAAAACCUUGCAAAAACACGAGAUAGAACUUAAAUUUCACGUCUAAGCUUCAAUCUAGAAUAGAAUGAGGUAAACCCGAAGCUUACCUAACCGGAGAAAUUCAAGAAACUCGUCGGAGGGUUCCUGCGUCGCCGAGUUGCAGAGACGAGAAGGAGAGGGAGAAAGACGAGGUUGCUGAUGACGAUGGGUGUCUUCCUCAAGCAAGUGCGAUGGUGUGCGUGUGUGUAUGUGGGUCUCGGUGCAGAGAGAAAGGAGAGAGAUGAGAGUUUCGAGAGAGAGACGGCACCGACGAGAGCUAUUUGUUUUUUUUUAUCUUAAAAAGAGAGAGGUCUAAGAGAAAUGGGAAGAGAGGGCCGAGUGAAAUGAAAGGAGGUCCUUGAAUUAUUGAGAGAUAUCUCUGAGAGAGGCCUAGGAUUUCUAAAAGGUAAUCAUAAAUGGGAAAAAUGGGGCACAUCUUAGCCUUUAUUUUGGAAUCCUAAGAAGUUCACCACAUGGAUGCAUGACAUGUGUGCAUGCCAUGUUUGUUGAAUGGGAAAAGUCUGACACGGAAAGACAAAGAGUCGUUUGGGGCUCUGGGCUCGAGGCAAGACAGAAAGUGCUAGGGUUUUUUUCUGAAAUGAACAUAAGCUGCUAAAUUCGCAUAUAUUAUAGUUGUUGCUAAAGAUUGUCACUAGUGUGGACUUGGACGUGUUGGUCAACAUGUCCUCACAAUCCCCAAGUUCUCUGGUUCGAACCCUUGCGCCCAUCAAAUUUUCUUUCUUUUUGAUGCGCUUUUCCCAUGGCUCUAGGUCUUGAUUUCGAAUCCAAGUGAGCCCUUUCCUUUUUCUUUUUUGUUCUUUUUGUUUUAUUAUUUGUUUAUUUUAAUUUAUUUGUUUCUUUUAUGUUUUUCUUUUCUUUUAGUUUCUUUGUCUUAGGCGUUCGUUUUUAUUAAAGUAGGAUGUAAAAUCAAUUAUCUUAAAAUUAUGUGUUUUUAAAUUUUGGACUUGUUUGUUGGAUACUUUUUUUUCAUUUUAUCAUUCUUUUAUUAUGAAAAUAUGCUAAAAUAUGCUAAAAUAUCACUUAUGUUUUUGUGAAAAUAUGCUAAAAUAUUUAUAUAUAUGAUUUUGUUUUGAAUUCUUUUUGUACUAAUUCAUUAUAUAUAAAUGAUUAUGGUGUGUUUAAACUUCUUUAAUUAAUUACUACAUAUUUUCUAUACUCACAAUGUUUGCCAGCUCGCUAUAUAAUCAACUUAAAUCAGUUAAAUCCAUCAUGCAAUGCAUUUCCUUCCAAUUUUUUGUGAUAAACUUGUGAACACGGAAAAUUCCUGAAACGAAAGAGACAAGAACGAACGUGCACAAACAAAUAUUAUGUAUUUGAUGAUUUUGGGUUACAAUCUCUCUCUAUUUGAUCCUCUGAUUCAAUCUCCGUAAGGUGUGUAUUUGUGGAUGUGUGAUUGAUCCAAAGGGCCGUUGGGCUUGAUCUAAUGAUGAACGUUCUUCAAGGGCCGUGGACUUGAUCUUGAAGGUGGAUUUGAGCGGAUCUUCAAAGGGGCUUUUGGGCUUGAUCUUGAAGAACGGUUGGAUGUGUGGAUUUGUCGAAGUUGUUGAUCCAAAGGGCCGUUGGGGCUUGAUCUUGGAUGAACGGAUGAUGAACGAUGGUGCUUUCUUCAAGGGUCGUCGGGGCUUGAUCUUGAAUUGGUGGAUGGUUGAUCCAAGGGCCGUCGGGGCUUGAUCUUGGAAGAACGAUGAACGAAGAACGAAGAACACUUUCUUCAAGGGCCGUCGGGGCUUGAUCUUGAAUUGGUGGAUGAUUGUUGAUCCAAAGGGCCGUUGGGGCUUGAUCUUGGAAGAACGAUGAACGAAGAACAAAGAACGCUUUCUUCAAGGGCCGUCGGGGCUUGAUCUUGAAGGUGGAUGAUUGUUGAUCCAAAGGCUGUCGAGGCUUGAUCUUGGAAGAACGAUGAACGAAGAACACUUUCUUGAUUCUUCGGGAACCUGGACGCUUGAGAGCUUCGGAGUUUCAGAGCUUCAGAGCUUCAAGGUGUAAUAUGAAUUGGUCCCCCCUAAAUGAAUGAAAUGGGCUUGUAUUUAUAGAAUUUUCCAAGGCCUAAUUUUGAAUAUAAUAUCUCAGAUGAAAUAAGUCGUUUCUGCCAGGUGUUAACACGUGUCCUAUUUGAUGACUUUUCCAACUCAUUUCAAUUUUCGUUUAGUCACACGCUACGUGUAAAAUUUAUGUAAUACAUGAGCGUUGACACUUUGAUUUAUCGGUCAACAUUUAUUUACCGAAAUUUCGAUGUCUACAAAUGCCCCCACUUCAAGGCACGUCGUAUACCUGUGCUUGUCACGUGUAGGAGAUGCGUUUUGAAGUCCCUUACCGUAGAUGCCGAUUCAAGGGCCGUUGAAGCUUGAUCUUGAAUUGGGCUUGAGAUUUCUUCAAGGGCCGUUGAGGCUUGAUCUUGAAUUUUUGUUUGAAAUUUCUUCAGGGGCCGUCGAGGCUUGAUCUUGAAGGUUGAAAUUGGGCCACAAGGAGCUUCAUGUGGUAGAUGAUCUUUGGCUUUGGUAGUGGAUGAAUCGGCACGUAUUUUAUUGCGCUUGUUGACUUUCCACAGCUUUGAUCUUGAACUGGGUUGGAGGAUUUUCUGGAUUCCUCCAAUUGUUGAUUUUCCACAGCUUAUUCUUGAACUAGGUUUUGAUUCAAGGGUGGUAGACACUUGAUCUUGAAUCGGACUUGUGAUUUCCUCGAUGGCCGUCGAGGCUUGAUCUUGAAUUUGGUUGGAAACUUCUUCAAGGGCCGUCGAGGCUUGAUUCUUGAAGGUUGACUCGAACAUAUGGCAAGCAGGCACGAGGUGAAGGUGACGACUUGUUGCUUUGUUCAAUCUUUCUAAUUCACACCUGAGCAGUUUGGUCAACGGUAUGAUCCUCAAGAUUGAUGGGCUCUUCUUCCAGUUGGUGACUUGAUCUUUAAGGAUUUGAUUCAAGGGUGGUGAAUCGGCACGUGCAGCCCACAACGCCUAGUAAGCCGACCCAAGAAUUUGAGGGUCAAAACGGAUUCACCGUCAGAGUGAUUGCAACUUUGAUGAUAUGAGAUACUCUUGCUUUUGAAGAAGUAGUGGAUGAAUCAGCACGUGCUUUGUUGCGCUUGUCUCCACAUGCUUCAAGGUAUCAUCUUUAUUUCCUUUAUCUAUUCCUCAGGCAGAUGUGGCAUCUUCUCGAGUUCUUCAUCUCAGACUCUUUCUGCUGAGUUGACUGUUCAUGCUGCAUUCUUCUCUGCUUGUUCAUUCUGCACGUUGUCUCCACAUGCUGCAAGGUAUCAUUUUCACUUGCCUUAUCUGUUCUCCGGGCAAAUGUGGCAGCUUCUUUGAAAGUACAGUAGCAGCGGGAGGCGAGUACUCGAGAGCAGUGCUAGGUAGGCAAUCAGGGAAGGGUUCCAAGCAGUCGGUUCCUUACCCGAGUUUGAGUGGAAGUUCCGGCAUAUUGUUUUUUUUAUCCUUGUCUUUGUAGGUAAGAACAAGGACAAAGGAAAGGACAGGGAGAACGCAUGAUAUGAGAUACUCUUGCUUUCUACCCUGGUGAUAUGAGAUACUUUUGCUUUGGAGUCAUUGGCUUGCAGAGGUACCCCAAGGAAUAAGGAACACUGAAUGACUCGAGAGGCUUCGUUGGGAAAACAUCUUUGGAGAUGAAGAAAGACUUUGUGUGUCUGCCUUGCUAUGGAAGGCGAAGGUAGACAAUUAUAGGAAGUUCUUUGAUACCUGUAGAUGUACUAUUCUUUCACUCGUGUCGGCAACCAAUGCGUGAUUGAUCUAUAUGGCUUCACGUGCUUCCUUCUUUAUCAGAAAUCUUCGACAAACUGUCCGUAAUUUCCGCCAAGCUGAGUGUGCAUGUGAUAGGUGUUGACGCGGCUGAAAAAGACUGGCGCUUAUUCGAUAACUGGGAUCUGCGCUUCGACAAAUUACCCGUGAUUUCCGCAAAGCUGAGUUUGCGUGUGAUGGGUGCUGACGUGUCUGGAAAAGACUGGCGUCUCUUCGAUGUCUGGGAUCGGCACUUCGACAAAUUGCCCGUGAUUUUCGCAAAGCUGAGCUUGCGUGUGACGGGUGCUGACGCGUCUGGAAAAGCAAGAUGCUUCUUCGAUUUCUGAGCUUGCCUCUUCGAUUUUUGAAUGGCCUCUUCGAAUUCUGAGCUCGCCUCUUCGAUCUCUGAAAUCCCGUCGAGUGUUGAUUUUUUAUAGAGGCAUGCUGUUCGUUUCAAAGCACACUUGAAUUUUACUUGUGAAAACUCCCUUCUUGCACUUCUAAGAUCUUGAUUCGUCUGACCUCUUCUUCCUUCAACACUUUGAAAAUGUCUGGACCCUCCGACCGUCGUUUUGAUUUGAACUUUGGUGAAGAUGUAGUCCCGUCUUCUCCAGAUAACAUAUGGCGCCCAUCCUUCAUAUCCCCUACUGGUCCUCUUACUGUUGGGGAUUCGGUGGUGAAGAAUGAUAUGACCGCUGCGGUGGUGGCCCGAAACCUUGUCACUCCCAGAGAUAACAGACUACUUUCCAAACGGUCUGAUGAGUUGGCUGUUAAGGAUUCUCUGGCUCUCAGUGUGCAGUGUGCGGGUUCUGUGUCCAACAUGGCCCAACGCCUAUUUGCUCGAACCCGUCAAGUUGAAUCGUUGGCGGCUGAAGUGAUGAGUCUUAAACAGGAGAUUAGAGGGCUCAAGCAUGAGAAUAAACAGUUGCACAAGCUUGCACACAACUAUGCCACAAACAUGAAGAUGAAGAUUGACCAGAUGCAGGAAUCUGAUGGUCAGAUUUUACUUGAUCAUCAGCGGUUUGUGGGUUCGUUCCAACAGCAUUUGCCUUUGUCUUCUGGGGCUGUACCGCGUAGUGAAGCUCCUCAUGAUCAACCUCCAGCCCCUCUUCUUUCUGGAGUUCCACCGAGUGGUGUGACUUCAAACAGUCAACCUCCGACGUCUCUUUUCCCUAGAGCUCCACCGAGCACUGAGACACCACCUGAGCAAUAAAGACUCCCUCCCGUUUGUUUGCACAUUUGUAAAUUUUUUUUUUUUUUUUUUUUUUUUUUUUUUUUGGUAUGUAGAAUGCAAUUUUAUGUAAAAUUUCCAGAAAAAAUAAAUAAAAUGGAUUUUUAUUUCUCUUAAUGCUUUUUUUUUUUUUUUUUUUUUUGCUGUAUAUAUUAUACACACACAUUUAUACAUACAUAUAUACAUACAUAUAUAUAUAUUUUCACGUGGAGUGAUCCACCAUCCCAAAACCCAUUUUCCCUUUGUUUUUUUUUGCAUGGUGCUAGCCACCAAGAAUUCACCUUUUUUUUUUUUUUAAUUAAUUAAUUAAUUUAUUUAUUUAUUAAUUUAUUAUUAUUAUUUCUUUUUCGUCUGCUUUCACAUGGUGCUUGAUCCACCACUCUCUUUUCUUUUUUCACGUGGUGCCAGAUGCACGCCCCUUUUUUUUUCACGUGGUGACAGCACCACUCUGCUUUGCUCUACCACAUUUUUUUUUUUUUUGUAUAAAUUAGGAUGCUUGGCUGAGGGAUUUUGUAGGGAAGGACGAAGACGGACGGAGAGCCGGAGUUUGAGGAAGAGCUUCUCGGCCGGCUAGUCGUUUGACAGCGGUCUUUGAAGUUGGUGGCAGCUGCGAGGCAAGAGACGGAGGAGGACAGGGCAGCUGUGACGGACAGAGACGCCAUGGCAGGACCUCGAGGAGUUUUAAGAUACUGGUGCAGGUACUGGCGAGGUGAUUUUGACGAGAAAAGCAUGAAGAGGGCGUCGAGCACCAUGGGCCUGCAAUCCUUAAGGUUGAUCUCGUAGUCCUUGAGCUCUUGUUCAGGCAUGACGGGAUCCGCUGCGGUCUUUUUUAUCGGCAAUAAAGUUCUUUGCCUCAUAAAACAGCCCAGAACGCGAUAGAAGAGUUACGAACAAAGCACAAUGUGCAACUGUAGGUGUCUUGAUGCAGUUGAAGUAAAACUUCCCUUCCUCGACCAUGCGUGCUGCAACGCAAGCAUGAAGGACAGCAGCAUAGGUGAUUUCAUCGAUCUGUGUACUCGUUUCCUUCUCCAUUUGGCAGAAUAAAUCUACUCCGAUCUUUCCUUGUCCGUGUAAGCUGUACCCAGUUAUCAUCACUGUCCACGAAACAAGAUCUCUUGUACUUCGACCCUGGCAAAAACUUUUGCAGCUGAUUUGAUAAAUCCCGACUUGACAUACAUGUCCAUAAGAGCAUUCAGAACGGUGAGAUUCAUUCGAAUACCAUGUCGCAGCAAGAAUCCAUGAGUCUCUUUUGCCAUGUUUACCUGCAGACAUUCUUGCGCAUGCUGGGAGAACACUAGAGACCGAGAGCGGAUCAGGUUUCACCCCGUCUCCAACCAUCUGCCUAAACAGCUUAAGACCCUCAUUGAAGCAUCCCCUCUUCACAUUGGCAUGAAUCAUUUCUGUCCAAGAAAUGACAUCUUUCUCCGGUAUUUGGUUGAAAACUGCCCAAGCUUCGUCGACACAGCCACAGUCCAUGUAUAUUUUCAAGAUGGUAUUGCUCACCAACACAUCAUACUCCAAUCCACGUUCCUUGGCAACCCUGUGGACUUUUGUUCCAUCAAUCAACGAUCUCAACAUGCCACAGGCACCAGCCGCCGUCGCCACAGCCACAGAAUCUAUCUGUGCUCCGGACUCCACCAUUCUCUCAAACACAUGAACCGCCUUGCCGGGUUUACCUUCCGCAAUGUACAGCCUGGCCAGCAUUGUCCAUGAAACAGAGUCCGUAACCAGGGACUUGUCAAACAGCCCUUUCGCGGAGUCCGCGCUGUCGAGGCGACCGUACAACUCAAUGAGAGCAGCAACCACGUACCGGUCACCAGAGCAGCCGAGCUUGUGAGCGUGGGCAUGGAGUUGCUUGCCGAGGGAGAGAUCAACCGAAAGGCGAGAGGCAGACAAGACGCGAGGAAGAGUGUGUCUGUCGGGCGACGAACGCGCGGAUGAGCAUUUGGUGGUAAGUGGCGAGGGCGUGGUGGAAGUCGGCAUUGGCGAUAUGGGUCUGGAUAAGUCUGUUCCAUGCAAAGGUAUCUGAGUGGGGCAUUUUGUCGAACACCUUGUGGGUGACGGCCACCUUCGUGGUGGGUUUAGCAUUUCGGGAGUGCUUGUAGUGGGCUGUGUUGAUUGGGUUCUCGGUGACGAUCAAGCGCUGGAUUUGGGCGGAUGGAAGGGCUUCCAUUUCAGUUCAGUCGCACCCAAUUCAGCAUUGCCCGUACGGAUUCGAGCGCAGUUAUCGAGGAGGAGUUUCCUUAAGAAUAGAACCAAUCACCGACUCCUCAAACCCAUCCGGAUAUGCGAUUUUCAUGAGGUGCAAACAAGAACCCUCUGCCAUAAGUGGCAUGAUCACCCAAAGGUUUCUUUCAACGACAAAUGAACAAAACGCCCUCACGACAUUGGGAUGAUCUAUUAAUCUCAUCGUCUGCGCCUCCCUCCGGAUAUCCUCGAAAUUGCUAUUGCACCGAUCGAGAUCCAAGCACUUGACGGCGACGACUUCAUUGAAAGGGAGAUAGAUCGCUCUGUAAACCGUUGCGCUGGCGCCAUAUCCGACCUCUUCCAGAAGCUUGUAGUCGUUCGGAUUCGCCGAGUGAAGCCUCGAAUUGCUACCCAUCCUCCCCAUCUGUUCGAGGACUUGUGCUUCAGAUAUGUCGUUUUGAGGCUACGGGCUCUGCGUUUGGGCUGUGUGCCAGUUUGGGCUUAGUGUUGCUUUGGAGAGAUCUAGGUUUGGUUGAAGAGGUACGGUGAAGCCAUGGGCAAGGGAGAUGACGAAUUGGGCUUGGAGGCUGACACUUGGGCCUGGAUGGCCUCCUUUUGAGAGGCUUGCUGCUGAUGGAUAUACAUAUAUAUAUUUGUAUGUAUAUGUAUGUAAAAGAAAUCUUUUUUUUUUUUUUUAAUUUUUUAAUUUUUUUUUUUAUGUGACUGAACUCGAAAAAAUUGAACAUUCGAGCUGCCUACGUACCCCUCCAAAGAAGAGAUCAAGUCGCAACGUAGUUCAAAUACAUUUUUGGUAUUUUCUUUUUGUGUCGUUUGCAGUUUUAACUCAUGCAGGCAAGGAGUGUUGGUGUCGUUUGCAGUUCCAACUCUUGCAUACAAGGAGCGUUGGUGUUGCCUUUUAUGCUCGUGUAGGCCAGGAGCGUUGGUUCGUGCAGUUUAGGCUCGUGCAGGCGAGGAGCCUUUGGUGUCGUUCGCAGUUUCAACUCGUGCAAACAAGGAGCAUUUGGUGUCGUUCGCAGUUUCAACUCGUGCAGACAAGGAGCAUUUGAUGCCGUGUUGCAGUUUAGGCUCAUGCAGGCGAGGAGCGUUGGUGUCUUGUAGUUUAGGCUCUUACAGACAAGGAGCUUUGGUUCGUGCAGUUUAGGCUCGUGCGAACAAGGAGCAUUGUUGGUUCGUCAAGCGAUCCGAGAGAGUUGUUCCUCACAAUCUUCAUAGCAAGGAGCCUUGACCGCGUGAUUGAAGAAGUCUUCGGGUAAAAAGUCGCGCAUCGUGAUGGCAACAGACAAUCUUUGUGUCGUAGUUUCAUCAUCUUCAACACGUUCACGUUGCUUUGAAGGUUGACAAUAGCUGCUUUGCCCCCUUUUCAAUUGGCGGACUUGUGGAGGAGACGUAUGCUUCUUGUGCAAUUUCUUAGGAGUGACUUGAGUCCAUCCUUCAAUUUUGCUUGUCUUGGACGAUGCCCCCAGCGGUUGAGGUGAAAACUUUGAGUCGGAAGAGCCAGAAGUGAAGGUGGUAUAGUUUGACUUUGCCACUUCGUCAAGAUCUAGCUCGAUGAUUCCUUUCUGAGCCAGCUUCAUGAUGAGAUCUUUCAGCACGAAACAUUUUUCUGUCGGAUGACUGAUGAAGCGGUGGAAUUUACAGUACUUUGGACUGUCGGUGCGAUUCAUCUCUUCUGGCCGUUUGCACUCAGGCAAACCAAUCACCUUCUUUUCCAACAGGUCAUCCAGUAUGGCAACCACAUCAGAGUCGGGGAAUGGAUAAGUCUUCUCCUCAAGCUCCUUUAAAGUGCGUCUACGCAUUUCUUGAUCACGAAAAGCUUCGGUUUGAAUCGCCUUGCCUCGUGUGGAUAUUUUGACGGGAGAUGUGUUGACCGUCAUCGCUUCCUUGGUGGGUUUCCAUGCAGCCUUUUCCACCUUUGUCCCAAGAACUUUGUCGUUCUUGUAGUCGGCGAUUGGUUCUUUCUUCCCAUGAUGGGCGAUGCUCAACUCCAUGUCAUGGGCGCGAGUGGCCAAUUCCUCGAAGGUCCGCGGUUUAAUGCCUUGAAGGAUGUAUUGCAAACCCCAUUGCAUGCCUUGGAUGCACAUCUCGAUUGAAGAGGUUUCCGAGAGCCUGUCUUUACAGUCGAGGCUUAGAGUGCGCCAUCUGUUGAUGUAGUCAAUGACUGGCUCGUCCUUCCACUGCUUUGUGCUUGUUAGCUCUAGCAUGCUCACAGUGCGGCGAGUGCUGUAGAAGCGGUUGAGGAAUUCCCGCUCCAAUUGCUCCCAGUUGUUGAUGGACUCAGGCUCUAGGUCAGUGUACCACUCAAAGGCGUUUCCUUUUAGUGAGCGCACAAACUGCUUGGCGAGGUAGUCCCCUUCGGUCCCUGCGUUGUUGCAAGUUUCAACAAAGUGGGCAAUGUGUUGUUUCGGGUUUCCCUUUCCAUCAAAUUGCAUGAACUUUGGCGGUUGAUAACCCUUCGGCAUCCUUAAGGCGUCGAUUUUCUUUGAAUACGGCUUCGAGUACAACCCGGAGGUAUUUGAGCUCCCUUCGUACUGUGCCUUGAUGGUGUUGGUGAUCAUCUAUUGCAGCUGCUGGAUAGAAAGAGAUCCCAUGAGUGCCGCUGCUUGGUCUGGCUCCGGCUUUGCAUCGUUUUUCUCCACCUGAGGCUCAUCUUCUUCGUCAUCUCUUCUCUUUAGUGGAUCAUUCUCUGGGUCGGGUUUAUCGCCGUCCUGCGCCUUUAGUCGAUUGACGAGUGCUGCAAUUUGCAAGUCUUUUUUCUUCCACCGUUCGGGUCAGCCUUGCGAUUGCUUCAUUCAUCUGAGCCAGUUGUUCUUCAACGGAGGUAACGCCGAUAGUCAUGACUUGUGCGACCAAUAUACGUGACUUUCCUUUAGACAUCCAGGAUGCUGAUGAAGAACGUCGUUGGCUGCUUUGGGAUGUCAUCUUAUGUGCCUCAGCAUCAUGCUUCGGUGCCCCCAGCGAGGUCAGGUUGAUGACAGACUCGCACCUUGGAUGCUCCCCUUGCUCUUUUAGCGGCACCAAUUUUGAAGUAGCAUGUUGGGGAGCGGUUGUGGCGCCAAUGGAUUGUCUGUUUGCGGCAGAAGUGCUUAGGAUCCUUCCCUCAGUGGUUGCGAGAAUGGCUUGUCCUUUGCUUGAUGCCAUUGACUUUGAGGUGUGCUUGGAUUCCUUGAACGAAGAAAGAGAUGAGAGGUAGAGAUUGUCCCACCGGGCGUGCCAAUUUGUGAACACGGAAAAUUCCUGAAACGAAAGAGACAAGAACGAACGUGCACAAACAAAUAUUAUGUAUUUGAUGAUUUUGGGUUACAAUCUCUCUCUAUUUGAUCCUCUGAUUCAAUCUCCGUAAGGUGUGUAUUUGUGGAUGUGUGAUUGAUCCAAAGGGCCGUUGGGCUUGAUCUAAGGAUGAACGUUCUUCAAGGGCCGUGGACUUGAUCUUGAAGGUGGAUUUGAGCGGAUCUUUAAAGGGGCUUUUGGGCUUGAUCUUGAAGAACGGUUGGAUGUGUGGAUUUGUCGAAGUUGUUGAUCCAAAGGGCCGUUGGGGCUUGAUCUUGGAUGAACGGAUGAUGAACGAUGGUGCUUUCUUCAAGGGCCGUCGGGGCUUGAUCUUGAAUUGGUGGAUGGUUGAUCCAAGGGCCGUCGGGGCUUGAUCUUGGAAGAACGAUGAACGAAGAACGAAGAACACUUUCUUCAAGGGCCGUCGGGGCUUGAUCUUGAAUUGGUGGAUGAUUGUUGAUCCAAAGGGCCGUUGGGGCUUGAUCUUGGAAGAACGAUGAACGAAGAACAAAGAACGCUUUCUUCAAGGGCCGUCGGGGCUUGAUCUUGAAGGUGGAUGAUUGUUGAUCCAAGGGCUGUCGAGGCUUGAUCUUGGAAGAACGAUGAACGAAGAACACUUUCUUGAUUCUUCGGGAACCUGGACGCUUGAGAGCUUCGGAGUUUCAGAGCUUCAGAGCUUCAAGGUGUAAUAUGAAUUGGUCCCCCCUAAAUGAAUGAAAUGGGCUUGUAUUUAUAGAAUUUUCCAAGGCCUAAUUUUGAAUAUAAUAUCCCAGAUGAAAUAAGUCGUUUCUGCCAGGUGUUGACACGUGUCCUAUUUGAUGACUUUUCCAACUCAUUUCAAUUUUCGUUUAGUCACACGCUACGUGUAAAAUUUAUGUAAUACAUGAGCGUUGACACUUUGAUUUAUCGGUCAACAUUUAUUUACCGAAAUUUCGAUGUCUACAAAACUAAUAGAUAAUUGACUAAAUAAACAUCCUGCAAAGUUUCAAUAAAAAUUUCCAAGUUUUUCUUACAAUUUCUGUGGUUUCCAUAUUAUUUUUAUCGAUAUCGAUAAUAUCCCGAUAUUUCAAUCGAUAUUUCCGUGUUUUUGGACUACCGAUAUUUCCGAUAUCAUCGAUAUUUUAUACCUUGGCGACGGGGGACUUGCCGACUGGUGCCACCGUGGACGUUGGGUCUUUCGAAAUGUGGUGUAAUGUUAUGAUCCCACAUCGGCUACACAAGAAAUUGUGUAGUGGUACUUAAGUGCAAGGGGUCCUCCCACCUAUUGGACUAGUCUUUUGAGUUGGGCUCUUCCCUUAGGCUUGAGUACCUAACAAACCCAUAAAUCAAAGAAAUCAAAAUCCACCCAGAAUCAAAGAAAUCAAAAUCCAUCCAGAACCAAAGAAAUCAAAAUCACACACAGAUAUACAAGGUGUACAGUACUGACAUGCCUUAAAUGAUAUUAUUCACAAGAUUUAUAAAGCUCAUGUCGUAAUACUUGUGCAGAAUCUAUCAUUCACGGCGUCACUUUUGUGCAAGUUGUAAAUAAAAUUAUUCACAAUUUAAACAUUGUGUGUCGUAUUUGACAAUUUAUACUACGCACUUUCUUUUUCUUUUAAAGCUUUGCGUUAUGUCGUGAAGUUGACUUUCUAUAUAUUUGGGUUGUACCUUUUAUGGCGCAAAUAACACGUCGUAAAUAAUGGCUUUUAGCACAGAAGUUUUGUGGUAAAGAAGCCCGCGCACUAAUUCAUUCUCGCGCCUUCUCUUUUUUAUUUAGCCGCUUCUUUUUUUAUUUUUUAUUUUUUUUGUUAAAUUCCCCUCAAAUGUUAAAAGAAAAAUUAAUGAAAUAUUUGAAAACUUUGAGUUUUAACGAUAAGGAUAAAAUAAAAGGUAAAAUGAAUAGUACCAAAAUUGACUUUUUAGUGUUAAAAUAUGAUUUUUCGUUAAAGUGAACAGUGCCGAAAGUUUUUCGUUAAAGUUCAAUGUUAAAAGGUUUGUAUUUUCUUGGUAAACUUGAAAGACAAACAUUGCAAUUGCAUUUUCAUUUACCCAAUAUUAAUUGUCGAGAGCCCACCCCCUUCCCUUCUCACUGACAUCGUAACUCUCUCCUCUCCAUCGAUCUCGCUCCAUCUGCUCGCCGUCGCUCUAUAUGCUCGUCAUCACCGUCGAUUCGUCUGCUCGUCGUCACCGUCGCCCAUCUGCUUUCCGUCACCGUCGAAGUGCCCCGCCAUUCAAGAUCUGAAAUCCCCAAUACAGGGUGCUUUGCGGCAUUUCGUUCUCCAAAACUUUAGGUAUGCUCUCAAUCUGUAUCAACCCUAUCCUGUCCCCUCUAGAUUUUUGUUUAGUCUCAACUUUAUGGUGCUUUUCUUAGAUUUGUUCUAUCACUGUAAUUUUAAGGGAUUUUAGGUAAUAAAUUUGGUUGAGAAUCUCAGUUAGGUUUGUAAUUGUUUUCUUGGUUGCCUGGGUUUGAGGAUGAUUAAUCCACUUUCUGAAGUUUAAUUACUUUGAACUUUGAUUUGUGGGAAACUGCAAUCAAAAUGUUGCUAUGGCUUUAUAGUUAGAAUCGAUUGUGAGUCUUUGCACCACAUCAAGCAAUACCCCGGUGUUGUAAUUCCGAGGUUUGUAAUUGCCGCUGUUAAUGAUGGUUUGGUCCAUCCUUUUUAGGGAGAUGACUUCAAUGAUUGAAACUAGUUUAUCAUUAUUUCAGAACUCUGUAAUACGAGACAUGAUAUUCCAAAAAAUAUUUGCAUGAAUAUAUGUGCAUUGACUGACUAUUUUUCAGUCUUUGAUAGUGGAGAUAACUCUUUCAGGUCAUAUGUAGUUCUUACAGAAAUUGUAUGGUAUUUUGGUUGGUUUUGUGUUCUGGUUGUAGCAAACUGGUGGAUGCCCUGAGAUGAGUAGUUAUCUACAAAGUGGAUGGAUCCUGAAGAGUACAAAGUCUAAGGCAUUUUAUGUAAAGGUAAAUCCUGUUACUUUUAAUUACUUAUAUGUGAAUGCCUGCCAUUUGAAGUAAAAAUUCUUUUAGCCAUUACAUUCUUCAUAAAGAUCUUUAUAUGCUCAAAAGAAGGAUUUUUUUUAGAUGCCAUGUAACUGGUGGUGGCUAGCCUCUUCUUUUUAAGACUCUAGUGUGUUUCAAUUACACUAGUCAAUCGUUCUUAUGUGUAUUAUGUUUUGUUGAUAAGAUGGCCAAGACAAAGUUGUAGAGCCCUAGUAGCAGGGUGCUGUUGGCAUUUAUAUUUUUCUUUUGAAGGGGUGUUUAUUGCUUUUAUACUUUCAUUGUUUACUCUCAUACAUACAAUACUGAAAAAUAAGCAUGUAUUGACGCGUAAUUUUAGAUCCAUAUUUAUACAUAAUUUUGAUUACAUGUCCAAAUUACCCAAGAUUCUUUUUCCUUUACAAAUUUGUGGAGUGCAUUACAUGGAUAUGAUUCAUGUAUGAAAUACACAUGACUCUCACUAAUUUAAGGGCAGCAUCAUUGACUGUACAGUUUUCAAUUCUUUAUAAUCAUGAGUAUAGACAUUUUUUAAUUCUUUAUAAUCAUGAGUACAACAAUAGUUUCUAUAACAAAAUUCUGUUAAAUAUGUAAUAUCAGUAUUUGUUUUCCAGGUUCAUUAGUUGAGGAUGAUUUUUCCAAGAAAGAAAAGAUCGCGGCUUUCAGGCCGAUCUAAAGAACAUUAUGUUGAUAUUGCACCUGAGAUCUUACAAGAAGAGGACGAAGAAGUACCAGAUGACCUAUUUACAGAGGAGUCGAAUCAAACUAAAAGAAAGAGGGGUCCUACUAGAAUGAAGACAAUUUCCACAAAUGAUGGUCAACGAAUUGAGAUUGAAUGGAAUGAAAACGGCCAGUUUAUUGGUGACGGAUCUAUUGACUUAUCUUCUUACAUGGGUUCUUUGGUCCGAGAGGUUGUCCCUAUAACAUUUGAUACUUGGAAGGAUGUUCCUAAGAAAACAAAGGACAUCCUAAUCAAGGUAAUAUGCAGAUAAGUCAAUUCUGAUCCCUCUACUUCAAGGUGAACAAUUUAUAGUUUAUAAAUUUUACUUGUGUUAAUAUAUAUUUUUUGGUAAAUGUUAUGGAUAUUUUAUCAAAUCAGAGAGUAAAUUCGUAUUAAGUGAAGAUUGGCAAAGAACAUAUUGUUUUGAAAGGAUGAAUAAUGUUUGCAGAUCACAUAUAUCAGUAGUUGUGAAGUCCAUAAGAGAAGCAAGAAAUUGGAAAGCAAGGCUUCGUCUAAAACCAAAUAAUGUCAAAUUAAUUCAAGAUUGGAAGACUUCCCUUGCAAAGUGUAAGCUCAUUUUCCUUUUCUUUUAUUUCUAAGAUUAGUUAUCUUCUUUUGAGUUCAAAAUUGGGUCAGAGAAAUCAAACUGAUAGUAGUUAAAAGUCUAUUUCAACACCAAGCCUUGUCUACACAAGAAUUUGGUGUUAGUUAAACAUGUGUAUGAUUCUAUCUUGAUUGCAUGUUAAUUUAGUUUGAAGAUAGAUUUGGUACAUGCUAGCUAAUUGAUACGUGAUAUGAAUCUUUGGUUUCCUUUUGAUAGGACAAAAGCGAAACAUUCAGAGAGAUGAAGUCUAAGCAACUCCGCACACAUGUAGUCGCAAGGGAUAUGGUAGGUUGGCGGAGGAUUUGGUAAUUACAUUUCAUUCUAGUGCCUUCUUUUCUACAGGACAAGAACAAUUUACUAAUUUUAUUCUGUGUUCUACUGUGUGUUUACUACAUUUAUGUUUCUAUUUUGUAGAAAAGAAAAAGUGUAGACCCUUCUCUAGUUUCUAGAGGUGAUGUUUGGAUUGCAGCACAUACUAAAAAGGGUGGUGGACCAUCCAAUUUGCUUGCUGCAGAGACUAUUGUAAGUAAUUUUUAACCAUUUAUUUCUUCUUGUUUGUUGAUAUGCAAUGAUGAAUGAGGUCUUAACUUUGAUGUGCAACGUUAGGAAAAAAAUUAAGCAAUAUGGAAAUGGAUCAUCAUCUGGUUUUCGAGGUGACGUUCUUUCCAAAGUUUUUGGUGCUGAGCGACAUGGUCGUGCAAGAGGAGUUGGAGGUGGUGUUCCUCCUACAAAGCUUGGAAUAUUUUCACAACAAAAAUUGCGUAAUCACCAAAUGGAUGAAAAGGUGCACAAUUUAACUAAUCAGGUCAGAGCACUGACAGAAUUGGUGUAUCUUUUUAUGAAAAAUCAGGUUAGUGAUUUAAUAACAUUGGUAUCAUAUUGAAUAUUUGUGAAAUCAGUUUUAGUGACACAUCAAAUCACAGGGUAAUGAUCUACCAAGUGAGGCAUCUCCUGACACACAGGUUGCAGCUCCUGAGGCACAUGUUGAUACUGUCGCAAGAACUGAAACUUGUCUUUCCCAUUGCGCAACAAAUGAAUCGUGGUGGCGAGGUUGAUACACUUUUUCAAUGAGCCUUCUAACUAUUAAUGCUCAUUGACUCUGUUAAAAGCUCUGCCAUUUUCAAUCUAACUAGACACUAGAAAUGAUCAUUGACUCUGUUAAAAGUUAUGAUGUUUUGGUCCUUCUCCAUAGUUGCGCAUCUACUGAUGUCUAUUUUUUUUCAAAUACUGCAGGUUAUUUCUGAAAACAUUGAAACAUCGUGGUGUACCAGAUGGUUUGAUUAUAAGACACCUUCCUUUUGGUCCACCAACUUAUUUAUAACUGCUAAAUGGUACGUAGUGUGAUAAUUUUCAAAUAUUUUGAUAUUAAGACAGGUGUAGGACAACAUAGAAAUUCUUAGGGCCUUCAGCAACAAAAUUAUGAAAAAGUGAGUGAGAUACAAUUAAAAAAAUGAAAGAGAAGGAUCAUGAUUCAUGAUCUAAAGGUUUGAAUAGGGUAGAAAGGAUUUAGUUUCGUUGUUAAAAUCGAUUGUGAGUCUAUUGUUAUUGUAUUGUCAAUUUGUUUAUUUACUUGAACUUCCUAGUAUCAAUUUGGUUCGAUAUAUCUAGCACCACCAUAGAUAUAUCUAGUAUCAAUUUGGUUAGAUAUUGUCAAUUUGUUAUUGUAUUGUCAACUAUAGAAUGUGCAUCAGUUGUAAAAGGAACAAAACAAUUCAGAUUUUUUGUUUAUGUCCAAACUUAGAAUUGUAUUGUAAUUGACAAUUUCUACUAAUUAAUUUAAAGUAUUUGGAGUUUAAUAUGUUUAUGAUCAAUAUUGUUAUCCUUCUAUUGUAUCAGUUUAGAUGUUAUGAAGUGAGGUCUGUCUAAAAAUGAUAUGCUAAAUAUAGAUGUAAAUUACGGCAUCUAAAAUCAGCAAUAAUUGUUGAUGGUAGUCUUUUUUUACGAUGCACGAUGUAUGCCGUAAUCACCUUCACAAUAUUACGACACUCAACAAAUGCUGUAUCAAAUAUAAAUUACUGCACACAAGUAUGUCGUAAUUGUUUUUCAGUAUUACGACACCCUAUUAACGCUGUAACUAAUACCAAUUAAGGCGCGUAGGACAUGCCUUAAGAACAUUUAUGGCGUGUUUUACUUAAAUUAUUCACUACUAUUAGAGUACGUCGUAUUUGUCAAAACAUCUUUUACAACAGGGGCUUUUACUGCUUGGAGGCUCACGUCGUGAAUUUCCAUUUACGGCACCCUUUGUGCGCCGUAAAAGGCCAAUUCUAUUGUAGUGAUCCAUGGGUACAUUUUUAAUCUACAUGUUUCGUUUUAAUAUAUCUAUUGCUAUAAUAUGUUUUGGUUGGUUCAAAUUCGUUUUACAUAAAUAUAUGGGUACAAAGUUUUUGGAGAAUAUUAUGUAAAAUGGUUUUUAAGGUUGUUGCAUUUUAUGUACCCACAUAUGCAUGUCUAUAAAACAAUGUGGUAUGAUGUACAUUCUUUUCCUUGAGUUUUUAAAUGUACCCAUGAGUUUUCUUGUAAAUUCAGUAUGUAUCCAUAUGCUAUUUAUGUUAUGGGUACAUAAAUUAUUUUUGGUCUAAGUUGGUGGGUACAUUGCUUUUGUAUGUAUGAAUUCAUUGGGUACAUUAUUUCCCUUAAUACUACUCAAUAAAAUUCACAAAAAUAUGUGCAGUGUGCAUGAAUUUUUAUUGUAGAAAUUGUUUUUUUUUAAUUUUUAAUUUUUAAGUCUCAUAAUUCGUGAAUUUUGUACAUAUUGAUCCCAUAAAUUUUUGAAUUUUAUUAAAUUUCUUUUAGACUUGAUCGAUUGAUUGAAUCUCAUAAUAAUCCCUUAAAUGUUCCAAUCAAUAUUUUAAAUUACAGCUUUUUAUUUAAGAUUUCAAAAAGAUGACAUGAAAAUAUAGUAAUACUAAAAUUUUAUUUUAAAUUACAUUUGUGUAACAAUCAAUGGUAUGUUAAAACUGGGCAAAAAAAAAAGGUAUAUUAAAAAAUUAUAAUUUAUUCUUUUUUUCAUAACUGUCUUCUGCUUAGAUUAAAUUUUUACCAAUUUGGGGGAAUUAGUUCUUACCAAUAUAUAUGCACAGUAUUUGCUUUUUACCUGGGCUUAACACAUGAUUAAUUACUUUCCUACCUGCUAACGCGUUGAUUUGCGCAUCCAAAGUAUUAUCAAAGUCACUGCCACCAAAAAGGUGCCCACUCCACAACCUUUGGUUGAACCAAAGAACAUCACAACAAUAAGGAAAUCGUUAAAUCUAUCUCCGCAACAUUUUUAUUAAUCAUUAGAUAGAUUAAACGAUUCCCCUGUUCAUAUUGUGUUCUUUUGUUGAACCAAACCAUGUCAACAAAAUAUAUCUAUGGUUAAGCAUCUAGAUUCAUGCUUUUGGAUGUGCAUCUUAAACCCCUCAAUGAAUAGCCAAGCAAUUUAUCAUGUGUUUACAGUAGGUCAAAAGAAGAAAGUGUUUGUCUAUAUAUUGGUAGGAACCAAUUCCUCUGAAGAGGAGAGAUGGAAGUGAUGAUAAUACUUUAAAUAAUCAAAGCCCAAACAUUUUAUCAAAUUUCAUCUCUGUACUCCACGGAGACACUAAAUGAGACAUAUCUGGUCCAUCUCUGAACAUCUUUUCUUACCGUUCUUACAAUAGAAAGGGCACAAAAUUGACUUACACAGUCUUGCACAAUACUCACUUUGCUUCAACCCAUAUUUCACUUUGUCAAAUCAUACACGUUCCUGCAAUAGGUGAACUCAUAUGUAUCUACCACUUCUUGCUAAUUUUAAUUUUUCCAUUCCCAUUUUUGCUACAAGUUUCACAUAAAUUUUUUAUUGCACUUGUCAAUUCUUUAUACUUUUUUAUUGUAUUUUUUUUUUGUCUUUUUUUUGUAUUAAACAAUUACAUGUCCUCCAAAAGUUUUGCUUAUUGCCCUAUUUCAUCAAGCUCGGUAUAAAUAGAUCUUAAUUUUUUACUACAGUUAAAUACAUGGACAUGCCUCCACAAAUACAAAUUAGUUCUUGCUUAAAUACUUUGUGUGUUUACAUAGAAAAUGUUCCCAUCGUCUACCAAAAUCCUCCACACAUGAAAACAAAAAUUCUUACUCAAAAAUACAUAUUACAAUACCACCAUAUCUGUUGUUUUUUAUUAAAUUAACACACUGUUUUCAAUUUUAUCUUUAACACAAAAGAAAAUGCUCUUACACAAUAUGCUUGUUUACAUUUUAUAACUUAUCUACCACAUGUUAAUCGCAAUUAUAUAAAUAGGAAAACACGUGUCAAUAGAAGUGUGAUGCAUGCUACUUCGUUAACAAUAGUGGCAACUAAACAAUUAAAUAAUUUGUUUCAAUUAGUUAGUACAUUUUAUAAAUUUCUUAAUUAGAACUGUUUCAGUAUAUUCAAUACAUUUUUAAACAACUUUCCAGUUAGUUGCCCAAACUAAUUAUUCCAGCUUAUUCAUAGUAUAAUACCAACAAUUUAACAACCAAUGAUACUUCGUUUAACAUAAACUUCAUUUGGAAAAAACAAAAAAAUAUCUUUUUCUCUGCUGAAAAAUCCAACAGAGUUAUUGAUGCAGAUCAGUUAUACCAACAAAUUACCAUAGUUUACCCAAUGCUAUACAGGUUUGACUUUUGUUUAUAUUCUUGGAUCUGUUGCUUGGUUGUAUAAUUUGGUUGUGUGUUUUGUUUCAGGACAAUUUGUUCUUCGUUUCUUGAGGCUUUUGUGUGUAGAUUUGAAACCGUUUAGCUUUCAAGCCGUGUAUACUCAAGGUAAAUAAUUUCGUUUUUUUCUUUGUAACCUUUUUUGUAAGAAAUUUUUAUUUAAUGUUGUGAGAGUUGUGUUUUCUAGAGUAUGAAAAUUGAAUCUUUGUGAUCUUAUAUCCUUAGAUAUGUUUCUUGGUUAUAUGAUUUGGCUGUGUGCAUUGUUUCAGGACAAUUUGUUCUUCGUUUUUUGGGGCUUCGGUGUGUAGCUUUGAAGCCUUUUGUAGUCAACAUAAAUAAUUUUAUUUUUCUUUGUUUCUAGUCUUCUUUGAAAGAAUUUCUUAGUUAAUAUUCUGAGAAUUAUGUUUACUAUAGUAUGAAAAUUGAAUCUUUGUGAUCUUGUAAGUGAUGUAACGUCAUUGCAACAUGUAUGACUGCCAUUAUCGAACAUGAAGAGCUUUUUGAUUUUUGUACUCCGUCCUUUCAUACGAUCUGACUCAAAAAUUGUUUCAUCACAGGUUCUAACAUGAUUUUUGCGACGUCUUAUGAAAAUACAAUGUCACUUCUGGUAUUCCAACUUAAACAAAUUACAAGGGAUGUCUAGUUUUAAACCUGCAGUUAGUAUAUACUAAAACGACGGUUUUGGCCCUGCUCUCGACUUCUUCAGAAACCUCGAGAAACUUCAAACUGAGAAAGCUUCUCCCUUCCAUCUCUGCUACGCGAUCUCUGCUUUGCGAUCUCUGCUUCCUCCGUGAUUUCUUCCCUCCUGAUCGACAUCUAUUCGAAUUGAAAACCUUCUGGAGCUCUCUUCCCCAAAUUUCAGCAGCAACUUUGCUCCAGAUCUUUCCAAUUGAAAUUCCUCUCCUUCACAUUUUGCAUAUUGAAUUUCGCAUCAUUAUCAUCUCCCUAGAACCUAGGAGUUUGGUUCGGUUUCGAGUUUUCCGACGGAAAUCCGGCGACAGCGGCCAUCGAGGUUGGUCUGAAACUAUUCCUCAUCACCACAAGUACUUUCUACACCUAUUACACUUUAGAAAAAAUUUCAUGAUUUGGUGGAAUCCAAUUUAAUGAUUAGAAAAAUUUUCAUUAAUUUUCUGGGUUCGUGGGUUGGAGGUGGAUUAGAAAUUUUUUCAUUAUUUUUCUGGGUUUGUGGUUUUUUUCCAAAACGUUUUUCCUUUCUACUAAUCCAAGUUCCUUCACAUCAAUCUCUCUGUUUCGUUCUUGAUCUUCCGCGAGUAGAAUACCUCUCCUUGCUCUCGAGCGCGUGGGCAGUCGCUCCAAGGCAGCCCAUGACGUCAUUUUCCGAUUCGACUCGGAGGAGGUUGGCUGCUCUUCUUGGCUGAGCUUCAUGGCUGGCCGAAUUCCCCUAUUCCCUUCCUCUUAUACUCUUUUGUAUUCGUUCACCAAAACAAUAGGAAAACGUCUCCGUCUGUUUGAUUGACGGCGAAGAAAAAAAGACGGAGAUAAAAGCCUGACGGAAGCUGAAAGCUUGGACUCUGUUUGUAUUUUUAAUGGAUUUUCAGAACACAGGUCAAGAAUACUGCGAUUUGAGAAAGAAAGAAAGAACCACGUUGACAUAAUAUAUUCACAAUAGGCGUACAUAAAGCUUUACUGUGGUUCCAUUUUUUUGCAUAUUUCAAAGGCUCUGAAUUGUUAAGGGAAUUAGCCUUUUGUUUUAGGAAGAACUUGGAACCCCCUCCGUCCAUUCUAUUCCCGAUGGAAUUAACACUUAGAUAGUACUAUGACAAUGUGUCAUUAAUUGAUGCAUACCUGUAUAAAUUUAGGCCAAGUGUUUUAUACACAAAUUGAUACAGAUUAAGCUUCUGGGUCGAAAUCAUAUACCGGUGAGCUAACUACACAAUGAUACAUUCUUAUCUGUUAAUUAUCUUUGGUUACCAGCUAUCCAUGUUGCUGACAUAUUAAACUACACAACAUCUAUUGUAAUUUAUGUCUUAUUAGUAUCAUCACUUUUGUUCUUUAUUUCAAUGUCUAACAUAAUGAUCUGGUUUCAAUUUGCUACAGGCAUUAUUUCCAGACAAUAGCUAUGGUUUUGAUUGUAGCGGUGACUGAAAAAUUAUUCCGAAACUAACAUUUGAGGAAUUCAAGGUUUGUUAGUUAAUUUGUACAUCAGAAUACCAUGACAAACUAUGAAGUUGUAAUUGUUGACCUUACAAUGUAUCUUUUUUGGUUUGGAGCAUUAGACUUAUAUGUGUUGCUUUCACUUCAUGAAGGCUAACUCUUUAUUUUAG
This 230064-nucleotide long non-coding RNA is filed under the name Malus domestica (apple). Lineage: Eukaryota; Viridiplantae; Streptophyta; Magnoliopsida; Rosales; Rosaceae. The record is from RNAcentral.